This 239340-nucleotide long non-coding RNA is filed under the name Zea mays. RNAcentral describes it as "long non-coding RNA (ZMAY_LNC004038)". The record is from RNAcentral. Lineage: Eukaryota; Viridiplantae; Streptophyta; Magnoliopsida; Poales; Poaceae.
CGGAUGGGCUUAUACCCCCCAGAAUGCAUCAAGAGGUUCUUAUCACUAGCAACCAAGUGUUGCCAGGAUGAAACUGAUGACAGGCCUUCCAUGUGGGAGAUUGUCAGAGAACUUGAGCUCAUCUUGAGGAUGAUGCCUGAAGAGGACCUGAUUCUGCUGGAAACCUCAGAAACAGACUCGACCGAUGUCAGUAAGUCGUUGUCAUCUUCAGCGACCAGGACCCUCUUCGUCUCGUCACAGGCCUCUGGGAGUCUUGAUGCGAGCAGCGGCAUGAUCUCUGGAAGAGUAACUCCCCGGUAGGCAUGGUGUAAUACUUGUGAAUAUGCAAGUUUGUUCUGUAACAUUAUAGGCUUACCACUCCUAGGACCUGUCUUUUAUGAAUUAUUCAUAUUCAGCCGAACGUACAGUAGAUAAUAGCUUAUGAUACACUGGAACAUAGCUGGCAUUGCAUUCUUUACCUUUCUAAUAUGUUAAUCUGCUUUCUGUAAGGUAGCGUUUGGUUCCAGACCCAGUUUGGGAUGGAACAGCUCCAUAGCUCCAUCUCCGGGAGUGGCUCCAUACUAAAGAUUUUGGAGAGCCAAAUGGUUCAACAUUUGAGCAUAAUUUUCCAUUUUUAGAACUGCUCUGUCCUAUAUGGAACUGAUCUAAACAACAACAAAUUAGGAGCGGAGUGACUCUGUCCCACGUUAGCAUUUGGUUUCAGAGCUAAUUGGGAUGGAACGGUUCUGUUCCCGGGAGCAGCUCCGUCCGGAAUAUUCUGGAGAGCUAAAUGGUUCAACAUUUUAGCAUAAUUUUCUGUUUUUAGAACUACUCCAUCCUAUAUGGAACCAAUCCAAACAACAACAAAUUAGGAACGAAGCGGCUCCGUACUUCGGCAACUUUGAGUGCUGACAUGUUUAAGGUCAAUUCUUUGUUUAGAAGUAACAAGGUUUUUUUUAUAGAAUCUAGAAUCUAAAACGGCUAGGUUUCUGAUAGGCCUAUACUAAGAGACACAUAGGAACCAUAAUUGUCGGCGUUUCGAGACAGGGGGGUCCCAAAGCCGACGAGUGAGUGUGCUGCGUGCCCCAGCCCAGAUGGGUCGAGCGCGUGGGCGAGCGUGAAGGGGGGAGAGGCGAGGUGGCCGGAGUCGAGCGUGAGAGAGGUGGAAGUCCCGCGGCCUUCGUGUUCGUCCCGCGCCCAGGUCGGGUGCGCUUGUAGUAGGGGGGUUACAAGCGUCCACGCGGGUGAGGGAAGCGAGCGGCCCCAAGAGAGCGCCUGUCCCGUCCUCGGUCCCGCGCGGCCAACCUUCUCUAAGAAGGCCCUGGUCCUCCCUUUUAUAGUCGUAAGGAGAGGAUCCAGGUGUACAAUGGGGGGUGUAGCAGAGUGCUACGUGUCUAGCGGAGAGAGAGCUAGCGCCCUAGGUACAUGCCAAUGUGGCAGCCGGAGAGGUCUUGGCACCUUGCUGGCGUGAUGUCGUGGCUGUCGGAGGUGCGACGGAGCCUGGCGGAGGGACAGCUGUUGGAGCGGUCGAGUCCUUGCUGACGUCGCCCUGCUUCCGUAAGAGAGCUGGGGGCCGCCGUCGUCACAGAGCUUGUGGAGCGCCAUCAUUGCCCAUCCGGCGGAGCUGGCCGGAUGGGACGCCGGUCUUGUUCUCCGUGACCCGAGUCGAUUCGGGGUAGGACGAUGAUGGCGCUUCCUGUUGACGUGGCGGGUCUGUGCCCUAGGCAGGGUGACGUGGGGGCUCCUCCGAAGCCGAGGUUGAGUCUGUCUUCUGUUGCCGAGGCCGAGUCCGAGCCAUGGGGUCGGGCGAGGCGGAGGUCGUUCGGCCAAGGCCAGGGCGGAGUCCGAGCCCUGGGGUCGGGCGAGGCGGAGUUUCGUCGUCUUCCGGGUCUUAGCCCGAGUCCGAGCCCUGGGGUCGGGUGGAGCGGAGUUCGCCGUCUUCCGGGUCUUAGCCCGAGUCCGAGCCCUGGGGUCGGGCGGAGCGGAGUUCGCCGUCUUCCGGGUCUUAGCCCGAGUCCGAGCCCUGGGGUCGGGCGGAGCGGAGUUCGCCGUCUUCCGGGUCUUAGCCCGAGUCCGAGCCCUGGGGUCGGGCGGAGCGGAGUUCGCCGUCUUCCGGGUCUUAGCCCGAGUCCGAGCCCUGGGGUCGGGCGGAGCGGAGUUCACCGUCUUCCGGGUCUUAGCCCGAGUCCGAGCCCUGGGGUCGGGCGGAGCGGAGUUCGCCGUGGUGCCUUUGGCAAGGCCUGACUGUCUGUCAGACUCACUCUGUCGAGUGGCACCGCAGUCGGAGUGGCGCAGGCGGCGCUGUCCUUCUGUCAGACUGGUCAGUGGAGCGGUGGAGUGACGGCGGUCACGUCGGCUCUGCCGGGGGGGGGGGCGUGUCAGGAUAAAGGUGUCAGGCCACCUUUGCGUUAAAUGCUCCUGCAACUCGGUCAGUCGGUGUGGCGAUUUAGUCAGGGUUGCUUCUGAGCGAAGCCAAGGCCUCGGGCGAGCCGGCGAUGUGUCCGCCGUAAAAAAGGGGGGGCCUCGGGCGAGACGGAAGUCUCUCGAGGUCGGCUGCCCUUGGCCGAGGCUAGGCUCGGGUGAAGCGUGAUCGAGUCACUCGUGCGGACUGAUCCCUGACUUAAUCGUACCCAUCAGGCCUUUGCAGCUUUAUGCUGAUGGGGGUUACCAGCUGAGAAUUAGGCGUCUUGAGGGUACCCCUAAUUAUGGUCCCCGACAGUAGCCCCCGAGCCUCGAAGGGAGUGUUAGCACUCGCUUGGAGGCUUUCGUCGCACUUUUUUGCAAGGGGACCAGCCUUUCUCGGUUGCAUUUUGUUCCGGUGGGUGCGCGCGAGCGCACCCGCCGGGUGUAGCCCCCGAGGCCUCGGAGGAGUGGUUACACUUCUUCGAGGUCUUAAUACCUUGCGUAAUGCUUCGGCUGGUCUGGUCGUUCCCUCAUGCGAACUGGCCGUAGCCCAGGUGCACGGUCGGGGCCCAAGCUCUCGGGCUGGUAUGUUGACGCUGUCAACGGUUUGGCCGGAGCCGGUUUUUGCGAGAGCAGCCCCCGAGCCUCUGCACAGGGCGAGAGGACGAUCAGGGACAGACUCGGCUUUUUACAUACGCCCCUACGUCGCCUUUCCGCAAGGAGGAGGGGGGGAGUGCGCCAUGUUACCCUCGAUGGGCACCGAACAUGGUGUCUCCGGUGAGCUGCAAGCGGGUAAUCCGAGUGGACGUCCGUGCCCCGUUCGUUGGGGGUCGGCUAGGGGCCCAGAGGCACGCCCAAAAGUACCUGCGGGUGAUUUGCCGGACCCGGUCCCCUGGCGACGGGGUCCGAGGGCUCGAUGCCUCCCUCCGAUGGGAUUCCAUUACAAGAUCGUUCCCGCUGGUCUCGGAAAUGUCCUAGGGUACCUCGGGAGCGCAGCCCGAGCCUCGGUUAUGUAUCGAACGUACCCCUGGUCAUCCCUCGCUCGGUGUCUGAGGCGACUGUGAACCCUUCGGGGGCCAGCCUUCGAACCCCUGAUCAGUAAUGGGCGCGGAGCCCGAGUAGCCUGAGGCGGCCAUGGAACCCUUCGGGGGGCUGGCCUUCGAACCCCUGACCAGUAGUUGGUGUCGGGCCCACGCGAUCUGAGGCGACUGUUGAACCCUUCGGAGGGCCAGUCUUCGAACCCCUGAUCAGUAGGGGGGGCUCGGAGCCCGGUUCCUUCGCGGAGAAGGAUCCUUUUCGGGGUAUCCCCCUUUCCCGGUCCCUGUUGCAAGAGAUAGAGAAAGAGAAAAAAGGAAAGGGAUACAAAAUCGAACGACGUGGCGUACCUCUUUUUGACGCGGUUAUUACGGCGAAGGCGAAGCGUCGCGCGCUUCUCCCGCCAGAGGCGCCGCGUGUCCCGCCGUGGAGUUAAUGCGACGGGGCGAGUGGUUGGCGAGGCGGCCGUUGCGCGUGCGCGAUCCGUUCGAGGAACGGGUCACGGGUGCACCGUCUUCACGCCGUGGGAGGAGGCUCUCUUGCUAUCCCAGGAUGAGACGUGAGCCUGGCUAACGACGUGUCUGCUGCGCCCGCCCGCCUGCCACCGCCAUUACUGCCGGCCCACUUUCGGUCGCUUUGACCAACGCGCCAGGCUGGCGCUGCUGGGUCGCGCGCCGGGUCGCCUCGAGUCGCGGCAUAGGCUCCGCAACCGAAGAGGCGCGACGGUGGCACAAGUGGCGGUGCGGUCGCUUGCAUGCAGCAACUGGCGCGCCGGUUGCUUGACGCGUGGGCCUGGGCUUCCAAGCUGGCGUGUCAGAAGUCGGAGAAGCGCGUCCACCUGGCGCGGUUGCAUGCCGCCUGCAUGGCUGCCCGCCCCUUCCGCCCGUUGGUCUGGGCAAAAGUGGGGGGUCACUCGUAACCGCUGGGCGGUCGUGCGCACCACGCGCGGCGGUUUGGCUUCUUCUGCCCUGAGCCGGUUUGCAUGACAUGCGGGACCCAGCCCCCGAGUCGCUGGGGAGGGCCUUGGAGCGCGUUGGAGAGGACUCAGUCCGUGGCGUCUGGGGGCGCACGUAGGGAGAGUUGCCUUUAAAAGGAGGGAGACUCCUUCCAGAAGGCAACCAUGUCUUCUUCCUCCCUUAUGCGUCGUGUCUUUCCAUCUUCCAAGCCCCCGGAUGGGGGGUAUCCGCCGCCUUUCUGCCUCCUCGUUGGAGGAACGCAACUUCAUGGGAGUUGGUACCUCUCAGCCAUCGUUCGGCUUCAAGGAUUUUCAUCAUGCAGCCCGGUUGCUCCCCUCCACCGGCGGUCACCCGAGAUGGUGACCUCCGGCUUGAUGGUGGGGGAAAGCGAGCCGGGCUGCGGCCUCUGCCCCUCCCUCAGCCUCAAGGAUUUUCAUCACCAGGGCUGGGGAGGGGAGUGCGCCGAGUUGAGGUCGGCCUUCCGUUGCUCCGCAGGCCUUCCCCCUCGGAGUGGGGUUGUUCGUACCUGCGGAGGGGGAACCGGAGUUCCGUUUGUAAUGGCAUCUCGAAUGCCGGUGUGUUUGUUCAUUGCGGCUGUCGGGGCCUGAACAUGUAUGUAAUUUCGGCACGGAGUCGUGUUUUUUCGUCAUUUUCGAGCACUAAGUCUCGCCUGUUGAUUAUCUGAACCGCUUUACCAAGCAUGAGUCGCCCCGUGUCAAGGUGACGAGUGAGGUAUCCGUAUCCCGGAGGCGUAGGAAUCCCUCGGCCCGUUCGGCCUUGUUGUCUGAGGCUCCUCUAGCUUAGUUAAAGAGGCCCCUCGGCCGCCCUUCGAUGAGCCGAGGCCAGGGGUAGCGAUAUCAGUAUGAACAGAGGCGGAGUUGGCUCGAGAAUGGGAACCUGGUUGGCCGGAGCCUAGCCGUGUUGUCCGUCAGCGGAGCCGACACCAAAGUCGAUCCGCCGAGGCCUCGGGUCGGGCUGGCGCCCUUGGAAGCCGGUUGGCCGGAGGCCCCAGGGGUAACCGGCCGAGCCGCCUGCUCGGGCCGGAUUCCCGGAGGGGUCCCUGGACCGCGUCGCCGUCCGAGGCUGGGUCGGACUUAGCUGAAGACGUCGUCGAUGCCGAGGGUGCUACGGCUCCCUUCAGCGUGAAGACCCGAGUCUGCAGGAUCAGAUCGUCUUGUAGCGUGUGCCUUCUGCGGCCGCCGAGGCCAGAAAACACACCCUCGCCGUGCUUGCGAAGCUGCGUCUUUUUUCCUCUUGUUUCGAGCAUCUGGACUCUGUCGGUAACAGGGAUGUUUGUGUGAGCGAGAGUUGCUUCUCGCGGAAGGGACGAGUGAGGUAUCCGUAUCCCAGAGGCGUGGGAAUCCCUCGGCUCGGUCGGCCUUGCCGCUUACGCGUACUUUCACCCGUCCAUGAGGCCCUGUCCCCGACUUAGUCGAGAAAGCUUGAAGGACUGCUUCGGCAGGAGAGCUUCCGAACGUGAAGACUUGUUCGGUCCACGGAGUCGCUUUAUCCGAGCGCGAGUUACUUAUCGCAGAAGGUGAUGAGUGAGGUAUCCGUAUCCUGGAGGCGUAGGAGUCCCUCGGCUCGGUCAGCCUUGGCUGCUUACGUGUACUCCGUCGUUUCCAGGAUCCGCUUUCCGAAGUAGUCAAGAAGCACGAAAGUAAUCCUGCUAAAAAGAGAUCCUUUUUCGAGGAAAAAUUCGACGCAGAGGGGGUUUCUCCCCUUUUAGCCCCCGAGGGAGGGUCGGGCUUUGCCGGGGCUAGGCCGACCCUUCCUUGACGACUAAACUUUGCGUAGGUGCGAGGUAUAUGAACAACUUGGAAACAUCUUAAGGGUAGAAGCGACGUAGCUGUUUGAUGUUCCAGGCGUUGCCGUAGAUCUCGCCUUGAUUGUUGGCCAGCUUGUAUGUUCCGGGCUUCAGAAUUUUGGCGAUGACGAAUGGCCCUUCCCAGGGGGGCGUGAGCUUGUGCCUCCCUCGGGCGUCUUGCCGCAGCCGAAGCACCAGAUCGCCCACCUGGAGGUCUCGGGACCGGACCCCUCGGGCGUGGUAGCGUCGCAGGGACUGCUGGUACCGCGCCGAGUGUAGUAAGGCCCUGUCCCGAGCCUCCUCCAGCUGGUCCAGUGAUUCUUCUCGGCUAGCUUGGUUGCUUUGAUCGGUGUAGGCCCUCAUCCUCGGGGAGCCGUAUUCUAGGUCAGUGGGCAAGAUAGCUUCAGCCCCGUAGACCAGGAAAAACGGCGUGAAACCCGUGGCACGACUCGGCGUCGUCCUUAGGCUCCAUACCACCGAGGGGAGUUCCUUCAUCCACCGCUUGCCGAACUUGUUGAGGUCGUUGUAGAUCCGAGGCUUGAGCCCUUGUAGAAUCAUGCCGUUGGCACGCUCUACUUGCCCAUUCGACAUGGGAUGAGCCACGGCGGCCCAGUCCACCCGGAUAUGGUGAUCCUUGCAAAAAUCCAAGAAUUUUUUGCCGGUGAACUGGGUGCCGUUGUCGGUGAUGAUAGAGUUCGGGACCCCGAAGCGAUGGAUGAUGUUGGUGAAGAAUGCCACCGCCUGCUCGGACCUGAUGCUGUUCAGAGGUCGGACCUCGAUCCACUUGGAGAAUUUGUCGAUGGCGACCAGCAGGUGCGUGUAGCCCCCGGGCGCCUUCUGCAAGGGACCGACGAGGUCCAGACCCCAUACGGCGAGGGGCCAGGUGAUGGGUAUCGUCUGCAGAGCCUGAGCGGGCAGGUGGGUCUGCUUCGCAUAGAAUUGGCACCCUUCGCAGGUGCGGACAAUUCUAGUGGCGUCAGCCACCGCCGUUGGCCAGUAGAAGCCUUGCCGGAAAGCAUUCCCGACAAGGGCUCGGGGCGCCGCGUGGUGGCCGCAAGCCCCCGAGUGUAUUUCUUGCAGCAGUUCCCGACCUUCGGCGAUGGAGAUGCAUCGCUGGAGGAUGCCCGAGGGGCUGCGAUGGUAGAGCUCCUCUUCAUCGCCCAGCAAGACGAACGACUUGGCGCGUCGCGCUACCCGCCGAGCCUCGACUUGGUCGGGGGGUAGCUCUCCUCGAUGGAGAUAUUGCAGGUACGGGGCCUGCCAAUCUCGAUCAGGUGUGGCCCCGCUCUGCUCUUCCUCGACGUCCAGUGCCUCGCCCUCGGGGGCCGAGGGUACCUUGGGCUGAGCCGAGGGUACCUCGGGCUGAGCCGAGGGUGCCUCGGGCCGUGCUGAGGGCGCCUCGGCUUGAGCCGAGGGUGCCUCGGGCUCGGGCGCGUCGUCGAUCUUGACAGAGGGUCGAUGCAGAUCCCGGGAGAAGACGUCCGGGGGGACCGUCGUUCGCCCCGAGGCUAUUUUAGCCAGCUCGUCUGCGGUUUCGUUGUAGCGCCGAGCGAUGUGGUUGAGCUCGAGCCCGAAGAACUUGUCUUCCAGGCGCCGAACCUCGUCGCAGUAGGCCUCCAUCUUCGGGUCACGGCAGUGGGAGUUCUUCAUGACUUGGUCGAUGACGAGCUGCGAAUCGCCGCGGGCGUCGAGGCGUCUGACCCCUAGCUCGAUGGCGAUCCGCAACCCGUUGACCAGAGCUUCGUACUCGGCCACAUUGUUGGACGCCGGGAAAUGGAAGCGCAGCACGUAGCGCAGGUGCUUUCCAAGGGGCGAGAUGAAGAGCAGGCCCGCGCCGGCUCCUGUCUUCAUCAGCGACCCGUCGAAAAACAUGGUCCAGAGCUCCGGUUGGAUCGGAGCCGUCGGCAACUGGGUGUCAACCCAUUCGGCUACGAAGUCCGCCAACACCUGGGACUUGAUGGCCUUCCGAGGGGCGAACGAGAUCGUUUCGCCCAUGAUUUCCACCGCCCACUUUGCGAUCCUGCCCGAGGCCUCUCGGCAUUGGAUGAUCUCCCCCAGGGGGAAGGAUGACACCACAGUUACCGGAUGAGACUCGAAGUAGUGUCGCAGCUUCCGCCUUGUCAGGAUCACAGCAUAUAGCAGCUUUUGAACUUGUGGGUAGCGGAUCUUGGUCUCGGACAGCACUUCGCUGACGAAGUAGACCGGCCUCUGAACGGGCAAUGCAUGCCCUUCCUCUUGCCUCUCGACCACAAUCGCGGCGCUAACCACCUGAGUGGUCGCGGCGACGUAGACCAAGAGGGCUUCUCCAUCCGCCGGGGCACCAAGACAGGCGCCUUCGUAAGGAGCGCCUUUAGGUUGCCGAGGGCUUCCUCGGCCUCAGGGGUCCAAGCGAAACACUCGGCCUUCCUUAAGAGGCGGUACAGAGGCAGACCUCUUUCGCCGAGGCGUGAGAUGAAGCGGCUCAGGGCCGCGAGGCAUCCCAUGACCCUCUGUACACCUUUUAAGUCCUUGAUGGGCCCCAUGCUGGUGAUGGCCGCGAUCUUCUCCGGGUUGGCUUCGAUGCCUCGCUCAGAGACGAUGAACCCUAGGAGCAUGCCUCGGGGCACCCCGAAGACACACUUCUCAGGAUUGAGCUUGACUCCUUUCGCCUUGAGACAUCGGAAUGUCACUUCAAGGUCGGAGAGGAGGUCGGAAGCCUUCCUUGUCUUGACUACGAUGUCAUCGACGUAGGCCUCGACUGUGCGACCGAUGUGUUCGCCGAACACAUGGUUCAUGCACCGCUGGUACGUCGCGCCCGCAUUCCUCAAACCGAACGGCAUGGUGACAUAGCAGUACAUGCCGAACGGCGUGAUGAAAGAAGUCGCGAGCUGGUCGGACUCUUUCAUCCGGAUCUGGUGAUACCCUGAGUAGGCAUCGAGGAAGGACAGGGUUUCGCACCCAGCGGUGGAAUCCACGAUUUGAUCGAUGCGAGGCAGAGGGUAGGGAACCUUCGGACAUGCUUUGUUGAGACCAGUGUAGUCUACACACAUCCGCCAUUUCCCCCCUUUCUUCCUCACAAGCACAGGGUUGGCAAGCCAUUCGGGAUGGAAUACCUCUUUGAUGAACCCUGCUGCCAUUAGCUUGUGGAUCUCUUCGCCAAUCACUCUGCGGUUCUCCUCGUCGAAUCGGCGCAGAGACUGCCUGACGGGUCGGGCUUCGGACCGAAUAUCCAGCGAGUGCUCGGCGACAUCCCUCGGUAUGCAGGGCAUGUCCGAGGGACUCCACGCAAAGACGUCGGCGUUUGCGCGGAGAAAGUCGACGAGCACUGCUUCCUAUUUGGGGUCGAGCCCGGAACCGAUCCGGACCUGCUUGGUGGUGUCGCCGCUGGGGUCAAGAGGGACGGCCUUAACCGUCUCUGCUGGCUCGAAGUCAUGGCGCUUCACGUCUGGCACCUCCUUGGAGAGGUUCUCCAGGUCGGCGAUGAGGGCCUCGGACUCGGCGAGGGCCUCGGCGUACUCCACGCACUCCACGUCGCAUUCGAACGCGUGUUUGUACGUGGGGCCGGCGGUGAUGACCCCGUUGGGGCCCGGCAUCUUGAGCUUCAGGUAGGUGUAGUUGGGGACAGCCAUGAACUUCGCGUAGCAUGGCCUCCCUAGUACGGCGUGGUAGGUUCCUCGGUACCCGACCACCUCGAACGUCAGGGUCUCCCUUCAGAAGUUGGAGGGCGUCCCGAAGCAGACGGGGAGGUCGAGUCGCCCGAGGGGCUGGACGCGCUUCCCAGGGAUGAUCCCGUGGAAGGGCGCAACGCCUGCUCGGACGGAGGACAGAUCGAUGCGCAGGAGCUUGAGGGUCUCGGCGUAGACGAUGUUGAGGCAGCUGCCCCAUCCAUCAGGACCUUGGUGAGCCUGACAUUGCCGACAACGGGGUCGACGACGAGCGGGUAUUUCCCCGGGCUCGGCACAUGGUCGGGGUGGUCGGCCUGGUCGAAGGUGAUGGGCUUGUCGGACCAGUCUAGGUAGACUGGCGCCGCCACCUUCACCGAGCAGACCUCCCGGCGCUCUUGCUUGCGAUGCCGAGCCGAGGCAUUCGCCGCAUGCCCUCCAUAGAUCAUGAAGCAGUCGUGGACCUCGGGGAACUCUCCUGCUUGGUGAUCUUCGUUCUUGUCGUCGUCGCGGGCCCUGCCACCCUCGGCGGGUGGCCCGGCCCUGUGGAAGUGACGCCGAAGCAUAACGCACUCCUCGAGGGUGUGCUUGACGGGCCCCUGAUGGUAGGGGCACGGCUCCUUGAGCAUCUUGUCGAAGAGGUUUGCACCUCCGGGGGGCUUCCGAGGGUUCUUGUACUCGGCGGCGGCGACAAGGUCCGCGUCAGCGGCGUCGCGUUUCGAUUCUUCUUGCCUUUCUUCUUGGCGCCGCGCGGAGCAGACGCCUCGGGAGCCUCUUCCGAUGGGCGGCCCUGGGGCUGCUUGUCCUUUCGGAAGAUAGCCUCGACCGCCUCCUGGCCAGAGGCGAACUUGGUGGCGAUGUCCAUCAGCUUGCUCGCCCUGGUGGGGGUCUUGCGACCCAGCUUGCUCACCAGGUCGCGGCAAGUGGUGCCGGCGAGGAACGCGCCGAUGACAUCCGAGUCGGUGAUGUUGGGCAGCUCGGUGCGCUGCUUCGAGAAUCGCCGGAUGUAGUCCCGGAGCGACUCCCCCGGCUGUUGCCGGCAGCUUCGAAGGUCCCAGGAAUUCCCGGGGCGCACGUAUGUGCCCUGGAAAUUGCCAGCGAAGGCUUGGACCAAGUCGUCCCAGUUGGAGAUCUGCCCCGGAGGCAGGUGCUCCAACCAGGCGCGAGCAGUGUCGGAGAGGAACAGGGGGAGGUUACGGAUGAUGAGGUUGUCGUCGUCCGUCCCACCCAGUUGGCAGGCAAGGCGGUAGUCCGCGAGCCACAGUUCCGGUCUCGUUUCCCCCGAGUACUUCGUGAUAGUAGUCAGGGGUCGGAACCGGGUCGGGAAUGGCGCCCGUCGGAUGGCCCGACUGAAGGCCUGCGGACCGGGUGGUUCGGGCGAGGGACUCCGAUCCUCCCCGCUGUCGUAGCGCCCCCCACGCCUGGGGUGGUAGCCUCGGCGCACCCUUUCGUCGAGGUGGGCCCGACGGUCGCGUCGAUGGUGCUCGUUGCCGAGGUGGCCCGGGGCCGCAGGCGCGGUGUUGCGCGUGCGCCCGGUGUAGACCGAGGCUUCCCGCAUGAAUCGGGAAGCCGCGGCAUGAGGUUCCGAGGGAUAUCCUUGCCUCCGGGAGGCAGUGCUCUCGGCCCGUCGGGCCGCAGCGCCUUCCAGGAGAUUCUUGAGCUCUCCCUGGAUUCGCCGACCCUCGGUGGUUGAUGGCUCCGGCAUCGCGCGGAGGAGCAUCGCUGCGGCUGCCAGGUUCUGACCAACCCCGCUGGAUGCGGGCGGCGGCCUGACCCUGACAUCGUUGGUGACGCGGUGCUGGAGACCUUGGGGCAGGUGACGUAUUUCUCCGGCCAGGGGUUGGCCCGCCCAUACCUGCCCGACGUCCCGACGGAUCGGCUCAAGCGCUCCUGUUCCCUCGUUGAGCCUGGCCUGCGCCUCGCGGACUUGCUCGAGUUGUGGGUCGUAACCCCCCACCGGAGCGGGGACCACAGCUAGCUCCCGUGGGAUGUCGGCGCGAGGCACCGGCCUAGGAAGAUCACCGUCCUCCGGCAUGCCGAGAUGGUUGCCUUCGGAGGGAUCCCCUAGCUCGAUGUGGAAACAUUCGCGGCUUGGGCCGCAGCUCUUGUCGCCAAGGCUGCGGCUUCCGUCGGAACAAUCGGAUAGGCAGUAGUCACAUGCGGUCAUGAAGUCCCGCAUGGCACUGGGGUUGCCAAGUCCGGAGAAAUCCCAACAGACGCUGGGGUCGUCAUCUUCCUCGGACCCAGAGGGCCCGUAGGUCGAGACGUCCGUCAGCCGGUCCCAAGGCGACCGUAUACGAAACCCCAGUGGGGUUGCACUCGCCUCAAUGAGAGCGCCCGCCAAAGCGAGGUCGUUUGGCGGGUUGAGGCCGAGUCGAAAUGACGUAAGAUGGGAGUUAGUCGGUACCUUUUGGUCGACGAGGAGCGACGUAGUCACAUCGGGGACUGGUUGCACCGUCAUCUCAGGUACGAGGGCGACGUCCUGCAGGCUUUCCGCGAGCGCGCCGGCGUCGUCUUCUUGCUCGGGGUCAGCGUGUCGCGGGGGGACGACGCUUGCCUUCGUCUUGAACGCGAGGUCGACGUCCGGCGUGCCUUCCGUCGGGGCGUCGGGGGCGUCGAUUCGCUCGACGGCCAACGAAGCGUGGCCUCCCGCUUGGCCUUGAUGGCCCCGCCUCCUCCUCCGUUGGCGGGGGAGAGAACGGAGCGAGCUCGAAUGUUGCUCUUCCACCACGCGGGGAAGAUGUCGUCGAUUCCGCCGCCGGCGAGCGGGUUGUCGGCCGCCAUUGUCGUUGUCGCGCGGCGGUGGAAGAAGUAUCAUGUCGUAGCUGCCGUCGAAGGACAUGAACUCAAGAGUCCCGAAACGAAGCACCGCUCCGGGCCGGAGAGGUUGCUGGAGACUGCCCAUCUGGAGCUUGACGGGGAGCUGUUCGUCAGCACGCAGCAGGCCCCUACCUGGCGCGCCAACUGUCGGCGUUUCGAGACAGGGGGGUCCCAAAGCCGACGAGUGAGUGUGCUGCGUGCCCCAGCCCAGAUGGGUCGAGCGCGUGGGCGAGCGCGAAGGGGGGAGAGGCGAGGUGGCCGGAGUCGAGCGUGAGAGAGGUGGAAGUCCCGCGGCCUUCGUGUUCGUCCCGCGCCCAGGUCGGGUGCGCUUGUAGUAGGGGGGUUACAAGCGUCCACGCGGGUGAGGGAAGCGAGCGGCCCCAAGAGAGCGCCUGUCCCGUCCUCGGUCCCGCGCGGCCAACCUUCUCUAAGAAGGCCCUGGUCCUCCCUUUUAUAGUCGUAAGGAGAGGAUCCAGGUGUACAAUGGGGGGUGUAGCAGAGUGCUACGUGUCUAGCGGAGAGAGAGCUAGUGCCCUAGGUACAUGCCAAUGUGGCAGCCGGAGAGGUCUUGGCACCUUGCUGGCGUGAUGUCGUGGCUGUCGGAGGUGCGACGGAGCCUGGCGGAGGGACAGCUGUUGGAGCGGUCGAGUCCUUGCUGACGUCGCCCUGCUUCCGUAAGAGAGCUGGGGGCCGCCGUCGUCAUAGAGCUUGUGGAGCGCCAUCAUUGCCCAUCCGGCGGAGCUGGCCGGAUGGGACGCCGAUCUUGUUCUCCGUGACCCGAGUCGAUUCGGGGUAGGACGAUGAUGGCGCUUCCUGUUGACGUGGCGGGUCUGUGCCCUAGGCAGGGUGACGUGGGGGCUCCUCCGAAGCCGAGGUUGAGUCUGUCUUCUGUUGCCGAGGCCGAGUCCGAGCCAUGGGGUCGGGCGAGGCGGAGGUCGUUCGGCCGAGGCCAGGCGGAGUCCGAGCCCUGGGGUCGGGCGAGGCGGAGUUUCGUCGUCUUCCGGGUCUUAGCCCGAGUCCGAGCCCUGGGGUCGGGUGGAGCGGAGUUCGCCGUCUUCCGGGUCUUAGCCCGAGUCCGAGCCCUGGGGUCGGGCGGAGCGGAGUUCGCCGUCUUCCGGGUCUUAGCCCGAGUCCGAGCCCUGGGGUCGGGCGGAGCGGAGUUCGCCGUCUUCCGGGUCUUAGCCCGAGUCCGAGCCCUGGGGUCGGGUGGAGCGGAGUUCGCCGUCUUCCGGGUCUUAGCCCGAGUCCGAGCCCUGGGUCGGGCGGAGCGGAGUUCGCCGUGGCGUCUUUGGCAAGGCCUGACUGUCUGUCAGACUCACUCUGUCGAGUGGCACCGCAGUCGGAGUGGCGCAGGCGGCGCUGUCCUUCUGUCAGACUGGUCAGUGGAGCGGUGGAGUGACGGCGGUCACGUCGGCUCUACCGGGGGGGGGGCGCGUGUCAGGAUAAAGGUGUCAGGCCACCUUUGCGUUAAAUGCUCCUGCAACUCGGUCAGUCGGUGUGGCGAUUUAGUCAGGGUUGCUUCUGAGCGAAGCCAAGGCCUCGGGCGAGCCGGUGAUGUGUCCGCCGUAAAAAAGGGGGGGCCUCGGGCGAGACGGAAGUCUCUCGAGGUCGGCUGCCCUUGGCCGAGGCUAGGCUCGGGUGAAGCGUGAUCGAGUCACUCGUGCGGACUGAUCCCUGACUUAAUCGUACCCAUCAGGCCUUUGCAGCUUUAUGCUGAUGGGGGUUACCAGCUGAGAAUUAGGCGUCUUGAGGGUACCCCUAAUUAUGGUCCCCGACAAUAAUCAUAUAGGGAUGAAAACGGACAGAAACAGACGGAAAACCUCUCUGCCGUUUCUGUAUCGCAUUUUAUCAUCGGAAACGGGAUUAGGUCAGGAAUAGUCGGGAACUGAAACAGGAACGGGAUAAACGGAAUUUAGGAAAUCUCCGGCUGGGUGGCGGAAUGCACCCGCCCUAAAUCCUAAGAUGAGGAGGGGCCUAAGCGUUUUGCUUGUUAGUUGGAAAAUAGGGAGAACACAAGAACACACAAGGAUUUAGAGUGGUUCGGGCCGCCGGAGCAUAACACCCUACUCCACUGUGUGAUGUAUUGAGCUUGUAUGAACUUGUGAGUGUCUAAGUGUGCUUGAGUCUGUCCGUGUGAGCCUUUUUUCUCCUUGUGUAACGGUGCAUGCCUCUCCUUUUAUAGCUAAGGGGAGCACGUACAAGGGUACUGAGCCCCGACAUGUGGGCCCAGGAACAUAACGGAUGUAAUACUUGGAGCAACUAAUGUUCGUUGCUGGAGCAAUCUUCUUACGUCCUGACAUCCGUGAUCUGCGUAGUAUUGACGUGCAGGAGAAGCUUCCCUGGUAACGUAUAAGUGAUGAUGGACACAGUGCACCUCGCAGUACGGGCGUACUGUUUGACAAUGGACUAGACAGGUAUGCCGCUUGCAGGAUGGUCUAGACGCCGCGUGCCAGCGGAGUGGACAGAACACAUUAAAUGCUGAGGGGGCACAUCGUCUGUCAGCGGGAUAGACAGCGGCGUGUCUUCUCCGCAAUAAAUGUAGUUAUAGAUUUCUACAAGAACCUGGGGUUCCAAGUUGAUCCUCAAGGCAUCAAGAGCAUGUUCUGGUACCCCAGAUUUUAGCACCAGCAGCCAGAUAUAUCGUUCGAGGGGUUGUUGUACUUGAAGCAUCUCCACGUUCUGAAAGGGUAAUUGCAGGUCAGAUUGACAGGUCAGGGCUCCACGCCCUGAUGGAUCUCGCACUUAAUAUUUCAUCCUUGGUGAGAAGCUGUAAUUUUCUUCAAUGCUAAAACGACCAUGUGAUCGGUUCAACUCGCCGCACCCCUGUUGUAACCAUAACCCCAACAAAACACGCUAUUUGUAAUACCCGUGUUUCAUACAUGCGCUCUGGACUCUUGUCAUCUGUAUGUAACGUACGUUUUCAAAUUUCUACACUCGAAAUGGGAAAAAAACUGUAUCCAUCAGUUAUCCACUAGGAGAGUGUCAGUGCGUUGCAACAGGAACAUAUAAAACUAUGAUAAUCUAUGUAUAAAUGUGUGUUAUACUUUUAUAGGAGAGUGCUCGUGCGUUGCAACGGGAACAUAUAAAACCACGAUAAUCUAUGUACAAAUGUGUGGUAUACUUUUAUAAGAAAAGGUUCCGUAAUCUACUUGUGAUCCUACUAUACAUAAAUUUUGUUAUUUUAAUCUACCUAUUUCACUACUACAUUGCUACAAUCAGCACCAUACCGACUUCUAUAUAUAAUAGGUCAGUGCCCGUGCGUUGCAACUGAGACAUAUAAUAUCUCGAUAACUUAUAUAUGCACAUGUGUUAUAUAUAGAAAAUUUGUCUUAUAUUGUUAUAGUAAGAUGCCCGUCCUAACGAUACUACGAACCUAAAAGGCAAUAAAAUUAAUUAGGAUAAUAAGAUGUGCAAAAAACAUGAAUCUUUGUUUAUUAUUAUUAUUAUUAUUAAUAAGCGUUGAAAUCUUGGUAAGGUGACAAAUUAAAAUGAAGUGAAUAUACAUUAAGGAUAAUAAUUUUCUGUAAAAGUUGAGUAUCAUUACAAAUAAAAUCACAUCUAUUUGAUGUGCCUAAUAAUUUCUUGUAUUUCUUCUGGAAUGUUGUCUUUGGAUUCAUUGUCCUUGUACUUCAAUAAUUCUACUAAGAAUUUGGUCCUCAGGACAUUCCCAUUCUGCGCAUUCAUUAUUAAAUAUCAUUAAACUCGAUUAAUAAUCAAUUAUAGAAGAACAAUAUUGACAAAAUAUUAGAACAAAUAGGGUACUCACGGUGCAAAUGCAGGGUAACCUUAUACCAUUCUGAAAGGGAAUUAGGCUUACACCUAUUUCCUAAUUGAUUUUGGUGGUUGAAUUGCCCAACACAAAUAAUUGGACUAACUAGUUUGCUCUAGUCUAUAAGUUAUACAGGUGCCAAAGGUUCACAAUAAGCCAAUAAAAAGACCAAGAAAAGGGUUCAAACAAAAGAGCAAAAGACAACCCGGAAGGCACCCUGGUCUGGCGCACCGGACUGUUCGGUGUGCCACCGGACAGUGUCCGGUGCACCAGGGAACUCGACGCCAAACUCUUCACCUUCGGGAAUUUUCAGAGGAGAUCCGCUAUAAUUCACCGGACUGUCCAGUGCACCACCGGACAGUGUCCGGUGCCCCAAGGGAGAGCAACUCUAAACUCGCCAGCUUCGGGAAUCCGCUCCGCUAUAAUUCACCGGACUGUCCGGUGAGUCACCGGACAGUGUCCGGUGCACACCAGACUAUCCGGUGUGACAGCGGAGCAACGCUACUUCACGCGCAACGGUCGACUGCAACGCAUUAAAUGCGUGCCUGCGCGCGCAGAGGAGCAGAGCACGCGCGGGUGGCACACCGGACAGCCUACGGGGCCUGUCCGGUGCACCACCGGAUAGUCCAGAGGCCCCACAAGUCAGAGCUCCAACGGUCGGAACCCAACGGCCAGGUGACGUGGCUGGCGCACCGGACAGUGUCCGAUGGCGCACCGGACUGUCCGGUGCGCCCGUCGACAGCAGCCUCCACCAACGGUCAAGUUUGGUGGUUGGGGCUAUAAAUACCCCAACCACCCCCACAUUAAAGUCAUCCAAGUUUUCCCACUUCUACACCUUACAAGAGCUAGCAUUCAAUACAAGACACACCAAAGUGAUCAAAUCCUCUCCCAAUUCCACACAAAGUUUUAGUGAUUAGUGAGAGAGAUUUGUUGUGUUCAUUUGAGCUCUUGCGCUUGGAUUGCUUCUUUUUCUCAUUCUUUCUUGUGAUCAUCUCAAUUGUAAUCAAGGCAAGAGACACCAAUUGUGUGGUGGUCCUUGCGGGAAGUUUGGUUCCCGUUUGAUUGAGAAGAGAAGCUCACUCGGUCCGAGGGACCGUUUGAGAGAGGGAAAGGGUUGAAAGAGACCCGGUCUUUGUGACCACCUCAACGGGGAGUAGGUUUGCGAGAACCGAACCUCGGUAAAACAAAUCCUUGUGUCUCACUCUUUAUUCACUUGCGAUUUGUUUUCACGCCCUCUCUCGGACUCAUUUACAUUUCUAACGCUAACCCGGCUUGUAGUUGUGAUUAAGUUUGUAAAUUUCAGAUUCGCCCUAUUCACCCCCUCUAGGCGACUUUCAAUUGGUAUCAGAGGCCGGUGCUUCAUUAAAGCCUAACCGCUCGAAGUGAUGUCGGGAGAUCACGCCAAGAAGGAGAUGGUGACCGGUGAGAAGCCCGCUACAAGCCACGGGAAGGCUCCAUCGGGAGAGUCCUACAACAAAGGGAAAGGGAAGGAAAAAGAAUCCCCUUCACACAAGUCGCGUCGGAGCGGUGACAAGAAGAAGAUGAGGAAGGUGGUCUACUACGAGAUCGACUCCUCGUCGCCAUCCACCUCCGGCUCCAACACGCCGUCCGUAACUUAUAAGCGCCAUGAGCGCAAGAAGUUUAGUAAGAUCCCCCUACGCUAUCCUCGCAUUCCUAAACAUACGCCUUUACUUUCCGUCCUAUUAGGCAAACCACCAAUGUUUGAUGGUGAAGAUUAUGCUAGGUGGAGUGAUUUGAUGCGAUAUCACCUAACCUCACUCCACAAAAGUAUAUGGGAUGUUAUUGAGUUUGGUGUACAGGUACAAUCCGUAGGGGAUGAAGAUUAUGAUAAGGAUGAAGUGGCCCAAAUCCAACACUUCAACUCCCAAGCCACAACUAUACUCCUCGCCUCUCUAAGUCGAGAGGAGUAUAACAAGGUGCAAGGGUUGAAAAGUGCUAAGGAGAUUUGGGACACGCUAAAAACCGCGCACGAAGGAGACGAGGUGACCAAGAUCACCAAGCGGGAGACGAUCGAAGGGGAGCUCGGUCGCUUCCGACGCCAAGGGGAAGAGCCACAAGACAUGUACAACCGGCUCAAAACCUUGGUGAACCAAGUGCGCAACCUCGGGAGCAAAAAAUGGGAUGACCACGAAAUGGUUAAGGUUAUUCUAAGAUCACUUGUUUUCCUUAACCCUACUCAAGUUCAAUUAAUUCGUGGCAAUCCUAGAUAUACACUAAUGACUCCCGAGGAAGUAAUCGGGAAUUUUGUGAGCUUUGAAUUGAUGAUCAAAGGCUCAAAGAAGAUCAACGAGCUUGAUGGCCCCUCCACUCCGAAGCACAACCGGUCGCAUUCAAAGCGACGGAGGAAAAGAAGGAGGAGUCUACAUCAAUUAGACAACCAAUCGACGCCUCAAAGCUCGACAAUGAGGAGAUGGCGCUCAUCAUCAAGAGCUUCCGCCAAAUCCUCAAACAAAGGAGGGGGAAAGAUUACAAGCCCCGCUCCAAGAAAGUUUGCUACAAAUGUGGUAAGCCCAGUCAUUUCAUUGUUAAAUGUCCAUUAUCUAGUGAUAGUGACAGGGGCGACGACAAGAAGGGGAGAAGAAAGGAGAAGAAAAGAUACUACAAGAAGAAGGGCGACGAUGCCCAUGUUUGCCGGGAAUGGGACUCCGACGAGAGCUCCACCGACUCCUCCUCCGACGAGGACGCCGCAAACAUCGCCGUCACCAAGGGUCUUCUCUUCCCCAACGUCGGCCACAAGUGCCUCAUGGCAAAGGACGGCAAAAAGAAGAAGGUUAAAUCCAAAUCCUCCACUAAAUAUGAGUCUCUAGUGAUGAUAAUGCUAGUGAUGAGGAGGAUAAUUUGUGUACCCUUUUUGCCAACCUAAACAUGCAACAAAAAGAAAAAUUAAAUGAAUUAAUUAGUGCCAUCCAUGAAAAGGAUGAACUCUUGGACACCCAAGAGGACUUCCUAAUCAAGGAAAACAAAAAGCAUGUUAAGGUUAAAAAUGCUUACGCUCUAGAAGUUGAAAAAUGUGAAAAAUUAACUAGUGAGCUAAGCACUUGCCAUGAUGUCAUUGCCAACCUUAGAAAUGAGAAUGCAAAUUUAAUUGCUAAGGUUGAUUCAAAUGCUUGUGAUGUUUCAAUUCCCUAUCUUAGAAAUGAUAAUGUUGAUUUGCUUGCUAAGAUUGAAGAAUUGAACAUUUCUCUUGCUAGCCUUAGAAUUGAAAAUGAAAAAUUACUUGCUAAGGCUAAAGAAUUAGAUAUUUGCAAUGCUUCCAUUUCCAACCUUAGAAGUAAAAAUGAUAUAUUGCAUGCUAAGGUUGUAGAAUUAAAAUCUUGCAAACCCUCUACAUCUACCGUUGAACAUACUUCCAUUUGUACUAGAUGUAGAGACAUUAACAUUGAUGCUAUUCAUGAUCACAUGGCUUUAAUUAAACAACAAAAUGAUCAUAUAGCAAAAUUAGAUGCUAAAAUUGUCGAGCAUGACUUAGAAAAUGAAAAAUUUAAAUUUGCUAGAAGCAUGCUCUAUAGUGGGAGACGCCCUGGCAUCAAGGAUGGCAUUGGCUUCCAAAAGGGAGACAAUGCCAAACUUAAUGCCCCUCCUAAAAGACUGUCUAAUUUUGUUAAGGGUAAGGCUCCCAUGCCUCAGGAUAACGAGGGUUACAUUUUAUACCCUGCCGGUUAUCCCGAGAGCAAGAUUAGGAGAAUUCACUCUAGGAAGUCUCACUCUGGCCCUAAUCAUGCUUUUAUGUAUAAGGGUGAGACAUCUAGCUCUAGGCAAUCAACCCGUGCUAAAUUGCCUAAGAAGAAAACUCCUAGUGCAUCAAAUGAUCAUGACAUUUCAUUUAAAACUUUUGAUGCAUCUUAUGUUCUGACUAACAAAUCUGGCAAGGUAGUUGCCAAGUUUGUUGGGGGCAAACACAAGAGAUCAAAAACUUGUGUUUGGGUGCCCAAAGUUCUUGUAUCUAAUGCCAAAGGACCCAAAACAGUUUGGGUACCUAAAACAAAGAACUAAACUUGUUUUGUAGGUUUAUGCAUUCGGGGGCUCAAGUUGGAUAAUAGACAUCGGAUGCACAAACCACAUGACAGGGGAGAAGAAGAUGUUCUCCUCCUAUGAGAAAAACCAAGAUCCCCAACGAGCUAUUACAUUCGGGAUAGAAAUCAAGGUUUGGUCAAAGGUUUGGGUAAAAUUGCUAUAUCACCUGACCAUUCCAUUUCCAAUGUUUUUCUUGUAGAUUCUUUAGAUUACAAUUUGCUUUCCGUAUCUCAAUUAUGCAAAAUUGGCUACAACUGUCUUUUCACAGAUGUAGGUGUUACUGUCUUUAGAAGGAGUGAUGAUUCAAUAGCAUUUAAGGGAGUGUUAGAGGGUCAGCUAUACACUAGUACAGAGAAGUUCUAUAGUGGCGGUUGUAAACCUAUUUAUAGUGGCGUUUUUCGUAACCGCCAGUGCUAGGGGCCAGUGAAAAUCGAUUUUCACUGGCGGUCGGCUUAAUAAAACCGCCAGUGAAAAUCGAUUUUCACUGGCGGUCGACGUAAUAAAACCGCCAGUGCAAAUCGUUUCCAGGAAACAUAAAACAUAUUUUACAAAUAGUUAAAAAAUUUAUUUUUAUUAGGCCCACCCCACCCGCAUUUUUCGCGCAAAAUUCACGCGCUACGCGGUUGUUAGUAUUCGAACCGUCGACCUCACCCUCGCGCGUACCCUCCCCUACCACUCCGUCUAUGACAUGUCUUGUGUCUAGUUUGUAGUUGUUUUCUCCACAUAUUACAACCAUUUGAGUGUAAAAUGCUUAUUUGAGACACUAAACGAAUUCAAAUAAAAAAGUUGUCAACUACAAAGAUAAAUAACUUUUGAAGUUCUACAACUUUUAUUUUGACACUUUUUUCAUCCGAGGUAGUUUGCAAAAUUUGAAUUUUAAAUUUGACAUACUUAGAUUCAAUUUUUGAGAACCGAAAUGAGUUCAAACAAAAAAGUUGUCAACUACAAAGUUUCAUAACUUUUAGAGAUCUACAACUUUUAUUUUGGUGGUUUUGUCAUACGAGGCCGUUUGAAAAACUCAAAAAAUUAAGGAUAAAAAUGAUUUCUAGUGGCGGUUCCUUAAGAAAACCGCCACUAGAAAUCGUAUUUCUAGUGGCGGUUCCUUAAGAAAACCGCCACUACAAAUCAUGGAUUUCUACUGGCGGUUUUCUUAAGGAACCGCCAGUAGAAAUACGAUUUCUAGUGGCGGUUUUCUUAAGAAACCGCCACUAGAAAUAACACAGUCGGUGGAUAACCGAAACCGCCUGUAAAAAUAUAUCGUCCCCGCAGGCUUUGAGCCUUUUUGUACUAGUGAUACUUAGUAGAUUUUGAUAGAGCUGAACUCGACACUUGCUUAAUUGCUAAGACUAACAUGGGCUGGCUCUGGCAUCGCCGACUAGCACAUGUUGGAAUGAAGAAUCUUCACAAACUUCUAAAGGGAGAACACAUUUUGGGACUAACAAAUGUUCAUUUUGAGAAAGACAAGAUUUGUAGCGCAUGUCAGGCAGGAAAGCAAGUUGGUGUUCAUCAUCCACACAAGAACAUCAUGACGACUGAUAGGCCACUCGAGCUCCUACAUAUGACCUAUUCGGCCCGAUAGCUUACAUAAGCAUCGACGGGAGUAAGUACUGUCUAGUUAUUGUGGAUGAUUAUUCUCGCUUCACUUGGGUGUUCUUUUUGCAGGAAAAAUCUCAUACCCAAGAGACCUUAAAAGGAUUCUUGAGACGGGCUCAAAACGAGUUCGGCUUAAGGAUCAAGAAAAUUAGAAGCGACAACGGGACGGAGUUCAAGAACUCACAAAUCGAAGGCUUCCUUGAGGAGGAGGGCAUCAAGCAUGAGUUCUCUUCUCCCUACAUGCCACAACAAAAUGGUGUAGUGGAGAGGAAGAAUCGAACUCUAUUGGACAUGGCAAGAACCAUGCUUGAUGAGUACAAGACUUCGGAUCGGUUUUGGGCCAAGGCAGUCAACACCGCCUGCUACGCCAUCAACCGGUUGUAUCUACACCGAAUCCUCAAGAAGACAUCAUAUGAACUCCUUACUGGUAAAAAGCCCAAUAUUUCAUAUUUUAGAGUCUUUGGUAGCAAAUGCUUUAUUCUUGUUAAAAGAGGUAGAAAAUCUAAAUUUGCUCCUAAGACUGUAGAAGGCUUUUUACUAGGAUAUGAUUCAAACACAAGGGCAUAUAGAGUCUUUAACAAGUCUUCAGGACUAGUUGAAGUUUCUUGUGACAUUGUGUUUGAUGAGACUAACGGCUCUCAAGUAGAGCAAGUUGAUCUUGAUGAGAUAGGUGAUGAAGAGGCUCCGUGCAUCGCGCUAAGGAACAUGUCCAUUGGGGAUGUGUGUCCUAAGGAAUUCGAAGAGCCUCCAAAUGGACAAGAUCAACCAUCCUCCUCCACGUAAGCAUCUCCACCAACUCAAAAUGAGGAUGAGGCUCAAGUUGAUGAAGGAGAAAAUCAAAGAGAUGAGCCACCUCAAGAUGACGGCAAUGAUCAAGGGGGAGAUGCAAAUGAUCAUGAUAAGGAGGAUGAAGAACCAAGACCACCACACCCAAGAGUCCACCAAGCAAUCCAACGAGAUCACCUCGUCGACACCAUCCUCGGCGACAUUCAUAAGGGGGUAACCACUAGAUCUCGUAUUGCACAUUUUUGUGAGCAUUACUAUUUUGUUUCCUCUAUUGAGCCACACAGGGUAGAGAAAGCACUACAAGAUUCGGAUUGGGUGGUGGCGAUGCAAGAGGAACUCAACAAUUUCACUAGGAACGAGGUAUGGCAUUUGGUUCCACGUCCUAAUCAAAAUGUUGUAGGAACCAAGUGGGUCUUCCGCAACAAGCAAGACGAGCAUGGUGUGGUGACAAGGAACAAAGCCUGACUUGUGGCCAAGGGAUACUCACAAGUCGAAGGUUUGGAUUUUGGUGAAACCUAUGCACCCGUAGCUAGGCUUGAGUCAAUUCGUAUAUUACUUGCCUAUGCUACUUACCAUGGCUUUAAGCUUUAUCAAAUGGACGUGAAAAGUGCCUUCCUCAAUGGACCAAUCAAGGAGGAGGUCUAUGUUGAGCAACCUCCUGGCUUUGAAGAUAGUGAGUACCCUAAUCACGUAUACAAACUCUCUAAGGCGCUUUAUGGGCUCAAGCAAGCCCCAAGAGCAUGGUAUGAAUGCCUAAGAGAUUUUCUUAUCACUAAUGGCUUCAAAGUCGGAAAGGCCGAUCCUACUUUAUUUACUAAAACUCUUGAUAAUGAUUUGUUUGUAUGCCAAAUUUAUGUUGAUGAUAUCAUAUUUGGGUCUACUAAUGAAUCUACAUGUGAGGAAUUUAGUAGGAUCAUGACACAAAAAUUUGAGAUGUCCAUGAUGGGGGAGUUGAAGUACUUCUUGGGAUUUCAAGUGAAGCAACUCCAAGAGGGCACCUUCAUUAGCCAAACGAAGUAUAUUCAAGACAUUCUAAACAAGUUUGGGAUGAAGGAUGCCAAACCCAUCAAGACACCCAUGGGAACCAAUGGGCAUCUCGACCUCGACACGGGAGGUAAAUUCGUAGAUCAAAAGGUAUACCAGUCGAUGAUAGGUUCUUUACUAUAUUUAUGUGCAUCUCGACCGGAUAUUAUGCUUUUCGUAUGCAUGUGUGCAAGAUUCCAAGCCGACCCUAAGGAAGCUCACCUUACGGCCGUAAAACGAAUCUUGAGAUAUUUAGUUCAUACUCCUAAGUUUGGGCUUUGGUAUCCUAGGGGAUCCAUAUUUGAUUUAAUUGGUUAUUCGGAUGCCGAUUGGGCGGGGUGUAAAAUUAAUAGAAAGAGCACAUCGGGGACUUGCCAGUUCUUGGGAAGAUCCUUGGUGUCUUGGGCUUCAAAGAAGCAAAAUUCCGUAGCUCUUUCUACCGCCGAAGCCGAGUACAUUGCCGCAGGUCAUUGUUGCGCGCAACUACUUUGGAUGAGGCAAACCCUUAGGGACUACAGUUACAAAUUAACCAAAGUUCCUCUUCUAUGUGAUAAUGAGAGUGCAAUCCACAUGGCGGAUAAUCCCGUUGAGCAUAGCCGCACUAAACACAUAGCCAUUCGGUAUCAUUUCUUAAGGGAUCACCAACAAAAGGGAGAUAUCGAGAUUGCAUAUAUCAACACUAAGGAACAAUUAGCCGAUAUCUUUACCAAGCCACUUGAUGAACAAACUUUUAACAAACUUAGGCAUGAGCUAAAUAUUCUUGAUUCUAGGAAUUUCUUUUAAUGUCUUGCACACAAGCUCAUAAGUAUACCUUUGAUCAUGUCUCUUUUAUAUGCUAUGACUAAUGUGUUCUCUAGUAUAUUUCAAACCAAGUCAUAGUUGAAAGGGAAUUGGAGUCUUCGGCGAAGACAAAGGCUUCCACUCCAUAACUCAUCCUUCGCCGUCGCUCCGAGCAACUCUCCGUCUUUGGUAUAAUCUUCACUCAUGUCUUAUGUGCCAAAGGGGAUAAAGUAGUUAGCAAAGGGCUUAUAUUUUACUCAAGUAUCCGUUUUUGGCGAUUCAUGCCAAAGGGGGAGAAAGUAUUAGCCCAAAGCAAAAGGACCGCACCACCACCUUAUUUUUAAAAGAGUUUUUCAAAUUGGUAUCUCUUUGUGUUCAAAAGGGGGAGAAAGUAGCACAUUCAAAAAUUGAUAUCUUAAAACCCUCUUGAACACUAAGAGGAGGAUUUUAUCAAGGGGGAGUUUUGUUUUAGUCAAAGGAAAAGCAUUUCAAACAGGGGGAGAAAAUUUCAAAUCUUGAAAAUGCUUCUCAAAAUCUUAUUUAUUUACCUUUGACUAUUUGCAAAAAAAACUUUGAAAAGAAUUUACAAAAGAAUUUGCAAAACAAAACUUGUGGUGCAAGCGUGGUCCAAAAUGAUGAAAAUAAAGAAACAAUCCAUGCAUAUCUUAUGAGUAUUUAUAUUGGCUCAAUUCUAAGUAACCUUUGCACUUACAAAUAUGCAAACUAGUUCAAUUAUGCACUUCUAUACUUGCUUUGGUUUGUGUUGGCAUCAAUCACCAAAAAUGGGGAGAUUGAAAGGGAAUUAGGCUUACACCUAUUUCCUAAUUGAUUUUGGUGGUUGAAUUGCCCAACACAAAUAAUUGGACUAACUAGUUUGCUCUAGUCUAUAAGUUCUACAGGUGCCAAAGGUUCACAAUAAGCCAAUGAAAAGACCAAGAAAAGGGUUCAAACAAAAGAGCAAAAGACAACCCGGAAGGCACCCUGGUCUGGCGCACCGGACUGUCCGGUGCACCACCAGACAGUGUCCGGUGCACCACCGAACAGUGUCCGGUGCACCAGGGAACUCGACGCCAAACUCUUCACCUUCGGGAAUUUUCAGAGAAGCUCCGCUAUAAUUCACCGGACUGUCCGGUGCCCCAAGGGAGAGCAACUCUGAACUCGCCAGCUUCGGGAAUCCGCUCCGCUAUAAUUCACCGGACUGUCCGAUGAGUCACCGGACAGUGUCCGGUACACACCGGACUGUCCGGUGUGACAGCGGAGCAACGACUACUUCACACACAACGGUCGACUGCAACGCAUUAAAUGCGCGCCUGCGCGCGCAGAGGAGCAGAGCACGCGCGGGUGGCACACCGGACAGCCUACAGGGCCUGUCCGGUGCACCACCGGACAGUCCAAAGGCCCCACAAGUCAGAGCUCCAACGGUCGGAACCCAACGGCCAGGUGACGUGGCUGGCGCACCAGACAGUGUCCGGUGGCGCACCGGACUGUCCGGUGCGCCCGUCGACAGCAGCCUCCACCAACGGUCAAGUUUGGUGGUUGGGGCUAUAAAUACCCCAACCACCCCCACAUUCAAGUCAUCCAAGUUUUCCCACUUCUACACCUUACAAGAGCUAGCAUUCAAUACAAGACACACCAAAGUGAUCAAAUCCUCUCCCAAUUCUACACAAAGUUUUAGUGAUUAGUGAGAGAGAUUUGUUGUGUUCAUUUGAGCUCUUGCGCUUGGAUUGCUUCUUUUUCUCAUUCUUUCUUGUGAUCAUCUCAAUUGUAAUCAAGGCAAGAGACACCAAUUGUGUGGUGGUCCUUGCGGGAAGUUUGGUUCCCGUUUGAUUGAGAAGAGAAGCUCACUCGGUUCGAGGGACCGUUUGAGAGAGGGAAAGGGUUGAAAGAGACCCGGUCUUUGUGACCACCUCAACGGGGAGUAGGUUUGCGAGAACCGAACCUCGGUAAAACAAAUCCUUGUGUCUCACUCUUUAUUCGCUUGCGAUUUGUUUUCACACCCUCUCUCGGACUCGUUUACAUUUCUAACGCUAACCCGGCUUGUAGUUGUGAUUAAGUUUGUAAAUUUCAGAUUCGCCCUAUUCACCCCCCCUCUAGGCAACUUUCACAUUCCAAUCAUGCAUAAAGUUGAUAACAAGAAAGCCAGAUAAAUUCCUACAAAUUAAAAUAAUACGUUGUUACAUAUAUGUAGACAAAAUUAGUAAGUGGUUCGGGUUAAAAAAAUUACCAGUUUAAUGUUCUUGGAACCCAUGUUGGUACUAUACGACGCCACAUAUAAAUAUCGUCUUUCCAUGUAGGAUUGGCCAAUUCCAUGACAACAUUCAUAUUAUUGGCAAUAUAAUGUAUAUUAUGGAUAUUAUGCAUGCUAGGAUGAUCACCCUUAAACCAUGAUGGUAUAUGCAUGGAGUCCAUUAUAUAGAUGCUUCUAGUGUCCAUGUUAAGUACAUAUAAGGUGAAGUGACCCAAGAAAGAAUCGGGCAAUAGAAUCUGCAAGUUAAAAAAAUAGUUCAAGUAAGAGAAAAAACAAGAUUACAAAAAUGAUGAAGAGUAUAGCUUACUUGUUUGCAAUCUGAAACAUCGUACUCCAUGGCAGGCCAACAUUCUAAUAAUUUUGCCAACAUGUUGAUAUCUGGCUUUGCACGAAGGCGAGGGUCUCGAUCAAAUUUAGUUAUGGACUACUUUUUGUUAGUAAAAUAAUGAUAUAAUGAACACACUUAUAUGAAUAAAGACUAAUUACUUCAACUUACACAGAACUGUAGAUCCAUGUAGUGGUAUUUGUCUUCCAACAAGAACAAGGCAUCAUUGCAUGCGGUCAUCCGAACAGCCAUAUUAAAACAAUCUAUAUCCAUCGACUUAUUUACAUCCAAUAUAUCUUUAAGUUUUUGAAGACUUAAAGAAAUUGGAUAAGGUUUAGUGCUCUGAAUCCAAUGUUUCCUAUUAAAUGAACAUUUGUUUUUAUAGUUAAAGCAAUAACAUAUGUGUUGAAUAUUUACCAUGCAUAUACUAUAUUAAAUGAGAAUUAACUUACUUUAAAUAUUUGGCGUUGUCUAUCUCCAUGAUAUAUGUGCAUAAUACAAACAUCAGUUCUUGUGUGUUUGUUGAUGUUACUUUAGCAGGCAGAACAUAUGGAGAUAUAUAUGGUUCAAUCUGAUGUGAUGUAUUUGACGAUUUACAUAACUCACAUGGAGUAUCGAUUAUUUGAACAUCACUUGAACUCUCUCCAUCUUCAUCCACAUUGUGAUCAAGAUUUUGAUGGCUUUUCUUUGUGUUUAAUCUCGAAUCCCAUAAUAUUGUAGGUAGCUUAAACCUAAACAUUGUUAUAUCAUCCUGCAAGUAUAUAAAUUAGAACAAAAGAAACAUUGUUCCUAUAAAUAUACGUCCUCUACAUGAGUUACGUUAUCAGAUAGGGAGGAUUCUGCCCAGUAUUCCAUAUAGUUUAUCAUCCAUAGCCCGCAAGAUACCCUAAUAUGAAAUUUAACAGAUCAGGUGAGUUUCUAUGUAUAUAUGAAAAUAAAUACAACCAAUUUUGUAGAGUUGUGGUCACAUGAAUUUUAUCCAUCGGUUUGCAUUUGUGUUGUGAUCUUCUCUAUAACUGGCCAUGAUGCAACAUCAAGGUUCGACCACUUGCCUUGGUAAAGCUCUUUAUGUUCUGCUGCAAGUUUAAUCUGUCUUUCUAGACCUUUUAACUAUGUGUUUAUAUAAAACAUAUCACGAUUUAUAGAUAACAAAUAAUGUAAUGAUGAAAUAAUCAUAAUAUAAAAGAAAUAAUUACUCACUGUAGUAUAAAGGUCUCGACGAUCCGUUAUUUGUUGUCCCAUAGAAUCAAGUACAUGUACCUCACUUUUUUUUUGCAUUCAGAACUGCCAGGUACUAGUGAAAAUUUUCUAUAUUCAUUUGUCGGCGUUUCGAACCCGGGGGGUCCCUGGACCGACGAGUAAAUUGUCGCCGUGUUUCCCAGCCCAGAUGGGUCGGCACGAGACGGAGCGCAAAGGGGGGAAAAAGCCGGAGGGAGACAGGCGUAAAAGGGGAAACCCGCGGCCUUCGUGUUUGUCCCGCGCCCAGGUCGGGUGCGCUUGCAGUAGGGGGUUACAAACGUCCACGCGGAAGGGAGCGAGAGGCUUACGCGAGCGCCGUCCCGUCCUUCCCCGCGCGGCCAACCCCCUGUAAGAGGGCCCUGGACCUUCCUUUUAUAGGCGUAAGGAGAGGAUCCAGGUGUACAAUGGAGGUGUAGCAGUGUGCUAACGUGUCUAGCAGAGAAGAGCUAGUGCCCUGAGUACAUGCCAUCGUGGCAGCCGGAGAGGUUUUGGCACCCGGUUCGUGUGGUGUCGUGGCCGUCGGAGGAGCGCUGGAGCCUGGCGGAAGGACAGCUAUCGGGGCUGUCGAGUCCUUGCUGACGUCUCCUUGCUUCCGUAAGGGGCUGAGAGCCGCCGUCGUCAUAGAGCAUGCGGGGCGCCAUCAUUACUUGUUUACCGGGGCGAGCCAGAUGGGACGCCGGUCUUGUUCCCCGUAGCCUGAGUUAGCUUGGGGUAGGGUAAUGAUGGCGCCUCCUGUGACGUGGUCGGUCCGAGCCCUGGGUUAGGCGAGGUGGAGGCUCCUCCGAGGUCGAGGUCGAGUCUGUCUUUCGAGGCCGAGGUCGAGUCCGAGCCCCUGGGUCGGGCGAGGCGGAGAUCGUCGGCUGAGGCCAGGGCUGAGUCCAAGCCCUGAGGUCGGGCGAUGCGGAGUUCGUCGUCUUCCGGGGCUGAGCCCGAGUCCGAGGCUUGGGGUCGGGCGAAGCGGAGUUCGUCGUCUUCCAGGGCUGAGCCCAAGUCCGAGCCCUGGGGUCGGGCGAAGCGGAGUUCGUCGUCUUCCGGGGCUGAGCCCGAGUCCGAGCCCUGGGGUCGGGCGAAGCGAAGUUCGUCGUCUUCCGGGGCCGAGCCCGAGUUCGAGCGCUUCGGGCGAUGCAGAGUUUCCUAUGGCGCCUGAGGGCGGACUUGGCUGCUGUCAGCCUCACUCUGUCGAGUGGCAUAGCAGUCGGAGCGGCGCAGGCGGCGCUGUCCUCUUGUCAGACCGGUCAGUGGAGCGGCGAAGUGACUGCGGUCACUUCGGCUCUGUCGACUGAAGGGCGCGCGUCAGGAUAAGGUGCUAGGCCACCUUUGCAUUAAAUGCUCCUGCGAUACGGUCGGUCGGCGUGGUGACUUGGCCAAGGUUGCUUCUUGGCAAAGACUGGGCCUCGGGCGAGCCGAAGGUGUCCNNNNNNNNNNNNNNNNNNNNNNNNNNNNNNNNNNNNNNNNNNNNNNNNNNNNNNNNNNNNNNNNNNNNNNNNNNNNNNNNNNNNNNNNNNNNNNNNNNNNGAAUAUCCACCGGCGACGUACGACUAUAAUUCACCGGACUGUCCGGUGUGCACCGGACUGUCCGGUGAGCCAACGGUCGGCCGGGCCAACGGUCGGCCGCGCAAUCUGCGCGGGACACGUGGCCGAGCCAACGGCUAGAAGAAGGCACCGGACUGUCCGGUGUGCACCGGACAUGUCCGGUGCGCCAACAGCUCUCUGGCUGUCAACGGUCGACUGCGCUAGUUAUGGAAAGAAAUCGGGCACCGGACAUGUCCGGUGUGCACCGGACUGUCCGGUGCGCCAGUCGACAGAAGGCAAGAUCAGCCUUCCUAGAUUGCUCUCAACGGCUCCUAGCUGCCUUGGGGCUAUAAAAGGGACCCCUAGGCGCAUGGAGGAGAACACCAAGCAUACUUACAACAUUCCUAAGCACCAAGUCAUCGAUUCUGUGCAUUUGUUUCUUUGUGAUAGCAUAUAGAGCUCUUGUGGAGUUGUGAACUCAUUGGGUUGUGUUGCGAGCUCUUGUUGCGACUUGUGUGCGUGUUGUUGCUCUGAUCUGUGAGUCUUGUGUGAGUUGCUCAUCCCUCCCUUACUCCGUGAUUCUUUGUGAACAUCAAAAGUGUAAGGGCGAGAGGCUCCAAGUUGUGGAGAUUCCUCACGAACGGGAUAAGAAAAGAAAAGCAAAACACUGUGGUACUCAAGUUGAUCAUUGGAUCACUUGAGAGGAGUUGAGUGCAACUCUCGUCCGUUGGGACGCCACAACGUGGAGUAGGCAAGCGUUGGUCUUGGCCGAACCACGGGAUAAACCACUGUGUCAUCUCUGUGAUUGUUCUCUUGUGGUUAUUGUGUUUUGCUAAGACAUCUCUUUAGCCACUUGGAAAUUAUUGUGCUAACGAUUAACCGUGUUUUGUGGCUUAAGUUUUCAAGUUUCACAGGAUCACCUAUUCACCCCCCUCUAGGUGCUCUCAGCAGGCACUGGGUCUGCCAGUUUCGAUUAGGCGUGACCCCGCUUCGCUCCUCCUCGACGCGCAGUGCCUCACCCUCGGGGGCCGAGGGUACCUCGGGCUGAGCCGAGGGUGCCUCGGGCUGGGCCGAGGCCUUCUCGGGCUCGGGCGUGUCGUCGGUCUUGACGGAGGGUUGAUGCAGGUCUCGGAGAAGACGUCCGGGGGAACCGUUGUUCGCCCCGAGGCUAUUUUAGCCAGCUCGUCCGCAGCCUCAUUGUAGCGUCGGGCGAUGUGGUUGAGCUCGAGCCCGUAGAACUUGUCUUCCAGGCGCCGAACCUCAUCGUAGUAGGCUUCCAUCUUCGGGUCACGACAGUGGGAGUUCUUCAUGACUUGGUCAAUGACGAGCUGCGAGUCACCGCGAGCGUCGAGGCGUCGGACCCCUAGCUCGAUGGCGAUGCGCAACCCGUUGACCAGAGCCUCGUACUCGGCCACAUUAUUGGACGCCGGGAAAUGGAGGCGUAGCACGUAGCGUAGGUGCUUCCCGAGGGGCGAGAUGAAGAGCAGGCCCGCGCCUACUCCUGUCUUCAUCAGCGACACGUCGAAAAACAUGGUCUAGAGUUCCGGUUGGAUUGGAACUGUCGGGAGCUGGGUAUCGACCCAUUCAGCCACAAAGUCCGCCAAGACUUGGGACUUGAUGGCCUUCCAAGGGGCGAACGAGAUUGUCUCGCCCAUGAUUUCCACCGCCCACUUCGCAAUCCUACCCGAGGCCUCUCGGCAUUGGAUGAUCUCCCCCAGGGGGAAGGAUGACACCACAGUCACCGGAUGAGACUCGAAGUAGUGUCGCAACUUCCGUCGCGUCAGGAUCACCGCGUACAACAGCUUCUGAAUUUGUGGGUAGCGGAUCUUGGUCUCUGACAGUACCUCACUGAUGAAGUAGACUGGUCUCUGGACGGGCAAUACAUGCCCCUCUUCUCGUCUCUCAACCACGAUCGCGGCGCUAACCACCUGAGUGGUAGCGGCGACGUAGAUCAAGAGGGCUUCUUCGGCAGCGGGGGGGGGGGGCACCAAGAUGGGCGCGUUCGUGAGGAGCGCCUUCAGGUUCACGAGGGCUUCCUCGGCCUCAGGGGUCCAAGUGAAGCACUCGGCCUUUCUUAAGAGGCGGUAUAGAGGCAAGCCUCUUUCGCCGAGGCGCGAGAUGAAACGGCUCAGAGCCGUAAGGCAUCCCGUGACCCUCUGUACGCCUUUCAAGUCCUUGAUGGGCCCCAUGCUGGUGAUGGCCGCGAUUUUCUCCGGGUUGGCCUCGAUGCCCCACUCGGAGACGAUGAACCCCAAGAGCAUGCCUCGGGGGACCCCAAAGACACACUUCUCGGGAUUGAGCUUUACGCCUUUUGCCUUGAGACACCGGAAUGUCGUUUCAAGGUCAGAAAGGAGGUCGGAGCUUUCCUCGUCUUGACUACGAUGUCGUCGACAUAGGCCUCGACCGUUCGACCAAUGUGUUCGCCGAACACGUGGUUCAUGCACCUUUGGUAUGUCGCACCCGCAUUCCUCAAACCGAACGGCAUGGUAACAUAGUAGUACAUGCCGAAGGGUGUGAUGAAAGAAGUCGCGAGCUGGUCGGACUCUUUCAUCCUGAUUUGGUGAUACCCUGAGUAGGCAUCGAGGAAAGACAUGGUUUCACACCCAACAGUGGAAUCCACGAUUUGAUCGAUGCGAGGCAGAGGGUAGGGAACUUUUGGACAUGCUUUGUUUAGACCAGUGUAGUCUACACACAUCUGCCAUUUCCCUCCUUUCUUUCUCACAAGCACAGGGUUGGCAAGCCAUUCGGGAUGGAAUACCUCUUUGAUGAACCCUGCCGCCAUUAGCUUGUGGAUCUCCUCGCCUAUGGCUCUGCGCUUUUCUUUGUCGAAUCGGCGCAGAGGCUGCUUCAUGGGUCGGGCUCUAGCUCGGAUAUCCAGCGAGUGCUCGACGACAUCCCUCGGUAUGCCGGGCAUGUCCGAGGGACUCCACGCGAAAACGUCGGCGUUUGCGCGGAGGAAGUCGACGAGCACUGCUUCCUAUUUGGGGUCGAGCUCGGAGCCGAUCCGUAUCUGCUUGGAGGCGUCGUUGCUGGGGUUGAGAGGGACAGACUUAACUGUCUCCGCUGGCUCGAAGUUGCCGACGUGGCACUUCACGUCUGGCGCCUCCUUAGAGAGGCUCUCCAGGUCGGCGAUGAGGGCCUCGGAUUCGGCGAGGGCCUCGGCGUACUCCACGCACUCCACAUCGCAUUCGUACGCGUGUCGGUAUGUGGGGCCGACGGUGAUGACCCCAUUGGGGCUCGACAUCUUGAGCUUGAGGUAGGUGUAGUUGGGGACGACCAUGAACUUGGCGUAGCAUGGCCUCCCCAACACCGCGUGGUAGGUUCCUCGGAACCCGACCACCUCGAACGUGAGGGUCUCCCUUCAGAAGUUGGAGGGUGUCCCAAAGCAGACGGGUAGAUCGAGUUGUCCGAGGGGCUGGACACGUUUCCCGGGGAUGAUCCCGUGAAAAGGCGCAGCGCCUGCCCGGACCGAGGACAGAUUGAUCCGCAGGAGCCCGAGGGUCUCGGCGUAGAUGAUGUUGAGGCUGCUGCCUCUAUCCAUGAGGACCUUGGUGAGCCUGACGUUGCCGAUGACAGGGUCGACAAUGAGCGGAUAUUUCCCCGGGCUUGGCACGCGGUCGGGAUGGUCGCCCUGGUCGAAGGUGAUGGGCUUGUCAGACCAGUCUAGGUAGACUGGCGCCGCCACCUUUACCGAGCAGACCUCCCGACGCUCUUGCUUGCGGUGCCGAGCCGAGGCGUUCACCACUUGCCCACCGUAGAUCAUGAAGCAGUCGUGGACCUCGGGGAACUCUCCUGCCUUGUGAUCCUCCUUCUUAUCAUCGUCGCGGGCCCUGCCACCUUCCGCAGGUGGCCCGGCCUUGUGAAAGUGGCGCCAAAGCAUGGCGCACUCCUCAAGGGUGUGCUUGACGGGCCCCUGAUGAUAGGGGCACGACUCCUUGAGCAUCUUGUCGAAGAGGUUGGCACCUCCAGGAGAUUUCCGAGGGUUCUUGUACUCAGCGGUGGCGACAAGGUCCGCAUCGGCGGCGUCGCGUUUCGCUUGCGACUUCUUCUUGCCUUUCUUCUUGGUGCCGCGCUGAGUGGACGCCUCGGGAACAUCUUUCGGCUGGCGGCCCUAGGGCUGCUUGUCCUUCCGGAAGAUGGCCUCAACCGCCUCCUGGCCAGAGGCGAACUUGGUGGCGAUGUCCAUCAGCUCGCUUGCCCUGGUGGGGGUCUUGCGACCCAGCUUGCUCACCAGGUCGCGGCAGGUGGUGCCGGCGAGGAACGCGCCGAUGACAUCUGAGUCGGUGACGUUGGGCAGCUCGGUGCGCUGCUUCGAGAAUCGCCGGAUGUAGUCCCGGAGAGACUCCCCUAGCUGCUGGCGGCAGCUUCGGAGAUCCCAGGAGUUCCCAGGGCGCACGUACGUGCCCUGGAAAUUGCCAGCGAAGGCUUGGACCAGGUCGUCCCAGUUGGAGAUCUGCCCCGGAGGCAGGUGCUCCAGCCAGGCCCGAGCGGUAUCGGAGAGGAACAGGGGGAGGUUGCGGAUGAUGAGGUUGUCAUCAUCCGUUCCACCCAGGUGGCAGGCCAGCCAGUAGUCCGCAAGCCACAGUUCCGGCCUUGUCUCCCUCGAGUACUUUGUGAUAGUAGUCGGGACUCGGAACCGGGUCGGGAACGGCGCCCGUCGUAUGGCCCGGCUGAAAGCCUGCGGACUGGGUGGUUCGGGCGAGGGGCUCCGAUCCUCCCCGCUGUCGUAGCGUCCCCCACGCCUGGGGUGGUAGCCACGGCGCACCUUCUCGUCGAGGUGGGCUCGACGGUUGCGGUGAUGGUGCUCGUUGCCGAGGCGACCCGGGGCCGCAGGCGCUGUGUUGCGCGUGCGCCCGGUGUGGACCGAGGCUUCCCGCAUGAAUCGGGAAGUCGCGGCGCGAUGUUCCGAGGGGUACCCCUACCUUCGGGAGGCAGAGCUUUCGGCCCGUCGGACCGCGGUAUCCUCCAGGAGAUUCUUGAGCUCUCCCUGGAUACGCCGCCCCUCGAUGGUAGAUGGCUCUGGCAUCGCGCGGAGAAGUAUUGCCGCUGCAGCCAGGUUCUAGCCGACCCCACUGGAGGCCGGUGGUGGCCUUGCCCUGGCAUCGUCGGCGAUGCGGUGCUGGGUGCCCUGGGGUAGAUGAUGCGCUUCUCCGGCUGGAGGUUGGCCCGCCCAUUCCUGCCCGAUGUCUCGGCGGAACGGCUCAAGUGUUCCUGCUCCCUCGUCGAGCCUGGCCUGCAUCUCGCGGAUUUGCUCGAGCUGUGGGUCAUGACCCCCCGUCGGGACAGGGACCACAGCUAGCUCCCGAAGGAUGUCAACGCGAGGCACAUGCCUAGGGGGAUCACCGUUCUCCGGUAUACCAAGAUGGUUGCCUUCGUCGGGACCCCCUAGAUCGACGUGGAAACAUUCACGACUUGGGCCGCAGUCCUCGUCGCCGAGGCUGUGGCUACCGUCGGAAUAGUCGGAAAGGCAGUAGUCGCAUGCGGUCAUGAAGUCCCGCAUGGCACUGGGGUUACCAAGUCCGGAGAAAUCCCAACAGAAGUCGGGCUCGUCAUCUUCCUCGGAACCCGAGGGCCCAUAGGUUGAGACGGCCGUCAGCCGUUCCCAGGGUGACCGCAUACGAUACCCCAGAGGGUUUGGACUCGCCUCUAUGAGAGCGUCCACCAAAGCGAAGUCGCUUGGUGGGUCGAGGCUGAAUCCAAAAGGCACGAGAUGGGAAUCGAUCGGUACCUCUUGGUCGACGGGCGAUGACGAAGUCACGUCAGGGACAGACUGCACCGUCGUCUCAGGUACGAGGGUGACGCCCAGCAAGUCCUUUGCGAGCGUGCUGGCGUCAUCCGUUUGCUUGGAGUUGGCGUGUCGCGGGGAGACGGCGCUCGUCUUCGUCUCAGACGCGAGGUUGAUGCCCGACGUGCCCCCCGUUGGGGCGCCGGCGCCGUCGACUCGCUCGACAGCCGACGAGGUGCCGCCUCCUGCUUGGCCUUGGUUGCCCCGCCUCCUCCUCCGUCGGCGGGGGAGGGGACGGGACAAGCCCGAAUGUUGUUCUUCCACCACGUGGGGAAGACGUCGUCGAUUCCGCCGCCGGCGGGCGGGUUGUCGGCCGCCAUUGUCGCUGUCGCGCGACGGGGGAAGGAGUAUCAUAUUGUAGCUGCCGUCGAGGGACAUGAACUCAAGACUCCGGAAACGGAGCACCGUCCCGGGCUGGAAAGGUUGCUGGAGACUGCCCAUCUGGAGCUUGACGGGAAGCUGUUCGUCAACACGCAGCAGGCCCCUACCUGGCGCGCCAACUGUCGGCGUUUCGAACCCGGGGGUCCCUGGACCGACGAGUAAAUUGUCGCCGCGUGCCCCAGCUCAGAUGGGUCGGCGCGAGACGGAGCGCGAAGGGUGGAAAAACCGGAGGGAGACAGGCGUAAAAGGGGAAACCCGCGGCCUUCGUGUUUGUCCCGCGCCCAGGUCGGGUGCGCUUGCAGUAGGGGGUUACAAGCGUCCACGCGGGAGGGAGCGAGAGGCUUACGCGAGCGCCGUCCCGUCCUUCCCCGCGCGGCCAACCCCCUGUAAGAGGGCCCUGGACCUUCCUUUUAUAGGCGUAAGGAGAGGAUCCAGGUGUACAAUGGGAGGUGUAGUAGUGUGCUAACGUGUCUAGCAGAGAAGAGCUAGUGCCCUAAGUACAUGCCAUCGUGGCAACUGGAGAGGUUUUGGCACCCGGUUCGUGUGGUGUCGUGGCCGUCGAAGGAGCGCUGGAGCCUGGCGGAAGGACAGCUGUCGGGGCUGUCGAGUCCUUGCUGACAUCUCCUUGCUUCCGUAAGGGGGCUGAGAGCCGCCGUCGUCAUAGAGCAUGCGGGGCGCCAUCAUUACUUGUUUACCAGGGCGAGCCAGAUGGGACGCCGGUCUUGUUCCCUGUAGCAUGAGUUAGCUUGGGGUAGGGUAAUGAUGGCGCCUCCUGUGACGUGGUCGGUCCGAGCCCUGGGUUGGGCGAGGUGGAGGCUCCUUCGAGGUCGAGGUCGAGUCUGUCUUCCGAGGCCGAGGUCGAGUUCGAGCCCCUGGGUCGGGCGAGGCGGAGACCGUCGGCUGAGGCCAGGGCUGAGUCCGAGCCCUAGGGUCGGGCGAUGCGGAGUUCGUCGUCUUCCGGGGCUGAGCCCGAGUCCGAGCCCUGGGGUCGGGCGAAGCGGAGUUCGUCGUCUUCCGGGGCUGAGCCCGAGUCCAAGCCCUGGGGUCGGGCGAAGCAGAGUUCGUCGUCUUCCGGGGCCGAGCCCGAGUCCGAGCCCUUCGGGCGAUGCGGAGUUUCCUAUGGCGCCUGAGGCCGGACUUGGCUGCUGUCAGCCUCACUCUGUCGAGUGGCACAACAGUCAGAGCGGCGCAGGCGGCGCUGUCCUCUUGUCAGACCGGUCAGUGGAGCGGCGAAGUGACUGCGGUCACUUCGGCUCUGUCGACUGAAGGGCACGCGUCAGGAUAAGGUGUCAGGCCACCUUUGCAUUAAAUGCUCCUGCGAUACGGUCGGUCGGCGUGGCGACUUGGCCAAGGUUGCUUCUUGGCGAAGACUGGGCCUCGGGCGAGCCGAAGGUGUGUCCGUUGCUUGAGGGGGUCCUCGGGCGAGACGUGAACCCUCCGGGGUCGGCUGCCCUUGCCCGAGGCUGGGCUCGGGCGAGGCGAGAUCGUGUCCCUUGAGUGGACCGAGCCUUGACUCAAUUGUACCCAUCAGGCCUUUGCAGCUUUGUGCUGAUGGGGGUUACCAGCUGAGAUUAGGAGUCUUGAGGGUACCCCUAAUUAUGGUCCCCGACAUCAUUGGAAUGAACACCUUCAUAGAACAUACAUUAACAUUAAUUUGUAAGUAUUAUGCACCAAUAUAUUACAUAUUACAUAUAUUAAAAAUGAGCUGAGUUUUAGGUCAACCAUGUCAGACUGUAAAUAGUUGUCCACCCUUUUUUCAAUUGUGUCUUCCUUACAAUUUAAGAGCACCUUAGGGUCGCCAUCAUGCUUAAGUGGACUGGAAAUAAAUAUGUUCUCUAAGAAGACCUUUCCACCUUCUCUUUGAAGUAAAUGCUCUUCAUCCCUCAUAUAGUGUAUAUAUGCACUGAGGACCUGUACACCAAAAGAAUACAAUUAGCAGAUCAAAUAUACAUGCUAGCUUUAAAUAUGUAUACCAUACUGUAUAAUAGGAUAAUUAUAAAUAUAUAUACUUUAUUACUGUAUAUAAUAUGUACAUACAGAUGUACUUACUUCACCAGACAAUUGAAUGUCACCAUGAAAAAGACAUUCCAUAUCAUUUUUGUUUAACCAUGCGUUGUCGAUGUUCACCACAACUUGUUUCCCCAGUAAUGUUUUAAUGUAUUCAAUAAGCUGAACAUCUUCUGGGGUGCACUUAUAAUCUAUACAAUGAAAAAUAUUAUACUUAAUAAGCAAAUGAUAUAUGCGAAAACCAAUAAGAUACAAUAAGGCAAGAACAAAAAAUUACCUUCAGAGACAACUCGAGCUACAUUCAAUUUCUUUGGUUUUUUAUGUUGUGAUAUUCUAAUAAGUGUGUCCAAAGCAUCUUGUUUGUUCUGCUCUACCAUAUUCACAUCAAAACUUAUUUGACUUGUUUCAUUUGGAACAUCCAAAGAUGUCAGGUGUAUCACAUCUGUAUGAGGAGUGAAUGAAACAUAAGUCUCUUGACAAAAGCAUUUUUAGGAGUACUCAUAAGACAAUAUUUACAUUUAGGAGUGUAGAUAAGAGAGCCUACCCGGUUGUGGUCCAAGAUCGGCUUCAGUUGACACUUUAAUAGGAUUGAAAAUACAGUCAAUGCCUACUCCCACAACAUCGUGUGAUUGUUUUGCAGCAUUACCAACACUGACCUUACUAUCCUCGCUCUCUAUAUCUAUGGCGCACAAGAGAAAAAUUAAGUGUCAAACAAAUAUUUAUUAUUACAGACUUAGUUUUUUUGUAAUUGAUAAUAGCACUUACCCAGUUCAUGUUCAUCAGUGUCAUUAGUUGACAAUUGUGCUGAACAACCACCGCUAGCCACAACCUCAUACGAUGGUUCAGCAGUAUUGCCAACAUCGACAUUUCCUUCCUCCACCUCUAUAUCCAUUGUGAUUUGGUCUGUACCCAUCAGAUUGAAAGUGUCAAACAUAAUUUUAUUGACAAAAGUAUUUUAGGUAUAUAAAGUACAAGACUAAUGGUCAGACAUCGUAUUUCAUGGAUUGUUGUUCAUAGAUCAGAAAAUCAGCAGGGGCCUCUGCGCGAAAAACUCUAAGACUCAGAGUGCUACUGCGUGGACUGCGGGUUCUAUUUCGCAAUUUUAGGUAACAAAAGUGAUCAAGGGCACAACUUGCCUGACACUUGAGAUUCCAGUUACCAGGGUGAUUCUUCGGAUCCUCGUGACCGCACUGCUAGUCGUAGCAAUACAAGCAAACAUGGUAUAGACAAAAUUAACAUCACACCAAACAUAAGUACAAACUGAAUAAUAAUAAUAUACGCGUUGCUACGAGAUCGCGGGAUCGAGAACUACUAAGAUGGGAGUCAUGGUUAAGGAGUUAUGAUCUGUAAAAGCUCUACGUGACUUAAAUAUUAAACUAUAUUAUAAAUUGGUUAGUAUAGAUCAUAUAAGAGAUUAUUCUAUAAAUAAUUAUCUCAACUUUAAUCUAAGUCAUUAUUUGAUUUAAAUUAUAUAACCAUAAAGUUAGAAUACUAUUAAAUAAAUUAAUCCAAUAGACAUAGAUUAACCCAAUUAACAUAGGAUAAAUAAAUAUCUAAUUAUAAAAGUAUGAAACAUGGUAUAAUCAAUGUUGUUAUUACGUAUUAAAUAUUCAUACGAGACUAACGCAACAGGAACGAUUCAAUUUGGAAUUAAAAUGGGGAAGUUACGAAUUUCCAAAGUUUCUAUGUAUUUUGUAACACCCCUGGUGUUUAUAUUCCGCUCGACAACAAGUACGGAUUUAAGCACGUGAUAUCAGUGGAUAAAACAGACACUAAGUUUUAAUCAUCUUCGUCUAGCUCGAUUUUUAUAUCGCAUCUGUUUCGUCUGUCGCGAGUGCGACGUCGUUUUUAUUUUCAUCUGUUUGGGCUCUUCCAAAAUUUUCGUGAUGUUCGAGACAUCGUCGUUCUGAAAAUCGGUGCGUCCGAUGAUUAAUUAAAAUUCAUCGCCGCGCGAAUCCGAAUUCAGAAGCUCGACCUCCUUUUACGCCUUUUUAUUUCGGACAGAUUAAUUUGAACUCGACAGCUAAAAUACUCUGUGCAAAAUAAUCCGAAUCGUGCGUCGUUUGAGUGAAAUCGUGCGCGAGGUUAGAAUCCAAUUUCUCCGUCCGCACGCUGUUUUGACGACGAAAUCGCGUAUACAAUAGCGGAUUUAUUUUCGGCUAAUUUUAGUUGAAUUCCACAGAGCAAAUUACCGAAGGCGAAAUCAGUCUUGUUCGGGCCAUCGUUUCUUGCCCGGAUUCGAAUCUUCGGAUAUAAGUAAUUAGCGAUUAGAUUGGUUCGCUAAAUCCGAAGCAUAUCAUAUGUAUUCGUGUAACGUGUCGGCCUGUGCACAGCGCUAAAAAUCGGAAUUUAGAAAUAUCUACGCUUUCCUUUUAAAAAUAGAAAUAUCUGGAAAUAUUUAAAAAUAAAUCUUUUCGUUUCUAUCCAGUAGCCGCCCUCCCUCUGAUUUUUUUGGCUGCCGCUCUUCUGAUAUUUUGCAUCGUCGUGCUCAGGUUGUCUUCUCCAGUGCGUUGUCUCCCUCGUGCUCCUCUCUCCCUUAUCUCCCUCGGGUCCGGCCGGCUCAUCCCAGUCCCAGCCAGCCAAGGUUCUCUCCAUGGUGGCUCCUCUAAGCCGCGCGCUCCUCCAUGCCUGCGCGCCCUUCGGGUCUCUGCGUCGCGCGCUCCGCUGCUGCGCGCCGUGGUCUUCUUCCUCCUCGUGCUUCUUCAGCUCGGCGCCUCCUCUGCUCCCUCCAGCUUGCAGAAGCUCCCAGCCAUGGCGCCUGCUGGUCGGAUGUGGAUUCCUCUGCCGCGUCGCUCCCUCACGUCUCCUCUCUUCUUCACCGAGGCCGACCACCGAGCGGACGUCGCGACUGGACACCACGGCACGCGCGCGCCCCUGCUCGCCCUUUUGCCUCCUCCCAUGGCGGCUCCCCUGCCGAGCCCCAAACCCAGCCAACCGAGCUCGUCUCCUCCUCUCCAUCUCCCUCGGUCGCGGUUCCCAGAUCUCCUGUUCGCCUGGCUGGCCGCGCGCUCGUCUUCCUUCUCUGCGCGGCGGCCUUUCCCGCCGGUGGCCGUGCCCAGCGCCCGCUCGGUUCUUCCUGGCACGCGCUCCUAUGCUCCGAUCGCGCGUCUCGCCCAUGGCCACCGUCCGUCGUCAAGCCCCUGCGUGCGCGGUCCUCUGCCGGAGCUCCCUGCUCGCCUUCUGCGCUCUGCUGGCGGCCAGUCCCUGCUCCUCGCGGCCCGCGCGUUUCUCUGUUCAGCCAUGGCCGCGCGCCGGCGCUCUUCCUUUGCCGCGUCCCGCUUCCUGCCCGCCGGCCACAGCUCGAAGUCCCUCCCAUUGUGAGUUCGCCGUUCCUCCCACGCCGCGGUCACCCUGGUAUUCCAGCUCGUCGUCGCGUUGUUUGAGGUCAACCUCACUAAAUCGCCUCUUGCUCGACGCCGGUGAUGGCCGUUGUGGAGCACCGCUGCGAACUCCCAGCGUUCUUGCUCUGCUCCAAGAAAUAUCAAGCGCUGAACAGUCAUCGUUUUGUUGCGACGUGCGUGUGCGCUACUCGCCCCACGUCGUCGUCUUUGUGUGUCUUUGUGUCUGGCCAGUCCCGUCGAGGCAUCUGCAAAUCUUGCCUCUUGUCGUCAUGUUUUCUUGAUCUGCCAAAUCAUCGCGCCCGUGCUGAGUUCUCUGGCCAUCACGUUUUUCUUACAGACGCUCAGCCUCGCCGCGCGUCCUGUUUUCUGCUCGCCAGCGCGCUCUCUCGGCUCGCUCGACUUUAAUUCCCAAUCGCGUCGUCGAUUCCGCCAGUUAGCGUCGUUCGUCGUCGCGUCGCGUGUGUAGCUCUAUAUACGUCACCCUCCCGUGUCGUCGUCGUUCCGCGUGUCAGCAAGAAAUCGCAAGAAUCGGGUGAAGACAAAGCCAGCAGCGUGGUAUUCACCAAGUGCGCAAUAAAAGCUCGGACAUCCUGCGCGACUCAAGUUCGGUUCGUCAAAAUUAUUCAGUCGAGGAAAAGAUCUGCAGCAAUUGAUUACCGAAGAAAAGAAGGCCCCUCAAUUACAUCAACCGGAACCCGUAGUCGUGCUUGUGACUAUCGCGUCGAAUUAGUCAGGGUAAGUUGAUUCGUAUUCCCGUUAACUAGGUCUAGAUGAUCGAUUUAGAUAAAUCGGUAAUCAAGUAAUUAAGAUACAUAGUUUAAAGAGUUAAUAAAAAGCUAGGAAUAAAAAUAUAUUUUCUAGUGUAAUAUGUCAAUUUGGUUAAUGGAUGUAGUCGAUGCCCUAUUGUGAUAUCCAUGAUGCUUAAUGUUUGGUUUUAAGUGUUUCAUCCUUUUUAGGUAGAUUAUUUAUAUUAUACUCGUUAUACUCGUGCUCAUACAUGUGCAUCAUGCAUCUCAUGAGGUACGAUAAAUAAUCGCGUGAAGCGGAAGAUGAGUCAAGUCGACCCCAAGUGUGGACUAAUUCGCAAGGUGAUUAACCUGAAGAUGGAUAAUCGGAACAAUGCGAAGACAAGGAUGAUCGUCAAGUGGACAUCGUCUAACAACACUAACCUAGUGUUAUUCAGGCAAGCCCCGGUGCAUGCAACCCUUUCCUUGUGUUUUUAAAUUAUUUUUAUACACUUUAAGUCUAGUGAAUGUGCAUUAGGUUUAGAGAUGUCCAAUAAGCACGAGGCCCGCGAGCCCGGCACGAAGCCCGCUUUUUGGGCCCGGUCCGAGCCCGGCACGGCCCGGUUAUAUGCGGGCCCGGGCCGGCCCGGCACGAAUAAGCGGGCCGGGCUCGGACAGGAAAUUAGGUACGGUGGGCUAGCCCGGCACGGCCCGUUUAGCUCUAAGCCCGUUAAGCCCGCUUUUUUUACACUAAAACGUACUUUUCGGCCCGCAUAGCCCGCUUUUCGGCCCGCUUUUUUCGUGCUAAACGGGCCGGCCCGACCCGUUUAGGCCCGUUGCGGGCCGGGCUCGGACAAGAAAUUGAGCCCGCGUGCUUAGUCGGCCCGGCCCGGUUUUUUAAUCGUGCUUGGCGGGCCGGGCCCAAAACGGGCCGGGCUCCACCGGGCCCGGGCCGGACCGGGCCGGGCGGCCCGUUUGGACAUCUCUAAUUAGGUUUAUAGGAGUUGCUUGGAAACCCUUGGAUGCAUUGCCUUCCUUGAAAUCCAUACCUUUAUAGAUACUUCUGGUGAAGUAUCAAAAUUAUGAUUUACAAAAAUGCUUAGCCCUGCUCAGAUCUUGUGGAUAGAGGUUGUCUUUUGCAUUAAGGCCUAGCUCAGGGGUUAUCCUGAGGAAAGAUGACUUCUACCUGCAAGAAUAUUUUCAUUGAGAGCGUGGUGGGAUCUUACUGCAAAGUUCCCUUUGAUGCUCUUUUCAUCCUAAGGAAUACAAACAAUCCUAAGGAUGGAAGUACUUAAAUCGGGACUUGGGCUAGGAACAGGUGAUGUUCUACCCAGGUUGAUUAAGGAUUGGAUGCGUAUGUAGGCCUGCUGACCGAGGACCCUUUAACUGGUCACAUGCCUCGUCAUGGGUAAGCUUUGCCUCGGGCAGACUAAGGCCAGAAUAAGAUAACACGGAAUGGGCGUGGAGCGGUGGCGAGAGUAGCGUGUACCCUUCGUGGCAAGAGGCUGGACGGUGGUGUAUCUGUGCUCUCGGUUGGCGUGAACCUGAUCUGGUCUUAAGAACCCCAGUGGCGGGUUGACAUAUGCAAGGGUUAAGUGCUACAUUUGUCGUGUGAUUGGAGAUCCUCAGCUGAGUAUAAUCGAUUCGGAUCGCCGUAACUUCGCGGACAUGAAGACUUGGUCACUGCCCUACAACCUAAGUCAGGAUGUGAACCUCAUGAAUAAAAAUGAUGUUGUAUUGAUGAGAUGGUGAAAUUAGACCAGAUGCAAACAGAGUCUAUUAAUAUUUAAUCUGGCGUUAAAAUAUUGAAAGUAAGGACUCACUUUAGUAAGCUAUUUCUGCAAAAGUAUCUAAGUUGAUUCUUGCUAAAGCCUCUCCUUGAUUCCCAAAUCCAGCAUAUCCUUGAGAGUCUUUUCUUUAGUCGGGUAAGUCUUGCUGAGUAAUUCCAUACUCAGGGUUUUAUUCCCUGUUGUUUUUCAGGUUAUAGUUUUGUGCUGCUGUUGAUGGUGUUAAGUGCCGGUGGGCUCGGCCUUCUUAUAUAAGUAUACCCCGUCUUUAUCUUCUUAUUGAGGAUGGUCACUUGAGCUAACAUAUAUUUCAAACUUAUACUUUUGUAAUCACUCCGAUAAAAUAAUGUAAAACUUUUGUAACUUGUAAAAUUUGGUAAUAAGAUUUCCGCUACAAAAAUAUUGGUGUGUGAUUUGUGUUACGUAAUCCCGCGAUUCUGGUUGUAAGUGGUUUAUCCGAUGUCCUUGGGCAAUCGGACGGAUCCUGUUAAGUUAUCUGGUGCACAUGCAUAGCCGUCUGAGGUCUUUGAGACAAGGAAAGGUGCAUGUGGGCCCAAUAACUUGGGAGGUUCUGCCACAUAUUUGAUAUAUGAUUAAUUAGGAAAUCAAUUUUAUUGUUGUUUUCAUGACAAAACAGAGAUAUUAUGUGAUAAAAAAUAAUAUUAUAGAAUUAUAGAAAUUGGAAUGAACUCAUUUGGAUUUAAUAUGAAAUUUCCAUGAAUUAAAUGGGUUUCUGCAAUUAUUUUUAAACCAAAAAUCAAUUUCUAAACUCCUUUUCCCUAUUUUCUUUUUUUUUCUGGACUGUGUCCCAAAUUCCAGAAAGAUUAGGGUCCAAGCUAUAAAUGUUUUUCUAGACUCAGUGAGCAUAUAGAGUGGACGGCGGAUUAAAUCCGAUAAAGCCUAGGGGCUCUUUACAAAGAAUGCCACGCGGCUAAGGACUUGGAUGCGUUUAGACCAUAGGAUCUAUGAUGUACGGUCAGAUCUAAGGGACCGAACCGGUACGCGACGUCAGACGUCUGAUCCCCCAUCCACGGAUGAGAGUCUAACAACUUGAGGUUUAAUCGCAUGCAUAGAUUGCAGGACUAACGGCCACGAUCUAAUAAUCCCAAUCGGUAACUUGUAGCAAAUCUCGGCCAUCAGAAAGAAAUCGGACGACACAGGGGUUUCUCCCCACAAGCCGGCCGACCGAGAAUGGCGGCGUGAGGUCUCACGGCGGGCUCUGGCCGGAGGAAAAGCGAAUCGUGCACCCGAGCCCCGAUUACCCUCCCAAAAGGUCCUACGUGUAGAGGAGAUCAUUGCGAGCAAGGUGGAUGAUGUCUUACCGAAAGUGGGACGGCGAGGUUUUCAGUCCACAGAGCAGGCGGGUCCACGGCGGAGCAGCAGGUGCAGUGAGGAAUUCCGGUCUACGGUUUGGGUAAUCACAAGCUCUACUUGACGGAACACAACCACGAGAAGGAGAGGAGCACAAAGAACCUGAAUCUCACCGGCAGCUGUCGCGCAGAGUGUCGGGCCCCGGUGAGCGGCGGAUCUGCGGGGUACCUUCACCACGGCGAACGGCGCAAGGCGUGGCGGUGACGCUCCAUUGCACGACAACAUGUACGCAGGGCGGCGACUUCGAUGUGGCUUGCUAUGAGGCGAGAUCGGCGCGGGGUCUGCGUCUACCGCACCAGCAGCAAGCACGUCCAAGAAGAUCACCAAGGCUCCGCUGACGAGUGGACGACCGACGGCUGGGUCCCACCAGCAGUGGUUGAUAGGGUCUGCGCAGAUGGGUUAGUGGGUCCUGGCAGGCCGCCCAGUUGUUACGGGUCCGGAGGAUUCGCAGCCACGAGCUCCGAGCAUGCAGGCAUCGGAACCGGUCUUCAGUUGAAGGGGAGGAGGAGAGGGAUGACAGAUGAGCCCUACCAGGCAGUGAGCGCGCGGUCGGCUGUCAGGUGGUCCCAAGUGGUCAGGGCGCGAGCUGAUUUGCGGACGCGGGCUUGCGCGGCUACACGUGAGGAUGGGCCGCGCGGUUGUAUCUAGAGACCAACCUUCCAGCUGCCACGGAGUUACAUCAAACUCUUGCCACCAGACCUUCUCGCCAUCUGAUGGAAGCUUGACUUUGAGAAACUUCGCAGCGAGGAAGAUUGCACCACCCGCAAUAUGGUGUGGUUUAAAUUGUAGGCAAAGUGAAGUGCGGAGCCUGUACACCCCUUUUAAGGCGUAGUAAAUAGGGAUGUUUGUGGAUUACUAUUUGUAAUGAGGAAGAGUAAUGUUAGCAUACCCAUCAUUGACAAAAUUCCAGGCAACUUGAGCAAGUGCAUUUUGAGCAACCUUGAAUAUUUUUAUUGCUUCAACCAAGGGCUUGUAAGGAUGGUUCACAUUCAAAUCAAAACCAAGUGUCACAAGCACAACACGUUCUCCGAGUAAAAUAAGUUCCUUUUGCUGUUCAUAUACUUCCUGAAGAAACAAAACAAACAACCUCAGUUUUUUUGCGUGCCACAGUAAACAGGACGUAAAAUUGCAUAAAAAGAGUCAUCCUAGCCUUGCCUUUUAAAAAGGUACUAUUAUAUGAUAAAUGAAAAGGAAGAGCCAUCAAUAGAAUAAUAAUAGGAGAAAAGGAUAAUAACAUCAUAGGUCAUGAAGUUCGGAACUUCGGAUUACCUAGAACAGCAAUAUCAAGAUAUUAAAUGCUCUAAAUCAAAUCACCUUCAGUUUUAUUCGUUGAACUGCAGCAGGAUCCUUUUUGUGGAUGAUCUCAUAUGAAAGAAGUAUGACAUCCUUCAGAGGUCUGGGUGUUUCUUCAACUUUUCCCGCCAAGAACAUGCAUACUGUUGCAAUUGUCUGCAUGUUGUAAUGAACUUAUAUAUUAAAACUUCCAUUAGCAGAUAAUGAAUAACUAUCAAGUAGAAAUAAGAAAGCAGCGCCAGUAUGCUAAAAAGAAAUGCAUGUAUUGAGAACAAACUUAAAUUUUUAUGAUGACUUCAUGAGGAUUUUAUUUUUUGUCUUCCACGUGUAGGUGGUACCAGAACUGUGACUGUGAGCACCAGAGGUUUACCAGUUACUACCAACUGAGAUUGCGCUGACUAUAGAAGAGGGUUUCUCUGGAAGAGCAGGAAUGAUGUCAAAGGAGGACAUUGCAUGAUAGCUUAGCCCAAUGUGACUCGGCCACUACAAUUGGGAGGACUUGGUUCAUCUCAUUUGCAAAAAAUGGGGUGGGCCUUGAGAAUGUGCUGAUUAUGGUUACAGAAAACAGUACCAAAUAAACCUUAGCCUUUCAUCCCCACCCAAGCACAUAAAGUAGUUAAUUCCCUUUCUCUAUUGCUUUGAAAUCAGAGAUUGGUAAUGGGAGGAAUAUCAAUUUCUGGACUGAUAGAUGGAUGAAAGGACAAAGGACAGAUCAUCUAGCACCAAAUAUGUUUGGAGCAAUCUCUAACAGAGCCAGAAAAAGAACAGUCCACGAUGCCCUCACUAAUCAACAAUGGAUUUCUGAUAUCCACGGUGCUCUUACAUUGGAAGUACUAAUGGAAUAUUUGUUACUUUGGGAUCUCUUAUCAGAAGUUGUUUUGCAUCCAGAUGUUGAAGACAUUCACAUUUGGCAAUUCUCACCCUCUGGGAUAUACUCAGCCAAGUCUGCCUAUGAAGUCUUGUUCAAUGGAUCCAUCCCCUUCUAGCCUGGGGAAAGGAUUUGGCAAAGUUGGGCACCUGGUAAGCAUACAUUUUUAUGUGGUUGGUGGCACAUAAGAAAUGCUAGACAACUGAUUGACUUGCAAAAAGAAAUUUGGAGCACCCUGAGAGUUGUCCUCUGUGUGAUCAGGAACCUAAAACAAUUUUUUGAAAAGGCAGGAGGUCUGCCAAGAUAUAUUGAUAAGAAGAAUAACAAGAGGUUUAAGUCAAUACAGUGACCGAAGCACUAGGCAAAGGUCCAACCUGAAGAGAAGUAAACAGAAAUAAAAAACAGACCCCACUAAAUAGUUGUUAAGGGGUAACUAGGUGCUUGGCCCCUGCCAAAUUCCAGGCUGCUGCCUCACUCUUGAUUUUGGCAAUGAUUUGUUGGCAGCUCGAGAAUCUGCGAUCAAAGAUUCUCGCAUUUCGUUCUCGCCAAAUCUCCCAGUUUACAAGGAUCAAUAGUGAUCUGAUGCCUUUUCUAUUGCAUCCCGGCAAAAAAGCCAGCUUUUCCCACCAAUGCCCCAGCGAGGGGGGUCGCUCCCAGUUAGACGGCUUCAGGCCCUCAACAGCUACCCAAACAGCAACUUCCUCCCAAAUUCUUUUGAUGAAACGACAUUCCACAAAAAGGUGAAGCCCCGAUUCCUGGGCAGCAUGACACAGGACACAAGUUGGUUCAUGGGGCCAAUUCCUGGCGGCUAAUCGAUCUGCUGUCCAAAUGCGAUUUUGAAUUGCUAACCAGCUGAAAAACUUGCAUUUUGGAGGCGCCCAAUUCUUCCAGAUGAUGAGGUCAUAAUUUGUGUGAACAGAGCCCAAAAAUUGUGCCUGAUAUGCCGAUUUGACUGUGUAGCGGUGAUCCGCAGUGAAAUUCCAGGUGAUGGCAUCAUCACGCUCUGGGUGAAGCUGGAUCUUUUGGACUUCAGACCAAAGAAUGCAGAACUCAUGAAUGUGGUGGGGAGUAAUCGGUCUAUCGAACAGCGCAAGAUCCAUGAUCCAGGCAUUGUUUGUGACCGCCUCCGCCAAAGAUUUCCUCUUAUUUCUUGAUAUAGAAAAGAGACGAGGCACCAAGUCCUUUGGCCUUUGCCCCCUUACCCAAGCGUUGCCCCAGAAGGAGAUUUUAGAACCAUCACCAAUCUCUAUGGUCGUUGAUGCCGCAAAAAGCAGUCUAUCAACAUCAGAGCAAGGAAUCUCUAAGUUGUCCCAAAUAUUCCGUGAUGAUGUGCAAUUAUGCCAGAGCCAUCGCGCGCGCAAGGCACGCGCAAAAGCGCCCAAAUCAAGAACUCCCAAGCCCCCAAGGGCUUUUGGCCUCGCCACCCGUUUCCAGUUGACUUUGCACUUUCCGCCCGUCAGUCGUUCAGAACCAGCCCAAAGGAAUUGUCUUCUUUUGGAGUCUAGUAGGCUAAUCGUUGCCUUGGGAGCAUUAAGGGUGGUUAAUAGGUAAAUUGGUUGUGAGGUAAGCACUGUUUUCACCAGAGUUAAGCGCCCUGCCACUGAGAAGUUUCUCCCAUUCCAGCUACUCAGUUUGUUCAAUACUUUGUCCACCAAAAACUGGAAGUGCCCCUUCCUGAGUCUAGUUGGGGUGAGAGGGAGGCCCAGGUACCGGAUCGGGAAGGUUGCUCUUUUGGCUGGGAAGCAACUAAGGAUGUCAUCAAGGGGUAGCCCCUGGCAACGGAUUGGGACAAUCAUGGACUUCUGAAAAUUGGUCAUCAGACCAGAGGCCUCGCCAAAUGAGGUGAGCAACUUGACAAUUGUCUCAAUAUCCUCUUUUUUCGGCUUAACAAACAAAGCUGCAUCAUCAGCAUAUAGCGAGAUCCUAAUGCUGGGCGAGUUGUUUCCCAACUUGUUCAAUGCUCCACUGUCCGCGGCGAUCUUUAGAAUUUUUUGCAAAGGGUCUAUCGCCAAGACGAACAGAAGAGGGGAGAGAGGAUCGCCUUGCCUGAGACCUCUCUCAUGAUGAAUAGGAGGGUUAGGGACCCCGUUAACGAGCACUCUUGAUGUUGAGGUGGAGAGGAUAGAAGCGAUCCAGUCAGUCCACCUCACAGGGAAUCCCAAAUUGCGGAGUAAGGCAAUCAAGUAAUCCCAACGGACGGAGUCAAAAGCUUUUUCAAUGUCUAGCUUGAGGAAUAGCGUGGGCGAAUUGAUACGCUGGAAGCGUCUAACAGUGCUUCUAACUGCAAGGAAGUUUUCAUGAAUGCUCCUUUUUUGAAUGAAGGCACUUAGGCAAGGUGAAACUAACUCAUUCAUUCUUGGUGCCAGACGAAGAGCCAGGGUUUUGGUGAUAAUCUUAAUGAAAGAAUGGAUGAGGCUUAUAGGUCUGAAGUCCCCAGCUACCUCCGCGCCUUCCUUUUUGGGGAUUAGAAUGAUGUUUGCUGAAUUGAUUAAUUGGAGGUUGAGGCAUCGAUUAUUAUAGAAAGCAUUCACUGCAGCCAUGAGAUCAUGCCUUACAAUGGUCCAACAAGAUUUAAGGAAAACACCAGUGAAGCCGUCCGGCCCUGGAGCCUUAUCUCCUGGUAAAAGAUCAAUACUUCUCUUAAUUUCCUCCUCGGAGAACGGCGCGUCGAGGCUUGAUAGAUCAAACUGCUGGUCAGAGAUAAUGUCCCAGUUAAGGUCGACAGAUCUAGGGGUUGGCCGCUUUAAAGCAUUAUGGAAGAAAUUUUGUAGCUCUUGUGCUUUUUCAUUGUGAGAGAAGACCCACCCAUUACCGGUCCGCAACCGUUGAAUGAAAUUUUUUCGCCUCCUGGAGCCAGCUUUCCGGUGGAAAAAUUUAGUGUUGGCAUCUCCGAAUUUAAGCCAAAGCAUGCGUGAGUUUUGCCUGUUUCGUGCCCUUUCAAUUACCGCAUAGCCAAGGAUGUGCAUCUUCAAUCUAUUUCGGAGGUUCACUUCCAUGUCGGACAGUCCCCUAUUUUCUUGUGCCAUGUCCAGUCUUAGAAUAACUUCUAGGGCCAUAUACAUAAAGAGUCUAGCAUCAGGUAUUAACUUGGAGCUCCAAUCCUUAAGCGCCUUGGCCGUGAACUGCAGUUUGUAGUACAGCCUAUGAAAAGGCUCACGAUGUUGGGUCGGUGCCAGCCAGGCUUGCUCAACUAUAUGCUGGAAACCUGGUAAUUUGGUCCAAAAAUUCUCAAAUCUAAAGGAACGUGGAUGCCUCGGCAUAGUAGUAUUGGAUAGGAGCAGCGGGCAGUGGUCAGAGACCGAGGAUGAUAGUGCAUGCAGACCAAAUAUUCCGAACAUCUCCUCCCAUUCAGAGUUGCAGAAGAAUCUGUCUAGUCUUACGAGAGUGGGAUGUCGUCUCUCAUUGCUCCAAGUGAACUUCCUGUUUUGCAAAGGAAUUUCUUUCAAGUCGCAAAUGUCAAGAGCUUGCCUGAACAGAAGCAUUAGGCGAGGGUUGACUCUAGAAUUGUUUUUGUCGCUUGCUUUGUAUGUGCAGUUGAAAUCCCCAAGGACCAACCAGGGGGAAGGUGAAGGAGGCCUCUGUGCACUCAUCUCUCUUAGAAAAUCAGGCUUGCGGCCUCUACAAGAUGGUCCAUAGACGACUGUCAGGUAGAAAGAAGCACGACGAUCCUUAAGAGAGACAAUUGCGGAUAUGUGGAAUUCUCCGAUAGUAAAAUUGGACAAUUCGAGUAGGUCGCUAUCCCAAAGCAAAAGAAUACCACCCCGGGUUCCACUAUUUCCUUCCGCAGGUUUAAAACUGAAUUUAUUAAGCUUUGGUCCUCCAAGCGCCGUCACAAUGGACCUGUCGACCGUUGAUAAUUUAGUCUCUUGCAAACAGGCAAGAUGGCAAGUGGUGGUGGAGAUCAUCGCGCGCACUGCAUCUCGGCGCGCUUGCAAAUUUAAACCCCUUACAUUCCAGCACAGGAUGCUAAAGUCAGACAUGGAGGAGAAAAGGACCCCGAUUAAUUACCGACAGCUGGAUGAAAUUGCAGCACUGCACAAUAAUGACAGUGAAACUUAAAGGGGCCACCAGGGCCAACACAAGCAUGGCUGUUAAAGGUCUGAAGCAAAACAGCAACCCAAUACAGUCCAGGGUGCUCACAAAAGUAGUAGAAACUGAACUGAGACUCAUUGACAUAACAAAAGUAGACCCACAUCAUCUAACAUGGAGCUAAAACAACCAUCAAUCAAGCCGCAGCAACUGCUCUGGCCUCUGCAUGCAUGGCGUCCACCUCCUCUUGGAUCUCAGCUAUAGCAUCUCCAGCAAUUCCCAUCAAGGCCUUGUCGAGGCGAACUGUGUCUGGCGUAUCAAGAUUGAACAGAGCAUCUAGGGCCGUCCCCAUCUCCACAGUCAGUGGCUUCUUGAACCAAUCCUGAAAUUCCUGCAAAGCAGUAUUAAAAUCAGCAGCGUCAUCUUUUGCCAAGAGACCAAGCUUGCGGCAGAGGACGCGCUGGGCCCGUUGCAUGACAUUCGUUCGAGGGCCGUUGGCAAGUCUGGCGCUAUGACGUACCGUCGAAAGGUUGAAGCCGUGUUGCUGCUUGAUUCUUCUAGCAGGUGCUGCAGGAAUAGUAGACAGAGUGGUCGCUGGUGUUGUUACCCCCUCCGAAGGAUGUAGCACUGGUCGCUCAAGUAUGGCAGGCGAGGGCUUGGUGAAUAUGGUGUUGAGUAGAUGGCUUUGCGCGGUGGUUGACACCGCUGCAACAUCUGUUGAAGGUUCAUGUACCGCAGCUAUCAUCCGAGAGGAAGCGUCGACAUUGGAGUCCGUCACAGCUUCGGCGUUGUAGCCCGCAGCAACCGUGCUGCAGGGAGAGCCUAACAGCACAUGGUCCUCCACAGACUGCACCAAAGGCAGUAGCUGCAUAGCAGGGCAUGUUGGAAUGGAAUCGAGAAUAGUUGUGAAUGCUCGCUGCACUGGGAUGAGACUUACGUUGUCUGCGAAGUUCAUCCUGCUGCCAUCCCAGACAGCAAGGUUGCUGUCGCCAGCAGCAGCCCCUGGGACCGAAUCGACUUGGCCCUUAGGCACCAAGCGCGGUCGCCUUCGGUACACGCAGCCAACGCGAUAACGACCUUUAGGGAGAGCUGCAGCCUUCACAGCAGGGCGCGGAGAACCGUCGUUGCCACCACCGCGUGAGCUGCGGAUGCCGGGACUGCAGGCGCUUGGUGGAAAUCUGGGGCGAGCAGGAUGCCGUGGGGGGGGGGGGGUCGCUGAACGGCCACGCCGGACAGCAACACGGGUGGAACGGCGCACACGGCUGCGUCCACGUCUCGCCGGGUCACGACCAAUCGCCGGGUCACGACCAACAUGUGGCGUAACCAACGACGCGCCUCCGGCAUGACGAGGCUGCUGAUCGCCGUGAAGGUGGUGACGAAGCUGCUGAUCGCCGUCGAGGUGGUGACGCCGCCCGGAUGAGUCAUGGCGCAGGCCAUGGCGCGACCCCGAGCGCUCCCGCUCGCGGUCCCUGGGAGCCCGCGAGAUGCUACGAAAGAGCCGGGAGCUCCAACUGUCGUCGCGUCCUGGGCGGCGACCACGACGGUCACUAUCACCAUCCUCAUCCCUGCGACGGUUGCUGCGAGGUGGUGGAGGGUCGUGACGGUCACGUGGUUCGCACUCGCCGUCAACAACACCAAGCCGCCAAUCAUACGCACGUGGAUGCCCAUGGCCAUCCCUGGUAGGGGGGUCUUCCACCAUAUCAAGAUGGACGAUGACCCUGAAGGUUAAGCCGCUACGCCCCGCCGGUGUCGCGUCGUGGGCAGUGUUGUUCCUGUCAACAAUGGUCAGCCACGUUACCUUAGGUAUGUCAGACGGGUUUCGCGCCCACGCCCACAGAUUGAGCGUCGUAGCAUCCUCCAUUCGCAGCGACUGGGCUUCAACGUAGUCCAGCACACAGGACUUAGCCACCGCACGCUUGGCGAUGCCAUCGUUCCAUGCGUGCAGAGGGAUGCCUUCCAGGCACAGGCGCACGUGGGAGCCGAAGACGCUGUGGUCACCGUGGACGGGGAGCUGCCACGGCCUGACGCGGAUGUCGAUGUUGUUGUAGGUGAAGUCGCGUUGCGCCACAGCCGUGUCCCGGUGAUGCUGGUGUUCAAAGGUGACGAGGAAGUCCUCUGGAUAGUGUCUCACCACCUUGAUGUCUUCUUCGCGCAUCCUGAACCUAGAGCAGAAAGCUCUUCUAACUGUGUUAGUGCUUGUUGCCGGUCGAACGCCGCCGAGCCAGGCCCAUGCCGCGUGGGUGCUCAACCGCGCCAGCUCGCUGUCCAUGUCCCGAGAGGACGCGGCAACAACGAAAGUCUCCUGCGGGCGCUCCAUGGGGUUGCCAGGCUUCACCAUGUUGACUUGGCGCAGAGGAGGGAAGUUGACGUUGUCGAAGCAGGGAGGUGGUGGGAAGGCAGAGGGGGUAGAAGCAGCAGCACUAAUCUUCUUGGGACAUUGCCAGGCUCUGUGUCCAGGGCCGCCGCAGUUGAAGCAUUUCAACGGAUCCCUGCAAUCAAUGGCGUAGUGCCCUCUGGCCAGACAUCGGAAGCAUUUACCUCUCAGACUUACCUUAAGAUUUUUGUUGUCCAGAUGGCGGAACCUUGAAUGCUCGGUUGUUGGCUUCAAUGAAGUCGCAGGCGAAUUGAAUCUCCUGCGGAGUCGCCGAUGGACCGUUGUCCAGCCGGGCAAAUCUUCAGUGCCGGAUUCAGCGGAUUUGCUGCGUUGAGGAGUGAUGGGACGCAGGCCUGGGUAUUGAAGUUGGUGGGUAGCAGUCCCAUCCCGGCCGUGCGGAGUGAUUUUUGUUGGAGCAGCAGACGCGUCAAAGCAGGAACGAUGAGAUUGGUCGGCGGACAGAGCUGAUUCGGCGAACCUAACUCUCCUGGUGCAGGCGGCCUUAGCUGUCGACGAACCGGCGGCAGGCUUGAGGCAGGACCGCGUCGAAGAAGAAGUUCCGGACUCAGAUCUAGGAAUGCGGGCGUCCGCGUCGAAUGCUGGAAUCCCCACUGAGGCAGGGUGGAUCUGGAGGAUGGAGGCCUGAUCAAUGGGUUGAUGGAGGGGUUGGGGUUGGUUUUCCGGCGAGUCGGCGGGGGGAGCGGCAGCGGCGGCAAGUGCGGUGCUAGCCGCCGCGAGGACAGGGAGAGCGUCCAUCCCCAAGAUUCGUAUCAGCUAUUGAACCUAAAACAAUUGAUCAUUUGCUAGGCAGUUGUAACACAUUUAGUAAAUUUGGCCUGCAAGCAUUGGCCCCUCAAGGGCUUGUUCGGUUCUACCCCAAUCCAUAUGGAUUGAGGGAGAUUGAGGGGGUUUCAAUCUCCAGUAAGUCAAAAUUCCCUCCAAUCCAUAUCAAUCCCCUCCAAUCCAUAUGGAUUGAAAAUAACCAAACAAGCCCCAAGUGGGCAGGCUUUCCUUUGAUGACUGGUGGGAAACAGUAAAUAGCCGAGUGGAGGGUCAGAUUAGAAAAGAGUUGAACUCUGUCAUCAUCCUCUGUGCUUGGUCAAUUUGGACUCACCGAAAUAAGUGUGUUUGAUGGAGUGUCCCCAAAUUUAAAUGUUGUUUCGGCAGUGGUGGAUGAGGAAUUACAGAGGUGGAGUAUGGUUGGAGCAAAAGGGAUAUCCUACCUGCUUGCUAUGGCUCCUGGGUCGGAGCAGAUGAAUGCUAUGUGUGGGUUAAGGUCGUGUAUCCCUCUGUUUCUAGUGGUGUAAAUAGGUAGUUUGAGGCUAGGUUUUUAGGCUUCUUAGUUGCCUAAAACCUGGCUGUUUCUUUCGGGUUUUCUGUAACCUUUGGUCCCUUUCUUCUUAAUAUAAUUAUUUUCUUUUCUUUUCUUUUUCUAUUUUCCUAUUUAUUUCCUUUCCAUUUCAAAUCCAAAAUUACAUGGUAUAACAACUUAAACUACUAUAAGCAUUACAUGGUCAGAUAUGUAUAGCUUAACUCGGAUAAUCUCAAUAUAAAAAUGAGGGUUCCCUUCUAAUUGUCCUUACUCCUUACAAAACAACAUCAGAAACAACUAACCCUUCCUGUUACAUCAGUUUGAAAACUGGGACAAUAACUUUUUUUGUCAAGUAAACAAACCGGAAGGGAACAACCUAUGAUAUAUGGUUAAGCUGUACACAGUUUCACCGGCAUUGAGCUGUUGGUAGCUUCACCGCUGGCUCCUCUUGCCCCCUUUGCUAGAGCUAUCAUCAUGUGCUUCUGCACUCCUCUUCCUGCCUUUGCUGGGGCUAUCUACCUGUGCCCCAGCGCUACUUUUCCUGCCUUUGAUGGGGCUAUUUUCCUGUGCCCCAACAAUCCUCUGCUCACUCUUUGGAGGCUGACCCACACCCCUCUUCUUGGCUGGCUCAUAUGUCUUUGUAGUCUUUUGAUUAGCCAGCUCAUCACUGCAAGGUCUUUUGCCAUCCCCUUCCUUGGCAGCAGCAUCCCUUGAAGAAACCUUGCUUGCCCUUGCAUCCCCAGAGUGCAAGCUUGUUCUUGAAAAAUGCAGGGAUCGAGCAUUCUUCUUUAUUACAGGGGCACCAGCUGUUCUGGUCUCUCGAUGGCUUUUCAAGAACAAGCUUGCACUCCGCUUCACAGUUUUGCAUGCAAAGUCACGAAGCUCAACCGCAGCCAUGUGCUCUAAUGUAGUCUUCGGAUAGAAGGUUAUUACAUUAUUGAUGAAAAAAUAAGUAUAUCUCUCAAAAGCUCCUUGGUGCCAGAGAUUACAUGUUGAAUAAUUAGACAAAUUCCAAAUUAAAUUCCGAAUAUAAAUCAUGACCAAAUCAGAAGAACUGAAAUAAAAGCCAAAUCAGAUGAUGCGUACUGAUUAGACUUACUGAUUGUUGGCGCGCGCCAGAAUCAGCUGGGUCGACGAUGUCAGAAGAUCACGAGCAGUCGCGUGAAGACGCUUCCCAACUCACAUUUUUAUAUUCAGAAUGAUAUCACGACCAAAUCACAUUUUUUACUGGUAUGCAACAGCUGCUCCACAACUUCAUAUGGGAGAAUGAUAUCACAAUGUUGGAUCAGUAGGUGAACUGUUCUUUUAUUGUCCACUAUCAUAAGAUUGAUAAUCUGAAGAAUAUUAAAAAAAGUGUUUAAGUCAAGGAUAUGGAAUGCUUUUUCUAAAACGUACCACUGUAGAAUGUAACUUUGUAUUAGCAGCUAGAUUGGACUCCUCCAUUUUGAUACCUUAUCAUGAAUAGCAUCAUGCAAGUUGUAUUUCUCAAUAAACUCGAAUACUUCUGGCUUCAGGAGCUGAACCAAAUGGGUUUAAUUAGAAAUAAUUUGACAAUAAAAAUGUAUAUUUUGAUAUGUGCCUACAAAUACAGCUUUAGGAUGUACUUAUUUUAGCAUAAAGAGAAAGUGCCUUUUCGUAUUGACCAUUGAUCACAUAUAAUUCAGCUAAUGACUACAUGGCACAUAAGGCAGAUAUCAACCAAAUAGGGAAAGAAUAUGAAGUGUAAAUAUAUGUUUUACAAUCAUUAAAUAAUGUCCCUCCCCACCUCUUUCAAUGAAUCAGCCAUCGAUGAGGAGUUUAGUUGUGGCUCAACGGCAGAUAUGACCGGUGAGGCUGAGUAUAAUGUCGGUGGCCAAUUUUUUAUAGUAGUCAAGAGAAGUUCAUGGAAAGAAGGAUUGAUAGUUAGAGCAACAAGGGCAACCUACACAAGAAAAUCAGAAUAGUAUUACAACAGAUAGGUGUUAAAAUUAGUAAUGGAACUUACAAGUUAGCACCACACCUCAUAUGCAGUAUCACUCAGCUGAGGAUUUUCUGUAGGAAUAUAAGGGACCAAAAUAGGAAGUUGGCGGAGAUGAGCAAAGUGGAAGACCCAUGUGUCGCAUAAAAGUUUUGAUUAAAAAAUGAAUCAAUUAACACGUAGGGUGAGAUCCAUCAAAAUCUCACAACUCAUCGGUGUUAUGCUAGAUCAUUCAACAAAAGGUGAUAUCUGUGUAUCCACAUAUUUUCUAACCUCUCCCAUGCUGAAGGGGAUCCUCGCAACAACUUUGGGCAGCGCUGAGCAACUUCAGCGUAUUUUCUUUCAAUUAUCGAGUGAUCAAGGUAUCUUGAGCCCACCUGGAUUACCAUGAAUGAACCGACUUAAAUGCAUAAAGUACAAGUACUAACAGUCGCAAUAUCAACAUGAUGACCCUAAAAAAAGCUGGAAGUUGGCUUACCCCCUUGCGGUGGGACCGACACACAUAUUACAAAAAUAAAUCUAGCAUUAUUACAAAAAUGAGAGAUAUCCUACCGAAUUAAGCAUCUCUAGUGUAUAUCAUAAGCAACAUUACAAUUUUAGCAUCUUAAUUAGCAGUAGUAAAAAACUAACCUGGAGUCGUGAUGUCCCUCCAUUAUUACAAAAAUGAGAGAUAUCCUACCGAAUUAAGCAUCUUUAGUGUAUAUCAUAAGCAGCAUUACAAUUUUAGUAUCUUAAUUAGCAGUAGUAAAAAACUAACCUAGAGUCGUGAAGUCCCUCCACAUCUUCAGAACGUGCGGGGGUAAGGUGUCACAUCCGGUUUUAAGGAACAAAGCCGGGUGCAUCUCAUACAUGCGCCAAAGAAGACAACAUAUAUAAUAACAGAGUGUAUAGAGAUAAAUGUCACAAUAUAAUCAGAGUACUUUAUUACAUAGCGGAAGUCUUACAAAAUAAGAGAUAAAUAUCACAGGAUCUAAAAUCUAUCCUUGGCGCCAGAAAGCUGACUGGGAAACGCCACCUAGAUCAAGUCGAAUGCCUCAGUGUUAGGCGGCUCCUCUUCGACCACCUGUUCUUCUCCUGUGGGGGGUGUGAGACAGCAAGAGUGAGCUCACAUACGUUCAUAGCUCAACAAGUCGUAGGGAAUAAUGUGGCAUGAACUCACCAAAGGUGGGAGUUCAUAUGAAGUGUAAGGCUGAUCAACAAAGUAAGGGCUGAGGCUGAGCAUUGCUUUUAUAAGUUGGUCAAAUUUUUAUUAGCAAUUACUAAAUGUAAGUAAAUACCAAACCUUAAUAAUAAUAAAGAAAAGUAAUAGUAAAAUAAUCCCAAAUGCGAUGCAAAUGUCAAAUUAAAUUUAAGUUCCAUAAUUAAUCAUGUGAGGGUUCGAGCUGCUCAUGACCGUGAGCACGGCUAGUAUACCAGUUUUACACUCUGCAGAGGUUGCGCAUCUUUACCCACAAGUCACGUUACCCAUCUGCCAAGAGAUGGCCAAUCCCAUACACCUCUACCGAGGAGGCGAGGCUGGGUAACACUACGAGGCCUUUACAAAGUUCCACUAGCUUCAGAAAUCCCGCUACAGUUUAUAGGAAGCUCCAGUGCAGGAAUCCCUCGCCUGACCGCCAUCGUAGCAAAAUCAACCCAAGGACCUCCCUACACUGACCACUCCCCUACUGCCCUUGCCCCUUUCGGGUAAGGAAGACAUCCACUAGCUUUCCUAGUUAAUCGGCCAAGGACGUCCCAUUAUACCCUUGUGGUAGCACUGUUUUCCCGGGUGGUCGCUCCAUGUUCCCAUUAGCAUAAUGAUCUUAACAUGAACAUUAAUAAUAAAAAGAUAAUAAAAGUGUAGUAAUUAAUAGUGUAUCCACAUACCCAAAACCACAAUAAGCGAUAGCAAGUACUAUCCAAAAAUAUUCAGUGGCAAAGCAAGGUAUAAAGAUAGCAAAACUGGGGUAACAUAUUGGGUCCCAUCAAAAUUAACCUAUGCAGAUCAUUAUAAUUAAUAAGAACAUGGCUGGGAAAAAGUAAGUGAUCAAGGGCACAACUUGCCUUCGAUGAGCUCCUGCUCAGCUACUUCUACUUGCUGAACCUCAGAAUCCACAAGGCUUGCUCGUCUACUCGCAUCAACACAAUAUAUACAUAGUAUAUCAUAAAUUAACAUCACAUCAAACAUGUAAAUAAAAUAUACAGUAAAAGUCUACACAUUAAAAUGAGAUCCUUGGAACCGGAAUCAUUAAAUUUGGAGCUAUAGAUUUCAAGUUAUGAAUUUCCUAAGAUUUAAUGUGCUUGAACUAGGAUUAAAUGAUAAAUUAAUUUUCUUACCGUUUUAUGUCAAAACAGAGACACUAAAUGAUAGACAAUAUUAUUAUAAAAUUUUAGAAAUUGAAAUGGGUCAAUUUGGAUUUAAAGUGAAUUAGAUAUGAAUUUUCCAAGUUCUAGCAAUUAUUCUUGUAUUAAAAAUACAUUUACUAAUUCAUUUGCACAUUUUAAACGGGCUCUGAACUGGGCGUCAAUUUCUGGUAAGCACAGGGUUCUCAGUGUAAGUUUUCUAAGACACAGAGCACAGUAUGAGUGGAUGGCGGGUUGUUUUCUGAUAAGCGCAGGGGCUCUUUAGCAAUGUUGACCCGCGAAGGGGUACAGUCAGAUCUCGGCUAUUGGAUCACAAGCUGACGGUGCGGAUUAGAUCGGUUUUAUCCCGAACCGGUACGCAAACGGGGCCCUUGGAUCCAUGAUCAAGGGUCCAGGUUCAACGUACACGCGACUAGAUCCUAACUAUCCAAUACCGGAUCGACGCCACAGAUUACGCGGCGCGAAUCGGUACACAGAGUAUUGAUCCCAAUCGUCCGUUAUGAGAUCGACGCUCCAUAAUCUACCCCCUUCUCCCCACCCAGAGCACGGCGGCAACGCCGCCGGCUACGACGGCGGACAUGGCCGGAGCCAGGUCGUCGACGAUCCUACACGCUAAAUUAACGGAAAAUUGACCCUAUACGUAGCUAGCUCUCUACUGAGUUCGUCUGGGUCGACAUUACUCGAAGUUAGGGCACUGAAACGCUAUGACCUCACCAUCGACGGCCCGAAGGUAGCACGACCACUCCGGCGACGCAUUACCUUGGCUAAUCAAACCCGUGAGCUAUGAUUCUUGGUUCUACGUGUUCUAGGGAAUAAGGGUAAUAUCGGGGUGGUUUCUUACCUGCACCCGGGUCGUGGCGCGACCGGUUCACGAGGCGGCGGAUUCCGCGGCGGAGCUGGGUGUCGACGAGCAAUUGGUCGUACCCGAGGCGAUGGUAGCGGCCCGCGGUACUCCAAUUGACUUCAACGUCCCCCGACGACGGCCAUGCAAGCAACAACGGAGCUGCUUCACUGAGGAGCCGAGGAAGGAUCGACGUGACACUCACUCUCCCUCACGACGGCGACUUUGAUUUGCGCUACGCGGCUAGGGCAGACGAGCGAGUACAUGGCAAGUCAAGGGAAUACUAGCGACGAGUCAUGGUACUUGUAGGGCGGUUCAAACGGGUCCCAGUCAAUCCCCCACGCCACGCUGAGCCGAUGCGAGUGCCGGCGUUCUCGGCAGAGUCGUUACGGGACGAAGCUGACGCUGUGGCCCCGCAUGUAGGUGACUGGCGCGAGGGAGAGGAUGGCCAGUGGCCCCGCGAAGCAGCCGGUCGAGCGCGCGUGCAGCGGUUGGUCUUGGGCCGCGCAGAGGGAAAAUGCACCUUGGGCCAGAAGGGAGGCAGUCGGCCUAGGUAAGGUUUUCUUUUUCUUUUUCUUUUUCUGAUUCCCUCUUUCUCUAUUUUCAAAUCCAAUUUGAAUUCAAGUUUAAAUUCAAACUUUAUGGCUCCUCAUUCACACUAUAUUUGUGCAGUUAAAAGUAAUAAGUUUAAGGAUAUUUAUAUUAUUUAUAUUUUUGUAUCAUUCCUCUUCUUAUUUUCAAAACCCUAUUUUCAAAUGUAGGGUUUUAAUUCCACUUCUAGUAAUUAUUAUAUUAUUAUUAUUAUUAACAUCAUUAUUUUAUUUAAUGCACAAACAUAUAAAACUCCAACAUGAUGCAUUUUUUUAUCAUUUGUUUGAAUUAACCUCUAAAUUUUGUGUAUGCUCUUUUUAUGAGGCAAAUGAGGCACAUAAAGUUGAGGAGAUCUCUCUAUUAUUCCUUGUAUACAACUUUGAGUAUUACAAAUCCUACCCCCCUUAAAAAUAAUCUCGUCCUCGAGAUUUAAGAAGAUGUAAGGAAAAGGUGGGGAAAAUCUAUGCGAAGCUCUUCUUCUCUUUCCCAAGUAGUUUUUAUCUUCUCUAUGAUGACUCCACUGCACUUUGCACAUCUUUAUCACCUUAUUUCUCGUAACUCGAGUCAAUGUAUCAAAAAUCUUGACAGGAUACUCCAUGUAAGUCAAAUCACUCCAAACACUGAGCUCAUCCAUUGGUAACUGUUCCUCAGGAACACGGAGACACUUCUUUAGCUGAGACACAUGAAACACAUCAUGUACAUCUGAAAGAUGAUCGGGUAACUCCAGUUGAUAUGCAACUUCUCCCACUCGCUUUAAGAUCAAGAAAGGUCCAAUGAAGCGAGGGGACAACUUUCCUUUAACUUUAAAUCUCCUCAUACCCUGGAGUGGUGACACCUUCAAAUAGACAUAAUCACCUUCUUUAAACUCUAGCUGUCUUCUUCGGGUAUCAGCAUAGCUUUUCUGCCUUGACUGUGCAGUUCUCAAAUUUUCCCUUAUUUGCUGGACUUGUUCUUCUGCUUCUUGUAUAAUCUCAGGCCCAACAACUGCCUUUCACCAGUUUGAUCCCAAUAUAGUGGAGUCCUGCACUUUCUGCCAUACAAAGCCUCAAACGGUGACAUCUUCAAACUGGCCUGAUAGCUAUUAUUAUAAGAGAACUGCGCAUAAGGUAAACUCUUAUCCCAACCUCCACCAUGUUUAAGAGCACAAGCUCUUAACAUAUCCUCUAGCACUUGGUUGGUCCUCUCAGUCUGCCCAUCAGUCUGUGGAUGGUAAGCCGAACUAAAAUUCAAUCUGGUAUCCAAGGACUCGUGCAACUUCUUCCAAUACCGCGAAGUAAACUGUGAUCCCCGGUCUGACACAAUCUUCUUUGGCACACCAUGUAAGCAGACAAUCCGUGCCAUGUACAACUCUGCCAAUUUGGCUCCUGAAUAUGUGGUCUUUACUGGAAUAAAGUGGGCUACUUUUGUUAGCCUGUCCACAAUCACCCAUAUAGAAUCAUAUCCAGCAGACGUGCGGGGUAAUCCAACAAUGAAGUCCAUGCCAAUUCUUCCCAUUUCCACUCAGGUAUCUUCAGUGGAUGCAGUAGUCCGGCUGGCCUCUGGUGUUCAGCCUUAACUCUUUGGCACACAUCGCACAUAGCCACAUGUGCAGCCACAUCUCUCUUCAAUCCAUACCACCAAUAUUUUUGCUUCAAAUCCUGAUACAUCUUAGUGCUCCCAGGGUGGAUAGAAUAAACUGAAUCAUGUGCCUCCUUCAAUAUGGUUUCCCAAAGACUAUCGAUAUCAGGAACACAAAUCCGAUUCUUGAACCAUAUCAUGCCUUGCUCAUCCUCUGUGAAUUCCGGGCCUCUACCCUCUGUUAUCAGAUCUUUGAUCUCCUGAAUCUUAGCAUCACCAACCUAACCUUUACGAAUUUCUUGCUCCAAGGUAGGUUCCAAUUCAAUGGUAACUCCUUCUGUAUGUGUAACAAUUCCCAGGUUGAGCCUCUCAAAAUCUUUUGCUAAUUCAUCAGGUAGCUGGACAACGAAAGCGGAGUGAACAUGAUCCUUCCGACUCAAGGCAUCUGCAACAAAAUUUGCCUUGCCUGGGUGAUAGUGAAUCUCCAAAUCAUAAUCCUUAAUAAGCUCCAACCAACGGUGUUGCCUAAGGUUGAGAUCCUUCUGAGUGAAUAUGUACUUCAAGUUCUUAUGAUCCGUGUAUACUUGGCGCUUAGUUCCCAUAAUGUAGUGUCUCCAAAUCUUAAGUGCAUGCACAACUGCUGCCAGCUCUAAGUCAUGAGUGGGGUAGUUCAAUUCAUGUUUCCGUAGCUGACGAGACGCAUAGGCGAUGACAUGUCCUUCUUGCAUGAGCACACAUCCCAAAUUCCCAAUCCUUGGCCACAUGCAUCACAAUAAAUGUCAAACCCCUUCUGUAGGUCUGGCAUAAUCAACACUGGUGGCGACAUCAAUCUCUUCUUCUAUUGAUCAAAGCUUUCUUGGCAUUUCUCAUCCCACUUGAAUUCUCUUCCUUUCUCCAAAAGCGAGGUCAUAGGCUUGGCAAUCUUAGAGAACCCUUCAAUAAAUCUCCGAUAAUAUCAUGCGAGUCCCAAGAAACUCCGAAUCUCAGUAACUGUAGUGGGCACUCUCCACUCCAUUAUCUCCUUCACUUUAGCAGGAUCCACUGCUAUUCCUCCAUUGGAAAUAAUAUGUCCAAGGAAUGGCACCUUGUCAAUCCAAACCUCGCACUUGCUAAACUUGACAUAGAGUUGAUUAUCUCGUAACUUCUGUAACACCAACCUUAGAUGUUCUUCAUGAUCGCUUUCACUCUUAGAAUAAAUAAGAAUAUCGUCGAUGAACACCACGACGAAUCUGUCCAAAUACUCCAUAAACACCUUAUUCAUCAAAUUCAUGAAAUAAGCUGGUGCAUUGGUUAAUCCAAAUGACAUAACAGUAAACUCAUAUAAUCCAUAUCGGGUUGAGAAAGCCAUCUUAGGAAUAUCUAAUGGUCUAAUCUUCAUCUGAUGGUAUCCCGAUCGGAGAUCAAUCUUCGAGAAUACCCUGGCUCCUCUCAUCUGAUCAAACAAAUCCUCAAUACGGGGUAAUGGAUACUUGUUCUUCACAGUAACAUCAUUAAGUGAUCUAUAGUCCACACACAUCCGCUGUGAUCCAUCCUUCUUCUGUACAAAUAACACCGGUGCUCCCCAAGGUGAGGAACUCGGACGAAUAUACCCCGCCUCCUGUAACUCAGUUAACUACUUCUUAAGCUCCUUCAGUUCUUCUACAACCAUCCUGUAUGGUCGCUCAGAUAUAGGGGCAGUUCCAGGUAAAAGAUCAAUCACAAACUCAACUUCCCUAUCUGAUGGCAUCCCUGGUAACUCCUCUGGAAAGACAUCCGGAAAAUCUCUAACCACCCGGAUGUUGUCACCAACAAACUCCUCAGGUAUAAAGAACAUUGCACGCUUGGAUGAGGUGGUUACUACAAUAUUAACUUGAAAUGUUUCUCCUUUAGGACUAGUGAGUUCUAUAGUUCCUCUACCACAUGCUAUAAUGGCCUUUGCCUUCCUUAACCAUGACAUACCAAGAAUCAGAUCUAUACUGCUGGCCUCUAAUAUUAUAGCAGUAGCUCCAAAUUUUCUUCCCAUAAUUGAUAAUGUCAAUCUACGUGUCAUUUGAUUUGCCUCAAUAGGCCCUUUAGGUGUGAUUACUAUCAUUGGUUUUCUCAUAUUUAGCAGGGGUAUCUCAUUAGUGUUGGCAUAUCGAGCAGACAUGAAUGAAUGUGUAGCACCAGAAUCAAAUAGUAUGGUUGCAGGAAUGGCAUUAAUGUAAAACAUACCGAGUACGAUGUCAGCACCAUCAGGAGUAUCAUCAACACUGACUUGAUUCACCCUGGCUAUAGAAUAUCCCUUGCCAGGAGCCUGUUGCUUGUUCUUAGCUGGUGUACCAGAAUUCCCCAUAGGACAAGCAUUAGCAUAGUGCCCAAUCUGACUGCACUUGAAGCAUGUAGGGCCAGUCUUCUGUCCUGUAGACCUCGUCGGGGUGCCAGUGGGAGUAGCCUGACGAGUAGGAGGUGUCCGUGGAGAUCCCUGUGGAGCAUACUGAACUGGGCGUGGUCCUCCUGGUCGAGUCGGUGUACUCUGUGGCGAAACGUAGCGGGGACGAACACUGCUGCUACCGUGUCCCUGUGAGAUAGCCUUCCUCUUCAAAUCACCCAGUUGAACACGCUUGUGUUCAAUAGCAAGAGCCUUAUCCAGUAGCCUCUGAAAUGAUGGAAAUGUGUGUGCAACCAGCGCAUACUGUAGGGAUCCAUUAAGUCCUUCAAUAAAGUGCUCCUGCUUUCUUUCAUCCUCAACAACUUCCUCCGGAGCAUAUAUCGACAGCUGAAUAAAUUUGUCUCUAUACUCGCUGACCGACAUGUUGCCUUGCUUCAAUGAUAGAAACUCCUUCUUCUUGAUCUUUAUCAAUCCAGCUGGAAUAUGGUAGUUCUUGAACUGCGUACUGAACUCUGCCCAAGUAAUAGUAUCAGCAGCAUCAUGGGCAGCAGUAUAAGAAUCCCACCAGUCAACAGCAGGACCUGUCAGACGACCCGAGGCAUAAAGAACUUUCUCCCAGUCUGAGCAUUGGGCGAUGUUAAGCAUCUUCUCAAUUGACUUCAACCAAUCAUCUGCAUCAAGUGGAUCUGGCGAACUGGCGAAGGUCGAUGGCUUAUGGCUCAUAAAUUCCCGGUGCUUAUCACGAGGUGGAACUGGUGGUGGUGGAGGAGGCAAUGGUACUUGCUGCUGUUGCUGUUGCUGUUGAAAUUGUUGUUGCAGCUGCUGUUGCGCCCUUCUCUCCUGGCGUAUCUCUUCUCUCUCCUGGCGCAACUCUUGGCGUAUCUCUUCUCUUUCCUAACGCAUCUCCUGGCGUUCCUGCUGCAUCUGAGCACGCAUAUCUGCCAUAGUGUCCGCCAUUUGCUGCAUCAUUCUCAUCUGAGCUGCAAUCAGUGGGUAAACUCCGCCUGGUGGAGGAUUAGGAGGAUUCAUCUCUGCUGGCUGUGGCUGAGGUUGUCUAUAUAUCCACCGAGUGUGUCGAUUAGGAGGCAAAUCAAUUCCACCACCCCUCCUGGUAUUGACCAUCUGAGUUAGAUACAUAUGGUAAGAGAGAGUAGUAGACAAGGCGGUAAUUACGAAUCAUGUUACUUUGGGGGAUUUAUUAGCUAAGCAGAUUAAUGUUUUACCUACCAUAGCUAAUUUAUUACCUUAUGGUGGAACAUACUAAGAUGUCCAUAUAUAAUAUUUCAAUCAAUCAAAGAAGCAAAUCAGACAUUUAUCAUCAGAACAAUCAAACAACAUUUUUAAAUAUAGAAAAUAGUUUUGGUUGGGUUUUAGGCCUCCUAUCUCUUAAAAAUGUCAUAGGGGUAGGGAUUCCAAGGUGUGAAAUCCGUCUUGUCUUGGAGUAGAAAAGGUAAGAAUCAUCAGAGUAGAACAGUAGAAGGUGAGUCAGGAUCAAGAUAAGUAUAGAGAGAAUCAGAGUAAGGUAAGUAUAGAAUGAAUCAGAAUAAGGUAAGUAGGUAAGGGUUUUAUCCAUUUCUAUCUAGGUUUCGUCCUACAGUCAACAUUUCCUCUGAUACCACUUUUGUCACACCCGGUUUUAAGGAACAAAGCCGGGUGCAUCUCAUACAUGCGCCAAAGAAGACAACAUAUAUAAUAACAGAGUGUAUAGAGAUAAAUGUCACAAUAUAAUCAGAGUACUUUAUUACAUAGCGGAAGUCUUACAAAAUAAGAGAUAAAUAUCGCAGGAUCUAAAAUCUAUCCUUGGCGCCAGAAAGCUGACUGGGAAACGCCACCUAGAUCAAGUCGAAUGCCUCAGUGUUAGGCGGCUCCUCUUCGACCACCUGUUCUUCUCCUGUGGGGGUGGGAGACAGCAAGAGUGAGCUCACAUACGUUCAUAGCUCAACAAGUCGUAGGGAAUAAUGUGGCAUGAACUCACCAAAGGUGAGAGUUCAUAUGAAGUGUAAGGCUGAUCAACAAAGUAAGGGCUGAGGCUGAGCAUUGCUUUUAUAAGUUGGUCAAAAUUUUAUUAGCAAUUACUAAAUGUAAGUAAAUACCAAACCUUAAUAAUAAUAAAGAAAAGUAAUAGUAAAAUAAUCCCAAAUGCGAUGCAAAUGUCAAAUUAAAUUUAAGUUCCAUAAUUAAUCAUGUGAGGGUCCGAGCUGCUCAUGACUGUGAGCACGGCUAGUAUACCAGUUUUACACUCUGCAGAGGUUGCACAUCUUUACCCACAAGUCACGUUACCCAUCUGCCAAGAGAUGGCCAAUCCCAUACACCUCUACCGAGGAGGCGAGGCUGGGUAACACUACGAGGCCUUUACAAAGUUCCACUAGCUUCAGAAAUCCCGCUACAGUUUAUAGGAAGCUCCAGUGCAGGAAUCCCUCGCCUGACCGCCAUCGUAGCAAAAUCAACCCAAGGACCUCCCUACACUGACCACUCCCCUACUGCCCUUGCCCCUUUCGGGUAAGGAAGACAUCCACUAGCUUUCCUAGUUAAUCGGCCAAGGGCGUCCCAUUAUACCCUUGUGGUAGCACUGUUUUCCCGGGUGGUCGCUCCAUGUUCCCAUUAACAUAAUGAUCUUAACAUGAACAUUAAUAAUAAAAAGAUAAUAAAAGUGUAGUAAUUAAUAGUGUAUCCACAUACCCAAAACCACAAUAAGCGAUAGCAAGUACUACCCAAAAAUAUUCAGUGGCAAAACAAGGUAUAAAGAUAGCCAAAACUGGGGUAACCUAUUGGGUCCCAUCAAAAUUAACCUAUGCAGAUCAUUAUAAUUAAUAAGAACAUGGCUGGGAAAAAGUAAGUGAUCAAGGGCACAACUUGCCUUUGAUGAGCUCCUGCUCAGCUACUUCUACUUGCUGAACCUCAGAAUCCACAGUGGCUUGCUCGUCUACUCGCAUCAACACAAUAUAUACAUAGUAUAGCAUAAAUUAACAUCACAUCAAACAUGUAAAUAAAAUAUACAGUAAAAAUCUACACAUUAAAAUGAGAUCCUUGGAACUGGAAUCAUUAAAUUUGGAGCUAUAGAUUUCAAGUUAUGAAUUUCCUAAGAUUUAAUGUGCUUGAACUAGGAUUAAAUGAUAAAUUAAUUUUCUUACCUUUUUAUGUCAAAACAGAGACACUAAAUGAUAGACAAUAUUAUUAUAAAAUUUUAGAAAUUGAAAUGGGUCAAUUUGGAUUUAAAGUGAAUUAGAUAUGAAUUUUCCAAGUUCUAGCAAUUAUUCUUGUAUUAAAAAUACAUUUACUAAUUCAUUUGCACAUUUUAAACGGGCUCUGAACUGGGCGUCAAUUUCUGGUAAGCACAGGGUUCUCAGUGUAAGUUUUCUAAGACACAGAGCACAGUAUGAGUGGAUGGCGGGUUGUUUUCUGAUAAGCGUAGGGGCUCUUUAGCAAUGUUGACCCGCGAAGGGGUACAGUCAGAUCUCGGCCGUUGGAUCACAAGCUGACGGUGCGGAUUAGAUCGGUUUUAUCCCGAAUCGGUACGCAAACGGGGCCUUCGGAUCCGUGAUCAAGGGUCCAGGUUCAACGUACACGCGACUAGAUCCUAACUGUCCAAUACCGGAUCGACGCCACAGAUUACGCGGCGCGAAUCGGUACACAGAGUAUUGAUCCCGAUCGUCCGUUAUGAGAUCGACGCUCCAUAAUCUACCCCCUUCUCCCCACCCAGAGCACGGCGGCAACGCCGCCGGCUACGACGGCGGACAUGGCCGGAGCCAGGUCAUCGGCGAUCCUGCACGCUAAAUUAAUGGAAAAUUGACCCUAUACGUAGCUAGCUCUCUACUGAGUUUGUCCGGGUCGACAUUACUCGGAGUUAGGGCACUGAAACGCCAUGACCUCACCAUCGGCGGCCCGAAGGUAGCACGGCCACUCCGGCGACGCAUUACCUUGGCUAAUCAAACCCGUGAGCUAUGAUUCUUGGUUCUACGCGUUCUAGGGAAUAAGGGUAAUAUCGGGGUGGUUUCUUACCUGCACCCGGGUCGUGGCGCGGCCGGUUCACGAGGCGGCGGAUUCCGCGGCGGAGCUAGGUGCCGACGAGCAAUUGGUCGUACCCGAGGCGAUGGUAGCGGCCCGCGGUACUCCAAUUGACUUCAACGUCCCCCGACGACGGCCAUGCAAGCAACAACGGAGCUGCUUCACCGAGGAGCCGAGGAAGGAUCGACGUGACACUCACUCUCCCUCACGGCAGCGACUUUGGUUUGCGCUACGCGGCUAGGGCGGACGAGCGAGUACAGGGCGAGUCAAGGGAAUACUAGCGACGAGUCAUGGUACUUGUAGGGCGGUUCAAACGGGUCCCAGUCAAUCCCCCACGCCACGCUGAGCCGAUGCGAGUGCCGGCGUUCUCGGUAGAGUCGUUACGGGGACGAAGCUGACGUCGUGGCCCCGCAUGUAGGUGACUGGCGCGAGGGAGAGGCUGGCCAGUGGCCCCGCGAAGCAGCCGGUCGAGCGCGCGUGCAGCGGUUGGUCUUGGGCCGCGCAGAGGGAAAAUGCACCUUGGGCCAGAAGGGAGGCAGUCGGCCCAGGUAAGGUUUUCUUUUUCUUUUUCUGAUUCCCUCUUUCUCUAUUUUCAAAUCCAAUUUGAAUUCAAGUUUAAAUUCAAACUUUAUGGCUCCUCAUUUACACUAUAUUUGUGCAGUUAAAAGUAAUAAGUUUAAGGAUAUUUAUAUUAUUUAUAUUUUUGUAUCAUUCCUCUUCUUAUUUUCAAAACCCUAUUUUCAAAUUUAGGGUUUUAAUUCCACUUCUAGUAAUUAUUAUAUUAUUAUUAACAUCAUUAUUUUAUUUAAUGCACAAACAUAUAAAACUCCAACAUGAUGCAUUUUUUAUCAUUUGUUUGAAUUAACCUCUAAAUUUUGUGUAUGCUCUUUUUAUGAGGCAAAUGAGGCACAUAAAGUUGAGGAGAUCUCUCUAUUAUUCCUUGUAUACAACUUUGAGUAUUACAUAAGGACCUCCUUAUAAACGAGAUUUGCAUACUGAACAGUGUUCUUCUAUUUAAGUGAGAUGCAGUUAUCUAUAUCUAGUUUAGUUGGGUCCAAAGACCCAAGACUAUUUACUAAACAAUACAUGAAACAUAAUGAAAAGAGACCAAUAACAUCUAUUCAAUGCUCAUCUGCUUUAUUUGUUGUAUCAACCAAAUGACCACUAAACAAUAGGAAGCUAAAAAGGAGCCAAAAUAGAUAAAUAAAAGGCAAAAAUACAUAUUCACCUAAAAACCAAACUAAUUAAGUGCAUUACAAGUUGUUAAUUGACAUGCAUUCAUCAAUGUCAGCUACAGCGUAAGGACCUCCUUAUAAACGAUAUUCUUUGUGUAUGUUGUGCCAUUUAUCACUGAGUUCCUUUCAACCCCCUUCUUCUUCUUCUUCUCAUUAGUGACUGGAAUAGCAAGUAUCUUCACUUUCGAUCGAGCGGUGGCCCUUGAUAGAGCAACAUAAAGCUAGCCAUGAGAGAACACUGGUUCCAGCAAGUACACACCAACAUUAGGAAUCGUCUAGCCCUGGGCCUUGUUAACCGUCAUGGCAAAACUUAGUCUUAUCGGAAACUGCUUCCUUUUAAACUGGAAAGGGAACAUCUCAUCAUCAGAGGGGCACAGGGGUAUACGAGGCAAGAAAAUUCGCAUUCCAGCAUGUUGGCCAAGGACAAUUUCAGCAUCAAUACUGUUUUUUGGAAACCACGAACCACCAACCUCGUGCCAUUGCAAAGUCCAUUAGCAGGGUCUAUAUUCCUAAGCAACAUGAUUGGGCAUCCAACUUUGAGCUUCAGAAUGUGCGGGGGUAGUCCAUUAGGAGUCAGCGUGUUUAGAAACUCUGAUGGGUAAUAGUUAUUAGGAUCAUCCACCGCAGUGUCAAAACUAUGGUACAUCAUCUGCUUCCCUUGGAAACGAUCGAUCAUCCUCAUAUUUAUCAUAUCCACCCAGUCAUUCCGUGUAGACAAUAUUGCUCUUGAAGUGAUGUAGCUUGUGUUAGACAUGUUUUCAUUUAGAUUGGGGUAAAUGUCAUCUAUCAGUCUAUCAAGGUCGCGGUCAUUACCAGUAUAUGGCACACAUACCUCAUUUGGAAGAUGAACAUCACCAUCGUUGUUCGCUUCCUCAGUUCCACCACCGGCGUGCAACAAAUAUUCUGCAAACCAUGGGUCGCUCUGUGCCCUCAUGUUUUGAACAAGCUUUAGGUGGCACAUGGAUUCCCAGAGGUAAGAACUCCGUAGAGAGGCAGCAACUAUCUGAGCCCUUGACCACUUGCGUACAACAGGGAGUACUUGUCUGAAAUCACCCCCGAACACAACAGUCCUCCCACCAAAGGGCAGCCUAGGUCGUCCCAUUAUAUUGCGCAUGCUAUUGUCUAGCGCCUCAAUUGCUUGUCUCUUAGUCAUCGAUGCCUCGUCCCAGAUAAUGAGCGAUGCUUUUUGUAGCAACUUUGCUGUCCUGCUUUGUUUCGUGAAGCUACAUACAACACCAUCAUUAAUAGUAAGUGGUAUCUUGAAGCGCGAAUGGGCAGUCCUCCCCCCAGGCAAUAUGGAAGCCGCAACACCAGAUGUAGCUGUGGCAACUGCAAUCUUGUCCUGACUGCGUAGUGCCGCAAACAGUGCCUUAUACAGAUAGGUCUUGCCAGUCCCACCAGGCCCAUCCACAAAGAACACUCCACCGUUAUUGGUGUCAACGGCAGAUAGGAUCUUAUCAUAGGCAGACCUCUGCUCCUCAUUUAGGGUUUCUUUCAUAGCAACGUCUUCUGCUGUCGGCUCGAUACUUUCCUCCUCGUAAAUCUCUCUAUCAGUACCAUGUGAAUCGUCAUAUUUGUCGAUGAUAGUAGGGAGAGGGAAUGUCUUUAUGUCUUUACCCAUUGACUGCAAAAUGUUUCUAAUGUCAAUCAAGACCAUCUGUUGCACAUGGGUUUUGCUUUGAGUACUACGGUGAUAGUCCUCUGACAUUGAAUCAAGGUGUCUCUGCCAUAAUUCUGCCACAUCGUUCGGCUUGCAGUAUACCAGUAUUGUUGCAAACAACCUUCGUAGUGCUGACGGCAUUUGGUAAAUAGCGGCUUCGUUGAGACACUCAUCUAUUGUGUCGUCUGCUUCAAGCAGUCCACUCCUUUGUGCUGCCUCACGAAAAGAUGGUAGUGUGUCACCAUCUACUAUCCUUAGAUCCGCAUAGGAGGUAGCACCCAUCACAUGGUUUAAGAGAAGUCGAAGAUAAAAGCGCUCCCCCUCAGCUGGAUGAGCAGAGACUAUUCUACCAACCUGUCCACCCGUGUUUCGUUUCCUCCUUUGCCACACUUUGCCUUGCUGCAAAGUGUACCACUCAGGAAAAUCACAGUAAAGGAUGCUCCGAGCCUCCUCGUGUAGCCUAUUUGCCUCAAAAUAUGUCGUAAGCAUUGACCUAUCGACACCUGGACGUUGGACAAUAUGAUUUACUUUAGCACGCUCGUGAAAUGACACCAUAUGCAUGUUUUCAAGAUGGAGCUACAGUUGCAUCACUGGUGGAAAGUUUUGACUUAGAUCAAAGCUGAAUAUCCUCCAAAGGGCUUCUGGAGGGGUCACCCACCUAGCAUCUCUAUACUGCUUGAUCUCAUCAACGUCACCAUCAACCUUGUUUGCAUCUGUCACAGCCACAGACGCACGAUCGUGGCCUUUGUAUAUGUAUUUGAACAAGUAUUUGAUAGCCUUGAUGCUCCCGCAUGCCUCAACAUUGAUGUGACAGUUGAAGAGCCGGAGGAGGUAAGGGUUGUAAGGGACGACCCGUCUGUUGUCCAAUUCACAACCUCGAACCGUUUCCUUACGCCCAUCAUCACGACGCCUAUAAAUAGGAUAUGAAUCCUUUCCUUGAGACGUUGCAUUGCUAAAAGCUCUAGGAUAAUGGUUUUUGCAUGAAGCAGGACCCUUAGUGCAUGGGCAUUUAGGAUUUAGCAACCCGCAUGGUCCAUGCAUCAUAUGCUUGAUAACCAUCUUGUAUAGUUCAGGGUACUUCUUCUUGUCAGGGAUCUCAGCGGAGAUAAGGAGAUCAUACUGAUCGGGGCAAGUUAGCUUGUACUUUCUCUGCAUGAUGAGUAGGAAAUGGACAUGAGGCAAACCUCGCUUCUGGAACUCCACGACGUAGACAUAAGCCCGGAUUUUUCGAAGAAUAUGGUGCUUAGUCAAUCUCUUCUUCAGUUCCUCUAGUUUUGCACGGAAUAUGCAAACAACAAGGUCCGAACGAUCCUGUGGUGACUACAUAGGGAGAAGCUCUCUGGUUAUUUCAUCCCAAUUGGGGUUGCACGUCAUAGUGAGGAAUAUGUCUGGCUUCCCAAACUUCCGCACAAGGACCAUAGCAUCCAUAUACCGGCGUCUCAUGUCACGAGGACCACCAAUAAAUGAUGUAGACAGCACGGUUCGCUUUCCAAUUUUGUCUACUCUGUUCUCGCCUUCAUGCAAGCUAUCUACCAAACCCUUGUAUAGAUCCGCCCUUAAUUGUCUUGGUUUUUAUGUAUGAAAUCCAAACGAGAGCUCUCAAUCUUGAUGUAGGUGUCAACCGCGAACUGUUGGAAAAGCCGCUUCCCAUGAAGUACUGGAUUGAAUAUACCUGGUCGAAUUUGGAAUCUAUAGCAGUAAUAAUCACGUACAGACACACAUAGAUGGCUGGGUCGUUCUGCAGCCAGAAGGUUUAUUAAUUAGUGUUGCUAAAACAUAUUUAACAAAGGAUUAUAUAAAAAUCACAAAGAAGCAACUAACUGUAUCGUCAUCGUUUGCAUCCCUUAUCCUAUGUUGCUCACGGUACGCGUCUACUUCGUCCAUGGAAACAUUGGACUUAGGAAUAUUUGCAUGCCAUCCAAGUUCACCUUUAGGAAAGAACAUUGGAUAUGAUAGUGCAUCAUAACAUCCAUGAUAGGAAUGGAUACUAUGGCUUGACCUAUCCUUCCCAUGCAACAUAACACUAUUACUGAAUUGACCUCGUCGUUCACUCCCCUCAAUCCAAACUGCAGCAACCUCUGAAGUGAUGGGUGCAUUAUAUAAAUUAUGGUUCAGCAUUUGGUCAAGGUUCAAGGCGAUAUGGUAGUCUUCAAUGUUAUCAACGUGUCCCAUACUCCUAAGGUGCUCAGAGUAUGGGUUUCCCUUAAGUAUUUCAACCAACUGUUUAAUAACUACCUUGUCUUUCUCAAGUUGAUCUUGACGACAUUUACGAUAUCUAUGCUCGAGGCUAGGAUCAUCAUCGUAGAAGUAAAGUUCAAGGUGUUUAUGUUCUGCCCCAGCUUCCCUACCGAACGACCUUACAUUGUGGUACAUCAUGCCAUGUGCACGGAACGUGUAAAUACCACAAUUCAUGUUUGUAGUCAUACUAUCAAGGCAACAGUACAGAGAAGUGAAAGAGAAAUGGCCGUUAAAAAAUCGAAUGUUAUCACGGAAGUGUCUCGCAUCAGCAUCUGAGCACUCCCACAGCCUCCUAAGUUGGGGUGGUGUCUCGAAUGGGGCUAGAUCAAUCUGUCCAUUACGACAACAAAAUCUAGGUGGUUCAUACUGAAACUUCUUUGCUUUGCAGUAAACGCGGUCAGCAACAAUGUCCAACGAAUGUGUUUCUUCAGGUAUGUUACUAUACACCUUAUCGUAUGGGUCAGGUACGUCUGGGGUAACAGUAAAUGCAUCUUGAGUUUCAUCAAUCUCGAUAUCCUCAAUAGAUUCACAAUCUAAAUUUGUUUUCGAGGAACAAUGGGUAAGACGAAUAACUUUAGAAACUUUCAAAUCCUAUAUCCUAUAUAUAUACUAUUACAAACAUUAUGUAAGUACCUUGCCCAGCGAAUAGGUAUCCAUCUUCUUCGUCAUCAUCUUCUUCAAAAAGUACAUCCUCGUCAUGAUUCUCUACAAAGAGCACACCUUCAUCGGCAUCUAUUGAUUCACAUGGUUUUAACCACUAAGAAUAAUUAGGGAACUAAUUGUGGAAGGAGCUUGUAAUUACCAUUGGUGGUGACAUUCGGGGUUAUCUGUUGUUGCAUCCCAACGUCUGCUCCUUCAGUCAUUUUGCACUAUGUGGACCAGUGACUGGACAUGGGCUUGUACUUUCUAUUGACGGAAAGUUGUGUUAAAUCAAUUGGCCACUAUAAGUUAAGUAUCAUAUCAAUUAAGGAUGAAUUAGUAAUUACUGUUGUUUUCGAUCUCUGAAGCAAUCGCGUGAUCAAUUUCAUUGUGCUCACCGCCUUCCAUUUCGUGAUCCCUAGUUGCAGUAGCAAAGUUUCUUCUAAUGGCAGAUUGAAAUUUCUGGUUUUGACGAGAUAUCAGGCUCUGUCUUUCGCCAGACGACACAUGAUGCUUAUAUCGUUGUCUUCUACGAGACUGUGUCAUUUUGUCCAUGUCAACAUACUUAGUCUGCAAUGAAGCAUAAACAAAAGGUGUUGCACUCAACUCAGAGAUAACCAUAUCCUUGGAGCUAGAUAGAGACCCAGUAGGAGGUUGAGAAUCUGCUAAACUCCACACAAGCUCCGGCGUAAACUUCGGAUUCUCAAUGGCGAUCGAGUCUUGAGCUAGCAUUUCUUGUUGUCUUCUACUAUAGUUUUCCCUUGCACUAUUUUGACAUGGUUUAGUAUUACACAAUGCCCUUUGUUCCCUUGUUAGAGUUGCAAAUCGAAUCUGUUCUCGAAUUCUCUUACGUUCCCUUGCAUCUAAAACUUCUGAACUUGGAUUGGAAUCAUGUUGAUGACCCGUCUGAGCUGAUGCGCCUUAAAGUUGAAAGUAACAAAGCUCUUAGGUGUAUAUAUUAUAGGUUUAAUGAUGAGAGCUCAACUCACUAUUGGGGCACAUUUGUUAUAAUUUUCGUCUUUCAAUAACAUAACACAGAAACAUAAUAACCUAGAGUGUCAAUGCUUUGAUGAUUAUUAUUCUCUUUGUGUGCAGGUAUGCUGCAAUCUACAAACUAACCCAAGAGCACAUAAGAAAAGCAUUACUUUAAAGAUGAGUGACACACGAGCAUAGUUAACAUACCUUUUGAACGCUCAUGGUGCACAACAUUUUCAUUUUUGCUUGACUGACGACGCCUCUUCAAUUCAUUUUUCUUUUCAGCACUCAUCGUGGCAUAUCGUGCUCUUUCUCUUUCCCUCUUACGUUGUCUCGCAUCAUCACAUCAACCUAACCAGUUAUAUCAUUUUCCAUUAUUAAUCGUUGUUGUUCAUUAACAUAACAAAGAAAAGUAAUUACCUAAAGUGAUACCACACGGUAUAGUACAAUCAAUGAUGCUUCCGUCGCCUAUAGCCACAUCUGGACAAUCAUCUACACAAAGUAACCCGAUAACACAUAAGAAAAGCAUUAUUUUAAAGAUGAGUGAUGCACAAGCAGCCUUAAUUUACCUUUUGAAUACUCACGGUGAACAACAUUCUCUUUUUUGCGUGACUGACAACGGUUCUUCAAUUCGUUUUUUUUCAACACUCAUCGCCGCAUAUCGUGCUCUUUCUCUUUCUCUCUUACAUUAUCUCGCAUCAGUUCGACCUCCUGAACCAUCAUAUAUUACCCAUCAAUAAUCUCCAUUGUCAGUACAUGGUAAACAAACAUAUUCACCUUGAGUGUUAUCACAUGAUUUAGUUAAAUCAAUUAUGCUUCCAUCGCUGACAGGUACCUUUGGACAUUCAUCUACACAAUAUGAACAUCGUUUUAGUUAACAUUUGCAUCAAUAAAGUAACCCGACAACACAUAUGUGUUACCCUUAUUGAUGAAUGAUUCAUGGAAAUAGGUAACAUACCUUUUGAGUACUCAAUGUUUUCGUUUUUGCGUGACUCACGAUGCUUCUUCAGUUCAUUCUUUUUUUUCAUCACUCAUCGCUGCAUAUCGUCCUCUUUCUCUUUCCCGCUUACGUUGCCUUGCAUCAACAUGUCCUCCUAAACCAUUUAAUAUUUUCCUUUUUAAAACCUUGGUGAGAGAUCAAAUAUUGCAUUUUAUUAGUAGAUAUACCUUCAAGGGUGUUGCUAGACAAUUCUCUUAAUGGAGGUCGAACAUCGUUAUUGUUGAACGGAUCCACCUACGUCUUUUAGUCUACCAACAAACCUGUGUAGAAAAAGAUUAGUCAUAUUCAUACUUAGAUUAUUGCAAUUCUGGAUAGGAAACACAUCUACUACAUCUCUCCCAAGCCCACCUGCUACCCUUGAACAAUGUGUAGUAGUAGACCUUUGUUUGCAAUUUUAUUUUGUUUGAAUGAUGUUUUAUACUUAAAUUCCCUUUUUUGCAUGCGUGACAUUAUUCUUCGUAAUAUUGUUUUCAUAAAUCAAUGCCAAGCAUGAAUCCAUGUUUUUUACUUGGAAACCCCGAAAACACACCAUUAGCAAGAGGCACUCGUGUUGGCGUCACUCAUCGACGACUACUAUAUCGAGGACUGUGGCCAGUGGCGGAAAGCAAGGUAAAAAUGAGCUAUGGCCGUGGAGAACAAAAAAUGGAGGAAGAAGUAUUGUGAUACGGAAGAUUCAAAUAUGGAACCUGUUGCACACACAUGUUACACAAUAAUCACCACACUACACAUCGAAUUUAGGUAUGGCGGCCGCCAUAUUACGCCAUAAUGGGUGCUCCACCACUAACUGUGGCGUCAUAUUGGUGCCGGAGUAAUUUUGUAACAAAUCAGUGACCUUUACUUCAUAGCAACAAAAAAAGUCUAAAAAUGUUGCUCGUAACGUUUCCAAUGUGGCACCCAAUUGCAACCUGAACCCAAGGCUCUUAGUUACGACGCUACUAAAACGUAAGUAAGCUAUGAAGAAAGAAGGCAUUCACAAAGUGAAACCUGAUGCAAGGGCGCGCUCAAGUAUAUCUACUAUAACAAGUACGAAGGAGGCCAGAAUAUGGUACUCGGUGGGUACUGGUGGGCUUAAGGAUAUUUGGUCGGUGAGAUUAACCAUGGAUGUGAACGUCUUCGAGUCGUGAUGGAUUCAUUCGUGUAUUCCGAUUUUUGGGGACCAUAAGAUAGAGCAUGUUUGCUGUGUUUGGACGUGUUCCAAUACCUCAUUUUAAUAUAAUGAUACACAUUUCUCAUGCACGUACAAGAAAAAAGAAACAUGGCGCAAGGAUAAGAGGCUCAUAUAACAGGAAACCAGAAAACGCCCCACUGUAAAGGAAGUAGUUACUAAUAAGAACACUGACAAACAAACUAAUGAUGAUGAACUUAUUUAUUAGAUAAUAGAGAGGUCACAUAGUUCUAUACAAAGCGGUUAACAUUGAGAUCAAACACACGACCAAUAAAAACAGAACAAAAAUCAUUAUUAAUAAGUUUCAUCUGAUACAUGACUAACAAAGUAUUCUACUAUAACAAGCUAGAACACAUGUCUCAAUUCGAUGUCACAGUCGCCAAAUGUGCCCGUCUGUUCUCUAGAAAUUUGUCGAUGAAACGACUCCUUGGAUUGUCAAUCAACGAACAACAAAUUGCUGCAAUUUAGAACAUGAUUUGUAAGAACAUGAUUAUUUUAAAUUAUUGUCAUUCUAAUUGUAUCUAUAUCUAUAAUCUAUAAAUCUAUAAAUAUAUUAUAAGAACCACUCACUCUUCAAGCGGUAUAUAGUGUGAUGAUCCGGGUUGAAAUGAAUAGUGCUGUGGUCCGAGGUUUCCAAGCACCCUAUUGUUAUAAUAGUAUAUAAUUAUUAAUAAGAGUAAGAAUUAAGAAUAUAUUGAAAGAUGUUAGGCACAGAAGAAAUUACUGUGAUUAUGGUUACAACAUAGCAAAGUUCCAAUAAUUAUGUUCUUGUCAACUCUAGCUAACGACCAUCGUAGAGCAUUUCUUUGCAAGAGGUCAGUCCAUACCCCCACGAUGAUUAGAUCCCACCUAUUAAAAACCUUAAUCGUCUGAAUAAGACCUAACAAAUGCAUAAUGCUUUUAAAAAAGAAUGUAUAUAUGAAAAUUAGUGCCACCUAGAAUCCAUUAGUACAGCUUCUCUAUACGGUCUUCCACUGAUAUGCUUUAAUGGUUCCAAAUGAAGAACUAUGCCAAUAACAUCUGAACAAUUCACAUAUGAUUAGUUACCUUUGAAUCAUUUAGACUUCAGGCGUUAGUGAUAUAUAUAUAAACUAUAUGGAAAGAAGGGUUAUUACCUAACGUCUUAUGCGGUUGUUGGUAAACCUCAUGAAAUGGCAUAAGAUACUUUGGAAAUGGAGGAAAUUGGAUUGGAUUCGUGAAUGGAUCCACAAUAGUAUGUGUUAUCAAUCCCAACUCUAGCCCAUGACCAAUAUUGCGAAAUUGAAGUUCCUCCCGGUUUAGACAGAAUGCCACUCUAUACAAUGUAUAUGCGCAUCCUUGUGUGAGUAAGUCAUCAAACUGUUGGACAUUAUUGCCGUUAGAAAUUGCUUUGAUUUUGGAUCCCUAGAUAUUUGGGAAUACAUGUUGUAUGAGUCAAAGAAUUUAAUUAUAAUAACAUGAAUAUAUUGGCUCUAUUUCAAUGCUUGUUGAAGUGACUCACAGUGAUGUCCUAUAGGAUGUAGUGUUGACUAUUACGACGCCUAGGGAACUUAACAACUACCCUCGCAAAGACACUUUUUACUUGUGGUAAACUAUUGACAUCUUGAAUAUCGUCAAAUAGCACGAAACUACAUAAAACACGAACUUUAGUUUAAAUUCUUCAUACAUAUAGAUGUAACAAGUAAAUAAACUUAUAUAAACUUACGGAGGAAAGGGAGACAGGCCUGCCACCGUCCUAUUUUGAGUACGUCUACCUAAUGCCAUUGUUCUUAUAGGAUCUAUCAUGGCAUUAUUGCAAAGAUACAAAAAAACAUUAAAAAGACUAAAUGACAUAUAAUCUCUUGUCUAUUAAAAUGCUAAAAUAAUACGUACAAUAUAUCGUUGUAUUAAUAUGACUGAAUUUAGAGGUAUCAGAAUUUAGCAAUAAACAAAGUCACUCUGUCAAUUUAUAGGUCUCAAAAUUUAGCAGCAAACAUGUAACUUGGAGUCUUGUCUAGUCCUCGCUAUCAGAAUAUUGUAUUGUACAAAAAGAAGUGGGUGAGAAAGAGAAAAAUAGGGACAGGUACAAGUGUAUUGUACAAAAAGUCCUCCCAUGCAACAUACAACACCAGAAAUUAUAUAAUGCACCCAUCAUGAAUUAUGUCGGUUUCUCCAACACACUGCAGGCUGCAUUUUUCAAUCUCGUCUUAUUUCUUUUUGGAUUAGGUUCAGAAUUUCAGUAUUCAUGCAUUCAUUCAUGUUCCAGGCAGUUUUAUAUCCUGAAUCCUGAAAAGAAUUAAAGGCUUACUCUUCCUUCCUCCUUUUUGUAGUGUCAUUACAACUUCCAGUGAUUAUACUGUUAAGGUGCUGAUCUUAUUGUCUCAUAUUUACAGUUCAACUGUUCAAGUUGCAAUUGUUCAACAAUUCACAGACAUUUUCAUCAAUAUUCGUCAGGACUUUACAAGGACAGGUUAUUUGAAUUCACAUCCUAUUUUUUAUUUGGCCUAUUUUUUCUGCCUGCAAAAUGCCUAGAUCAAAAUCCUCAGCUGACUAAUAAAUAAACAUGCCUUCUCAUACUCCAGAAAUUGUUGUCAAAUAGAAGAUGGCCAGUGACUGAACAAUAAGCUGAACUUCUUUGUGUUGUAAUGCUCCUGUGCAUCAUUGUUGGGCCUAUCGCCGGGUACUUAAUGUUUUAUCCGUACCUGAUUUUUAUUCAUAUUCGUAUAUUCGUAUUCUCAAAGUUAGAUAUUUAAGAUGUCAAUCUAUACAUAUAAAUUAUAAUAUUAUAUCUGACACUACUUAAUAAAAGUCGUAUCUGAUCCGAAUUCGAAUAAUAAGAUUACGAGACGUACUCGUAAUAAGAUUAUGGGGCGUACUCGUUGAUUCGCACAUUCUUCUAAAUGCCUAGAAGUCAUGUAACACGCAAUGAUUUGCACAUUACAAUGUUUGAUAGUGACGUUUUAAGAGGAAGUUGUUGAUGGAUAGGAAGUUGUUGAUGGAGAUUAGUUUCCUGAACAUGAGCUGGCGCAUAGUUUACUCAUCUUGUGUGGUUGAACAAGCAAGACUCAAACUAAAAGGAAAGCACUAAAGAAGUUUAGAAAAAAGAGAUAUAAGCAACAAUACUUUCCCUUAAGGGUGUUCGCUUGCGCUAAAUGGUAGAUCCAAAAAAGAAGCAUGAAGAGAAGCGGGUGAGAGAGAAUUGUGGACGGGUACAAGUGUAUCGUUCAAAAAGAAGAGGGUGAGAGAAAGAAUUGUGGGCGAGUGCAAGUGCAACAUACAAAAAGCAUGCUACCAGCUAAGCCUCCCAACUAUCAUUUUUUAUCUAAGAUUUAGCAUCGACCUCUAUAUACCGGAAGCAUGCUAUAAACUUUAUACAGCCCAAAGAAUACCCCAAAUACACACAAGUCUGGUAUUUUAUUUAAUGUCCUUAAUUAUCAACCAUUUACUGAUUAGUGAUAAAUAAUGAACAACCACUAAGAUUAUGUCAAAUUACAAUUUAGAGGACUCAGAAUUUAGCAGCUAACAAAUACAAAGUGUUAUGUAUUGCAGAAUUUAAUUAUCACUCAUUGUAGCAUAUUAGUGCUAGAACAAUAUAUGUUGCCUAAGUGUCCUAACCAUAAGAUGUAUGAAUUCUAUUAAUUGAUAUUAUUAAAAGUAGUUCAGAUUAGAUGGCUUUAGAGAGAGGAAAUCACAUUUGUGGCAAUGAAAUUUGUACAUAAGUAAUUUAAAGAGAUGGAAUGGGACAAGAAAACAGUUCCCUAUUAAAAAAAGUUCAGAUUUAUGUUAACAAGUUAUAAUUUGUGUGUAUGUUACUCCAAGGCAGACAAUUACACAACGGAUCAUACAACCAUUGCAGAUUAAACGAGUAGAGGGGAAACAUACCUUUUCCAACGGGGCAGAAAAUUGUACAGCGUCCUUUGCAGGCAAACAGGAUCGUUCAGAAGCAAAGUGCAGCUCGUGCAGCCAGAUAUAAACAAAAUAAAAAAGAACAACAUUUUAAUUACUAAAGCUAUGAUCAAGCACCACACAAGGAAUUUAAUCAAGAUAAUCUUAACAGUUACAGUGAAUUAUUUUGCAACUAAAGUAAAACUGGCUAUAAGUAGUUUCAGCUGCAAAUUUGUUCUCUAGGUGGUCUUCUUUUCAAGUUUUUUGUUUUUGAACAUUUGAACCUAUAGUUGUCCCUGUAUAUGCAUUUUACCAUAAAUCAUGCAUGCCAUAGAGCUAUAACGAAAAGAGAGAUAUCCUAUUGAAUCAAGCAUCUAUAACCAAUUCUAGGAUACCAUAGUAAGUCAAAAUGCAAUAGAUGGUGAACAUUAGAGUUUUAUUAGAGAAAGAAGGCGCUGAUGUUUCAGUGGUUACCUAAAAAUCCAGUAAUGUCCAGCAAGCACCACUCAGCAACACAAUUCAAGUUCAAACGUCUGUUCAAAGUAAUAGAGAAAACAUUAAUAUUUAGCAACCAUGCAGCAGCCAGCAACGAUUAGAAGGCAGGAAAUUCAAAAAUACCAGCUAUGAUGUACUCAAGAUGCUGGCCAAGUGUGCCAAGACAUAAGAUCGCCAAUUUUCAAGGUUUAGCCUUCUAUGACAAAGAAAUCUGAAAAGUUAUGAAUAGCGCUUUAAUGUUUGGAGUUUAAACUGCAAGCAUAUGUUUCAUGAUUUAAGCUUGCUUGGCUUAGUGUAGUUCUCCAAAGCUAACUUUAAAAAAAAUACCAUGUUGUUCACAACAAUAAAAUCAUGAUAAUAGUAAAGUACUUUGAAAUAUGAAUGCAACAGUAACCAUUAUUAUAACACUAUCUACAUAACAUUAGAGUAAUAAUCAGUCAAAUGUCACCAACUUUAAAAUGUAACUGUGUUUGUCCCAAAAGAAAGGGAGGUUGUACUCUAGUGAUGACGGUGUUUCUACCAUCAAACAUCGUCCAACCUAGAGCCGCUUGGGUCAUUGUGACAUAGUUGGGAGCUCUUAGGCUCAGAAGCACAAUUUCAUACAAACAAGUGAAUCAUAAAACACGAUGAGAUGAAAAUGCAAUGUGGAAUAGACAAGACAAAAGAAGUGAAUUGUAAAGGUUAUAAAACUUGAUAGUUUCUUAUUUUUUUACCAACACACGUAUAUAAACACUGACUGACUGUUAUUUCAAGACCAAGAGAACUGCAAUUUAUGAAAUCAUGGACUCAUAACUCAUGUAUUUCAAAGCAAAAUUAAAAGUAUUGAAUUCUAUCAUCUCUACAUUAACAUUAGAUUAACAAAACGUUCAUGGUUGUGGACUCAUGUCUGCAGUGUUUAUUUAGUCCGAUGAAUCACAAAACAGAAAGAUUAAAAUGACCUUACAUAGAAGACAAACAAGUCAAUUCCAGAGUGAAGAAAAACUAUGCUAUAAACAGAUUGCUUUUUAUUAAAACAUGAGGCGAAAUUCAUAUAAUCUUGUAGCUAUUAUUGCAAAGAUACAAAAAAAUCAUGCUGUCAGACUGACCAGUACUCCUCUUAUACCAGUGAUGGGGACAUAGCGAUGUGUCAACAACAUUUUAAGAAAACACGAAUUCAACAAACUGUGAAGGAAGGUCAGACUGGUAUAGUUGAGCAUGAGACAAUGAUGGCAUCUAAAGAAGGGAAUAAGCUAGUCUGUUCUGUAAACAACAAUCAGAUACUUAUCGACAUUAUUUCGGAAGGUAUUGUUAACAAUUGGUUCAUCCUUUUCACUUUUUAUUGACAAAAUGUCAACAUGGAUUAAAUCCAAUGAAAAGGAAGCCUUUGCUCCACCUAGUUUAUUUAAAUCCAUGUUUUAUAAUUCAUUACAGAACAGUUUAGCAGUUACACUACAAGUAUGAAAGGCAACCAUUAUACUGGAUGUUGUCACUGUAAUGUUCAAAUAAAACAAAGCAUGCGCUCUUCGGUACUAUAAGGCUAUCUAAUUAGUUCUCAACAUAAUAAUAUAUUUCAUACAUAAACAGACAUACAAAUAAAGCUACAAAGAGUAUUACCUCUAUGUGAUUUCAGUCGUCCUCGCUCUCCGGCACGCGCGCAGUCUUCUUCUCCCUUCGGGGUCGUUCACGGUUUCAGGGGAACUCUUCCGGCUAUGGCGUCCACACGUGCUCGAGCUCGAACAUAGAGGACAGAGCGAGAUGGGAACUGAGUAGAUUGUCCUCGCUCUCCAGGGAACUCCUCGGACUCUAGCGUCCGCGCAUGCUCAAGGUUUAUAUUCAUCUGGCAUCCGCGCAUGACACAGGCAAAGUAGAGGUCGUGCAGAGGGAGCAUGCGGGUGUGGAGGUCGUGGGUAGAGGGAGAGUCCGCUGACCGGGGGGUUGUGGGAUUGGGGACGGUUGUGCCGUGCAUGAAGAUGAGGGUUGGGUGAAGGCAGCCGAUGGGGGAGGAGUUGGAGGACGGCAGUGGGCUGGAGGCCGCCAUUGGGGAGGUGGAGUCCGAUGGUGCGGUGGGGGAGGAGGUGGAGUCCGAUGGUGGGGUGGAGGAGAGGGAGGGGAGGCCGCCGGAGUUGAGCGCAGUGGAGGAAGCUGCGCGAGCCCGUGGCUGGAGCCGCCCACGGUGAUUAGGUCGCACGGUGGGCUGCACGCUGGGACGGUGGGCUGCACGAUGGGACGAUGGGCCUCAGGUCCACACGAAAAUCAUUGGGCCGCAUGAACCGCUGCCACAGGCGCGCAGGUAUGCCAUCUAUUUUAUUAGUGCCACAUCGGCCAUUGAGAGUGACGGAACAUGACUUAUAAGCGCAGCUGUGGAUUUUAUGUUGCUCACUGAGAGAGAUGGAACAGAACGUGGCUCAUAAACCUGUUUAUUUUGUUGCGCGGGACUGCAUGGUGCGUACGGCUGGUGGGGGCCCACAUGUAGGAGACCUGCAUGGUGCGUACGGCUGGUGGGGGCCCACAUGUAGGAGACGUGUAUACGUCGUUGGAGGCAGAACAGCUGUUAGCAGAACGCGUCGGAGGCAGAACACGUCAGAGGUCUUGCAGUCUUAAUAAGUAGUAGAGAUAUGCGCACACCAUCAGUUUUUACUGUCUCUCGGAAAGAAUUUGCUUUCCACGAACAUCCGCUUGCUGCUCCUGGAACUGUAACUUAAGUUGCGUCGACGCUUGCUUCAACCACCUAGAAGUUCCUACACAUACUAGAGGUAAACUGGAGCCUCAAAUCAGUUACCCAUGCUAAAGUGGCCUGAUUUUAGCUGAGUUGUUGCUGUUAGUGUCAGUUGCCUGUGAAAAUAUUUUCGAGCAGCAAAGCAUCGAAGUGAACUCAUGGAGCUCAUGUCAUUGGCCGUCCGUUGAGCUGGUCACGGAUGCUUAACUUUCUCGUGGACUCGUGGGUUUGGCAAAGCCAUCGAAUGAUGAUGUCGACGUGGAGUCGCCAGUUGUAUCAACAUCAUCGUUGUAUUGUAUCGUCGACUGCAAGCUGCUGGUCCAGCAGCAGCUCAGCGCACGCGUUCUUGACCACAUCCCAAACUGUUCAUCAGGUUGUGGCUAUAUCCAUCGAUAAGUGCUUCGAGGCGGAUUUACUAGUCGUCAGUUUCAUGCACGUUUGCAGCCCACAGAAAUAUAUAUAAAAAACUAUAUUCAGUUUAAACUGAUACUACCUCCGUUUCUUUUUACUUGUCGCUGGAUUGUUCAAUUUUGCAUUAUCCAGCGACAACUAAAACGAAACGGAGAAAGUAUGAUGCAGUUAAUUGGAGGACAUGCUUCUAAGUAAAAACAAUAGGUUUUGUUGUCUUCUACUUUGCACCUUUGACCAUAAUUUUCUAAUAAAAAUGUUUCUAUAAAAUCUAAUAUGAAUCACGUUGAAAGCCCGCACGAGCAGGGUCCCGAGGGCUUGAACAAACGAAUGCUUUGAUAACGAAUCGGUUUGUUGGGAUAUUAUGUGUCAUGCUCCAAUAUUCUCGGUUGGUUGUUUUGCUACUCAAGGCAAUUUGUUGCAGCUCCCACGGCAGACUCAUGAUAAGACGGGAGUAAGGGCACACUUGUAAGGAUGAGCGUCAAAAUAACAUAGUGGAGGAAUCUAAGGUAACGGAGAAAUGAGCGGAUGCAUAUACCCAGUGGCGGAGACAGGCAUGGGGCCACUAGGGUCUAGGGCUCGAGCCCUACUCUUGGGCCAAAAAAUUAUUAGAGACUUAAGUAUGUUCUAAAGGAAUAAGAGAAUUCGUAUAAUCUAUUCAUGGUCAUAUGUGCUAUCAACUAUUAAGAUUUUCUAGCUAAUAUAAAUAUUUGUUAGUGCCCACACUUAGAGAAAUCCUGGCUCCGCCACUGCAUAUACCCUCUCUCCCACUAAUGUAAGUCCGCUCCUCACGACUCCAUUGGAGAAAGAGAUAGAGUAGAGAAGAGAGAAAAAACCCUCUUACCGAGGUGUGUUGUCUCCCGCACUGAUCACUAAUGAGGUGUUUGGUUUGAUGAAUCACUCUAUCCAAAAUAAAAUGGUGCAUGUCGGGUACCGUAAUUAGGGGUACCCCAAUACUCCUUAACAUGGCUGGAAAAUAUCUUCAGAACAAACCGCAAAGACUGAUAAGCACGGUUCAAGUCAAGGCCUCGUCUACCAAGGGACGCGAUCUCGCCUCGCCCGAGCCCGGCCUCGGGCGGGAACAGUAGUCCCGGACGGAUUCACGCCUCGCCCGAGGGCCUCCUCAGGCAGUGGGCGCACCCUCAGCUCGCCCGAAGCCUAGCUCGGGCAAACUUUAUCGUGCAGCAACCUCGGCCAAAUCGCCUUACCAACCGACCGUAUCGCAUGCACAUUUAAUGCGGGGAUCGCCUGACACCUUAUUCUGACACGCGCGCCUCAGUCGGCAAGGUCGAAGUGACCGCAGUCACUUCGCCCCUUUAUUGACCGUUCUGACAGGAAAACAGCACUGUUCGCCCCGCUCUGGCUACUGUGCCAACCACCAGGGUAAGACUAACAACAGUAAGUCACGGCCCCUCCCGAGUUCAGCCUCGGGCGCAACAGGGAGCUCCGCCUCGCCCGACCCCAGGCCUCAGCCUCGGCCUCGGAAGAAGGUCUCCGCCUCGCCCGACCACGGGCCUCGGCCUCAGCCUCGGCCUCGGGAAUAGUCACAACCUCGCCUGACCUCAGCCUCGGCCUCGGGAGAAGUCUCCGCCUCGCCCGACCUUGGGCUCGGACCGACCGCGCCAUAGGGGAUACAUCAUUACCCUACCCCUAGCUAGCUGCCUCAGGCUACGAAGGAACAAGACCGGUGUCCCAUCUAGAUUACUCCGGUAACAGGUAAUGAUGGUUCCCCGCGUGCGUCCAUGACGUCGGCAAAGAAACGUCAGCCGGACCCCGGGCCGCACCAUCAGCUACGCUUCUACAGGGCUCAAGCACUUCUCCGACGGCCACGUUAGCACAUAUACAGGGCUCAGGCACUUCUCCGCCGGCCACGUUAGCACAUAGCUACACCCCCAUUGUACAGCUGAACCAUCUCCUUGUAUCUAUAAAAGGGGAUGUCCAAGGCCUUCCUAGAGGGCACGCACACAAGCAGAGAAGGCAGAGUGGGAGAGACGCGGAGGAGGCUAACUCAGACAAUCACCUCAAGGCCGAACUCUCUCUCUCUCUCCCGCGACACUUGUAACCCCUACUACGAGCACCCCGGUGCAAGAUAACAUAAGCCUCAUCCUCCCUCUUGUGUUCCAUCUUGCAUCAACCCAUCUGGGCAGGGACACACAGCAUCAAAUUCACUGGUCGGUUGAGGGUCCUCACGGGUCCAAAACGCCGACAGUUGGCGUGCCAGGUAGGGGCUCGCUGCGUGUUGACAAAUACUGUCCCGUUGAGUUCCAGAUGGGUAGUCUUCAGCAGCCUCUUCAGCCCGGGACGGUGCUCCGCUUCGGGAGUCUCGAGUUCAUGUCCCACGACGGCGGCUAUGACAUGGUACUUCUCUCCCCGCAGCACGACAACAAUGACGGUCGUCGGCUCGCCCAGCGAAGGCGAACUUGACGACGGCAUCUCCCCGCGACAGAAGAGGAACAUCCGGGUUUGCCCCGCCACCCUCCUCAUCGGAGAAGGAGGAGACGGGGCAACCGUGGCCAGGCAGGAGGCGGCUCCUCGUCGGCUGUCGGGCUAGAGCGAGCUGACAACGCCGGCACCCCUGCGGGGGACAUGUCUGGUGUUGUCCUCGCACCUGAGACAACGACGGGUGUCGCUUCCCAGCAACGUGCCAACCCCAAGCAGACUGAUGGCGCCGGCACCCUUGCGAGGGACUUGUUGGGCGUUAGCCUCGUACCUGAGAUAACGGUGCAUUCCGUCCCCGAUGCGACUUCACCACCGUCCAUCAACCAAGAGGUACCAUCCAUUUUCCACCCUGUUCCCUUUAGAUUCAGCUUCGAUCCACCAAGCGACCCCGCUUCGGUGAGCGCUUUCGCAAGGGCAUAUCCUGACCUUCCAAGGUAUCAUAUGUGGUCAACUUGGGACUGACUGACGGUCGUCUCAACCUCCGGACCCGCGGGUUCCGAGGAAGAGGACGACCCCGACUUCGGUUGGGAUUUAUCCGGACUCCGUGAUCCCAGUGUCGUGCGAGACUUCAUGCUUGCAUGUGACCACUGCCUCUCCGGCUGCUCCGACGAUGACCACAGCCUUGACGACGAGGGUUAUGGCCCAAGUCGCGAGUGCUUCCACAUCGAUCAGGGGGAUCACGACGAAGACAACCACCUCGGCAUGCUAGAAGAUGACGACGCCCUGUGCCUGCGUCUCGCGUUGAGAUCCCGAGGGAGCUAGCUGUGGUCCAAGUCCCUGCGGGGGGUCAGGACACACAGCUCGAGCAACUCCGCGAGAUGCAGGCCAAGCUCGAUGAAGAAGCGGGGCGGCUUGUACAGCUUCGACAAAACAUCGAGCAGGAGUGGGCAAGCCGAGCACUCGCCGGAGGAGUGCGCAUCAGGCCCGAGACGUCCAGCGUCGUAUCGUCGAUGAUGCUAGGGCAGGGCUGCCCCCGGCCUUCAGCGGGGCCGACCAGAAUCUAGCUGCAGCAGCAAUGUUACUUCGGGCAAAGCCGGAGCCAUCCACCACCGAGGGGCGACGUAUCCAGGGCGAGCUCAAGGGCCUCCUGGAAGACGCCGCUGUCCGACAAGCCGAGAGCUCUGCCUCCCAGAGGCGAGGAGACCCCUCGGAGCAUCGCGCAGCGUCCUCCUGACGCAUGUGCGAGGCCUCGGUCUGCACCGAGCACGCAGGAGACAGGACACCCACUGCCCGGGAUCACCUCGGCGACGAGCAACAUCGCCGCGACCGCCGAGCCCGCCUCGAGGAGAAGGUGCGCCGAGGCUACCACCCCAGGCGCGGGGGACGCUGCGACAGUGAGGAGGAUCGGAGUCCCUCGCCCGAGCCACCAGGUCCCUCGCCCAAGCCACAAAACAUCGAGCAGGAGUGGGCAGGCCGAGCACUCGCCGGAGGAGCGCGUCAUCAGGCCCGAGACGUCCAGCGCCGUAUCAUCGACGAUGCCAGUGCUGGGCUGCCCCCAGCCUUCAGCGGGGCCGGCCAGAACCUAGCUAUAGCAGCAAUGUUACUUCAAUAAAUGCUGGAGCCAUCCACCACCGAGGGGCGACGUAUCCAGGGCGAGCUCAAGGGCCUCUUGGAAGACUUCGCUGUCCGACAAGCCGAGAGCUCUGCCUCCCGGAGGCGAGGAGACCCCUCGGAGCAUCGCGCAGCGUCCUCCCGACGCAUGUGCGAGGCCUCGGUCUGCACCGAGCACGCAGGAGACAGGACACCCGCCGCCCGGGAUUGCCUCGGCGACGAGCAACACCGCCGCGAUCGCCGAGCCCGCCUCGAGGAGAAGGUGCGCCGAGGCUACCACCCCAGGCGCGGGGGACGCUGCGAUAGUGAGGAGGAUUGGAGUCCCUCGCCCGAGCCACAAAACAUCGAGCAGGAGUGGGCAGGCUGAGCACUCAUCGGAGGAGCGCGUCAUCAGGCCCGAGGCGUCCAGCGCCGUAUCGUCGAUGAUGCCAGGGCAGGGCUGCCCCCGGCCUUCAGCGGGGCCGGCCAGAACCUAGCUGUAGCAGCAAUGUUACUUCGGACAAUGCCGGAGCCAUCCACCACCGAGGGGCGACGUAUCCAAGGCGAGCUCAAGGGCCUCCUGGAAGACGUCGCUGUCCGACAAGUCGAGAGCUCUGCCUCCCGGAGGCGAGGAGACCCCUCGGAGCAUCGCUCAGCGUCCUCCCGAUGCAUGUGUGAGGCCUCGGUCCGCAUCGAGCACGCAGGAGACUGGACACCCGUCGCCCGGGAUCGCCUCGGCGACGAGCAACACCGCCGCGACUACCGAGCCCGCCUCGAGGAGAAGGUGCACCGAGGCUACCACCCCAGGCACGGGGGACGCUGCGACCGUGAGGAGGAUCGGAGUCCCUCGCCCGAGCCACCAGGUCUGCGAGUCUUCAGCCGGGCCAUACGACAGGCGCCGUUCCCGGCCCGGUUCCGAGCCCCGACUACCAUUACCAAGUACUCAGGGGAGACGAGGACGGAGUUGUGGCUCGCGGAUUACCGGCUGACAUGCCAGUUGGGAGGAACGGACGACGACAACCUCAUUAUCUGCAACCUUCCCCUCUUCCUCUCCGACGCUGCCCGGGCCUGGCUGGAGCAUCUGCCUCCUGCGCAGAUCUUCGGCUGGGCCAACCUAGUGAAGGCCUUCGCGGGAAAUUUCCAAGGUACGUGCGUACGCCCUGGGAACUCAUGGGAUCUCUGAAGCUGCCGCCAGCAGCCAGGGGAAUCCCUACGAGAGUACAUCCGACGGUUUUCAAAGCAGCGCACCGAGUUGCCCAACAUAACCGACUCGGACGUCAUCGGGGCUUUCCUCGCUGGCACCACUUGCCGGGACCUGGUGAGCAAACUGGGACGUAAGACUCCCACCAAGGCGAGCGAAUUGAUGGACAUAGCCACCAAGUUCGCCUCUGGUUAGGAGGCGGUCGAAGCCAUCUUCCGGAAGGACAAGUAGCCUCAGGAAAGGCAGAAGGAAGACGUCCCUGAGGCGUCCGCCCAGCGCGGCACGAAGUGGAAAACCAGGAAGAAGGCGCAAGCAAAACGCGACGCCGUUGACGCGGAUCUCGUCGUUGUUGCCGAGCACAGGAAUCCUCGGAAGCCUCCCGGAGGGGCCAACGUGUUCGACAAGAUGCUCAAGGAGUCGUGCCCCUAUCAUAGGGGUCCCGUCAAGCACACCCUUGAAGAGUGUGACAUGCUCCGGCGCUACUUCAAUAAGGCAGGACCCUCGGCAGAAGGUGGCAGGGACCAAGGCAACAACAAGAAGGGGGCGACAAGGAAGAGGAGUUCCCGGAGGUCCACAACUGCUUCAUGAUCUACGACGGACAAGUGGCGAAUGCCUCGACUCGGCACCGCAAGCAAGAGCGCUGGGAGGUCUGCUCGGUGAAGGUAGCGGCACCAGUCUACCUAGACUGGUCCGACAAGCCCAUUACCUUCGACCAAGGCGACCACCCCGACUGCGUACCGAGCCCAGGAAGGUACCCGCUCGUCGUCGAUCCUGUCAUCGGCAACGCUAGGCUCUCCAAGAACCUCAUGGACGGAGGCAGCAGCCUCAACAUCAUCUACGUUGAGACCCUAGGGCUCUUGGGGAUCGAUCUAUCCGCAAUCCGGGCCGGUGCAGCACCUUUCCACGGGAUUGUCCCCAGCAAGCGUGUCCUGCCCCUUGGGCAACUCGAUUUGCCCGUCUGUUUCGGAACUCCCUCCAACUUCCGAAAGGAAACCCUCACUUUCGAGGUAGUCGGGUUCCGAGGGACCUAACACGCGGUGUUGGGAAGACCGUGCUACGCCAAGUUCAUGGCCGUCCCCAACUACACGGACCUCAAGCUCAAGAUGCCAGGCCCCAACGGAACCAUCACCGUCGGAUCCUCAUACCGCCAUGCUUACGAGUGCGACGUGGAAUGCGUGGAGUACGCCGAAGCCCUCGCCGAGUCCGAAGACCUCAUCGCCGACCUGGAUUGCCUCUCGAAGGAGGCGCCCGACACGAAGCGGCAUGCCGGCAACUUCGAACCAGCUGAGGCGGUUAAGUCCGUCUCUCUCGACCCCAACAACGACGCCGGCAGGAAAGUCAGGAUCGGCUCCGAUCUCGUCCCCAAAUAGGAAGUAGUGCUCGUCGACUUUCUCCGCGCAAACGCCGAAAUUCACUGGACCAGCUGAAAGAGGCUCGGGACAUAGCCUUACUACACUCGGCACGGUAUCAGUAGUCUCUGCGACGCUACCACGCCCGAAGGAUUCGGCCCCGAGGCUUCCAAGUGGGAGAUUUGGUGCUUUGGCUACGGCAAGACGCCCGAGGGCGCCAAAAGCUUACUCCUCCCUGGGAAGGGUCGUUCAUCAUCACCAAAGUUUUGAAGCCCGGGACAUACAAGCUGGCCAACAAUCAAGGCGAGGUCUACAGCAACGCUUGGAACAUCGAACAACUACGUUGCUUUUACCCUUAAAGUGUUUCAAGUCGUUCAUGUACCUCGAUCCCUUUACAUGCAUAAAUAAAAAGUCUAACCGUCAAGGGAGAAUCGGCCUUGCCUCAGCAAAAACCGAACCUCCCUCGGGGGCUAGAAGGGGGGAACCCCCUCUGCGUCAAAAUUUUCCUCGGAAAAGUUUUCUACCAAAAUGACUUUCGUGCUUUUCGACUACAUCGAUAACGAAUUCCUAAAAACGACGAGAGGAACACUUAAACGGCAAGGUCGACCGAGCCGAGGGACUCCUACGCCUCCGGGAUACGGAUACCUCACUCAUCACCUUCCGCGAAAAGUAACUCACACUCGGAUAAGCGAUUCUGCUACCGAACAAGUCCUAACGCACGAAACAAGAGGAAAGAAAACAUAGCUUUAUAAUCUGACGCUAAAAAUGUUUAGGCCUCAGCAGCCGCAAAAAACAUACGCAUACUUAAAACAAACUGUUCCUGCAGGCUCAAACAUCGGCAGGGGGAGGAACAGCACCCUCAACGUCGUUUCCACCCUCGGCAGAAUCUGGCCCGGCCUCAGACGGCGACACGGGCGGAAGGACCUCCACCUCGAAGGAGGAAGCCAGCACCGCGCUUGGGCCCUCGACAGCCGUGUCAAGCCUCUGGACCUCGGCUAAGGCGGCCUCCUCUUCAUCGGGUAAGCAGUACCCCUCGCUGACCUGCUCCAGAUCCACAUCGUAGUGGGAAGCGAGGACGGCGAAGGCCCGCCUAACGCCGUGGUGCAGCGCCCCGUGGAGUCUGCUGCGCACAUGGCCGCCCAAGGCCCACAGGUGACUCUGGGGGGAGCUACCCGAGGGGACGUCGUCGAGGCCAAAGGCCCGGCAAAAGGCCGAGAUAGCCUCGGACAUGGCCACGCGGUCGGCCUCCUUCUGCUUAGCUGCCUGGGAAAGCGCAUUGCAGUUCUUGAUAGACUCGUCAAGAGCUGUCUCAAACCCUGCAGACAGCCGGACAGUGUUCUUCAGACACGAGGUGAAGAAUGGAGACAAAAACAGUCACAAAGCGGGGAAUACCUUCGGCCCGGGCACGCUGCUGCGAGGCCACGGCUUGGGCGGACUGGGCAGACCCGAUGGCCAUGGCCAGGCCCUUCGCAAGGGUCCUGACCCGAGCGGAUGCCUCGGCUAGCCACUCCGUAGCCUCAGCCAGCUGACCCCUAAGGGCCUCAGCUCGGCUCACGGCCUCGGCAGCUUGGCUCCGAGAUUGGUCCCGCUCGCCGAUGACCUGGCCAAGCUCCAGCUGCCGCUGCCGCAUCUUCUCGGCCUGGGAAGCCACCUGCUCCCGGGCCGACGAAGCCUCCGCUCGUGCCGACACCGCCUCUGUCCGUGUCGCCGCUGCCUCCGACUUCAGCUCAUCGCAGAGCAACCGAAGGUCCGCCACCUCGGCGCUCUGUUGGGAAAGGCGCUCAUUGGCCUCGGUAAGCGCAGCCCACUGGGACCACAGCGAAUCCCAGACGUCGCUCUCGCGACGGUGCUCACAUCCACAAGUUCCUGAGGAAGGGAAACAGGAUAUUACAAAGAAUGCCCUGGUCACGCAAGGUGUACAUCUAAAUCCUUACCUGGAAGACCCUAGGAACGUCCCUGGAAAGGAUCUCCAUGGUCGACCGAAGCGACCUCAUCGCCGCCUCGGUAUACUCACAGAAAUUAUCCCGGGACCUCUCCUCCAGCUCAUCGUUGAGGGAGAGGAGGGGCUCCGAGUCCGAGGUGUCACGGCUCUAGAACAGGAGCGGCUGCCCACACCACUCAUUGGGGUUGAGCUGCGCGGGGAUAAGGUCGCUGCUCCCCAAGACGGGCCACGGUUCUAUGCGCCCCUCCGCCGAGGUGUCGGGUCCCCCUGCAGUCGAUGCAUCGGGUACCACCGCCGUCGACGUACUGGGCCUCUCCUCGGCUAAGGUGGCAGGCCUCCGAUCACCGACCUCAGCAAUGACAGCCGCCCUCUCCUCAUGGCCGAGAACGGGGAGGUCGGGGAUGACCACGGGCGGCGGCGCCUCAACCAUCCCGACGUCGGUGGCGACGGGCGGCUCCGCGGGCGAAUCAACAACGGCCCCGGCAGGAGUCGAUGCCGGCGCUGGCAACAAGUCAGGCGGGCUCAGGGCCGCGGCCGCGCCAGCGGCCUCCCCCAGCAUGAUGGCCGCUCCAACAGGGGGUCAGCCUGGGAGGCUUGCCCCAUGGCAACUCAUGCCGCCUGGGCCCCCGCCGGAGGCCGCCUUGUGCAGAGGCCAACCAACCGGCAUGGCGCGCCGCAGCACCGGCUGCAGAGGCCGGCCCCGUCUUAAGGGCCUUCAUGGGGGCCAGACCAGCCGAGCCCUGCCUCCGCUUGCUGAAAGAAAGAGAGGGAGCAAGUUCAAGGCACACAGAGAAAAAACCAAAACAGAGGUAUCCUCAGAUACUUACCCGCUCCGGGGCAAGGCCAAUCGUGCCCACGGGGAGGCCCCUCGGGCCCCGGUCUCCGCAGGCGCUGCCGAGGGUUGCCCCGCUGCCGGCUUCGGUGCCGCUUCCACCUCAGGCGCCCGAGGCGCCGAGGGGGCAGCCCGCCCAGGCGUCAUCUCGACGGUCGAGGGACCAACCUCCUGUACAACCGGCACGGGCACUUGCUCUUGGGGGACAGGUGGAUCGGCCUGACCUCCCGGAGUCACCCCAAUUAUCUCGGCCAAGGGGUCAAGUACCCCCUCGGCCUGCCUCCGCUCCUCGGACCGGGACCUUGGUGUCCCGACCCCAGGCAUUGAUGGUGCCAGCCCACUUGGGGGCUGGCUCGGUGACCCAUGGCCCAGCCUCGGGUCCGGGCUAAGGCCAAGUCGGGCCGCCAUGUCCUCGUCUUUGUCAUCAUCAUCAUCAUCAUCAUCAUCAUCAUCAUCAUCAUCAUCAUCAUCGUCGUCGUCAGGCGUCUUCGGCGACGGCUCCAACAGGAGCCCAUCCCUCGCCUGCCUCCGAUGACGCUUCUCCAAGGCUUCCUGAGCUUGCAUCCUCUCGCGAGCUUGGGCCUUUUCCGCGUCCUUCUUCUCCUUUUCCUUCUCUGCGGGAGCCUACGCGUGGCUCGGUCCGCCGCGUCCUCGGGACCGGUGACCGGGAGAGUUUAAAACCCCUCAACCCCUAGGGACGAACAAAAAUCCCAACAGUAAGAAUCAAAGACGUAAAAAACUCGGCGCAAAACAGAAGGAGGAUCAGACACUUACUAGGGACACGUACCCAUGGUCGGGGCGCAUCGAGGGCUGGCUAAGGACGCCAGCAUCCAGCCUCCCUACCGUACCCGCUACCCGCCUGAGGAGGUCAUCGGCGGAGAGGGAGGUCGAGGACAUCCGCGAGCCCUCCAAAUCGACCCCUGGCUUCAUCUUCGAGAGCCGCAACCACCGCUCUGCCAAAGGGAGCACCCUCCGGCGAUGGAUAGCGGCGACGACCCCCGCAGUGGUAAGGCCCUCAUCUCGUAACUUCUGCAAGGCACACAGAAUAGGCUGGAGCUUCUCCUGGUUCUCGCGUGUGGCCCCCCCAGCGCCAGUUAUUGCCAGCGUCGGUCACCACUCGUUGAGAAAACGGCGGAAGCAUCCCAUCGUCGUUCUGGAGAUAAAACCACCGAUUAUGCCACCCCUUGUUCGAAGAUACAAGGGAGGCAGGGAUGUACUGAUGCGCCCGCCCCGACCUCAGCUGGAGGGUGCAGCCACCGGCCCGCACCGCCGUGCGGACCUUCUUCAUGUCCGUCGACGCGGCGAAGAACUCCAUGGAGAAGAGAUGGGUCCACAGGUCCCAGUGAGGGUCAAUCCCCAAAAAACCCUCGCAAACCGCCGCGAAGAUGGUCGCUUGCGCAAUGGAGUUGGGGUUGAAGUUAUACAGCUCCACCCCGUAGUAGUGCGGGAGCGCCCGCAUGAAGCGGCUUGCUGGCAUCCCAAACCCCCGCUCAUGGAAGGGGAUGAAACUGACCACGUACCCCGGCGGCGGAGUCGGGUCGGCCUCGCUCCCAGGGGCCAUCCACUCAGGCUGCGGCCCGCCGGAGAGAGGACGGAGCAAACCGUCGGAAACAAGGGCCUCCAGCUCCUCCACGGUAACGGUGGAGAAAGGCCACGGGUCGCGCGACGGAACGACGGUCGCCUUAUCAGCCAUUGCCGAGCGAAAGCGGUGGAGGCAGAGGGGAUGAGGUACGCGAUUUUCUCUUCUCUAGCUAUUCUCUUAGGUUACGGAAACCAAAGCAUAAGGCAAGCGCAAAUGGCAGGGUAAAGAACCACCACCGGCCCCUCUUCCGGGUAUAUAAAGGUCCGGGCGAGAUCCACCCAAAACUUCGCCCGAACCCAUCGUGAAAUUCAAACUCGAAGGUGAAACAGUUUUUCUGUUCCUCGAACGACUCGCGCACGCGCAACAGACGUCCCGCGAAUCGCCCGUCCCAUCGCAUUAACUCCCUAGCAGGGCAAGCGACACCUCUGGCAGGCGAAGCGGGCGCCGUUUCACCUCCGUCAUGAUGACCGCGUCAAAAAAGGUGUGCCACAUUAUUUAAAUUCAUAUCCUUUUUCUUUUCCUCUAUCCCUCUCUCUUGCCACAGGGAUCAGGAAAGGGGAUAUUUCGAAAAAGGAUCCUUCUCAAUGAAGGAAACGGGCCCCGAGCCCUCCUACUGAUCAGAGGUUCGAAGGUUGCGCCCUGCGGGAUUCGGCAACCGCCCAGAGCACUCAGGCUCUGAGCCCUUUACUAAUCAGGGGUUCGAAGGCUGGCCCCUCAGAAGGGUUCGACAGCCGCCCCAGAGCACGCAGAGUCAGGGAUGACCCUAGGUACGUCCGUUACAUGGUCGAGGCUCGAGCUACGCUCCUGAGGUACCCUAGGACAUUUCCAAGACCAGCGGGAACGAUUUGUAAUGGAAUCCCACCAGAGAGAGGCACCAAGCCCUCGGACCCUAUCAAAUGGGCCCAGGUCCAGCAAAUCACCUGCAGGUACUUUUGGAGCGCGCCUCUGGGCCACUAGCCGACCCUUAUCGAACGGGGCUCGAGCGUCCACUCGGAUCACCCGUUAGCAACUCACUGGAAACACCGUGUUCGGUGCCCUUUGAGGGUAACAUGGCGCUUUCCCCCCUUCCUCCUUGCGGAAAGGCGACAAAGGGGCGUACAAUAAAAGUCGAGACGAUCCUUGAUCGUCCUCUCGCUCCGUGUAGAGGCUCGGGGGCUGCUCUCGCACCAGGCUACGGCCAAAUUGUCGACCACGUCGACAAAACAGCUUGAAAACUCAGAGCCUGACCAUGCACCCGGGCUACGGCCUGGUCGCAUAAGGGAACAACAAGGCCAAGGCCUCGGGGGCUACACCACUCCUCCGAGGCCUCGGGGGCUACACCCGACGGGUGCGCUCGCGCGCACCCAUCGGAACAAAAUAUGACCGAGAAAGGUUGGUCCCCUUGCAAAAACUCCGGUAGAACCUCCAAGUGAGUACCUACACUCCCUUCGAGGCUCGGGGGCUACUGUCGGGUACCGUAAUUAGGGGUACCCCCAAUACUCCUUAACAUGGCUGGAAAACAUCUUUAGAACAAACCGCAAAGACUGAUAAGCACGGUUCAAGUCAAGGCCUCGUCUACCAAGGGACACGAUCUCGCCUCGCCCGAGCCCGGCCUCGGGCGGGAACAGUAGUCCCGGAUGGAUUCACGCCUCGCCCGAAGCCCUGCUCGGGCAAAAUUUGUCGUGCAGCAACCUCGACCAAAUCGCCUUACCAACCGACCGUAUCGCAUGCGCAUUUAAUGCGGGGAUCGCCUGACACCUUAUCCUGACACGUGCGCCUCAGUUGGCAAGGUCAAAGUGACCGCAGUCAAUUUGCCCCUUUAGUGACCGUUCUGACAGGAAAACAGCACUGUUCGCCCCGCUCUGGCUACUGUGCCAACCACCAGGGUAAGACUAACAACAGUAAGUCACGCCUCUCCCGAGUUCAGCCUCGGGCACAACAGGGAGCUCCGCCUCGCCCGACCCUAGGCCUCGGCCUCAGUCUCAGCCUCAGCCUCGGAAGAAGGUCUCCGCCUUGCCCGACCAUGGGCCUCGGCCUCAGCCUUGGCCUCGGGAGGAGUCACAACCUCGCCCAACCUCAGCCUCAGCCUUGGGAGAAGUCUCCGCCUCGCCCGACCUCGGGCUUGGACCGACCGUGCCACAGGGGAUACAUCAUUACCCUACCCCUAGCUAGUUGCCUCAGGCUACGAAGGAACAAGACCGGUGUCCCAUCUAGAUUACUCCGGUAAUAGGUAAUGAUGGUUCCCCGCGUGCGUCCAUGACAUCGGCAAAGAAACGUCAGCAGGACCCCGGGCCGCACCGUCAGCUACGCUUCUAUAGGGCUCAAGCACUUCUCUGAUGGCCACGUUAGCACAUAUACAGGGCUCAGGCACUUCUCUGCUGGUCACGUUAGCACAUAGCUACACCCCCAUUGUACAGCUGGACCAUCUCCUUGUAUCUAUAAAAGGGGAUAUCUAGGGCCUUCCUAGAGGGCACACACACAAGCAGAGAAGGCAGAGUGGGAGAGACGCGGAGGAGGCUAACUCAGACAACUCACCUCAAGGCCGAACCCUCUCUCUCUCUCCCGCGACGCUUGUAACCCCUACUACGAGCACCCCGGUGCAAGAUAACAUAAGCCUCAUCCUCCCUCUUGUGUUCCAUCUUGCAUCAACCCAUCUGGGCAGGGACACGCAGCAUCAAAUUCACUGGUCGGUUGAGGGUCCUCGCGGGUCCGAAACACCGACAGUGCAUCAUGAGUCCAUUCCUCAAAUUUGGUGGGAUGACUCCAUUCCACAUAUUAGUACUAAACAACUAACUAUGAGGAAUGAAUUGGUGAUGGAUUAACUCUCUCCAUUCCACAAUCCAAACAAAAAAGUGAGAAGUGAGAAGAUGAUGGACUACAUCAUUCCUCAAACCAAACACUCCAUAAGAAAUCGAUCUAUGUUUUAGUCCAUUGCUGGAUCUGCCGCUGUAAAAAGGGAUAUACGGGUAUAUAACCCUGCUGAAAAUAACGAGCCAAAGCUAUUGUUUUGAAAGAAGAGGUAGCGAUGACUCGAAUUCUCCUUUGAAAUUUGCAUGCCCGAGUCGUUGAGCGAGUCGGUUUCCCAUCUUUUUGGAUGCGGUAUGUAGCGUCGUCAAGCUUCCUUGCCCAGGCAAGACAGUGAUGCAGCUGAAAAACCCAAAGAUGGAUGUUACGCUGGAGACGACCAAAGACCGUCCAGACACGAGGCCGAAAGUCCUGCCCAUCGAUUCGAUUUGUAGUACAAGACUAAACGUGUGUGGCUGAGAACCUACAAAUGAGGACAUACACCACAUCUCUAAUAUUAAUUAUGUGCCUAAUGUAGACGUCCACACCCCCGGAUGAUGCACGUUCUGCCGCUGGCGCACCCCGCCCCGCAUCGCGCCCGCAUCCCGCCCGCGACCGCACCCACCCGGCAUCCCGGCCGCAUCCCGCCGCCUCUGCCUCUCCCCUAUUCCCUCCCUCGCACAUCCGCCCCCCUCGCCCCCAUCUCCCUGCAUGCUGGAUCCCCGCCGUCCCCACCAUCGCCCGUGUUGGGUCCAACCCAGGCCGCUCAUGCCUCGUCGCGCAGUCCUCCCGUAGCAUCGCCACACCGCACGCGUCCGCGGCGGCGUCCGCCUCGGCGCCAGUCUCGCACACCGUUCCGCAGUGGAUCCAAUCACGCCUCCUCACCCUCCGCUGCCUCCUCCCAUCCCCUCUCCCAUCGAAUCCGCGAUUCUGCGUCCCGGUGUCCACCCAGUUCCCCGCUCGCUGUCGAUGAAGGGCGGCCGCCUGCACCGUCCGGAGCCGCCGCAGACCCACCUCGCCAUGGCGGCGGCGGCCGCGGCGCCUCCCAUCCCCGCCCCUAACCCCACCGAUGACUGGGUGGACGGCUCGUGGACGCUUGACUAUUCCUGCUGCGUCACGUUCGAUGACGUCGAGGAGAUGGUCAGCUGGCCGCGCGCCUCCCGGCCCCCAUCACUGGCGGCUCUAGCUCCCACGACGGCGACAUUCCGCCGUGCACCUCCUGGCCCCCCUCACUGGUGACCCCGGCCCCAACGACACACGGAGAGCAAAGAGGAUGGGUCUUUGACACACCGCCCGAUUCCUGGGGCUCCGCCUACCUUUGUCGCCACCAUUCUCGUCCUUAUCCCUCCGCCUACUCAAGUACGUACGCACCCCUCCUCCCUCUGCAGCUCCCGUUCAUUUCCCCUCUUCCCUGCUACCCUGCAUCGUGACGUGACCCCUUCCGUUCAUCCAUGUCGUGCCGCUUUUCAAAGUCCAUAGGAAGCGAGGCAGGGAGGAGGACGAUGACAACCCUCGCCGCUGCUUUUGUUAGGCUCGUCACAGAUGAAUGUUGUCCCUGGCAUGAAGCCUGCAACUUUGAAAGGGAAAUAGGGUUUAACCUUUUCCUAUAAAUAAUUUUGGUGGUUGAAUGUCCAACACAAAUAAUGGACUAACUAGUUUGCUCUAGAAUAUAUGUUCUACAGGUGCAUAAAGGUUCAACACAAACCAAUAAAAGAUUGAAGAAAGGGUUCAAAAACAAAGGAACAAAGAAACCGAGUGUGCCCUGGUCUGGCGCACCGGACUGUCCGGUGUGCCACCGGACAGUGUCCGGUGCACCAGGACCGUAGAGCGCCCAACUCUCCACUCUCGGGUUUCUCAGGGCGCGCUUCGCUAUAAUUCACCGGACUGUCCGGUGCACCAGCGGAGCAACGGCUACUCGUGCAAUGGUCGACUGCAAAAGCCGCGCUGACCGCUGAACAGUGAAGAACAGUGCGCACAGAGUCAGAGCGCAGAAGUCAGAGGCGCACCGGACCAUGAACAGUACCUGUCCGGUGCCACUAGAAGACAAAGCCUCCAACGGUCACAAGCUCCCAAACCAUAACGGUUGGGUGACGUGGCUGGCGCACCGGACUGUCGGUGCGCCCAUCAAUAACAGCCUGCUCCAACGGUUGUUUGGUGGUUGAGGGCUAUAAAUACCCCCAACCACUACCACUCCAACCACCCAAGCAUUCCACACAUUGCAUUCAAUACAAGAGCAAUAGAUUUCACUCCAAGACACAAAUCAAAGCGAUCGAUCCACUCAAAGUCCCAAAUUCCACUCUAGCACAUUAGGGAUUGUGAGAGGAUCACUUGUGUUUCUUGUUGCUCUUGUUUUGCUUGGUUGGCUUUCUUUUCUUUUCCUUGUUACUCUCAAGUGCUUUGUAAGCAAGGCAAGAGACACCAAUUGUGUGGUGGUCCUUGCGUGGUCUAAGUGACCCGUGAGAAGUAAAGAAGAAAGCUCACUCGGUCUAGGUGACCGUUUGAGAGAGGGAAAGGGUUGAAAGAGACCCGAUCUUUGUGACCACCUCAAUGGGCACUAGGUUCUUUAGAACCAAACCUCGGUAAAACAAAUCACCGUGUUCAUCCGCUUUACUUCUUGGUUGAUUUUUUCCCCACUCUCUUGGACUCAAAUUCAUUUCUAACGCUAACCCCGGCUUGUAGUGUGUGCUUAAGUUUAUAAUUUUCAGAUUCCGCCUAUUCACCCCCCUAGGUGAUUUUCAAUUGGUAUCAAGCCCGGUGCUUCAUUAGAGUCUAACAACUCGAAAUGAUGUCGGGAGGAUCCGCCAAGAGGGAGAUGGAAAUCGGCGAGAAGGCCCCAAGCCACGGGAAGGCUCCAUCAAGGGAGUCCGGCGCCAAAGGCAAGGAGGAAUCACCUCCUUGUGUCAAGUCGCAUCAGAGUGGUGACAAGAAGAAGAAGAUGAAGAAAGUGGUCUACUACGAGACCGAUUCUUUGUCGCCCUCCACAUACGGCUCCGACGCCGCAUCCGUCACUUCUAAGCGCCACGAGCGCAAGAAGUAUAGUAAGAUGGCACUUCAUUAUCCCUGUAUUUCUAAGCACUCCUUUACUUUCCGUUCCAUUAGGCAAACACCGUAUUUUGAUGGUGAGGAUUAUUGCAUGUGGAGUGAUAAAAUGAGGCAUCACCUAACCUCACUCCACGCAAGCAUAUGGGACAUUGUUGAAUUUGGAGCACAGGUACCUACCGUGGGGGACGAGGGCUACGACUCGGACGAGGUCGCCCAAAUCUGGCACUUUAACUCCGAAGCAACUACUAUACUCCUUGCCUCUUUAUGUCUUGAGGAGUAUAAUAAGGUCCAAGGGUUAAAAAGCGCCAAGGAGAUUUGGGACGUCCUAAAGACCGCACACGAAGGAGAUGAGGUGACCAAGAUCACCAAGCGGGAGACGAUCGAGGGGGAGCUCGAUCGAUUCGUCCUUCACCAAGGAGAGGAGCCACAAGCAAUGUACAACCGGAUCAAAACCUUGGUGAAUCAAGUGCGCAACCUCGGGAGCACUAAAUGGGAUGACCAUGAGAUGGUCAAGGUUAUUCUAAGAUCCCUUGUUUUUCGCAAUCCUAUUCAAGUACAACUAAUUCGUGGGGAUCCUAGAUACAAAUUAAUGUCUCUCAAGGAAGUGAUAGGAAAGUUUGUGAGCUUUGAACUAAUGAUCAAAGGCUCCAAACACAUCGUUGACUUGGAGCAAGGUGGCACCUCCACACCCGGGAGCAACCCGUCGCAUUCAAAGCGAUAGAAGAGAAGAAGGAAGAGUCUACAUCAAGUGGGCUCCCCAUCGACGCCUCCAAGCUCGACAAUGAGGAGAUGGCGCUCAUCAUCAAGAGCUUCUGUCAAAUCCUCAAGCAAAGGAGUGGGAAGGAUUACAAACCCCGCUCCAAGAGGGUGUGCUACAAGUGUGGUAAGCCCGGUCAUUUUAUUGCAAAAUGUCCAAUGUCUUGUGAUAGUGAUAGGGGCGAUGACAAGAGGGGGAAGAAGAUGGAAAAGAAGAGGUACUACAAGAAGAAGGGCGGCGAUGCCCACGUGUGUCGGGAAUGGGACUCCGAUGAGAGCUCCACCGACUCCUCCUCCGAUGAGGACGCCACCAACAUCGCCAUCAACAAGGGCCUCCACUUUCCCAACGUCGGUCACAAGUGCUUCAUGGCAAAGGACUACAAAAAGAAGAAGGUACAAACUAGAACCGCCCCCAAGUAUACUACAUCUAGUGAUGAGGGUAGUUCUAGUGAAGAUGAAGAUGAUUUGCUUACACUUUUUGCCAACCUUAACAUGCAACAAAAAGAAAAAUUAAAUGAAUUGAUAGCAGCCAUUCAUGAGAAGGAUGAACUCUUGGAUAGCCAAGAGGAAUUCCUUAUUAAAGAAAACAAAAGGCAUGUUAAAGUAAAAAAUGCUUAUGCUCAGGAAGUUGAGAAAUGUGAAAAAUUGUCUAAAGAGCUUAGCAUUUGCCAUGACACUAUUUCAAACCUUAGAACCGAGAAUGCUAGUUUAAUUGCUAAGGUUGAAAAAUUAAAUGCUUGUAAUGAUUCAAUUGCUAGUUUUAGAACUGAAAAUGACAAUUUAGUUUCUAUGAUUGAAGAGCUAAAUGUUUGCAAUAAUUCUAUUUCCUGUCUUAGAGAUGAAAAUGCCAUGCUAAAAUCUAAGAUAGAUGAAUUAAAUGUUUGCAAACCCUCUACAUCUACUGUUGAUCAUGUUACUAUUUGUACUAGAUGUAGAGAUGUUAAUAUUGAUGCUAUAAAUGAUCACCUUGCUUUAAUUAAACAACAAAAAUGAUCAUAUAGCUCAAUUAACUGCUAAAAUCAAUGAGCAUGAAAUUGAAAAUGAAAAGUUUAAAUUUGCUAGAAGCAUGCUCUAUAUGGAAGACUGAAAGUCGCCUAGGGGGGUGAAUAGGCAAAUCUAAAAUUUAUAAACUUUAAGCACAACUACAAGCCAGGGUUAGCGUUAGAAAUAAAACCGAGUCCGAAAGAGAGGGCGAAAACAAAUCAACCAAAGAAAUAGAGCGGAUGACACGGUGAUUUGUUUUACUGAGGUUCGGUUCUUGCAAACCUAUUCCCCAUUGAGGUGGUCACAAAGACCGGGUCUCUUUCAACCAUUUCCCUCUCUCAAACGAUCACCUAGACCGAGUGAGCUUUUCUCCUCAAUCAAAUGGGUCACUUAGACCCCACAAGGACCACCACACAAUUGGUGUCUCUUGCUUUGAUUACAAGUGUCUUGAGAACAAGAAUGGGGAAGAAGAAAAGCGAUCCAAGCGACAAGAACUCAAAUGAACACGAAAAUCUCUCUCUCACUAGUCACUAAGUGUUUGGAGUGAAUUUGGACUUGGAGAGGAUUUGAUCUCUUGAUUUGUGUCUUGGAGUGAAGUCUAGAGCUCUUGUAUUGAAUGCAAUGGCUGAAAACUUGGAUUCCUUGAAGUGGUGAUGGUUGGGGGUAUUUAUAGCCCCAACCACCAAACCAACCGUUGGGGUUGGGCUGCUGUCGAUGGGCGCACCGGACAGUCCGGUGCGCCAGCCACGUCACCCAACCGUUAGGGUUCGACCGUUGGAGCUCUGUCAGCCUGGGCCACCGGACAGUCCGGUGGUGCACCGGACAGUCACUAUUCACUGUCCGGUGCGCCUUCUGGCGCCUGCUCUGAUUCUGCACGCACUGUCCGCGCACUGUACCGCUUUUCAGGUUUCCAUUGGAGUCGACCGUUGUGCUAUAGCCAUUGCUCUGCUGGCACACCAGACAGUCCGGUGAAUUAUAGCGGAGUGGCUUUUCCAGAAACCCGAAGGUGGCGAGUUCGAGUUGAUCCACCCUGGUGCACCGGACACUGUCCGGUGCGCCAGACCAGGGUUCACUUUGGUUUAUUUUGCUCCUUUCUUUUGAACCCUAUCUUGGACCUUUUUAUUGGUUUGUGUUGAACCUUUUGCACCUGUAGAACUUAUAAUCUAGAGCAAACUAGUUAGUCCAAAUAUUUGUGUUGUGCAAUUCAACCACCAAAAUCAUUUAGGAAAAGGUUUAACCCUAUUUCCCUUUCAAUCUCCCCCUUUUUGGUGAUUGAUGCCAACACAAACCAAAGCAAAUAUAUAAGUGCAUAAUUGAACUAGUUUGCAUAAGGUAAGUGCAAAGGUUACUUGGAAUUAAACCAAUUUAAACUUCUAUAAGAUAUGCAUGGAUUGCUUUCUUCCUUUUAACAUUUUGGACCUCGCUUGCACCACUUGUUUUGUUUUUGCAAAUGUUUUUGGAAAUUAUUUUUCAAAGACUUUUUGCAAAUAGUCAAAGGUAUAUGAAUAAGAUUUCGAGAAGCAUUUUUAAGAUUUGAAAUUUUCUCCCCCUGUUUCAAAUGCUUUUCCAUUGACUAAACAAAACUCCCCCUUAAUGAAAUUCUCCUCUUAGUGUUCAAGAGGGUUUUUACAAAUUGAAAGAAGAUCAAAUAUUUUAGAUACCAAUUUUUGAAAAACUCCUCCUUAAAAAAUAAAUACCAAUUGAGAUAGAAUUUCUUAGAGGAAUACUAAUUUCAAAGAUACCAAUUGAAAACAACUUAAGCUUUGUUUCGAAAAUUUUUGAAAUUGGCGUGGUGGUGCGGUCCUUUUGCUUUGGGCUAAUACUCUCUCCCCCUUUGGCAUUAAUCGCCAAAAACGGAGUCUUUAGAGCCCUUUUACUUUCUCCCCAAUGGUAUGAGUAAUAAGAGUCAAGAUUAUACCAAAGUGGAGAGCGAUGCGGAGUGACAACGAAGGGUAAAUAAUACCGGUAGAGUGGAGUGGAAGCCUUGUCUUCACCGAAGACUCCAUUUCCCUUUCAAUCUAUGACUUAGCAUGAAAUGCACUUGAACAUACAUUAGUCAUAACAAAUGAAGGAAAUAUGAUCGAAGGUACAUAAAUGAGCUAUGUGUGCAAAGUAUCAAUCAAAGUUCCUAGAAUCAAGAAUGUUUAGCUCAUUCCUAAGUUUGGUAAAGGUUUUCUCAUCUAGUAGUUUGGUAAAGAUUUCGGCUAAUUGUUCUUUGGUGCUAACAUAAGCAAUCUCGAUAUCCCCCCUUUGUUGGUGAUCCCUCAAAAAGUGAUACCGAAUGGCUAUGUGCUUAGUGCGGCUGUGCUCAAUGGGAUUAUCCGCCAUGCGGAUUGCACUCUUAUUAUCACAUAGGAGAGGGACUUUGGUUAAUUUAUAGCCAUAGUCUAUAAGAGUUUGCCUCAUCCAAAUCAAUUGCGUGCAACAAUGGCCUGUGGCAAUGCACUUGGCUUCGGCGGUAGAAAGAGCUACUGAAUUUUGUUUCUUUGAAGCCCAAGACACCAGGGAUCUUCCCAAGAACUGACAAGUCCCUGAUGUGCUCUUUCUAUCAAUUUUACACCCUGCCCAAUCAGCAUCCGAAUAACCUAUUAAAUCAAAAGUGGAUCCCUUGGGGUACCAAAGACCAAACUUAGGUGUAUGAACUAAAUAUCUCAAGAUUCUUUUCACGACCCUAAGGUGAACUUCCUUAGGAUCGGCUUGGGAUCUUGCACACAUGCAUACGGAAAGCAUAAUAUCCGGUCGAGAUGCACAUAAAUAGAGUAAAGAUCCUACCAUCGACAGGUAUACCUUUUGAUCUACGGAUUUACCUCCUGUGUCGAGGUCAAGAUGCCCAUUGGUUCCCAUGGGUGUCUUGAUGGGCUUGGCAUCCUUCAUUCCAAACUUGGUGAGUAUGUCUUGAAUGUACUUAGUUUGGCUGAUGAAGGUGCCCUCUUGGAGUUGCUUCACUUGAAAUCCUAAGAAAUACUUCAACUCCCCCAUCAUAGACAUCUCGAAUUUUUGAAUCAUAAUCUUACUAAACUCUUCACAAGUAGAUUUGUUAGUAGACCCAAAUAUGAUAUCAUCAACAUAAAUUUGGCAUACAAACAAAUCAUUUGCAAUAGUUUUAGUAAAGAGAGUAGGAUCGGCUUUGCCGACUUGGAAGCCAUUAGUGAUAAGGAAAUCUCUUUGGCAUUCAUACCAUGCUCUUGGGGCUUGCUUGAGCCUAUAAUGCGCCUUAGAGAGUUUGUAAACAUGAUUAGGGUACUCACUAUCUUCAAAGCCGGGAGGUUGCUCAACAUAGACCUCUUCCUUGAUUGGUCCAUUGAGGAAGGCACUUUUCACGUCCAUUUGAUAAAGCUUAAAGCCAUGGUAAGUAGCAUAGGCAAGUAAUAUGCGGAUUGACUCAAGCCUAGCUACGGGUGCAUAGGUUUCACCGAAAUCCAAACCUUCGACUUGUGAAUAUCCCUUGGCUACAAGUCGGGCUUUGUUCCUUAUCACCACACCAUGCUCAUCUUGCUUGUUGUGGAAGACCCACUUGGUUCCUACAACAUUUUGGUUAGGAUGUGGAACAAGAUGCCAUACCUCAUUCCUCGUGAAGUUGUUGAGUUCCUCUUGCGUUGCCAACACCCAAUCCGAAUCUCUUAAUGCAUCUUCCACCCUGUAUGGCUCAAUAGAAGACACAAAAGAGUAAUGUUCACAAAAAUGAGCGACACGAGAUUGAGUGGUUACCCCCAUAUGAAUGUCGCCGAGGAUGGAGUUCACGGGGUGAUCCCGUUGUAUCGCUUGGUGGACUCUUGGGUGAGGCGGUCUUGGACCCUAAUCAUCUUCCUUGUCUUGAUCAUUGGCAUCUCCCCCUUGAUCAUUGUCCUCUUCUUGAGGUGGCUCAUCCUCUUGAUCUUCAUUUUCAUCAUCUUGAGCUUGAUCCUCAUCUUGGGUUGGUGGAGAUGCUUGUAUGGAAGAUGAUGGUUGAUCUUGUGCUUGUGGAGGCUCCUCGAGUUCCUUAGGGCACACAUCCCCAAUGGACAUGUUCCUUAGCGCGACGCACGGGGCCUCUUCAUCAUCUAGCUCAUCAAGAUCAACUUGCUCUACUUGAGAGCCAUUAGUCUCAUCAAACACAAUGUCACAAGAAACUUCAACUAGUCCAGUGAACUUUUUAAAGACUCUAUAUGCCCUUGUGUUUGAGUUAUAACCAAGUAAAAAGCCUUCUACAACCAUAGGAGCAAAUUUAGAUUUUCUACCUCUUUUAACAAGAAUAAAACAUUUGCUACCAAAGACUCUAAAAUAUGAAACAUUUGGCUUUUUACCGGUUAGGAGUUCAUAGGAUGUCUUCUUGAGGAUUCGGUGAAGGUAGAGACGAUUGAUGGCGUAGCAAGCGGUGUUGAUUGCUUCGGCCCAAAACCGGUCUGAUGUCUUGUACUCAUCAAGCAUGGUCCUCGCCAUGUCAAGUAGAGUUCUAUUCUUCCUCUCCACUACACCAUUUUGUUGUGGUGUGUAGGGAGAAGAGAACUCAUGAUUGAUGCCUCCUCCUCAAGAAAGCCUUCUAUUUGAGAGUUCUUGAACUCCGUUCCAUUAUCGCUUCUAAUCUUUUUGAUCCUUAAGCCGAACUCAUUUUGAGCCCGUCUCAAGAAUCCCUUUAAGGUCUCUUGGGUUUGAGAUUUAUCCUGCAAAAAGAACACCCAAGUGAAGCGAGAAUAAUCAUCCACAAUUACAAGACAAUACUUACUCCCGCCGAUGCUUAUGUAAGCUAUCGGGCCAAAUAAAUCCAUGUGGAGUAGCUCAAGCGGCCUGUCGGUCGUCAUGAUGUUCUUGUGUGGAUGAUGAACACCAACUUGCUUUCCUGCUUGGCAUGCGCUACAAACCCUGUCUUUCUCAAAAUGAACAUUUGUUAGUCCUAAAAUGUGUUCUCCCUUUAGAAGCUUGUGAAGAUUCUUCAUCCCAACAUGGGCUAGUCGGCGAUGCCAGAGCCAACCCAUAUUAGUCUUAGCAAUUAAGCAAGUGUCGAGUUCAGCUCUAUUGAAAUCAACUAAGUAUAGCUGACCCUCUAAGACUCCCUUAAAUGCUAUUGAAUCAUCACUUCUUCUAAAGACAGUAACACCUACAUCAGUAAACAGACAGUUGUAGCCCAUAUUGCAUAAUUGAGAAACAGAAAGCAAAUUGUAAUCUAAGGAAUCUACAAGAAAAAUAUUGGAAAUAGAAUGGUCAGGUGAUAUAGCAAUUUUACCAAGUCCUUUGACCAAACCUUGAUUUCCAUCCCCGAAUGUGAUAGCUCUUUGGGGAUCAUCAUUUUUCUCGUAGGAGGAGAACAUCCUUUUCUCCCCAGUCAUAUAGUUUGUGCACCCGCUAUCAAUGAUCCAACUUGAGCCCCUGGAUGCAUAAACCUACAAGACAAUUUAGGCCUUGUUCUUAGGUACCCAAAUGGUCUUGGGUCCUUUCACAUUAGAAACAAGCACCUUGGGUACCCAAACACAAGUCUUUGAGCCCUUGUGUUUGGCCCCAACAUAUUUGGCAACUACUUUGCCUGAUUUGUUAGUUAAAACAUAUGAAGCAUCAACAGUCUUAAAUGAAAUAAUAGACUCAUUUGAUGUAGUAGGAGUUUUUUAGGCAAUUUAACAUGAGUGGAUUGCCUAGAACUAGAUGCCUCACUCUUAUACAUAAAAGCAUGAUGAGAGCCAGAGUGAGACUUCCUAGAAUGAAUUCUCCAAAUCUUGUGUUCGGGAUAAUCAGCAGGAUAUAAAAUAUAGCCCUCGUUAUCCUGAACCAUGGGAGCUUUGCCCUUAACAAAGUUAGACAAUUUCUUAGGGGCAUUAAGCUUGACAUUGUCUCCCUGUUGGAAGCCAAUGCCAUCCUUAAUGCCAGGGCGUCUCCCACUAUAGAGCAUACUUCUAGCAAAUUUAAAAUUUUCAUUUUCUAAGUCAUGCUCAUUAAUUUUAGCACUAAGUUGAGCUAUGUGAUCAUUUUGUUGUUUAAUUAAAGCUAGGUGAUCAUGGAUAGCAUCAACAUUAAUGUCUCUACAUCUAGUACAAAUGGAAAUAUGGCUAAUAGUAGAUGUAGAGGGUUUGCAAGCAUUUAAUUCAUCAAUCUUAGCAUGUAACAUGGCAUUCUCAUUUCUAAGAUUGGAAAUAGAAUCAUUGCAAACAUUUAAAUCCUUAGCCUUAGCAAUUAAAUUAUCAUUCUUAAUCUUAAGGCUAGAAAGUGAUUCAUUCAACUUGUCAAUUUUAGAAAUCAAACUAGCAUUAUCAUUUUUAAGUUUGACAAGAGAAUCAUCACAAGCAUUUAUUUUUUCUACCUUAGCAAUUAAUUUGACAUUUUUAAUUCUAAGGUUAGAGAUAGUGUCAUGGCAAAUGCUAAGCUCACUAGUUAAUUUUUCACAUUUUUCUACUUCCUGAGCAUAAACAUUUUUUACCUUAACAUGCUUUUUAUUUUUUAUAAUAAGGAAGUCCUCUUGGCUAUCCAAGAGUUCAUCCUUCUCAUGGAUAGAACCUAUCAAUUCAUUUAAUUUUUCCUUUUGUUGCAUGUUUAGGUUGGCAAAAAGAGCAAGCAAACUAUCUUCAUCAUCACUAGAGUUAUCCUCAUCACUAGAUAUUGCAUAUUUAGUGGAGGCUCUAGAUUUUACCUUCUUUUUGCCAUCCUUUGCCAUGAGGCACUUGUGGCCGGCAUUUGGGAACAGGAGGCUUUGGUGACGACGAUGUUGGCGGCGUCCUCGUCGGAGGAUCGAUGGAGCUCUCAUCGGAGUCCCAUUCCCGACAUACGUGGGCAUCGCCGCCCUUCUUAUUGUAGUAUCUCUUCUUUUCCUUCCUCUUUCCUUUCUUGUCGUCGCCCCUGUCACUAUCACUUGAUAAUGGACAUUUUGUAAUGAAAUGACCGGGCUUACCACAUUUGUAGCAAACUUUCUUGGAGCGGGGCUUGUAAUCCUUCCCCCUCCUUUGCUUGAGGAUUUGGCGGAAACUCUUGAUGAUGAGCGCCAUCUCCUCAUUGUCGAGCUUGGAGGCGUCGAUGGGGAGCCUACUCGACGUAGACUCUUCUUUCUUCUCCUCCGUCGCUUUGAAUGCGACGGGUUGCACCUCGGGUGUGGAGGUGGCGCCUCGCUCGAUGAUUUGUUUGGAGCCUUUGAUCAUCAAUUCAAAGCUCACAAAUUUUCCUAUAACCUCCUCGGGAGACAUUAGCUCAUAUCUAGGAUCACCACAAAUUAAUUGAACUUGUGUAGGGUUAAGAAAGAUAAGUGAUCUUAGAAUAACCUUGACCAUUUCAUGGUCAUCCCAUUUUGUGCUCCCGAGGUUGCGCACUUGAUUCACCAAGGUCUUGAGCCGGUUGUACAUGGCUUGUGGCUCCUCCCCUUGGUUGAGCAUGAAUCGACCGAGCUCCCCCUCGAUCGUUUCCCGCUUGGUGAUCUUGGUCACCUCAUCUCCUUCGUGCGCGGACUUGAGCACGUCCCAAAUCUCUUUGGCACUCUUCAACCCUUGCACUUUAUUAUACUCCUCUCGACUUAGAGAGGCGAGGAGUAUAGUAGUGGCUUGGGAGUUGAAGUGCCGAAUUUGAUCAACCUCCUCCGAAUCAUAGUCCUUGUCCCCUUCCUUCGGUACCUGCGCUCCAUACUCAACAAUAUCCCAUAUGCUUUUGUGGAGUGAGGUUAGGUGAUGCAUCAUUUUAUCACUCCACAUAGAAUAAUCUUCAUCGUCAAAAACCGGUGGUUUGCCUAAUGGGACGGAAAGUAAUGGAGUGCGUUUGGAAAUGCGAGAAUAGCGGAGGGGCAUCUUACUAUACUUCUUGCGCUCAUGGCGCUUAGAAGUGACGGAUGCCGAUUCAGAGCCGGAGGUGGAAGGUGACGAAGAGUCGGUCUCGUAGUAGACCACUUUCUUCAUCUUCUUCUUCUUGUCACCUUUCCGUCGUGUCUUGAUGGAGGAAGAGGAUUCCUCCUUAUGCUUAUGGUCGGACUCCCUUGAGUGGGUUCUCCCCGAGCUUGCGGACUUGUCGCCGCCGGUCCCAAUCUCCCUCUUGGCGGAUGCUUCUGUCAUCACUUCGAGUGGUUAGACUCUAAUGAAGUACCGGGCUCUGAUACCAAUUGAAAGUCGCCUAGAAGGGGGGUGAAUAGGCAAAUCUGAAAUUUAUAAACUUUAAGCACAACUACAAGCCGGGGUUAGCGUUAGAAAUAAAACUGAGUCCGAAAGACAGGGCGAAAACAAAUCAACCAAAGAAAUAGAGCGGAUGACACGGUGAUUUGUUUUACCGAGGUUCGGUUCUUGCAAACCUAUUCCCCGUUGAGGUGGUCACAAAGACCGGGUCUCUUUCAACCCUUUCCCUCUCUCAAACGGUCACCUAGACCGAGUGAGCUUUUCUCCUCAAUCAAAUGGGUCACUUAGACCCCACAAGGACCACCACACAAUUGGUGUCUCUUGCUUUGAUUACAAGUGUCUUGAGAACAAGAAUGGGGAAGAAGAAAAGCGAUCCAAGCGACAAGAACUCAAAUGAACACGAAAAUCUCUCUCUCACUAGUCACUAAGUGUUUGGAGUGAAUUUGGACUUGGAGAGGAUUUGAUCUCUUGAUUUGUGUCUUGGAGUGAAGUCUAGAGCUCUUGUAUUGAAUGCAAUGGCUGAAAACUUGGAUUCCUUGAAGUGGUGAUGGUUGGGGGUAUUUAUAGCCCCAACCACCAAACCAACCGUUGGGGUUGGGCUGCUGUCGAUGGGCGCACCGGACACUGUCUGGUGCACUAGCCACGUCACCCAACUGUUAGGGUUCGACCGUUUGAGCCCUAUCAGCCUGGGCCACCAGACAGUCCGAUGGUGCACCGGACAGUCACAACACAGUCUGGUGCGCCUUCUGGCGCCUGCUCUGAUUCUACACGCACUGUAGCGCUUUUUAGGUUUCCGUUGGAGUCCACCGUUGCGCUGUAGCCGUUGCUCCACUGGCACACCGGACAGUCCGGUGCUACACCGGAUAGUCCGGUGAAUUAUAGCGGGGUGGCUUUUCCAGAAACCCGAAGGUGGCGAGUUCGAGUUGAUCCACCCUGGUGCACCGGACACUGUCCGGUGGCAUACCGGACAGUCCGGUGCGCCAGACCAGGGUUCACUUCGGUUUCUUUUGCUCCUUUCUUUUGAACCCUAUCUUGGACCUUUUUAUUGGUUUGUGUUGAACCUUUUGCAUCUGUAGAACUUAUAAUCUAGAGCAAACUAGUUAGUCCAAAUAUUUGUGUUGGGCAAUUCAACCACCAAAAUCAUUUAGGAAAAGGUUUUACCCUAUUUCCCUUUCAGAGAUGCCCUGGCAUUAAGGAUGGCAUUGGUUUCCAAUAGGGAAGCAACGUCAAGAUUAAUGACCCUAAGAAACUGUCUAACUUUGUUAAGGGCAAAGCUCCCAUGGUUCAGGAUAAUGAGGGCUAUAUUUUAUAUCCUGCUAAUUAUCCUGAGCACAAAAUUAGGAGAAUUCAUGCUAGGAAACCUCAUACUGUAGAAAAUCCAAAUUUGCUCCUAAGGCUGUAGAAGGCUUUUUACUUGGUUAUGACUCAAACACAAGAGCAUAUAGAGUUUUCAACAAAUCCACUGGAUUAGUUGAGGUUUCUUGUGACAUUGUGUUUGAUGAGACUAAUGGCUCCCAAGUGGAGCAAGUUGAUCUUGAUGAAUUAGAUGAUGAAGAGGCUCCGUGCGUCGCACUAAGGAACAUGUCCAUUGGGGAUGUGUGUCCUAAGGAAUCCGAAGAGCUUCCACAAGCACAAGAUCAACCGUCAUCAUCCAUGCAAGUAUCUCCACCAACUCAAGAUGAGGAUCAGGCUCAAGAUGAUGAAGAUCAGGAGGAUGAGCCACCUCAAGAGGAGGACAAUGAUCAAGGGGGAGAUGAAGACAAGGAAGAUGAUCAGGAAAUUCAGGGUCAAAGACCACCACACCCAAGAGUCCACCAAGCGAUUCAAAGAGAUCACCCCGUCAACUCCAUUCUUGGUGAUAUUCAUAAGGGGGUAACUACUCGAUCUCGAGUCGCUCAUUUUUGUGAACAUUACUCUUUUUGUCCUCUAUUGAGCCAUACAGGGUGGAGGACGCACUAAGAGAUUUGGAUUGUGUGCUGGCAAUGCAAGAGGAACUCAACAACUUCACGAGGAAUGAGGUAUAGCAUUUGGUUCCACGUCCUAAUCAAAAUGUUGUAGGUACCAAAUGGGUAUUCCACAACAAGCAAGACGAGCAUGGUGUGGUGACAAGAAACAAAGCCCGACUUGUGGCCAAAGGGUAUUCACAAGUCGAAGGUUUGGAUUUCGAUGAAACUUAUGCACCCGUAGCUAGGCUUGAAUCAAUUCGUAUAUUACUUGCCUAUGCUACUUAUCAUGGCUUUAAGCUUUAUCAAAUAGACGUGAAAAGUGCCUUCCUCAAUGGACCAAUCAAGGAAGAGGUCUAUGUUGAGCAAUCUCCCGGCUUUGAAUAUAGUGAGUACCUGUAACACCCUGAAUUUGGGGGUAGAAUUUUUCUUCUUUUUACUCACCAAAUUCAGGUGUUACUCUCUUUUCUCUUCCCGUUUCGCUCCUUCUUCCCAAAUUCAAAGCAGUAUAGCGACUGACGUCCAUAUCGUGUGUAAACAAAACCUAAGUUGACAUGGGUGUUGCAUCAUGCCGAAUCAUAUUUCUUUUGUUUGAUGUCGUGUUUCAUCGCGUGUGUUGCUUAGUCUCGUUUCGUAUUUUGUUUCACGAAUUGGAUUCCGAUCUGUCAUUGUGCGUGCCACGGGAUUUUGACCCGCGGUGCGGCCCAGCCCAGCUCGGCUCGGCCUGCGCGCCCCUGGCGCCCUGCCCCUCCCCCCAUGCAUGCGCCCUCCCCCUCCCCUUGUCUCUCUUUUCCUCAUUCAAUUCUCUCGCGCAGCAACCUCCUCUCCUCCACCUCUCUCUCUCCCCGUGGCGCCCUAGGUUUUGGAGACGGUGAUCACUGGAUUUGGACCCCGAGGUGAGCUCCCCUCCCCUCUCCCUCUCUCUCUUCCCCUCCCCCUCCCCUUUCUUCUUCCCUACGCGUCCUUGUAGCCCCGCCGCGCGCCCCCCUGCGGCCUAGUCACGUGCCCCCUACGGCCUCGUCGCGCGGCCCCGCGCCCGCUCCCCGCCGGCGCCCCCCUCGCCGCGGCCCGCGCCCGGUGGCCCCGCUCGCCCGCGUUUAACUUUCAGUUUAAUCCAUUUUUAAUUUUAGUUUAGUCGAUGUGCUGCGUCGCACGCUUCGUCGUGCGACGAUUCAUUUUAAAUUCAUCUUUAUUAGUGAGCUAUGUCGCGUGCUUGGUCGCGCGACGUUUCAUUUUAAAUUCAGUUCAGAUGACGUAUGUUGUCGUGUGUUUCGUCGCGCGACGCUUAACGUUUAUUUAUAAUUAAUGCAAGAGUCUCGUUGCGCGCCCCGUCGCGCGACGGGUCGUUUAUUUCUUAAUUCAAUUUAAGUGCUGUGUCGCGCGUCUCGCCGCGCGACAAUCCUUUUAAUUUACCUUAAUCUGUUCAUAAUGAUUAAACAUGGAACAUGACUUUACCCUAUGCUAAACGCGAUGGCUAAAUUAACACCAUUCUGUUAGACGAGUAUUUUAAUUUAUAAUCGUGUGACGUGAUCGCUCUUCAACCGUAGCCUCGACCGUUACUUUCUUUUUCUCGCUUAGUCAUAGGUGUGAACCCUGCGUCGAACGUCUGUCUAUUUAUUGCAUUCUAUUGUUUGGUGUACUAUUCUUUUGUAUUAAAACUUGUGGAAUAUAUGUUUGAACUCGUAUAGAUAACGGUCAGUUGGCGGAGUUUGAAGGAGUUGCAGGUGAAGACCUUGAGCAGCAGUCGGUUGGUGAAGGCAAGUGUCCCUUGACCCAUCUAUGUCCUAAUCAUUCUUAUUAUCCAUUCGCCGCAUUUACACAGUUUAUACCUAAGGAUUGACUAGGUUUUGUCUAUCUAGUCCUUGUUUACCUAUUCUGGUUGGGUUAUUAUGGUUUAGCUUUAUGCUAGUGCUUCACAUUAAUCAAUGAACAUGAUGAGAUUAUCUAUGAUACGCUAUUUUCCCUUUUGAUUAUGAUGAUGGUACUGUGACAAUUAAGGGGGCUCGAGCUAUUUCUCGAGUGCCUCUCCGUAAGGACUGGUUUGUUGGAUGACCGCCCGGGAAAACAGUGCAACCAUGAGGGUGGAGUGGGACGCCCUUAGCUGAGUAAUUAGAGGAACUAGGGUGUAGUUCGCUUCGCCGUCGUGCCGUUAAUGGGGCUCGGUGUAUGCGGCUCGCUCUGCCAAGGUUGGUUCGCCCCUUAGGGAGGAGUGCGGUGCAUUUAGGAAACCUAAUGGGCGGCUAUAGCCCCAGGGAAUCUUUGUAAAGGCUACAUAGUGAGACCCUGCCUAUUCACCUUGGUAGUGAUUAAGGGUUUGAUCGACCCAAGGCAAGAGGGAAUCAUGGCUUGUGGGUAAAGUGUGCAACCUCUGCAGAGUGUUAUGAAACUGAUAUAUCAGUUGUGCUCGUGGUUAUGAGCGGCCAAGGGAGCUCCAACGAUUAGAGAUACUUGAUUAGAGAUACUUGAUCAGAGAUGUAUGGUUUACAGGUGGUGACGAGGAUGAUGGUUUUGGUUAUGCCUAUGGUAAUGGUAAGUGGUAUUCUUUCUGUUUGGAAAGGGUACAUUGGGUUAAUAACUUGGGUUGAUACUAAAACCUGGCUUUCUACUAGUAAUAAUAACCUGACCAACUAAAAGCAACUGUUUGACUUAACUCCACAUAAAGCUAGUCCACUACAGCCAAACGGGACAUUUUGCUGAGUAUGUUGAUGUGUAGUCACCCUUGCUUUACACACCAAACCCCCUAGGUUGUCUGCAUUGCAACCACUGCUCAGGUGAAGAUGAAGCCGUGGAGGAGGACUUCCAGGAGUUUCAAGAGUACGAUGAGUUCUAGGCGUGGGUUAGCGGCAAACCCCUAGUCGGCUGCCUGUGUAGGCCGUGUGUAUCUAUGUUUCUUUUCCGCACUUUGAUUAUGGUUAAAGACUAUGUGGAUGUCUCAGAUAUCAUGAUGUAAUCGACUAUUAUACCCUCUUUUAUGUCAUUAUUUUAGCAUUGUGUAAUGAUGUCCAGUUAUGUAACUGUUGUGUACGUGAAUUGCUGAUCCUGGCAUGUACAUGGUUCGCAUUCGGUUUGCCUUCUAAAACCGGGUGUGACAGUACCCUAACCAUGUUUAUAAACUCUCAAAGGCGCUUUAUGGGCUUAAGCAAGCCCCAAGAGCAUGGUAUGAAUGCCUGCGAGAUUUUCUUAUCACUAAUGGAUUCAAAGUCGGCAAAGCCGAUCCUACUCUCUUUACUAAAACUAUUGCAAAAGAUUUGUUUGUAUGCCAAAUUUAUGUUGAUGAUAUCAUAUUUGGGUCUAUUGACAAAUCUACUUGUAAAGAGUUUAGUAGGAUCAUGAUUCAGAAAUUCGAGAUGUCUAUGAUGGGGGAGUUGAAGUAUUUCCUAGGAUUUCAAGUCAAGCAACUCCAAGAGGGCACCUUCAUCAGCCAAACAAAGUACAUUCAAGACAUAAUUACCAAGUUUGGAAUGAAGGAUGCCAAGCCCAUCAAGACACCCAUGGGAACAAAUAGGCAUCUCGACCUCGACACGGGAGGUAAAUCCGUAGAUCAAAAGGUAUACCGGUCGAUGAUAGGAUCUUUACUCUAUUUAUGUGCAUCUCGACCGGAUAUUAUGCUUUCCGUAUGCAUGUGUGCUAGGUUCCAAGCCGAUCCUAAGGAAAAUCACCUUAGGGCCGUGAAAAGAAUCAUGAGAUAUUUAAUUUACACUCCUAAGUUUGGUCUUUGGUACCCCAAGGGAUCCACAUUUGAUUUAAUAGGAUAUUCCGAUGCCGAUUGGGCAGGGUGUAAGAUUGAUAGGAAGAGCACAUCAGGGACUUGUCAGUUUCUGGGAAGAUCCCUGGUGUCUUGGGCUUCAAAGAAACAAAACUCAGUAGCUCUUUCCACUGCCGAAGCCGAGUAUAUUGCCACAGGCCAUUGUUGUGCGCAAUUACUUUGGAUGAGGCAAACCCUCACGGACUAUGGCUACAAAUUGAGCAAAGUCCCUCUCCAUGUGACAAUGAGAGUGCAAUCCACAUGGCGGAUAAUCCCGUUGAACACAGCCGCACUAAGCACAUAGACAUUCGGUAUCACUUUUUGAGGGAUCACCAACAAAGGGGGAUAUCGAGGUUGCUUAUGUUAGCACAAAGAACAAUUAAUCGAUAUCUUUACCAAGCCAUUAGAUGAGAAAACCUUUAGCAAACUUAGGAAUGAGCAAAACAUUCUUGAUUCUCGGAAUUUUGAUUGAAGCAUUGCACAUAUAGCUCAUUUAUAUACCUUUGAUCAUAUCUCUUUCAUGUUGGUACAAAUGCAUAUUUCUUAUGUACCAAGGCUAUGACUAUGUGUUUCCAAGUACAUUUCUAUACUAAGUCAUAAAUUGAAAGGGAAAUGGAGUACUCGACGAAGACAAGGCUUCCACUCCACUCUACUGGUAUUUUUAUCCUUCGUCGUCACUCCCCAUCACUCUCCAAAUGGUAUAAUCUCUCACUCAUAUUUACUUGUACCAAUGGGAGAGAAAGUAAAAAGAGGGUUCUCAAAGUCUCCGUUUUUGGCGAUUAAUGCCAAAGGGGGAGAAAGUAUUCGCCCAAAGCAAAAGGACCGCACCACCAACUUCAAAAUUUUAAUUUAUUUACAAAAGUUUGUUUUCCAAUUGGUAUCUUGUGAUAAGCAAUUUCUUCAAUUGGUAUGAUAUUUUCAAUUGGUAUAUUUAAGGAUAGAUUUUCAAAAUUGGCAUACUUCCAAUUGGUAUCUAUCAAAACCCUCUUGAAAGCUAAGAGGAGAAUUUCAUUGGGGGGAGUUUGGUUUAAGUCAAAGGAAAAGCAUUUGAAAAAGGGGGAGAAAAUUUCAAAUCUUGAAAAUGCCUCUUGCAGUCUUACUCAUAUACCUUUGACUAUUUGCAAAAGACUUUGAAAAAGAUUUUCCAAAAAGAUUUGCAAAAACAAAACAUGUGGUGCAAAUGUGGUCCAAAAUGUUAAAUAAAAGAAAGCAAUCCAUGCAUAUCUAAUGAAAUUAUAAAUUGGUUUAAUUCUAAGCAACAUAUUCACUUACCUUAUGCAAACUAAUUCAUUUCUGCACUUAUAUAUUUGCUUUGGUUUGUGUUGGCAUCAAUCACCAAAAAGGGGGAGACUGAAAGGGAAAUAGGGGUUAACCUUUUUCCUAUAAAUAAUUUUGGUGGUUGAAUGUCCAACACAAAUAAUGGACUAACUAGUUUGCUCUAGAAUAUAUGUUCUACAUGUGCAUAAAGGUUCAACACAAACAAAUAAAAGACUGAAGAAACGGUUCAAAAACAAAGGAGCAAAGAAACCGAGUGUGCCCUGGUCUGGCGCACCGGACAGUGUCCGGUGCACCAGGACUGUACAGCGCCCAACUCUCCACUCUUGGGUUUCUCAGGGCGCGCUCCGUUAUAAUUCACUGGACUGUCCGGUGUGGCACCGGACUGUCGGUGCACCAGCGGAGCAACGGCUACUCGCGCAACGGUCGACUACAAAAGCCACGCUGACCGCUGAACAGUGAAGAACAGUGCACGCAAAGUCAGAGCGCAGAAGUCAGAGGCGCACCGGAUAGUGAACAGUACCUGUCCGGUGCAGCACCGGACUGUCCAGUGCCACUAGAAGACAAAGCCUCCAACGCUCACAAGCUCCCGAAACCUAACGGUUGGGUGACAUGGCUGGUGCACCAGACUGCCCGGUGCGCCAAUCAGUAGCCUGCCCCAACGGUUGUUUGGUGGUUGAGGGCUAUAAAUACCCCCAACCACCACCACUCCAACCACCCAAGCAUUCCUCACAUUGCAUUCAAUACAAGAGCAAUAGACUUCACUCCAAGACACAAAUCGAAGUGAUCGAUCCACUCAAAGUCCCAAAUUUAACUCUAGCACAUUAGGGCUUGUGAGAGGAUCACUUGUGUUUCUUGUUGCUCUUGUUUUGCUUGGUUGGCUUUCUUUUCUUUUCCUUGUUACUCUCAAGUGCUUUGUAAGCAAGGCAAGAGACACCAAUUGUGUGGUGGUCCUUGCGGGGUCUAAGUGACCUGUGAGAAGUAAAGAAGAAAGCUCACUCGGUCUAGGUGACCGUUUGAGAGAGGGAAAGGGUUGAAAGAGACCCGGUCUUUGUGACCACCUCAACGGGGACUAGGUUCCUUAGAACCAAACCUCGGUAAAACAAAUCACCGUGUUCAUCCGCUUUACUUCUUGGUUGAUUUGUUUUCCCCUCUCUCUCGGACUCGAAUUCAUUUCUAACGCUAACCCCGUCUUGUAGUGUGUGCUUAAGUUUAUAAUUUUCAGAUUCCACCUAUUCACCCCCCUCUAGGCGACUUUCAAGCUUGCCAUCAGAUCAGGAUGUACAUGGUCUUGUACAUAAUUUUUAUCUUGGAUUCAAGAUCCAUUUACUGAGGCCUGGAGCCUCAAAUUCCGGCCAUGUUCAGCACAUGUUCCAUCCUCGCCACCCAGCAUGCUGGCUAAGCCGCGCGCGUCUCGACCCCUUUCGGUGUUGGUUCCAACUCCCAUGCCGAGCUCUGGAUAACCUUUCGGUGUUGGCUAAGCCGCGUGGCUACCGGCACCGCCUCCGCCGUCUCCGCCGACAUCGCCGCCUCAAUCCCGCCCCGACCCGUGAGUGUGGCCAUCCGUUUUACUUUCUUUGUUUAUGCUGGUUAGCCAUGUUAGGGCCGUACACGCAUCAAUCUUGGCGGCGUACAUUGGUUUAGCCAUUUAGGGAAGGUUGUUGAUUCGAUUGCGUUUUUGUGUCAUUUAUCAUUUUUCUCUAUUGAUUGCCCUUUACUUGGGUAAAUUACUGUGGAAAUUUACAAAUUAUAUUAGAGGAAACUGUCAUAUUAACUGUACAAAUUGAGUGCUGCCACCUGUUAAUAAGCUGUAUAUUUCUGUUAUGUUGUGAUCUCAGGAGAGCAAUGGAGCGCUAGGGGUUCACCAGCAGCAGAAGAGGCUGCUCUUAGUGCUUAGCGCCCAUGGUUGCAGGAACCAGCAAUGUUGUGUCCCUCAAGCUGAUGGGUGGUGCCCUUAUUGGGAGAUGCUAUGAAUCGUGUGCGGCAGCAGUUGACUCCACGGACCCGCCAGCUGAGAAGCAUGAGUACCAGGCUGAGGUACUUGUGGGGUGAAUUGGUCUAACUCUGUGUUAUCUUCUUCUGUGGUUUGGUUAUAAGAUGUCAUGGUGUUUUCGCAAUGUUCUAUGUAGGUCAACAGGCUCAUGGAUUUGAUCGUACAUAGCUUGUAUAGUAACAAGGAAGUUUUCCUUCGAGAACUGGUCAGGUGGGUCACAGUUACGCACACAAUAUUUUUUUCAGUUAAUGUAGCUUCUUUAUAGAGACUCCGGGUUCCUUGUUAAUGUAUUUGGUUGAAACUUGUGAAAUGCUAUGUAAUGAUUGUAUCACAUUUUUUAUUUUAAUCCCUAAAUUAGUUUGCUGUUUCAUUUCCUCUUCAUCUGCUUCUGCACUGUUCUUCCUCUUGCUUCAUAUGUCAUGUGCUGACCAACUGUUUUGUGGCUUCAUCUGCUUAUGCACAAUUCUCUUUUUUGUUUUCAUUAGAUGUGUGGUAACGGGUUCUGUUGCAUUGCUCGGUUUAUGGAAGAACAUGAAAAUAUGUUGGGGACAAUUAGGUAAUGCAUUGCAGCAUGAUUGUAAAACAAUUAAAAUGAUUUACACAAAAAUUGCACUUGAGGCCUUGCUAUUCUCUGCCUAAUUUGGUUUUGUGGGGAAUCUGAGUCUAAUAUUUCUUUUCGGGCUUCUUUCGGGUUAGUACGUUUUCUAAUAUGGGGGUUGCAGGUCCCACUCUAUAACUCUACUAUGUACACAACUUUGGAGAAACUUCAAUACUAUUUGUUGCAAUUGUUAUGGACAUCCAUAAGUUUAGCUCAUUGUUCCAUUUUCUUAGAAGAAUCAGAUAGGAGGUUCUGAUUUAAAUUAGUAAUAAGAGUAGCAUAUCUGAAGUUUGUUUUUUUAGAAUAAUCCAAUAUGUGGUUAUGGUAAUACUAUGUCCAUAUGCUGAUCCUGACUGAUGUUGUUGUGAUGCUAACAGGUAUGACUCUGGUGAAACCGGUGGGUUGUUACUCAUUUGUAUUUUAUUCCGGAAUGACCAUUCUUUUGAUGGCAAUGUCUUUGUUAGCUUGUAGCUUGCACAUGCUGCAUGAUGCUUUUCAGCUACUUUCAGCUAAUUUAUGCAACUUGGGCUACUUCCAUUUUUAUGCGGUGUGUUCACUUGUAGAAAUCUGGUCUGGAAAAAAGAGGUACCAAUCCAAUUGUCGGCGUUUCGAACCCAGGGGGUCCCUAGACCGACGAGUAAAAAUUGUCGCUGCGUGUCCCAGCCCAGAUGGGUCGGCGCGAGAUGGAACACAAGGGGGGGAGAACCGCAGCUCGUGUUAUCCUGCACCCAGGGCGGAUGCGCUUGCAGUAGGGGUUACAAGCGUUCGCGAGGGAGAGAGAGAGCCUAUUCGUCGGCCCGUCCUCCCGCGCGACCACCCUCUCGUAUGAGGGCCCUGGACCUUCCUUUUAUAGACGCAAGGAGAGGGUCCAGGUGUAUAAUGGGGGUGUAGCAAUAUGCUAACGCGUCCGGCAGAGAGGAGCCAGAGCCCUAUGUACAUGCCAACGUGGCUGUCGGAGAGGUGCUAGAGCCCUGUGCAUGCGGUGUCGUGGCCGUCGGAGGAGCGCUUGAGCCCUGUAGAAGCACAGCUGUCGGGGCUGCCCGGACCUUGCUGACAUCUCCUUGCUUCCGUAGGGGGCUGAGAAACUGUCAUCGUCUUGGAUGCACGCGGGGUGCCAUCAUUACUUGUUUACAGGGGCGAGCCAGAUGGGACGCCGGUCUUGUUCCCCGUAGCCUGAGCUAGCUAGGGGUAGGGUAAUGAUGUACCCCCUGUGGCGUGGUCGGUCCGAGCCCAAGGUCGGGUGAGGCGAAGACUCCUCCUGAGGCCGAGGCCGGGGUGGGGUGAGGACGCGAUUCCUUCUGAGGUCGAGGUUGAGGCUGAGCCCUGGGGUCGGGCGAGGUGGAGACCAUCCUCCGAGGUCGAGGUUGAGGCCGAGCCCUGGGGUCGGGCGAGGCGGAGACCACCUUCCGAGGCCGAGGCGGGGGCCGAGCCCUGAGGUCGAGCGAGGCGGAGCUUCCUGUUGCGCCUGAGGCUGGACUUAGCUGUUGUCAGCCUCACCCUUGCGGGUGGCACAUCAGUCGGAGCGGGGCAGGCGACGCUGUUUUCCUGUCAGGUCGGUCAGUGGAAGGGUGAAGUGACUGCGGUCAUUUCGGCCCUGCCGACUGAGGAACGUGCGUCAGGAUAAGGUGUCAGGCGAUCCUUGCAUUGAAUGCUCCUGUGAUACGGUCGGUUGGCGAGGCGAUCUGGCCAAGGUUGCUUCACUGCGAAACCUGCCCGAGCUGGGCCUCGGGCGAGUCGAGGGUGCGCCCGUUGCUUGAGGAGGCCCUCGGGCGAGGCGUGAAUUCGCCUGGGACUACUGUUCCUGCCUGAGGCUGGGCUCGGGCGAGGCGAGAUCGUGUCCCUUGAGUAGUCGGAGCCUUGGCCUUAAUUGCGCCCAUCAGUCUCUACAGCUUGUGCUGAUGGUGAUUACCAGCUGAGUUUAGGAGUGUUGGGGUACCCCUAAUUAGGGUACCCGAUAGUAGCCCCCGAGCCUCAAAGGGAGUGUUGGUACUCGCUUGGAGGCUUUGUCACACUUUUUUGCAAGGGGACCGGCCUUUCUUGGUUACAUUUUGUUCCGUUGGGUGCGCGCGAGCGCACCCGCCGGGUGUAGCCCCCGAGGCCUCGGAGGAGUUGUUUGACUCCUCUGAGGUCUUAAUGCCUUUUGCGAUGCCUUGGCCGGUCUGGUUGUUCCCUCAUGCGAUCUGAUGGUAGCCCGGGUGCAUGGUCGGGUUCCGAGUUUUCAGGCUGGUCUCUUGACGCUGUCAACAGUUUGGCCGUAGCCGGGUUUGCGAGAGCAGCCCCCGAGCCUCUGCAUGGAGCGAGAGGACGAUCAAGGACUGACUCGACUUUUAUCAUACACCCCUUCGUCACUUUUCGCAAGGAGGAGGGGGGAAGCGCCAUGUUGCCCUCGGAGGGCGCCGAACAUGGUGUCUCUAGCGAGUUGCUAACGGGUGAUCCGAGUGGACGCCCGUGCCCCAUUCGAUAAGGGUCGGCUAGUGGCCCAGAGGCGCGCUCCAAAAGUACCUGCAGGUGAUUUGCCGGACCCGGUCCCGUUUGAUAGGGUCCGAGGGCUCGAUGCCUCCCUCUGGUGGGAUUCCGUUACAAAAUCGCUCCUGCUGGUCUCGGAAAUGUCCUAGGGUACCUCGGGAGCGUAGCCCGAGCCUCGGCCAUGUAUUGGACGUACCCAGAGUCAUUCCUCGCUCUGCGUGCUCUGGGGCGGCUGUCAAACCCUUCGAGGGGCCAGCCUUCGAACCCCUGAUCAGUAGUGGGCGCAGAGCCCGAGUGCUUUGAGGCGGCUGUCGAACCCUUCCGAGGGGCCAGCCUUCGAACCUCUGAUCAGUAAUGAGCAUGAGGCCCGAAUGCUCUGGGGCGGCUGUCGAACCCUUCCGAGGGGCCAGCCUUCGAACCCCUGAUCAGUAGGAGGGCUCGGGGCCCGCUUCCUUCGUGGAGAAGGAUCCCUUUCGGAGUAUCCCCUUUCCCGGUCCCUGUAGCAAGAGAGACAAAGGGAAGAAGGAAAAGGAUAUGAAUUUAAAUGGCAUGGCGCACCUUUUUUGACGCGGUCAUCAUGGCGGAGGUGAAACAUCGCCCGCUUCGCCUGCCAAAGGCGUCGUUUGCCCUGCCGAGGAGUUAAUGCGACGGGACGGGCGAUCCGCGGGCCGGCCGUUGCGCGUGCGCGAGUCAUUCGAGGAAUGGGCAUUUCGCCUUCGAGUUUGAAUUUCGCGGCGGGUUCGGGCGAAGUGUUGAACGGAUCUUGCCCGGGCCUUUAUAUACUCGGAAGAGGGGCCGGCGGUGGUUCUUUACUCUGCUGCUCGCCUUCUGCUUUGGUUUCCGCAACCUAAGAGAAUAGCCAGAGAAAAGAAAACCGCGCACCUUGUUCCCUCCGCCUCCACUCCCUUCAUUUGGUGAUGGCCGACAGGGUGACCGUUGUUUCGCCGCGCGAUCCAUGGCCUCUCUCCACCGUUACGGUGGAUGAUCUGGAGGCCCUCGUCGCCGAUGGCUUGCUCCGUCCCCUCUCCGGUGACCCGCAGCCGGAGUGGGUGGUCCCUGCGAGCAUGGCCGUCCCGACUCUGCCUCCGGGGUAUGUGGUUAGUUUCGUCUCCUUCCACGAGCGGGGGUUCGGAGUGCCAGCGAGCCGUUUCAUGCGGGCGCUCCUGCAUUAUUACGGGGUGGAGCUGCACAACUUCAACCCCAACUCCAUUGCGCAAGCGACCAUCUUCGCGGCGGUUUGCGAGGGUUUUCUGGGGGUUGACCCCCACUGGGAUCUGUGGACCCAUCUCUUCUCCGCGGAGCUUUUCGUCUUGACGACGGGGGAAAAGAAGGUCCGCAUGGCGGUGCGGGCCGGUGGCUGCACCCUCCAGUUGAGGCAGGCGCGCGCGCAGCAGUACAUCCCCGCCAUCCUUGUGUCUUCGAACAAGGGGUGGCAGCGCCGGUGGUUUUACCUCCGGAAUGACGACAGAAGGCUUCUGUCGUUUUCUCAACGAGUGGUGACCGCCGCCGGCAGCAACUGGCGUUGGGGGGCCACGCCCGAGAGACAAGAGAAUCUCCAGCCUCUUUUGGAGGCCUUGCAGAGGUUGUGAGAUGCGGGGCUCACCGCUACGGGGGUAGUCGCCACCAUCCAUCGCCGGAGGGUGCUCCCUUUGGUUGAGCGGCGGUUGCCGCUCUCGGAGAUGAAGCCGGGGGUUGAUUUGGAGGGCUCGCAGAUGUCCUCGGCUCCCCUUUCCACCGAUGACCUCCGCAGACGGGUAGCGGGCACGGUAGGGAGGCUGGAUGCCGGCGCCCUUACCCAGCCCGUGAUGCGUCCCGAGUGUGGGUAUGUGUCCCUGGUGAGUGUCCGCUCCUUCUUCUACCUUGCGCCGGGUCACCUUUGAUUCUUACCGUCGAGAUUUCCGUUCGUCUCCAGGAGUUGGGGUUUUUCAAGCCCUCCCUGCCACCGGUCCCGGAGGACGCGGUGGACCGAGCCGCGCGGAGGGUCGCCGUGGAGAAGAAGAAGGAGAAGAAGGACGCGGAGAAGGCCCGGGCUCGCAAGCGGAUGCAGGCUCGGCACGCCUUGGAGAGGCGCCGUUGGAGGCAGGAGAGGGACGGGCUCCCGAGGGAGCCGUCGCCGGAGACGCUUGACGACGAUGAUGAUGAUGACGAGGACGACAACAUGGUGGCCCGCCUUGGCCUUAGCCCGGAUCUGAGGCUGGGCCAGGGGUCGUCGAGCCAGCCUCCAAGUGGGCUGGAGCCGUCGUCAUCUAGGGCCGGGCCAUCUAGGUCCCGGUCCGAGGAGCAGGGGCAGGCCGAGGGGGUACUUGACUCCUUGGCCGAGGUAGUUGAGGUGACCCCGGGGAGUCAGGCCGACCCGCCUGUCCCCCAAGAGCAGUCGCCCGUGCCGGCCGUACAGGAGGUUGAUCCUCAGGCCGUCGUGACUGCGCCUGGGCGGACCGUCCCUUCGGCGCUCUGGGCGCCCGAGGUGGGAACGGUGCCGAAGCCGGCAGCGGGGCAAACCUCGGCAGCGCCUGUGGGGACCGAGGCCCGAGGGGCCUCCACGCAGGCACGAUUGGCCUUGGUCUGGAGCGGGUAAGUAUCUGAGGAGACCUCUAUUUUGGCUCCUUCUUCGUGUGUCCUGAUCCCGCUUUAUCUUUUCCUCUUAGCAAACGGAGGCAAGGUUCGGCCGGUCUGGCUCCCCGGAAGGCCCUUAAGACGGUGCCGGCUUCUGCAGCCAGUGCUGCACCGCGCCACGCCGGUUGGCUGGCCUCCGCACAAGAUGCCCUCAAGCGGGGGGCCCUGGCGGCAUGAGUUGCCAUGGGGCAAGCUCCCCAGGCUGACCCCUCCAUCGAGGCGGCCAUCGUGCCGGGGGAGGCUGCUGGUGCGGCCGCGGCCUUGAGCCCACCUGACGUGUUGCCGGCGCCGGCACCAGCUCCUACCGAGGCCGUUGUUGUUUUGCUCGUGGAGCCACCCGUCGCCGCCGAUGCUGGGAUGGCUGAGGUGCCGCUGCUUGAGGUCGUCUCCGACCUUCCCAGUUUUGGCCAUAAGGAGGGGGCGGCCAUUGUUGUUGAGGUCGGUGAUCGGAAGCCCGCCUCCUUAGCUGAGGGGGUACCCGAUGCGUCGACUGCUGGGGGUCCCAACACCUUGGAGGAGGGGGCAUAGAACCGCGGCCCGUCUUGGGGAGCGGCGUCGUCAUCCCCGCGCGGCGCGAUCCCAAUGAGUGGCGUGGGCAGGCGCUCCGGUUCUGGACCCGCGGCGCCUCGAAACCCCUCUUCGUCCUCGACGAUGAGCGGGAGGAGCAGUCUCGGGAUGAGCUCCGUGAGUAUGCCGAGGCAGCGAUGGGGUCGCUUCGGUUGACCCUGGAGAUCAUUUCCAAGGAUGUUCCCAGGGUCCUCCAGGUAAGGAUUUCAGGCAUACCUUUCGCGUGACUAGGGCAUUCUUUGUGACACCCUGCUUCCCUUCCUCAGGAUCUAACGGAUCUGAGCACCGCCAAGUCGUUGUUCAUCCGCCGCGAGACCGACGUCUGGGGUUCGCUGCGGUUCCUAAGGGCCGCGCUUACCGAGGCUACCUAACGCCUCGCACAACGGAGCGCCGAGGCGGCGGACCUUCGGUUGCUCUGUGAUGAGCUAGAGGUGGAGGCAGCGGCGGCACGGGUAGAGGCGGCGUUGGCACGGACGGAGGCGCAGCAGCGGCAGCUAGAGCUUGGCCGGGUCAUCGGCGAGCGGGACCAACCUCGGAACCAGGCUGCCGAGGCUGUAGGUCGGGCUGAGGCCCUUGGGGGCCAGCUAGCCGAGGUGUCUGCUCGGGCCGGAGCCCUUGAGGAGGACCUGGCCGUGGCCAUCGGGUCUGCCCAGUCCGCCCAAGCCGCAGCCUCGAAGCAGCGUGCCCGAGCUGAAGGUAUGUUUUGGCCGCUUUGUGACUUCAAUUCAGCUUCAUUCUUCAACUCGUGUCUGAAGAAUUCUGUUUGGCUGUUUGCAGAGUUCGAGUCAGCUCUCAACGAGUCCGCCAAGGCACUUGCCCAGGUGGCUGAGCAGAAGGAGGUCGACCGUGUGGCCAUGUCCGAAGCUAUCUCGGCCUUCUGUCGGGUCUUUGGUAUUGACGACGUCCCCUCGGGAAGCUCCCCCUAGAGUCGUCUACGGGCCUUUGGUGGCCAUGUGCGCGGCAGACUCCGCGAGGCGCUGCAUCACGGCGUUAGGCGAGCCUUCGCCGUGCUCGCUUCCCACUACGACGUGGACCUAGAGCGGGUCAGCGAGGGGUACUGUCUACCCGACGAAGAUGAAGCUAACUUAGCCGAGGUUCAGAGGCUUGACGCGGUCGUCGUGGGCCCAAGUGUGGUGCUGGCGUCCUCCUUCGAGGUGGAGAUCCUUCGCUCACGUCACCGUCCGAGGCCGGGGCGGAUCUCGCCGAGGGUGGAGACGACGCUGAGGGUGGAGACGAAUCCGAGGGUGCCUCACCUCCCCCGGGCGAUGCCUGAUUCUGCCGGAGCGGUUUGUUUGGAACAUGCAUGUGUCUUUCAUGGCCGCCGAGGCCUAAACACUUUGUCGUCGUGUUAUAAAGUUGCGUUUCUUUUCCCCUUGUUUCGAGUAUCCAGACUUGUUUGUCAGUAGCAGAAUCGCUUAUCCGAGUAAGAGUUACUUUUCGCGGAAGGUGACUAGUGAGGUAUCCGUAUCCCGGAGGCGUAGGAGUCCCUCGGCUCGGUCGGCCUUGCCGCUUACGUGUGUUCUUACUCGUUUUGAAGAAUUCUGAUAUCGAUAUAGUCGGAAAGUACGAAAGUCGUUUUGGUGGAAAAGUUUUUCUAAGGAAAAUUUUGACGCAGAGGGGGUUCCCCCCUUCUAGCCCCCGAGGGAGGGUCAGGCUUUGCCGAGGCAAGGCUGACCCUUCCUUGACGGUUAAACUCUAUUUGUGUACGUAUAGAGAACGAGGUAUAUGAACAAAUUGAAAACAUCUUAAGGGUAAAAGCGACAUAGCUGUCAGAUGUUCCAAGCGUUGCUGUAGACCUCGCCUUGACUGUUGGCCAGCUUGUAUGUUCUGGGCUUCAAAAUCUUGGCGAUGAUGAAUGACCCUUCCCAAGGAGGAGUGAGCUUGUGGCGCCCUCGGGCGUCUUGCCGCAGCCGAAGUACCAAGUCUCCCCCCUGGAGGUCUCGGGGCUGAACCCCUCGGGCGUUGUAGCGUCGCAGAGACUGCUGAUACCAUGCCGAGUGUAGUAAGGCCAUGUCCCAAGCCUCUUCCAGCUGGUCCAGUGAGUCUUCUCGGCUGGUCUGGUUGCUUCGGUCGUCGUACGCCUUCGUCCUCGGGGAACCGUAUUCUAAGUCUGUGGGCAGGAUAGCCUCGGCCCCAUAGACUAGAAAGAACGGCAAAAAGCCCGUGGCUCGGCUUGGCGUCGUCCUCAGACUCCAGACCACCGAGGGUAGUUCCUUCAUCCAUCGCUUGCCGAACUUGUUGAGGUCAUUGUAGAUCCUUGGUUUUAGUCCCUGCAGAAGCAUACCGUUGGCACGCUCUACCUGCCCAUUCGUCAUGGGGUGAGCUACGGCGGCCCAGUCCACACGGAUGUGGUGGUCCUCGUAGAAGUCCAGGAACUUCUCGCCAGUGAACUGGGUGCCAUUCUCGGUGAUGAUGGAGUUCGGGACCCCAAAGCGAUGGAUGAUGUUGGUGAAGAAUGCCACCACCUGCUCGGACCGGAUGCUAGUUAGGGGUCGGACCUCGAUCCACUUGGAGAAUUUGUCGAUGGCGACCAGCAGGUGCGUGAAGCCCCCGGGUGCCUUCUGCAAGGGACCAACGAGGUCCAGACCCCACACAACAAACGGCCAGGUGAUGGGUAUUGUUUGCAGGGCCUGAGCGGGCAGGUGCGUCUGCCUUGCGUAGAAUUGACACCCUUGGCAGGAGCGUACAAUCCUAGUGGCGUCAGCCACCGCGGUCGGCCAGUAGAAACCUUGUCGGAAGGUGUUCCCAACGAGGGCUCGAGGUGCUGCGUGGUGACCGCAAGCCCCCAAGUGUAUUUCUUGCAAUAGCUUCUGACCUUCGGCGAUGGAUAUGCAUCGUUGGAGGAUGCCUGAGGGGCUGCGGUGGUAGAGCUCCUUUUCGUCACCCAGUAAGACGAACGACUUGGCGCGCCGCUCCAGUCGCCGAGCUUCGGCUUUAUCGAGGGGUAGCUCUCCUCGGUGGAGAUAUUGCAGGUACAGGGUCUACCAGUUUCGAUUAGGCGUGACCCCAUUCCGCUCUUCCUCGACGUGCAGUGCCUCACCCUCGACGGCUGAGGAUGCCUCGGGCUGGGCCGAGGCCUCCUCGGGCUCGACCGACGCUUCCUCGGGCUCGGGCGUGUCGUCGGUCUUGACGGAGGGUUGAUGUAUGUCUCGGGAAAAGACGUCCGGGGAACCGUUGUCCGCCCCGAGGCUAUUUUAGCCAGCUCAUCCGCAGUCUCGUUGUACCAUCGAGCGACGUGGUUGAGCUCGAGCCCGUAGAACUAGUCUUCCAGGCGCCGAACCUCGUCGCAGUAGGCCUCCAUCUUCGGGUCGUGGCAGUGGGAGUUCUUCAUGACUUGGUCAAUGACAAGCUGCGAGUCGCCACGAGCGUCAAGGCGCUGAACCCCUAGCUCGAUGGCAAUGCGCAACCCGUUAACCAGAGCCUCGUACUCGGCCACGUUGUUUGACGCCGGGAAAUGGAGGCGCAACACGUAGCGGAGGUGCUUCCCGAGGGGUGAGAUGAAGAGCAGGCCCGCACCUGCUCCUGUUUUUAAGAGCGACCCAUCGAAAUACAUGGUCCAGAGUUCCGGUUGGAUCGGAGCUGUUGGUAGCUGGGUGUCGACCCAUUCAGCCAUGAAGUCGCCAAGACUUGGGACUUGAUGGCCUUCCGAGGAGCGAACGAGAUUGCCUCGCCCAUGAUCUCCAAUGCGCACUUUGCUAUCCUACCCGAGGCCUCUCGGCACUGGAUGAUCUCCCCAGGGGGAAGGAUGACACCACAGUCACCGGAUGAGACUCGAAGUAGUGUCGCAACUUUCGUCGCGUCAGAAUUACCGCGUACAGUAGCUUCUGAAUUUGCGGGUAGCGGAUCUUGGUCUCGGAUAGCACUUCACUGAUGAAGUAGACCGGCCUCUAGACGAGCAAUGUGAAAGUCGCCUAGAGGGGGGGUGAAUAGGGCGAAACUGAAAUUCUCAAAAAUAAUCACAACUACGAGCCGGGUUAGCGUUAGAAAUAUAAUAGAGUCCGCGAGAGAGGGUGCAAAACAAAUCGCAAGCGGAUAAUAAAGCGAGACACGCAGAUUUGUUUUACCGAGGUUCGGUUCUCUCAAACCUACUCCCCGUUGAGGAGGCCACAAAGGCCGGGUCUCUUUCAACCCUUACCCUCUCUCAAACGGUCCCUCGGACCGAGUGAGCUUCUCUUCUCAAAUCACUUGGGAAUCAAACUUCCCGCAAGGACCACCACACAAUUGGUGUCUCUUGCCUCAAUUACAAGUGAGUGUUUGAUCAUAAGAAAGAAUGCCAAAGAAAAGAAGCGGUCCAAGCGCAAGAGCUCAAAUGAACACUACAAAUCACUCUCUCUAGUCACUAAGGCUUUGUGUGGAGUUGGGAGAGGAUUUGAUCUCUUUUGGUGUGCUUUGUAAUGAAUGCUAGCUCUUGUAUAGUGGUUGGAAGCUGGAAAACUUGGAUACAAUGAAUGGUGGGGUGGUUGGGGUAUUUAUAGCCCCAACCACCAAACUAGCCGUUUGGUGGGGCUGUCUGUCGCAUGGUGCACCGGACAGUCCGGUGCACACCGGACAUGUCCGGUGCGCCAGCCACGUCACCAAAGCCGUUGGGUUCUGACCGUUGGAGUUCUGACUUCUGGGCCCGCCUGGAUGUCCGGUGGCGCACCGGACAUGUACUGUAGAGUGUCCGGUGCGCCAGCAUGGGCGUGCCUGACGCCUGCGUGCUCUGGCGCGCAUUAAUUGCUGUUGCAGGCGACCGUUGGCGCGAAGUAGUUGUUGCUCCGCAGUUGCACCGGACAGUCCGGUGUACACCGGACAUGUCCGGUGAAUUAUAGCGGAGCAGCCGUUAUGAUUUCCCGAGGCUGCCAAGUUCCGGAGCCGCGUCUUCUUGGAGCACCGGACACUGUCCGGUGUACACCGGACAGUCCGGUGAAUUAUAGCGCGCCGGCUUCUGAAAAUUCCCGAGGCUGAGGAGUUCUGUGCGAGGUCCCUUGGUGCACCGGACACUGUCCGGUGCGCCACCGGACAGUCCGAUGCGCCAGACCAGGGAGCCUUUCGGGAUGCCUUUAGCUCUCUAUUUUGAACCCAACUUUGGUCUUUUUAAUUGGCUUGUUGUGAACCUUUGACACCUGUAUAACUUAGACACUAGAGCAAACUAGUUAGUCCAAUUAUUUGUGUUGGGCAAUUCAACCACCAAAAUUAUUUAGGAACUAGGUGUAAGCCUAAUUCCCUUUCAAUCUCCCCCUUUUUGGUGAUUGAUGCCAACACAAACCAAAGCAAAUAUAGAAGUGCAUAAUUGAACUAGUUUGCAUAAUGUAAAUGCAAAGGUUGCUUGGAAUUGAGCCAAUAUGAAUACUUACAAGAUAUGCAUGGAUUGUUUCUUUGUCUUUAACAUUUUGGACCACGCUUGCACCACAUGUUUUGUUUUUGCAAACUCUUUUGUAAAUCCUUUACAAAGUUCUUUUGCAAAUAGUCAAAGAUGAAUGAAUAAGAUUUUGCAAAGCAUUUUCAAGAUUUGAAAUUUUCUCCCCCUGUUUCAAAUGCUUUUCCUUUGACUAAACAAAACUCCCCCUAAAUGAGAUCCUCCUCUUAGUGUUCAAGAGGGUUUUGAUAUAUUAUUUUUGAAAUACUACUUUCUCCCCCUUUUUACCACAAUAAGAUACCAAUUUGAAAUUUACCAAUUGAAAAUCUCUCCAAUUUUAAAAUAGGUGGUGGUGCGGUCCUUUUGCUUUGGACUCAUACUUUCUCCCCCUUUGGCAUGAAUCGCCAAAAACGGAAUCAUUAGAGCCCUCGAAGUACUUUCUUCCCCUUUGGUCAUAAAUAAAUGAGUUAAGAUUAUACCAAAGACGAAGUCCUUUUGCUCUCUCCCCCAAAGAUGGAGAGUGACACGGAGCGACGGCGAAGGAUGAGUUACGGAGUGGAAGCCUUUGUCUUCGCCGAACACUCCAAUUCCCUUUCAAUAUACCUAUGACUUGGUUUGAAAUAGACUUGAAAAGCACAUUAGUCAUAGCAUAUGAAAGAGACAUGAUCAAAGGUAUACAAAUGAGCUAUGUGUGCAAGUUAGCAAAAGAAAUUGCGCGAAUCAAGAAUAUUGAGCUCAUGCCUAAGUUUGUUAAAAGUUUGUUCAUCAAGUGGCUUGGUAAAGAUAUCGGCUAAUUGAUCUUUAGUGUUAAUGUAAGAAAUCUCGAUAUCUCCCUUUUGUUGGUGAUCCCUAAGAAAAUGAUACCGAAUGGCUAUGUGUUUAGUGCGGCUAUGCUCGACGGGAUUAUCCGCCAUUUUGAUUGCACUCUCAUUGUCACAUAGCAAAGGGACUUCGGUUAAUUUGUAACCGUAGUCCCGCAGGGUUUGCCUCAUCCAAAGCAAUUGCGCGCAACAAUGGCCUGCGGCAAUGUACUCGGCUUCGGCGGUGGAAAGAGCGACCGAAUUUUGCUUCUUUGAAGCCCAAGACACCAAGGAUCUUCCCAAGAACUGGCAAGUCCCCGAUGUGAUCUUUCUAUUGAUUUUACACCCCGCCCAAUCGGCAUCCGAAUAACCAAUCAAAUCAAAUGUGGAUCCCCUAGGAUACCAAAGCCCAAACUUAGGAGUGUAAGCCAAAUAUCUCAAGAUUCGUUUUACGGCCGUAAGGUGAGCUUCCUUAGGGUCGUCUUGGAAUCUUGCACACAUGCAUACGGAAAGCAUAAUAUCCGGUCGAGAUGCACAUAGAUAUAGCAAAGAACCUAUCAUCGACCGAUAUACCUUUUGAUCCACGGACUUACCUCCCGUGUCGAGGUCGAGAUGCCCAUUAGUUCCCAUGGGUGUCUUGAUGGGCUUGGCAUCCUUCAUCCCAAACUUGUUUAGAAUGUCUUGAGUAUACUUCGUUUGGCUAAUGAAGGUGCCCUCUUGGAGUUGCUUGACUUGGAAUCCUAGAAAGUACUUCAACUCCCCCAUCAUAGACAUCUCGAAUUUCUGUGUCAUGAUCCUACUAAAUUCUCCACAUGUAGAUUCGUUAGUAGACCCAAAUAUGAUAUCAUCAACAUAAAUUUGGCAUACAAACAAAUCAUUGUCAAGAGUUUUAGUGAAUAAAGUAGGAUCGGCCUUGCCGACUUUGAAGCCAUUUGCAAUAAGGAAAUCUCUAAGGCAUUCAUACCAUGCUCUUGGGGCUUGCUUGAGCCCAUAAAGCGCCUUAGAGAGCUUAUAGACAUGGUUAGGAUACUCACUGUCUUCAAAGCCGGGAGGUUGCUCAACAUAGACUUCUUCCUUGAUUGGUCCAUUGAGGAAGGCACUCUUCACGUCCAUUUGAUAAAGCUUGAAGCCAUGGUAAGUAGCAUAGGCCAAUAAUAUACGAAUCGACUCAAGCCUAGCUACGGGUGCAUAGGUUUCACCAAAAUCCAAACCUUCGACUUGUGAAUACCCCUUGGCCACGAGUCGAGCUUUGUUCCUUGUCACCACACCAUGCUCAUCUUGCUUGUUGCGGAAUACCCACUUGGUUCCUACAACAUUUUGGUUAGGACGUGGAACUAAAUGCCAUACCUCAUUCCUAGUGAAGUUGUUGAGCUCCUCUUGCAUCGCCACCACCCAAUCCGAAUCUUGUAGUGCUUCCUCUACCCUGUGUGGCUCAAUAGAGGAAACAAAAGAGUAAUGCUCACAAAAAUGUGCAACACGAGAUCUAGUGGUUACCCCCUUAUGAAUGUCGCCUAGGAUGGUGUCGACGGGGUGAUCUCGUUGGAUUGCUUGGUGAACUCUUGGGUGUGGCGGUCUUGGUUGUUCAUCCUCCUUGUCUUCAUCAUUUGCAUCUCUCCCUUGAUCAUUGCCGUCAUCUUGAGGUGGCUCAUCUCUUGGAUCUUCUCCUUCAUCAACUUGAGCCUUGUCCUCAUUUUGGGUUGGUGGAGAUGCUUGAGUGGAGGAGGAGGGUUGAUCUUGUGCAUGUGGAGGCUCUUCGGAUUCCUUAGGACACACAUCCCCAAUGGACAUGUUCCUUAGCGCUAUGCAUGGAGCCUGUUCUUCACCUAUCUCAUCAAGAUCAACUUGCUCUACUUGAGAGCCGUUAGUCUCAUCAAACACAACGUCACAAGAAACUUCAACAAGUCCUGAGGACUUGUUAAAGACUCUAUAUGCCCUUGUGUUUGAGUCAUAUCCUAGUAAAAAGCCUUCUACAGUUUUAGGAGCAAAUUUAGAUUUUCUACCUCUUUUGACAAGAAUAAAACAUUUGCUACCAAAAACUCUAAAAUAUGAAAUAUUUGGCUUUUUACCGGUUAGGAGUUCAUAGGAUGUCUUCUUGAGGAUUCGGUGUAGAUAUAACCGGUUGAUGGCGUAGCAGGCGGUGUUGACCGCCUCGGCCCAAAACCGAUCUGGUGUCUUGUACUCAUCAAGCAUGGUUCUUGCCAUGUCCAAUAGAGUUCGAUUCUUCCUCUCCACUACACCAUUUUGUUGUGGGGUGUAGGGAGAAGAGAACUCAUGCUUGAUGCCCUCCUCCUCAAGGAAGCCUUCUAUUUGUGAGUUCUUGAACUCCGUUCCGUUGUCGCUUCUAAUUUUCUUGAUCCUUAAGCCGAACUCAUUUUGAGCUCGUCUCAAGAAUCCCUUUAAGGUUUCUUGGGUAUGAGAUUUUUCCUGCAAAAAGAACACCCAAGUGAAGCGAGAAUAAUCAUCCACUAUUACAAGACAAUACUUACUCCCGCCGAUGCUUAUGUAAGCAAUCGGGCCGAAUAGAUCCAUGUGGAGUAGCUCAAGCGGCCUGUCGGUCGUCAUGAUGUUCUUGUGUGGAUGAUGGGUUCCAACCUGCUUUCCUGCUUGGCAUGCGCUACAAACCCUGUCUUUUUCAAAAUGAACAUUGGUUAAUCCUAAAAUGUGCUCUCCCUUUAGAAGCUUAUGAAGAUUCUUCAUCCCAACGUGGGCUAGUUGGCGAUGCCAGAGCCAACCCAUGUUAGUCUUAGCAAUUAAGCAUGUGUCGAGUUCAGCUCUAUCAAAAUCUACCAAGUAUAGCUGACCCUCUAACACACCCUUAAAUGCUAUUGAAUCAUCACUUCUUCUAAAGACAGUGACACCUACAUCAGUAAAGAGACAGUUGUAGCCCAUUUGACAUAAUUGAGAUACAGAAAGCAAAUUGUAAUCUAAAGAAUCUACAAGAAAAACAUUGGAAAUAGUAUGGUCAGGUGAUAUAGCAAUUUUACCCAAUCCUUUGACCAAACCUUGAUUUCCAUCCCCGAAUGUGAUAGCUCGUUGGGGAUCUUGGUUUUUCUCAUAUGAGGAGAACAUCUUCUUCUCCCCUGUCAUGUGGUUUGUGCACCCGCUGUCGAGUAUCCAACUUGAGCCCCCGGAUGCAUAAACCUACAAAACAAUUUUAGUUCUUGAUUUUAGGUACCCAAACGGUUUUGGGUCCUUUGGCAUUAGAAACAAGAACUUUGGGUACCCAAACACAAGUCUUUGAGCCCUUGUGUUUGCCCCCAACAAACUUGGCAACUACCUUGCCGGAUUUGUUAGUCAAAACAUAUGAUGCAUCAAAAGUUUUGAAUGAAAUGUCAUGAUCAUUUGAUGCAUUAGGAGUUCUCCUUUUAGGCAAUUUAGCACGGGUUGGUUGCCUAGAGCUAGAUGUCUCACCCUUAUACAUAAAUGCAAGAUUAGGGCCAGAGUGAGACUUCCUAGAAUGAAUUCUCCUAAUCUUGCUCUUGGGAUAACCGCAGGGUAUAAAAUGUAACCCUCGUUAUCCUGAGGCAUGGGAGCCUUGCCCUUAACAAAGUUUGACAAUUUCUUAGGAGGGGCAUUAAUUUUGACAUUGUCUCCCCUUUGGAAGCCAAUGUCGUCCUUAAUGCCAGGGCGUCUCCCACUAUAGAGCAUACUUCUAGCAAAUUUAAAUUUUUCAUUUUCUAAGUUAUGCUCGGCAAUUUUAGCAUCUAAUUUUUCUAUAUGAUCAUUUUGUUGUUUAAUUAAAGCCAUGUGAUCAUGAAUAGCAUCAAUAUCAACAUUUCUACAUCUAGUGCAAAUAGAAACAUGCUCAAUAGUAGAUGUAGAGGGUUUGCAAGAUUUUAAUUCUACAACCUUAGCAUGCAAUAUAUCAUUCUUAGUUCUAAGGUCGGAAAUAGUAGCAUUGCAAACAUCAAAAUCUUUAGCCUUAGCAAGCAAAUUUUCAUUCUCAAUUCUAAGGCUAGCAAGUGAAACAUUCAAUUCUUCAAUCCUAACAAGUAAAUCAUCAUUAUUAUCUCUAGGAUUGGAAAUUGAAACAUUACAAACAUCUAAGUAUUUAGCCUUAGCAAUCAAUUUUUCAUUUUCAUUUCUAAGGCUAGCAAGAGAAAUAUUCAAUUCAUCAAUCCUAGCAAGUAAAUCAACAUUAUCAUCUCUAGGGUUGGAAAUUGAAUCAAUACAAACAUGAGAAUCAACCUUAGCAAUUAAUGUAGCAUUUUCAUUUCUAAGGUUGUCAAUGGUCUCAUGGCAAGUGCUUAGCUCACUAGACAAUUUUUGAUAUUUUUCUAUUUCUAGAGCAUAAGCAUUUUUAACCUUAACAUGUUUCUUGUUUUCCUUAAUUAGGAAGUCCUCUUGGGAAUCCAAAAGGUCAUCCUUUUCAUGAAUAACACUAAUCAAUUCAUUUAAUUUUUCCUUUUGUUCCAUGUUAAGGUUGGCAAAAAUGGUUCGCAAGUUAUCCUCCUCAUCACUAGCAUUUUCAUCACUAGAAGAUUCAUAUUUAGUGGAGGAUUUAGAUUUAACCUUCUUCUUUUUGUCGUCCUUUGCCAUGAGGCACUUGUGGCCGACGUUUGGGAAGAGGAGUCCCUUGGUGACAGCGAUGUUGGCGGCGUCCUCGUCGGAGGAGGACUCGGUUGAGCUCUCGUCGGAGUCCCACUCGCGGCAUACGUGGGCAUCGCCUCCCCUCUUCUUGUGGUACCUCUUCUUUUCUCUCCUCUUGCCCUUCUUGUCGUUAUCCCUGUCACUGUCACUUGAUAAUGGACAUUUAGCAAUAAAGUGACCGGGCUUACCACACUUGUAGCAAACCUUCUUGGAACAGGAUUUGUAAUCCUUCCCCUUCCGUUGCUUGAGGAUUUGGCGAAAGCUUUUGAUGAUUAAAGCCAUCUCCUCAUUAUCGAGCUUGGAGGCGUCAAUUGGUUGUCUACUCGGUGCAGACUCCUCCUUCUUCUCCUCCGUCGCCUUGAAUGCCACCGGUUGUGCUUCGGACGUGGAUGGUUCAUCAAGCUCGUUGAUCUUCUUUGAGCCUUUAAUCAUACACUCAAAGCUCACAAAAUUCCCGAUUACUUCCUCGGGAGUCAUUAGUGUGUAUCUAGGAUUACCACGAAUUAAUUGAACUUGAGUGGGGUUAAGGAAAAUGAGAGAUCUUAGAAUAACCUUAACCACCUCGUGGUCGUCCCACUUCUUGCUCCCGAGGUUGCGCACUUGAUUCACCAAGGUUUUGAGCCGGUUGUACAUAUCUUGUGGCUCCUCCCCUUGGCGAAGACGAAAGCGACCGAGCUCCCCCUCGAUCUUUUCCCGCUUGGUGAUCUUGGUGAGUUCAUCACCCUCGUGUGCGGUCUUGAGUAGGUCCCAAAUCUCUUUCGCAUUCUUCAACCCUUGAACCUUGUUAUAUUCCUCCUUACUUAGAGAUGCCAGGAGUAUGGUUGUAGCUUGGGAGUUGAAGUGCUCGAUUUGGGCCACCUCGUCCUCAUCAUAAUUUUCAUCCCCUACGGAUGGUACCUGUGCACCAAACUCAACAACAUCCCAUAUACUUUUGUGGAGCGAGGUUAGAUGAAAUCGCAUUAAAUCACUCCACCUAGCAUAAUCUUCACCAUCAAACAUUGGUGGUUUGCCUAAUGGGACGGAAAGUAAAGGUGUAUGUUUAGGAAUGCGAGGGUAGCGUAGGGGAAUCUUACUAUACUUCUUGCGCUCUUGGCGCUUAGAAGUGAUGGAUGCCGCGUCGGAGCCGGAGGUGGAUGUUGAUGAAGAAUCGGUCUCGUAGUAGACCACCUUCCUCAUCCUCUUAUUCUUGUCCCCACUCCGAUGCGGCUUGUGGGAAGAAGAUUUUUCCUUCUUCUCUUUGUGGUGAGAAGAGGAUUUCUUCUCCUUCCCUUUGGAGUGUGAAGAAGACUUCUUCCCUUUCGAGGAGUCCUUCCUCUUCUCCUUCCUCUUGCUGCGGGACUCUUCCGAUGAAGUGCUCCCGUGACUCGUAGUGGGCUUGUCGCCGGUCUCCAUCUCCUUCUUGGCGUGAUCUCCCGACAUCACUUCGAGCGGUUAGGCUCUAAUGAAGCACCGGGCUCUGAUACCAAUUGAAAGUCGCCUAGAGGGGGGGUGAAUAGGGCGAAACUGAAAUUCUCAAAAAUAAUCACAACUACGAGCCAGGUUAGCGUUAGAAAUAUAAUAGAGUCCGCGAGAGAGGGUGCAAAACAAAUCGCAAGCGGAUAAUAAAGCGAGACACGCGGAUUUGUUUUACCGAGGUUCGGUUCUCUCAAACCUACUCCCCGUUGAGGAGGCCACAAUGGCCGGGUCUCUUUCAACCCUUAUCCUCUCUCAAACGAUCCCUCGGACCGAGUGAGCUUCUCUUCUCAAAUCACUUGGGAAUCAAACUUCCCGCAAGGACCACCACACAAUUGGUGUCUCUUGCCUCAAUUACAAGUGAGUGUUUGAUCACAAGAAAGAAUGCCAAAGAAAAGAAGCGAUCCAAGCGCAAGAGCUCAAAUGAACACUACAAAUCACUCUCUCUAGUCACUAAGGCUUUGUGUGGAGUUGGGAGAGGAUUUGAUCUCUUUUGGUGUGCUUUGCAAUGAAUGCUAGCUCUUGUAUAGUGGUUGGAAGCUGGAAAACUUGGAUACAAUGAAUGGUGGGGUGGUUGGGGUAUUUAUAGCCACAACCACCAAACUAGCCGUUUGGUGGGGCUGUCUGUCGCAUGGUGCACCGGACAGUCCGGUGCACACCGGACAUGUCCGGUGCGCCAGCCACGUCACCAAAGCCGUUGGGUUAUGACCGUUGGAGUUCUGACUUCUGGGCCCGCCUGGAUGUCCGGUGGCGCACCGGACAUGUACUUUAGAGUGUCUGGUGCGCCAGCAUGGGCGUGCCUGACGCCUGCGUGCUCUGGCGCGCAUUAAUUGCUGUUGCAGGCGACCGUUGGCGCGAAGUAGCCGUUGCUCCGCAGUUGCACCGGACAGUCCGGUGUACACCGGACAUGUCCGGUGAAUUAUAGCGGAGCAGCCGUUAUGAUUUCCCGAGGCUGCCAAGUUCCAAUGCCGCGUCUUCUUGGAGCACCGGACAGUCCGGUGAAUUAUAGCGCGUCGGCUUCUGAAAAUUCCCGAGGCUGAGGAGUUCUGCGCGAGGUCCCCUGGUGCACCGGACACUGUUCGGUGCGCCACCGGACAGUCCGGUGCGCCAGACCAGGGAGCCUUUCGGGAUGCCUUUAGCUCUCUAUUUUGAACCCAACUUUGGUCUUUUUAAUUGGCUUGUUGUGAACCUUUGACACCUGUAUAACUUAGACACUAGAGCAAACUAGUUAGUCCAAUUAUUUGUGUUGGGCAAUUCAACCACCAAAAUUAUUUAGGAACUAGGUGUAAGCCUAAUUCCCUUUCACAAUGCAUGCCCUUCUUCUUGUCUCUCGACCACGAUCGCGGCGCUGACCACCUGAGUGGUUGCGGCUACGUAGAUCAAGAGGGCUUCUCCCGCAGCGGGGGGCACCAAGAUGGGCGCGCUUGUAAGGAGCGCCUUUAAGUUUCUGAGGGCUUCCUCGGCCUCGGGGGUCCAAGCAAAGCGCUCGGUCUUCCUUAAGAGGUGGUACAAGGGUAGGCCUCUUUCGCCGAGGCACGAGAUGAAGCGGCUCAGAGCCGCAAGGCAUCCCAUGACCCUCUGUACUCCUUUCAAGUCUUUGAUAGGCCCCAUGUUGGUGAUGGCCGUGAUUUUCUCUGGGUUGGCCUCGAUGCCCCGCUCGGAGACGAUGAACCCCAGGAGCAUGCCUCGAGGGACUCCGAAGACACACUUCUCGGGAUUGAGUUUUACGCCCUUCGCCUUCAGACACUUGAAUGUCGUUUCAAGGUCAGAGAGGAGGUCGGAGGCUUUCCUCGUCUUGACUACGAUGUCAUCGACGUAAGCCUCGACCGUUCAGCCGAUGUGCUCUCCGAACAUGUGGUUCAUGCACCUUUGGUAUGUCGCACCUGCAUUCCUCAAACCAAAUGGCAUAGUAAUAUAGCAGUACAUGCCAAAAGGUGUGAUGAAAGAAGUCACAAGCUGGUCGGACUCUUUCAUCUUGAUUUGGUGAUAACCUGAGUAGGCAUCGAGGAAUGACAGGGUUUCGCACCCAGCAGUGGAAUCCACGAUUUGAUCGAUGCGAGGCAGAGGGUAGGGAACCUUCAGACAUGCUUUGUUUAGACCAGUGUAGUCUACACACAUCCUCCAUUUCCCACCUUUCUUUUUCACAAGCACAGGGUUGGCUAGCCAUUCGGGAUGGAAUACCUCUUUGAUGAACCCUGCAGCCAUCAGCUUGUGGAUCUCCUCGCCUAUGGCUCUGCGCUUUUCUUCGUCGAAUCGGCGCAGAGGCUGCUUCACGGGUCGGGCUCCAGCUCGGAUAUCCAGCGAGUGCUCGGCGACAUCCCUCAGUAUGCCGGGCAUGUCCGAGGGACUCCAUGCAAACACCUCGGCGUUUGCACGGAGAAAGUCGACGAGCACUGCUUCCUAUUUGGGGUCGAUCUCAGAGCCAAUCCGGACUUGCUUGCAGGCGUCGUUGCUGGGGUCGAGGGGGACGGACUUAACCACCUCCGCUGGCUCGAAGUUGCCGGCAUGGCGCUUCGCAUCGGGCACCUCCUUGGAGAGGCACUCUAGGUCGGCGAUGAGGGCCUCAGAUUCGGCGAGGGCCUCAGCGUACUCCACGCACUCCACAUCGCAUUCGUACGCGUGUCGGUACGUGGAUCCGAUGGUGAUGACCCCAUUGGGGCCCGACAUCUUGAGCUUGAGGUAGGUGUAGUUGGGGACGGCCAUGAACUUGGCGUAGCAUGGUCUCCCCAGCACUGCAUGGUAGGUUCCUCGGAACCCAACCACCUCGAACGUGAGGGUUUCCUUUCGGAAGUUGGAGGGAGUCCCAAAGCAGACAGGCAGAUCGAGUUGUCCAAGGGGCUGGACGCGCUUCCCGAGGAUGAUCCCGUGAAAGGGCGCCGCACCGACCCGGAUCGUGGACGGAUCGAUUUGCAAGAGCCCGAGGGUCUCGGCGUAGAUGAUGUUGAGGUUGCUGCCUCCGUCCAUGAGGACCUUGGUGAGCCUAACGUUGCCGAUGACGGGGUCGACGACGAGCGGGUACCUUCCUGGGCUCGGCACGCAGUCGGGGUGGUCGCCCUAGUCGAAGGUGAUGGGCUUGUCGGACCAGUCUAGGUAGACUGGGUGCCGCCACCUUUACUGAGCAGACUUCCUGGCGCUCCUGCUUGCGGUGCCGAGCCGAGGCGUUCGCCACUUGCCCACCGUAGAUCAUGAAAUAGUUGUGGACCUCGGGGAACUCUUCUGCCUUGUCGCCCUCGUUCUUGUCGUUGUCUUGGCCUUUGCCACCUUCUUCCGGGGGCCCGGCCUUAUGGAAGUAGCACCGAAGCAUGACGCAUUCCUCAAGGGUGUGCUUGAUGGGACCCUGGUGAUAGGGACACGACUCCUUGAGCAUCUUGUCGAACAGGUUGGCCCCUCCGGGAGGCUUCCGAGGGUUCCUGUGCUCGGCGGCAGCGACAAGAUCUGCGUCGUCGGCGUCGCGUUUCGCUUGCGACUUCUUCUUGGCCUUCUUCUUCGUGCCGCGCUGGGUGGACGCCUCGGGGAUGUCUUCCUGCUGGCGUUCCUGAGGCUGCUUGUCCUUAUGGAAGAUGGCUUCGACCGCCUCCUGACCAGAGGUGAACUUGGUGGCGAUGUCCAUCAACUCGCUCGCCUUGGUGGGAGUCUUGCGACCCAGCUUGCUCACCAGGUCACGGCAAGUGGUGCCGGUGAGGAACGCCCUGAUGACAUCUGAGUCGGUGAUGUUGGGCAGCUCGGUGCGCUGCUUUGAAAAUCGCCGAAUGUAGUCCCGUAGGGAUUCCCCCGGCUGCUAGCGGCAGCUUCGGAGAUCCCAAGAGUUCCCAGGGCGCACGUAUGUGCCCUGGAAGUUUCCAGCGAAGGCUUUGACCAGGUCGUCCCAGUUGGAGAUCUGCGCGGGAGGCAGAUGCUCCAGCCAGGCCCGGGCGGCGUCGGAGAGGAACAGGGGGAGGUUGCGGAUAAUGAGGUUGUCAUCGUCCGUUCCACCCAGCUGGCAGGCCAGCCGGUAGUCCGCAAGCCACAGUUCCGGCCUUGUUUCCCCCGAGUACUUAGUGAUAGUAGUCGGGGCUCGAAACUGGGUUGGGAACGGCGCCCGUCGUAUGGCCCGGCUGAAAGCUUGCGGACCGGGUGGUUCGGGUGAGGGGCUCCGAUCCUCCCCGCUGUCGUAGCGUCCCCACGCCUGGGGUGGUAGCCUUGGCGCACCUUCUCGUCGAGGCGGGCUCGACAGUCGCGGUGGUGGUGCUCGUUGCCGAGGCGACCCGGGGCUGCAGGCGUUGCGUCCCGCGUGCGCCCGGUGUGGAUCGAGGCUUCCCGCAUGAAUCGGGAAGUCGCUGCGCGAUGCUCCGGGGGCACCCUUGCCUUCGAGAGGCAGAGCUCUCGGCCCGUCGUACCGCGACAUCCUCCAGGAGAUUCUUAAGUUCUCCCUGGAUACGCCGCCCCUCAGUGGUGGAUGGCUCCGGCAUCGCUCGGAGUAGUAUUGCCGCUGCAGCCAGAUUCUGGCCGACCCCGCUGGAGGCCGGGGGCAGCCUUGCCCUGGCAUCGUCAGCGAUGCGGUGCUAGACAUCUCGGGUCUGAUGACGCGCUUCUCCAGCGAGUGCUCGACCUGCCCACUCCUGCUUGAUGUUUUGUCGGAGCUGCACAAGUUGUCCUGCUUCCUCAUCGAGCUUGGCCUGCUCGAGCUGUGUGUCCUGACCCCCCACGGAGGAUGUCAACGCGAGGCGUAGGCCUAGGGGGAUCGUCAUCCUCCGGCAUACCAAGGUGGUUGCCUUCGUCGAGACCCCCUAGAUCGACGUGGAAACAUUCGCGACUUGGGCCACAACCCUUGUUGUCAAGGUUGUGGCCAUCAUCGGAGCAAUCAGAGAGGCAGUGGUCACAUGCGGCCAUGAAGUAUCGCAAGGCACUAGGAUUACCGAGCCCGGAGAAAUCCCAACCAGAGUCGGGCUCGUCUUCUUCCUCGGAACCCGGGGGCCCGUAGGUCGAGACGGUCGUCAGUCGGUCCCAGGUUGACCACAUAUGGUACCCCGGAAGGUUAGGAUAUGCCUUUAUGAAAGCGUCCACCAAAGCGGGGUCGCUUGGUGGAUCGAAGCUGAAUCUAAAAGGCACAGGGUGGAAAACGGACGGUACCUCUUGAUCGACGGACGGUGACGAAGUCGCGUAGGGGACAGACUGCACCGUUAUCUUAGGUACGAGGCUAACGCCCAGCAAGUCCUCCACGAGAGUGCUGGCGUCAUCUGUCCGCUUGGGGUUGGCACGUUGCGGGGAAACGACACUCGCCGUUGUCUCGGGCGCGAGGUCAACACCUGACACGUCCCCGGCUGGGGUGCCGGCGUCGUCGACUGGCUCGACAGCCGACGAGGUGCCGCCUCCUGCUUGGCCACAGUUGUCAUGCCUCCUCCUCCAGCAGCGAGGAAGGUGGCGGGAUAAACCCGGAUGCUGCUCUUCCGCCACGGGGGGAAGACGUCGUCGAGUCCGCCGCCGUCGGGCGGGCUGACGGCCGUCGUUGUCGCUGUCGUGCUGCGGAGGAAGGAGUACCAUGUCGUAGCUGCCGUCGAGGGACAUGAACUCGAGACUCCCGAAACAGAGCAGUGUCCCGGGCUAAAGAGGUUGCUGGGGACUACCCAUCUGGAGCUCGACGGGAAGUUGUUCGUCAACACGCAGCAGGCCCCUACCUGGCGUGCCAAUUAUCGGCGUUUCGAUCCCGGGGGGUCCCUGGACCGACGAGUAAAAAUUGUCGCUGCGUGUCCCAGCCCAGAUGGGUCGGCGUGAGAUGGAACACAAGGGGGGGAGAACCGCGACUCGUGUUAUCCUGCGCCCAGGGCGGAUGCGCUUGCAGUAGGGGUUACAAGCGUUCGUGAGGGAGAGAGAGAGAGAGAGCCUGUUCGGUGGCCCGUCCUACCGCGCGACCACCCACUCGUAUGAGGGCCCUGGACCUUCCUUUUAUAGACGCAAGGAGAAGGUCCAGGUGUACAAUGGGGGUGUAGCAAUAUGCUAACGCGUCCGGCAGAGAGGAGCCAGAGCCCUAUGUACAUGCCAACGUGGUUGUCAGAGAGGUGCUAGAGCCUUGUGCAUGCGGUGUCGUGGCCGUCGGAGGAGCGCUUGAGCCCUAUAGAAGCACAGCUGUCGGGGCUGCCGGGACAUUGCUGACGUCUCCUUGCUUCCGUAGGGGGCUGAGAACCACCGUCGUCAUGGACGCACGCGGGGUGCCAUCAUUACUUGUUUACCAGGGCGAGCCAGAUGGGACGCCGGUCUUGUUCCCCGUAGCCUGAGCUAGCUGGGGUAGGGUAAUGAUGUACCCCCUAUGGUGUGGUCGGUCCGAGCCCAAGGUCGGGCGAGGCGGAGACUCCUCCUGAGGCCGAGGCCGGGGUGGGGUGAGGACGCGAUUCCUUCUGAGGUCGAGGUUGAGGCCGAGCCCUGGGGUCGGGCGAGGCGGAGACCAUCCUCCGAGGUUGAGGUUGAGGCCGAGCCCUAGGGUCGGGUGAGGCGGAGACCACCUUCCGAGCCCGAGGCAGGGGCCGAGCCCUGAGGUCGGGCGAGGCGGAGCUUCCUGUUGCGCCUGAGGCUGGACUUAGCUGUUGUCAGCCUCACCCUGGCGGGUGGCACAACAGUUGGAGCGAGGCAGGCGGUGCUGUUUUCCUAUCAGGUCGGUCAGUGGAAGGGUGAAGUGACUGCGGUCACUUCGACCCUGCCGACUGAGGAACGUGCGUCAGGAUAAGGUGUCAGGCGAUCCUUGCAUUGAAUGCUCCUGCGAUACGGUCGGUUGGCGAGGCGAUCUGGCCAAGGUUGCUUCACUGCGAAACCUGCCCGAGCUGGGCCUCGGGCGAGUCGAGGGUGCGCCCGUUGCUUGAGGAGGCCCUCGGGCGAGGCGUGAAUUCGCCUGGGACUAUUGUUCCUGCUCGAGGCUGGGCUCGGGCGAGGCGAGAUCGCGUCCCUUGAGUAGACGGAGCCUUGACCUGAAUUGCGCCCAUCAGUCUCUACAGCUUGUGUUGAUGGUGAUUACCAGCUGAGUUUAGGAGUGUUGGGGGUACCCCUAAUUAUGGUACCCGACACCAAUCUAUGCUACUUUUUAUGCUUAUAUAUGCAAUGGUAUCAAAUUUCGUCAAGGUGUUGGUAUAACUGUUUAGUACUAAGGAGUGCUAUCAUGACAUGCUGAUCCCCUCUCUGAUAUAAAGAUUUGACCCAAACCGUUAUAUUGAAUUCCAGCAAUGUACAUCUUCUAUAUUUCGUCAAGGUGUUGGUAUAACUGUUUAGUACUAAGGAGUGCUAUCAUGACAUGCCUUCUCAUGUUUCAUUUUCCAGCAGAUAAUUUUGAGCCACAAAAGAUUUAUCUCAUCCUCCGAACCUAGGGUGAACUGCAGAUAGUAGGCCAAAGCUUGUUGCCAGUUCCCAUGAAGGAUUUCCUGGUCCUGUUGAUGCGAAGCUGUGUGAGGCGAGGAUGAACCAUCCGAAGGGAUCUACAGUGGAUGACAAGGGUAACAUCUAUGUGGCUGAUGCCAUGAACAUGGCUAUUAGGAAGAACAAUACAUGUGGUGCCACUCGGCGUGCGGGGCUGUGGUUUCGCUACACUUGGUUCUGCUGUUUUUUCUGGUUAUUCUUGCCCAUUGGGGUAAACAGAGUGAACGAGUUAGCCAGUUUUUGGUGGAGAUUUAUUGUGUGUUUUAGCUGAAUUUUUAGAUUCACGAGACUCUUAGUACAACUAGGAUAGCAUGACAAUUAGGAGAUUUAUCCUUAGUUGCCUGAUGUAGUGAUACAUGAAGUUGUUGUGGUUCUGUUCUCUGUAACUAGGCCCAAAACAGAUUGUGCGUCUUAUAUGCUACAUUUUUAUGUUCAUCCUAUCUGAUUUAUUGCAGUGCGGCAUGGGACCCAGUGAGCUAGCUUGCAAAGGAGGAGGUGGCUGCGACUACGUACAUGCAGCAAGAGGAAGAGAGAGUCGGCACUGUCCUAGACGACCUCUUGGAAUUCUACCAAAGUCAAAAGGUUGAAAACAUGCUCCCUUUCCAGAUCUCGUGUCUUUUUGUUGAUGGUCGCCUUGUGUGCAUAUCCGCUAUGCUUUUUGCGUUCUUAUCAAUUGGUGUAAAAUAGCUAAACAUGUAAAAUAAGAAGUAUCAACCAUUUCAUUGCAUAGUUUGGAGGUAUAAAAAUAGAACAAUUGGUCACCUCAUGUGUAUCUCUGCUUAAGCGCCGGGGAUGGGAUGUGUGACAGAGGUGGACGUUGCCUUCCAGUGGGACUCCUUUGGUUCACAUGUUUACAAAACCUAAUAGCAUUGCAAUAAUGUUCUAAACAUAGUGUUGCAAUAAUGUACUAAACAUCUGUGCUCAGUCUUCGUAGAAAUGAAUGUUGAUGUGUCAUUUAAGGAUCCAUAUGUUGCAUUCUACAGAGUGGCGUAAUCAGAAUUUAAUAGUUGUGUAUUCACUAUGUUUUUUAUUUUUCCAAUACAAUGCAUAUAAAAAAUAUCAAUAUGAAACCGAAGAAAAUUUACUGUGGCUUUAAUUUGUGUGCUUUGGAGAGUCCACCCAUUUUGUUCAAUGUGAAACUUUCGUCUAUUGGUCUGUUUUUGUCCCCUUUUUCCUUUCUUUUUGCAAUAUAGCUAUUAACAUGUUAAAUGCUAAUUACAGGUUGCCACUGGGGAAUAACUUGCCCAGUCACUUCAUUCAAAGGUUAUAGUAACAGUCUAAGAUUGAGAUUUGAUUUUGUCCAUGUCAUUAUGAAAUUUGGAAACCAUUUUUCAUUGUAAGCAAGUUUAAAUCAGGUUCCCAUUGAGUAAAUAAUUUAUAAUUAUCUUGUGCCUUUAACUUCAUCAUUAGAUUAGUGAUGGAUGUAUUGUCUAUCCCAUCAACCGAUGAUGAACAAAUAGUUGUUGGAGGUGGUCAUUCAGCAGGCAUAUCUAUCUGUGCAGCUAGUAAGGACCUUAUAAUACACCCAAAAUUAGUUCAUAAUUUCAUCUUCGAAUACUGUUGAUUUCCUCUUAUGAUAUGUUUGCUGGAUUUGGGGGAGUGGAGUAGUUGGGUAGUUUUUCUGAAUAAGGCUGAUGAGGAGCUUGAUAGAUAGGUUUCAGGGGAAAAUAUGUUUGUGAUGCAGUCUUUGAUUUUUUUUAUCGCCCACAUACUAGCAGUCAUAUGCUUUAAAAUUGUUAUAUAGUCUCUUGCCACUACAUCUAUGCUUGUUACUGGUUACCCCCUGCACCCAAACACAUACACACUGAAAGUAAUAAUAGAGCCUCUUCUAAAUUUAAGUAAGAGCAUAUCCCUGCAUAUCCUUCUGCUUUGCUUUUCUAUUAUUGCAUAAAACUCUUGUCCAUCUCCAAAGAAGAAGUUAACUUAACAUGGGAAAAUCAUUUGGUUCUAAUUAAACUAGCUGCCAAAUCAUCUCUGCUGAAUGAGCUAGCCAAGUUUUCAAAAGCUAUUAUUUAUGUACAACACUGCCUUUUGUCCUUCACCCUACCCCAUGCGUGCACACACAUACACACUGAAAGUAAACCUCUUCUGAAGUUAUGUUAGAGCAUAUCGGAGACACCAUAUACCCCACAACUCGGAUUUGAACAUGGACUGCUUUGGGACAAGAUCAAGUAAAUAUCAUCAAUGUUCAUAAUAGUAGUAAACUAAACUGGAAAGCAAAGAACUAUUUCACAACAAUGAUUUUGCAGUCAUCCGAAUAGAUAUAUAGAUAGUGUUUCCACAUUCCCUCACCAAACAAAUGCUUAGAUAAAAUCAAUGCAUGCAGUGACUCACGAUGAAACGGUGCGUCCAACCAAUUAGAUGGAUAGUGAUGUUUGUCGUUUCUUAUAUAUGUUUCAUACUAAUUUUUUACUCCCGUAGCAACGCACGGGCAUAGACCUAGUAGACCUAGUAAUAGUAUAGUGGAGUAAGGUUCAUCAGAGUCCAUCUGAAGCUAGCUAAGGUUUCCGCUCACAGAACAGAACCCGACCAUUCUCAGUUUCUCACCUGUUUCCCUUCCUGCUUGCGCCGCGCAUGCAUGCACAGUCACGGCUACGUCAUAGCAGCGUCACAGCACAACACACCGUGUUCUUCUUCCUUGUUCCUGGAAUCCUGGCUGCAAUGCAUGCAGCCGUAGCACGUUUCUGCCACCAUUGUCAAACCUCUGCUAUGGCAAGUUUAAUCCACUCCUGUCGACGUCGUGGUGCGCAGAUUAGAUUCACUCAUCAGCUAGUGCAGGUGCACCACCGCGGUUAUUUAUUUAUAGAUAAAAGUGCUGGUAGCUAGGCAUGGUCUGUCCUUCCUAAUUUGUCAACGUUAUUAACGGUGGGUUUUUUUGUGCCCUGGACGGAUGCGAAUAUACUGCUACCUCUGUUCUCGAAUACUCGUCAUCUACUAGUUUAUUUUUUAAAGGGAAAAGCAAAAGAUUUGCCGUUCCAAUAUAUUAGAAGAGAUGAAAAACCUUACAAACUGACGCAACCCAAACAACUUAACAACCUUGACCUAGUUAGAACACUGGCGCUUAAAGAUAAAGACCCAAACCCUCCUGACCAGGCCCCCAGCCGCUACAGACAAGCUAAACCUCCACUAACGAGCUCUUUCACCACCUGCACCACUUGCUCUGUCGUUCUCUAUUGACCCUUUAAAAUUCUGUUGUUUCUUUCCAACCAUAAGCUCCACCAGAAAUAAAUUAGGAGGCCAUCGAAACUUUUUCUAGAUUGCUUACAACAGAGCAUCCUCAGUCUAAACCACCACGUGUGCAGUGAUCCGGUCUUAAAAAUACCGUCCAGGAAUCGCAAAUCAGCCCAAGUCAGGAUCAUACUCCACGCUUCCUCGGCGAAGGGGCAAUCCUUACAAAGGUAUGCCGCUGUCUCCGGAGACACAUUACAAAACAAACAAUUUUGAUUGCAAGGCCAUCCCCGUUUUUGCAGAUUGUCUGAAGUUAAUAUUUUGUUGUUCAACAAUGUCCAAGCAAAGAAACGACAUUUUGGUUCAGUUUUUGCUUUCCAAAUGGGAUUGAUGUGAAUUUUACAGAAGUUUGUUGUGAACUGAAUUUUGUAGGCGCUACUUGAACUGUAUUCCCCAUCUGUCGACCAUCUCCAAGAAAUGGUGUCUUCGAGGUCAUUGAGACCUUGUUUGCUGCUGAUUGAUAGCCAAAGUAAGAUGAAUUCUCUCACUUCCUCCUCCCGAGUGAAAGGCGCACAGAACUGCAUCCAGUAAUUGUUUUGAAGAGCCUUGAAAACCGAGAUGUUCUUUCUUCUUGCUUUCUUGUAUAGCUUAGGUGCAAUAUUCUUAGGUGCCUGUCCUUCAAUCCAACUAGAUCCCUAGAAAUCCGCCAUCUUCCCGUUACCGAUAGUCACAGUUGUUGAUGCGUUAAAGAGAUCUACAUCCACCUUGUCACAUAGUAAAUGCAUGCCAACCCAUGCUUUUUCUUUAACCUUCCACCUUAGCCACAACCAUCUUAGCCUUAGCGUUCUUGCAAAACGCUCCAGGUCUAGAACUCCCAGACCCCUCUAUUCUUUGGUAGGCAAGUUGUGGACCAGUUAAUCAAGCAACGACCCUCGUUGCAAAAUUCUGGACUAUUUCCUUUCCAAAGAAAGCUUCUUCUUAACUUGUCAAUUCUUUUAAGUAGCCAUUUCUGCGCCGGAAAGACCGUCAGAUGGUAGAUAGGCUGAGCAGACAACACCGCUUUAACCAAGGUUUCCCUACCUGCUUUUGAGAGUAGCCUACCUUUCCAUCCUGCUAGCCUUUUAUUAAUUUUAUCAAUUAGUGGUUGGACGUCAAUUCUCCUAACAUUCCUGAAAUGUAGAGGUAGACCAAGAUACUUCCCCGGAAAUUUUGAGUAUUUGCCAGGGAACACAUCCAUCAGAUCUGACCAAAGAGUUUGGGGGUAACGAAUGGGAAAAUUUUAGUUUUAACGAAAUUGAUCUUCAGCCCUGAACACCCUUCAAAAACUUCCAGAAUCAUUUUCAAAACCUUUAGAUCCUCUUUAUCUGCUCUAACAAACACACCUGCAUCAUCUGCAUAAAGAGAACAGCGCAGUUUAGUCUUAUUUGGCAGAACCCGCCCCAGAAGCCCAGCAUCUGUCGCCAUCUCAAUCAUCCUCUGCAGAGGGUCCAUUGCUAGAAUAAACAGAAACGGGGAUAACGGAUCACCCUGACGAACGCCACGCAUGUGCUUAAUUGCAUUUGUUUGUUGACCGUUGAUGAUGAUUUUUGAAGAGGAAGAUCCUAUUAUUGUUGCGACCCAAUUCCUCCAUUUCUGGGAAAACCUAGAGCUCUCAGUACCUCUAACAGAUAUGCCCAGUUGAUGGAGUCGAAAACUUUUGAUAUGUCAAGCUUGACAAAAAGGGCUGGCUGAUUGUUCCUAUGAAGUUUCUGAAUAACUUUUUGGACGUAGAGAAAAUUAUCAUGAAUUGAACGUUUUUGAAUGAACGUGUUUUGGACAGUGGAGACGAUCUCAUUCAUUCUUGGCGCAAGCCUAUUUGCUAAAAUCUUGGUCAAUAUUUUCAUGAAGCUAUUGAUGAGACUGAUCGUUCUAAACAUGUCAAUCCUAUCAGCACCCUCCCUUUUUUGUAAAAACGUGAUAUUUGCCUCAUUUACGAGGUUCAGGUUUUUGCAUCUAUGGUGAUAGAAAUCAUGAAUUGCACUGGAUAGAGCAUCUUUAAUCAGCUCAAAACAACUCUUAUAGAAGAUCCCUAUGAAACCAUCUGGACCCGGCGCCUUUUCAGAGCGCAUCCCCAUAACCACAUUUUUAAUCUCAUCAUCGUUGAACAUAAAAUCCAGAUCUGAUAAUUCAAAUGGACUAUAGCCUAAGUUACCCCACCGAACAACCCUUUGUCUAGCACCCCUUCUGCCAAUAGCUUCCGUGAAAUGAUGGUGGGCCUCAUGCAGUUUAUCUUCCUGACUGGUGAGCAACCUGUCGUCACGAACCAGCGAUCUGAUGAAAUUUUUUUCCUUCUUCUAUUAUUUGCCAUCAGGUGAAAUUUUUUUGUGUUUGCAUCUCCCAGACGCAUCCAGACAAGUCUAGAAUGUUGUCUAGCUCUUGCCUUUUGGACUGUCACUAGCCCUAGGAUUUUCAUUUUUAGACUUCUUCUGAACUCUAGCUCGUCCCCGGAGAGUUGCCUGGAUUCCUGUGCUUUCUCAAGGAGGGUAAGGACGGUAUGAAUGAUUGCUAAUUGCACUUUAAAAUUGCCUAUUGUCUUUCGUCUCUAGAUCAAUAGAGCUUUAGUCGUGCGGGUCAUCUUCACAUGCAGCCGAAGAAUGGCAUCGGAAGAACGAACACUAGAUGUCCACGCUUGUUGAACCACGUCAUUGAACCCAUCAAUUUUUGUCCAAAAAGCUUCAAAUCUAAACCCCUAUAGAAACUAAAGGCAGACAAACCUUGCAUAACUAAGGGGCAAUGAUCCGAGGUCAUGGACCCAAUGGCCUGCAGAUCAGCCUAGGGGAAGAUAUCAUGCCACUCUGUAGUCGCCAAGAAUCUGUCAAUCCUAGACAUCAUAGGGUCGUCCUGUUCAUUUGACCAAGUGUAUAAUUUACCAUUGAGGUCAAGUUCUAAAAGCUAAAGGUAAUCGAUUGUGUGGUUGAAUUGUCUCAUCACUCUUCUAUUAAUCAAUCCUUUGUUUUUCUCCCUUGCUCUCCUUAUCAUGUUAAAAUCACCUAAAAUCAGCCAUUACGGCUUCAUCAGAUUAUGUAUAAGUCGCAGCUCUGCCAGAAAAUUCAUUUUCUCACUUUCAGGUUGAGGGCCAUAAACCCCUGUGAGGUCCCACACCACGUCGCUUAGACAGGAGCUGAUACUGACAGAUAACGAGUAUACUGAUGGAUAGGGAAUAGCAAUUAUGUCAAAAAAAAUCAGCAUCGCAUGCAAUUAGAAUCCCACCUGAGGCUCCAAGAGAUGGUAAAUGAACCGUUUGAGCUGCUAACUUGCAUCUCAGUGUUUCCUUCAGUAAGUUAUUAUUCCAACUUAUUAUCUUUGUCUCUUGAAGACAAACAAUAGUUGCCCCAGAAGAGAGAAUCGUAUGUUUCACACUUGCCCCUUUAGCUGGGUCAUUUAGCCCCCCUCACAUUCCAUGACAGAAUACAACAGUUGGCAUUCAUUAAUCAAAAGUAGUUCUCCUACUUAACCAGAUAGUGCCACACAUGUGGAACACAGUUGAAGAAACAAGACCCGACCAGCCAACCAGCGUCAACAGCACGCUUCCAGCCGGGGACAGCAUGCGACUCACAACUAAAAUUACGACAGACCGAAACACAUACAAAGUAAGCCAAAUGAAAAAACACCGCUACCAAGCCCACCACCUGCUACCCAAGGCAGUCACCAAAAGCAGUUGGACGACCCAUAUACUAGUACACAUGUGAGAUAACAUUCUGCACUAGACCUACCCACACAUCUCCUAAAAACAACUCAGAUCCUCACAUCAGCCUCUAUGAUAGGUGACUUGAGAGGUGUCACCUUGCUGCCCUUCUUCUUGGUCCCUUCCUUUUCCUUUCCCUGAAUUGCCAGCUCCAUAAUUGCCUCCAUUUGUUCCUUAGUAAGAGGCCUCGUGAAAUGCCUUGCAAGCUGCUCAACCAAAUCCAUCUGGUCAUUAGAAAUUAAUGCCUUAGAGCUUUGAAACUGAUUUGAAGUAGAGUUAUUUAACUUAGCAACUAGAAUUUCUUGAGCUUUGACUAUGGCAUUUCUAUUUCUUUCGAAUUUUAAUUUUUUUCUUUGCAGCCAGCCUAGCACUAGAUCUCUUGCCAAUAGGAGUUGGGCUCACACACACACAUCUACAGGAGGCUGAAUUGGACUCCCCUCAACCAUGAUAUUUGCAGCUAAGCUAGAAAUGGGUGGUGAUCGGAUUAGCGGUGAUUCAGGUGCUUCAGAGAUAGAUGCAACAAAUUCAUCUAGAUUAUUGCUUGUGGGUUCUGGGAUGCCACAUGACAGAGAGGAAGUGAAAAAUUCUGAAUUUAUGUUGUUGUACGACAUGAUAGAUGCACAAUUAAGGUUUGAAUGUGAAAGUGCUUGAGGUUCUACAUUGUCGACGUUUCGACCCCGGGGGGUCCCUGGACCGACGAGUAAAUUGUUGCUGCGUGUCCCAGCCCAGAUGGGUCGGCGCGAGACGGAACACAAGGUGGGAGAAGAACCGCGGCUCGUGUUAUCCUGCGCUUAGGGCGGAUGCGCUUGCAGUAGGGGGUUACAAGCGUUCACGAGGGAGAGAGAGAGAGCAUGUUCGUCAUCCCGUCCUUCCGCGCGACCACCCUCUCGUAUGAGGGCCCUGGACCUUCCUUUUAUAGAUGUAAGGAGAGGGUCCAGGUGUACAAUGGGGGUGUAGCAAUAUGCUAACGUGUCCGGCAGAGAGGAACCAGAGCCCUAUGUACAUGCCAACGUGGCUAUCGGGGAGGUGCUAGAGCCCUGUGCAUGCGAUGUCGUGGCCGUCGGAGGAGCGCUUGAGCCCUGUAGAAGCACAGCUGUCGGGGCUGCUGGGACCUUGCUGACGUCUCCUUGCUUCCGUAGGCGGCUGAGAACCGCCGUCGUCAUGGGCGCACGCGGGGUGCCAUCAUUACUUGUUUAUUGGGGCGAGCCAAAUGGGACGCCGGUCUUGUUCCCCGUAGCCUGAGCUAGCUAGGAGUAGGGUAAUGAUGAUCCCCCUAUGGCGUGGUCGGUCCGAGCCCAAGGUCGGGCGAGGCGGUGACUCCUCAUGAGGCCGAGGCUGAGGUCGAGCCCUGGGGUCGGGCGAGGCGGAGACCAUCCUCCAAGGUCGAGGUCGAGGCCGAGCCCUGGGGUCGGGCGAGGCGGAGACCGUCUUCCGAGGUCGAGGUUGAGGCUGAGCCCUGGGGUCGGGCGAGGCGGAGACCGUCUUCUGAUGUCGAGGUUGAGGUCGAGCCCUGGGGUCGGGCGAGGCGGAGACCGUCUUCCGAUGUCGAGGUUGAGGCCGAGCCCUAGGGUCGGGCGAGGCGGAGACCGUCUUCCGAGGCCGGGUUUGAGGCCGAGCCCUGGGGUCGGGCAAGGCGGAGACCGUCUUUCGAGGUCGGGGUUGAGGCCGAGCCCUGGGGUCGGGCGAGGCGGAGCUUCCUAUUGCGCCUGAGGCUAGACUUAGCUGUUGUCAGCCUUGCCCUGACGGGUGGCACAGUAGUCGGAGCGGGGCAGGCGACACUGUUUUCCGGUCAGGUUAGUCAGUGGAGGGGCGAAGUGACUGCGGUCACUUCGGCCCUGCCGACUGAGGAACGUGCGUCAGGAUAAGGUGUCGGGCGAUCCUCGCAUUGAAUGCUCCUGCGAUACGGUCGGUUAGCGAGGCAAUCUGGCCAAGGUUGCUUCACUGCGAAGCCUGCCCGAGCUGGGCCUCGGGCGAGUCGAGGGUGCGCCCGUUGCUUGAGGAGACCCUCAGGCGAGGCGUGAAUCCGCCUGGGUCUUCUGUUCCUGCCUGGGUCUUCUGAGAAUUUGUCGAUAGCGACCAGGCAUAGUGAUCGACAAAUUCUCAGAAGACCCAGGCAGGAACAGAAGACCCAGGCGGAUUCACGCCUCGCCCGAGGGUCUCCUCAAGCAACGGGCGCACCCUCGACUCGCCCGAGGUCCAGCUCGGGCAGGCUUCGUAGUGAAGCAACCUUGGCCAGAUCGCCUCGCCAACCGACCGUAUCACAGGAGCAUUCAAUGCGAGGAUCGCCCGACACCUUAUCCUGACGCACGUUCCUCAGUCGGCAGGGCCGAAGUGACCGCAGUCACUUCGCCCCUCCACUGACUGACCUGACAGGAAAACAGUGUCGCCUGCCCCGCUCCGACUGCUGUGCCACCCGUCAGGGCAAGGCUGACAACAGCUAAGUCUAGCCUCAGGCGCAACAGGAAGCUCCGCCUCGCCCGACCCCAGGGCUCGGCCUCAACUCCGGCCUCGGAAGACGGUCUCCGCCUCGCCCGACCCUAGGGCUCGGCCUCAACUCUGGCCUCGGAAGACGGUCUCCGCCUCGCCCGACCCCAGGGCUCGGCCUCAACCUCGACCUCGAAAGACGGUCUCCGCCUCGCCCGACCCCAGGGCUCGGCCUCAACCUCGACCUCAGAAGACAGUCUCCACCUCGCCCGACCCCAGGGCUCGGCCUCAACCUCGACCUCGAAAGACGGUCUCCGCCUCGCCCGACCCCAGGGCUCGGCCUCGACCUCGACCUCGGAGGAUGGUCUCCGCCUCGCCCGACCCAGGGCUCGACCUCGGCCUCGGCCUCAGGAGGAGUCACGGCCUCGCCCGACCUUGGGCUCGGACCGACCAUGCCACAGGGGGGAUCAUCAUUACCCUACCCCUAGCUAGCUCAAGCUACAGGGAACAAGACCGGUGUCCCAUCUGGCUCGCCCCGGUAAACAAGUAAUGAUGGCACCCCGCGUGCGCCCAUGACGAUGGCGGUUCUCAGCCCCCUACGGAAGCAAGGAGACGUCAGCAAGGUCCCGGCAGCCCCGACAACUAUGCUUCUACAGGGCUCAAGUGCUCCUCCGACGGCCACAACAUCGCAUGCACAGGGCUCUAGCACCUCUCCGACAGCCACGUUGGCAUGUACAUAGGGCUCUGGCUCCUCUAUGCCGGACAUGUUAGCAUAUUGCUACACCCCCAUUGUACACCUGGACCCUCUCCUUACAUCUAUAAAAGGAAGGUCCAGGGCCCUCAUAUGAGAGGGUGGUCGCGCGGGAGGACGGGUUGACGAACAGGCUCUCUCUCUCUCUCCCUCGUGAACGCUUGUAACCCCCUACUGCAAGCGCAUCCGCCCUGGGCGCAGGAUAACACGAGCCGCGGUUCUUCUCCCCCCUUGUGUUCCGUCUCGCGCCGACCCAUCUGGGCUGGGACACGCAGCGACAAUUUACUCGUCGGUCCAGGGACCCCCGGGUCGAAACGCCGACAAUGUAGAACCUCAAGCACUUUCACAUUCAAACCUUAAUUGUGCAUCUAUCAUGUCGUACAACAACAUAAAUUCAGAAUUUUUCACUUCCUCUCUGUCAUGUGGCAUCCCAGAACCCACAAGCAAUAAUCUAGAUGAAUUUGUUGCAUCUAUCUCUGAAGCACCUGAAUCACCGCUAAUCUGAUCGCCACCCAUUUCUAGCUUAGCUGCAAAUAUCAUGGUUGAGGGGAGUCCAAUUCAGCCUCCUGUAGAUGUGUGUGUGUGUGUGUGAGCCCAACUCCUAUUGGCAAGAGAUCUAGUGCUAGGCUGGCUGCAAAGAAAAAAAUUAAAAUUCGGAAGAAAUAGAAAUGCCAUAGUCAAAGCCUCUGCGAUCCUCUGAUCUCUCUCUUUUUUCUCUGACAGAGUUUGGCACGCCGUAGCUCCACACAAAUUCUCUGCGAGGCCUGCGGCAAGUGGGGCCCCCUCUAACAUCCCUCCCACGGAUGAAUGAGAGGUCUUCAACAACUUCAAUGUGGUUGUGAAUGGUGUACACAUGGCCUUCCUUCAGAUCAGUUGGUAAGUUAUGAUGAGCCCCAACCAGAGGCAAAGGGGCACUAGGAGGAGGGAACUCUCUAUUAGGUUUUAUGACAGAUAAACAGACCUCCUUGGGGAUAUCACAAGGGUCCGAGCACCAAGCCCAAAGAUCAAAGGACCUUGUGUGCACCCUGCGCCUCGAGCGCUCUUGGACAUAGUGAAUAGCAUAGCUCCUGCCCAAAGCCCUAGCAGCCACAUCUUCUCCCCAGCAGUGAACCGGAAUCCCCUCCACUCUGACCUUCACUCUGAACUCAAAGCUGGUCUUCCUGGCAUAGCACUCCUCUGACCAAUCCCCAAAGUGAAACACCCGACCACGAUAGGAGACCGACCUCCUAUCCAGUGCCCAUUGCUUGGUUCUUGAAUCAGAGAAGAUGAUAAAGAACUGCUUUGGAAAGUGUUUGACAAGUUGAUACUGACCAUGGUGAAGAUGAAAAGUCUCCCUCAGCAUAUCCCCUGCUGCCAGCACGUCCACCUCAUGACUGUUUCCAUCAAAAGAGCAAACCACCGCCUUACUGAUUAACUCAUCUCUACAACGAUGGAUCAAUCCGGUCGCCGAGAUAGCACAGACAGCUCUUGCAGGUCAUGCCCGAGGGUCUUCGGGAUAGCGAGCUUCCAUGACCUGGCCUCCCUGGACAUCUUGGAGGUAAGAUUUCCUUGACUAGAAUGAUGAAGUGGGGAGUGCCUGCCUAGGAUGCCUCUCCUGUCCCAUUUGAAGAGAGCCAAGGUGAGGUCUCUGCUGCUGGUAGCUCGAGGAGACAAUACUGCCUCUCUGGAGUGAAUGCUUGAGUGACCCAGGUAGAUCUUGAAUUGAAUGGGAUCUCCCAUGGUAGAUAUUGCCAGGACAUGACCUAGCCCUAUGGCCUGCUUGUAGACAUUGCCAGCAACGAACAGGUGUUGAACAAAGAUAGGCAUAGUGAUCUGUCGCUAGGCAGUUGAAGCAUUUGCCUCUGAGCUGCUUCUUGAAAAAAUCGGUGCCCUUCAUCUCAUUUUGCUGCUUGAAAGGGACAUCCCCAAGGAAAUCUAAGUUUUUCCGCCACCAGAAUUUAGGCUUCACAACAGACCAACCUUCAUCGUCUACCACCAAGGCGUCUAACUUCCCCUUCCUGUCGCACGACCUAAGGAUAGGGCGGAGCGACCUGUCACUUGGCGUCAAUCCGUCGAUCUCCCCACUCCAAUGAGACAAGUCACAACACGCAUUCAAGUCCCCCGGCGCAUUGAAGUCCUACAGAAGACUCGGCGACCCAUCCCGCCUCCAUUUCAUCUUCUCCGAUGCGGGGAUCCUUUUCUGCGCUAUCUGCUUUACAAGAUCUGCCUCUAAGUCUUGCUCAGUACGUUCCCCCUCACUGCAAUCUUUGUCUGAAUCCAAUCCCACUGACAUCGCCGAACUGACACAGAAGGACUGGGCAGGACGAACACCACUGGGCGGCAAGACGUGAACCGGCCCGACAGAACCCGCCUUAAACUGCUCGAGCAAAUCCGAAUCAAAUGUAGAACUUACCGUCGUCGGGAUGCCAGGUACCGCCCCGGCGUCAGAUCUCGCAAGCGCCAAGUUCCCAUCCGGAACGACAGAGACACUUCCAUUGAGGUGAAGCCCCCCGCAGAAGAGCCCAAAACCGGGGACCUGAGCACAAUCUGAUGGACAUUUUCCUCUGGAUCUAGGGUUUGGCGGCAGGUUCGGGCGACUGGGUUAGGGGAGAGGGAGGGGACCAUCCCGCUAAAAGCUAUCGUAAUCUUGCUAGUUUAUUUUUCAGCGACAAAUAAAAAUGAACGGAUGGAAAUAUCUCAGUAAGAGCACGUACGACAACAGUAGCGGUCGGCAUUAUUGCUGGUAGAUCAUUGUUAGAGCGCAAGUAGCUUUCACAUGUUAGAAUUAUAGGCAUUUUCCAUAUCAUUUUAAUUCCAUAAAUUAACAUUAUGAUGAUGACAUAUAAAAGGUAAUUAAUCAUAGAAAUUGUGAUCUCAAAUAUAUCCAUAACAAUAUGGAUCAUGAGAACACAAAGCAUAUGAAUCAUAUAAAUCAUAUAAAUAUGAUAAGCAUAUAAACUGAUUGAACAAAUAAAAAUAAACAGAUAACAAUAUAAACAAGAUGACGGUAAAAUUAAAACAGACAGAUAUAACAUAUUAUAAUAUGACUGAACAGAUGAGAUAAAAUCAUUGCUACAUAUGAAACGACACAGAUGAAUAUAUGAAACAUAUAUAAUCUGCAGAACGUAAAACAGUAAGAAACUGAAUUGAUCAUACCCUCCCAUGCGCUCUGAGGAUCUAGAUCCUUGUCCAGCUUCUCUUGUCAUGUCGUUAGGAAGAAGAUGUUUUGGGUAGUCGCGUAGACGCUCCCCAAAAACCUAAUUGCCGGUCCCCCGUGCAAGGUCUCGAACGGCAAGGGCUUCAGAGGCACCUGCCCUCUCGCUGCUCUGUGUGUGCAGAGUCACGAGAUGGGAAUACUCUCACUUGCGGCUGGGCUGUGACUUUGAAAUGGUUCUAUUCUCGUGUACCAAGUGUCAGGGGUUCUCCUCUACUUAACCUCUCACAGAGGGAAGCUGAAGGAGAAGGGUUGCAUGCGGCACGCCAAGAGACGGGCAGCUGAAGGACAAGGGUCUUGCAUGCAGCUGACGAAGAGACAGGCAACUGAAAGGUUUAACCCGGAGUUGAAACUCCCGCGGUUAAUGAGUGCUAAAAAUUAACACAACCACACCACGCCCGCUCGCUGCCUGCCUGCCUCGCCACGCCACGCCCGAGCCCAGCCCGGCCGGCGGCGGCGCGCGCACGUGUGGCACACCCUUGUAUGUUUCUUGACUUCUCAAAUUAAGUGGAAUAAUUCCCACCAUAUAAGUCAAGCCAACGAUCCUUGGACUUCCAAUAUGGUACUAUUGGUAUUCUCCACCAUUACACACCAUAGAGUUUAUUGAAUAAAUGGGCCAAGCCCAUAAAAGAUCCAACAAUCCCCACCAAACUCUAGGGUUUGUAAUGAUGAAGUAUCAGAAUCACAAUCCUUUGAUAUACCAGUGUUUUGAUGGAGACUGUUAAGUUAAACAUCCAUCUAGAAUAAGAGUUUCACUCAUUCACAACUGAAUAAUGGACUAAGCCUUGAAUUGACAGUUUUGUGCGAAAUAAGAUUCACUCAAAUCCUUUGCUGAUACUAGAUUGCAAAAGGGCAUUCCUGCUGUUUAGAAGCAUAUAAGUCACACUUCAGUGCCUUUCACGAGUAUUUAGGGAUUACCCAAGUCCCAUAGACUGUGACCAGCAGUCUGACUCAUAUAGGUGUAUUCCUCAGAAGAUGUUCUGUAGGACAACAUCUUAUCUUUAUAAGACUCUUGGAAUACAUUAAGGUAAAUACCAUCCUGCCUUACAGAUAGGAAAGAUGUGCAUCAGAAAUGAGUUAAGGAAGGGUUCUUUCCUCACAAUCUACUCCUAGCUUGUUUCUGCACUCUACUUCACGGGAUCUCCGAUCACAUAGAGCAGGUUACCACUAGAGUAGAUUUCACAUGGGUCUCAUACCCAUUUCUCUCGAUGCACUUUCUAUCACAUUGCGUGACAGACCCUUAGUGAAUUGAUCUGCCAGAUUACUCGAUGUGUGGACAUAAUCCACCGUUAUAACUCCGGAGUUUUUCAGCUUUCUGACAGAUUUCAAUCUCCUCUUAACAUGCCUUGUAGACUUCAUGUUAUUCCUAGAACUGUUAUCUUUUGUAAUCACAUUUUAGUUGUCACAGUUCAUGGAAAUAGCCGGUAUCAGUUUUUCAACUACCGGUAAAUCCAAUAGGAAAUCACGAAGCCACUCGGCCUCAGCCCCAGCAGUGUCUAAUGCUGCGAGUUCUGCUUCCAUUGUAGACUUCGUUAAGAUAGUCUGCUUGCAAGACUUCCAGGAAACAGCGCCACCUCCAAACAGAAACACAUAUCUGCUUGUGGCAUAAAGCUCAUUAGCAUCAGAAAUCCAGUUGGCAUCACAAUAGCAUUCCAGCACUUUUGGGUUUUAGUAUAAUGAAUAUUGUAUGUCAUAGUACCUUUCAAAUACCGCAACACUCUCUCAAGAGCACGCCAGUGAUCAUCUCCUGGUUUCGACACAAACCAACUCAGCUUACUCACAGCAUAAGAGAUGUCUGGCCUUGUUGCACUUGAAAGGUACAUGAGCGAGCCAAUGAUCUGGGAGUAUGUCAAUUGAUCCCUUGCUAUUCUCCGAUUCUUUCUCAAUAGCACACUAGGGUCAUAAGGUGUUGGAGCAGGAUCACAGUCACUAAAACCAAAGCGACUCAAUACCUUUUCCACAUAAUGGGAUUGUAACAAAGUUACCCCACCAUCAGCUUCUCUAACAAGCUUGAUGUUUAGAAUGACAUCAGCUUCUUCCAAAUCUUUCAUUUCGAAAUUUCUCGAUAGAAGAUUUUUAACUUCCUCAAUCACAUUGAGAUUUGAUCCAAAGAUCAAGAUGUCAUCAACAUAAAGGUACAGCAUAACAGACUCACCCCCACCAUACCGAUAGUAUACACACGUGUCAGAUUCAUUUACAGCAAAACCAGCAGCUGUAAGAGUAUUAUCAAACUUUUUAUGCCAUCGCUUAGGUGCUUGUUUUAGGCCAUACAAUGAUUUUAUCAACCUACACACCUUGUUCUCUUGACCAUCCGCAAUGAACCCUUCUGGCUGAUCCAUAUAGAUCUCCUCAUCCAACUCUCCAUUUAGGAAAGCUGUCUUAACAUCCAUCUGAUGAAUGAUAAGACCAUAAGAGGCUGCCACGGCUAUUAAUGUGCGAAUUGUAGUCAAUCGAGCCACUGGUGAGUAGGUAUCAAAUAAAUCUUCACCCUCCUUUUGGGUAUAUCCUUUGGCCACAAGCCUUGCCUUAUACCUCUCGAUUGUACCAUCAGGCCUAAGCUUUUUCUUGAAGAUCCAUUUGCAGCCUAUAGGUUACAACCAUAAGGACGGUCAACGACCUCCCAAGUUCCAUUAGACAUAAUAGAUUCCAUCUCACUCCUUACUGCUUCCUUCCAUAAGUCAGCAUCAGGAGAGGAAUAUGCCUCACUAAUGGUAGUUGGUGUGUCUUCCACAAGGUACACUAUAAAGUCAUUACCAAAGGAUUUGGCAACCCUCUGUCUCUUGCUCUUUCGAGUGACUAUAGUGUCAUCCUCCUCAGGGAUGUGUAUGUGAGGAUCCUCAGCAUGAUCUAUAUGAAUAGACAGUUCGUGCUCAUGGGGAAUUAUAGUCUCAUGACUUGUAUCACUAGGUGUAUUCUUCAUGGGAAACUCAUUCUCAAAAAAUGUUGCGUCUCUUGAUUCCAUGAUAGUAUCAACAUAUAUAUCAGGCACAUCAGAUUUUAUAAUUAAGAACCUAUACCCAGUGCUGUGAAAAGAGUAACCAAGGAAUAUACAAUCAACAGUUUUAGGCCCAAGUUUACGCUUUUUGUUGAUUGGCACAUUCACUUUAGCCAAGCAACCCCAAGUGCGCAAAUAUGAGAGAUUUAAUCUUCUCUUUUCCCGUUCCUCAAAUGGUGUGAUCUCUUUGUUCUUUGUUGGAACUCUAUACAGGACAUGACACGCUGUCAAAAUCGCCUCACCCCACCAUGCCUUGGAUAAUCCCGCUGUACUCAACAUGGCAUUCACCAAAUCUGUUAGAGUGCGAUUUUCCCUUUCAGCAAUCCCAUUGGAUUGAGGUGAGAAUGGCGGUGUCCUCUCAUGAAUAAUACCAUGUUCCACGCAGAACUCAUCGAACACAUUAGAGAAAUAUUCUCCACCUCGGUCGGACCUUAACCGUUUUAUUUUCCUUUCAAGUUGGUUCUCAACUUCAGCUUUAUAGGCCUUAAAAUAAUUAAACGCUUCAUCUUUUGUUUUUAAGAGAUACACAUAGCAAAAUCUAGUGGAGUCAUCUAUAAAAGUGAGAAAGUAUCUUUUACCACCUUUGGUCAAAAUUCCAUUCAUCUCGCACAGAUCAGAAUGAACAAGUUCUAGAGGUGCUAGAUUCCUCGCCUCAGCAGCCUUGUGAGGCUUGCAGGGUUGUUUUGAUUCAACACACACAUGGCACUUAGACUUUUUGACCAAGUUAAAUUUAGGAAUUAGAUUUAGAUUUGCUAACUGCAUAAGACAGCCAAAGCUAGCAUGACAAAAACGUGAAUGCCAUAAAUCUGACUCAUCAGAAAAAUGAACAGAAUUCACCAUUUUAUUACACACAGCAUGCAGUGAUAAGCGGAACAAGCCUCCGCAGUCAUAUCCUUUACCAACAAAAGUACCAUGUUUCGACACAACACAUUUAUUAGACUCAAGAACAACUUUGUAUCCAUCUCAACACAGCAUAGAAGCACUAACGAGAUUCUUCUUGAUAGAGUGCACAUGCUGCACGCUCUUUUCAAUGGCACUGUCUUUCCCGAAGUAAACUUCAGAAUGACCGUACCAACACCAAGAACAUGAGCACGCGACCCAUUUCCCAUUAACAAGGCGCCAGACCUCCCGACCUGGUAGGAAGUGAACAUAGAGGCAUCAGCACACACAUGAAUGUUUGCACCACUAUCCAUCCACCACUCAGGUGAAUUACAAACUGAAAGAACAAAUGGUAAAGAAUUACCAUACCCAAAUGUUCCAUCUCCAGUUUCAGUGGUUACAAUAUUAGCUGAUUUCUUGUCCUGUGUGAACUUGCGAUCAGGGCACUCUCUAGCCCAAUGUUGAUCACUGCCACAGACAAAGCAUCCUCCUUUUCCCUUGUUAUUGUUGUUGUUCUUCUUUUUAAACUGUGUUGUUUGAACAGGUUUAUUUGUAUUCUCUUGUUUGUUCUGGUUUUUCUUUUUGUUGAACUUGCGGAAGUUUCUCUUCUGCGCCACAUUAGCAGUAGAGGUCUCAACAACUUUUCCAUUGUCCUUUGUCUAGCCCUUUCCUCAACAUCAAGAGUACCAAUGAGCUCUUCCAUAUUGAACUCUUGUCUCUUAUGUUUGAGAGAGGUAGCAAAGUCAUUCCAAGAAGGUGGCAACUUGGCGAUUAUACCGCCAGCCACAAACUUGUCAGGCAAAGGACAAGGAAAAAGUUUGAGUUCCUUAGCCAGUGCCUGAAACUCAUGAGCCUGUUCCAUUACAGAUUGGUUCUCAACCAUCUUGUAGUCAUACAGCUGCUCCAUGAGAUACAGCUCGCUACCAGCGUCAGUUACUCCAAACUUUCUAACAAGUGCAUCUCACAGCUCUUUCCCUGUAGGAAGGAUGAUAUAGCUUUUUUGGAAUUUUGUAUCAAGUGCGCUAAUUACUGCUCCUCGAAAGAGGUUGUCUUCAGCCUUAAACUUAGCCUCAUCCUCAGGAGGUAAGUUGACAUGCUUGCCCUCAGCGGCAUGAAAACAAAACAUUGCAGUAAGCCACAAUUCCAUCUUAGCUUUCCAUAUCAAGAAGUUUUUACCAUCAAAAGGAUCAGGCUUUAGCACAGCAGCAAAACCUCUGACAGAAAAAUGCCUAACAUUAGGUUUUUGGAUUGUUAGAAUUAUAGGCAUUUUCCAUAUCAUUUUAAUUCCAUAAAUUAACAUUAUGAUGAUGACAUAUAAAAGGUAAUUAAUCAUAGAAAUCAUGAUCUCAAAUAUAUACAUAACAAUAUGGAUCAUGAGAACACAAAGCAUAUGAAUCAUAUAAAUCAUAUAAAUAUGAUAAACAUAUAAACUGACUGAACAAUUGAAAAUAAACAGAUAGCAAUAUAAACAAGAUGACGGUAAAAUUAAAACAGACAGAUAUAACAUAUUAUAAUAUGACUGAACAGAUGAGAUAAAAUCAUUGCUACAUAUGAAACAGCACAGAUGAAUAUAUGAAAUAUAUAUAAUCUGCAGAACGUAAAACAGUAAGAAACUUGUCGACGUUUCGACCCGGGGGGUCCCUGGACCGACGAGUAAAUUGUCGCUGCGUGUCCCAGCCCAGAUGCGUCGGCGCGAGAUGGAACACAAGGGGGAAAAAGGGAAUCGCGGCUCGUGUUAUCCUGCGCCCAGGGCGGAUGCGCUUGCAGUAGGGGGUUACAAGCGUUCGCGAGAGAGGAGAGCCUGCUCGUCAGCCCGUCCUCCCGCGCGGCCACCUUCUCGUACGAGGGCCCUGGACCUUCCUUUUAUAGAUGUAAGGAGAGGGUCCAGGUGUACAAUGGGGGGUGUAUCAAUAUGCUAACGUGUCCAGCAGAGAGGAGCCAGAGCCCUAUGUACAUGUCCACGUGGCUGUCGGAGAGGUGCUAGUGCCCUGUGCAUGUGGCGUCGUGGCCGUCGGAUUAGCGCUUAAGUCCUGUAGAAGCACAGCUGUCGGGGCUGAAGGGACCUUGCUGACGUCUCCUUGCUUCCGUAGGGGGCUGAGAACCGCCGUCGUCAUGGGAGCACACGGGGUGUCAUCAUUACUUGUUUACCGGGGCGAGCCAGAUGGGAUGCCGGUCUUGUUCCCCGUAGCCUGAGCUAGCUAGGGGUAGGGUAAUGAUGUACCCCCUAUGACGUGGUCAGUCUGAGCCUAAGGUCGGGCGAGGUGGUGACUCCUCCGAGGUCGAGGUCGAGGCCGAGCCCUGGGGUCGGGCGAGACGGAGUCCAUCUUCCGAGGUCGAGGCGGAGGCCGAGCCCCGGGGUCGGGCGAGGCGGAGACUUCUCCCGAGGCCGAGGCGGGGGCCGAGCCCCUGGGUCGGGCGAGGCGGAGAUUUCUGUGGCGCCUGAGGCGGGACUUAGCUGUUGUCAGCCUCACCCUGGCGGGUGGCACAGCAGUCGGAGCAGGGCAGGCGGCGCUGUUUUCCUGUCGGGUCAGUAAGUGGAGGGGCGAAGUGACUGCGGUCACUUCGGCCCUGCCGACUGAGGAACGCGCGUCAGGAUAAAGUGUCAGGUGAUCCUUGCAUUGAAUGCUCCUGCGAUACAGUCGGUUGGCGAGGCGAUCUGGCCAAGGUUGCUUCACUGCGAAGCCUGCCCGGGCUGGGCCUCGGGUGAGUCGAGGGUGUGCCAGUUGCUUGAGGUGGCCCUCGGGCGAGGCGUGAAUCCGCCCUGGUCUACUGUUCCUGCCUAGGGCUAGGCUCGGGCGAGGUGAGAUCGUGUCCCUUGAGUGGACGGAGCCUUGACCUGAAUUGCGCCCAUCAGGCCUUUGCAGCUUGUGCUGAUGGUGAUUACCAGCCGAGUUUAGGAUUCUUGGGGGUACCCCUAAUUAUGGUCCCCGAUAGUAGCCCCCGAGCCUCAAAGGGAGUGUUGGUACUCGCUUGGAGGCUUUGUCGCACUUUUUUGCAAGGGGACCGGCCUUUCUCGGUUACAUUUUGUUUCGGUGGGUGCGCGCGAGCGCACCCACCGGGUGUAGCCCCCGAGGCCUCGGAGGAGUGGUUUGACUCCUCUGAGGUCUUAAUGCCUUUCGUGAUGCCUCGGCCGGUCUAAUUGUUCCCUCAUGCGAUCUGAUCGUAGCCCGGGUGCAUGGUCAGGUUCCGAGUUCUCGGGCUGGUAUGUUGACGCUGUCAACGGUUUGGCCGGAGCCGGGUUUGCGAGAGCAGCCCCCGAGCCUCUGCACGGAGCGAGAGGACGGUCAAGGACUGACUCGGCUUUUAUCAUACGCCCCUUCGUCACCUUUCCGCAAGGAGGAGGGGGGGAAAGCGCCAUGUUGCCCUCGGAGGGCGCCGAACAUGGUGUCUCCAGUGAGUUGCUAAUGGGUGAUCCGAGUGGACGGUCGUGCCUUGUUCGAUAAGGGUCGGCUAGUGGCCCAAAGGCGCGCUCCAAAAGUACCUGCAGGUGAUUUGCCGGACCCGGUCCCGUUUGAUAGGGUUCAAGGGCUCGAUGCCUCCCUCUGAUGGGAUUCUGUUAUAGAAUCGCUCCUGCUGGUCUCGGAAAUGUCCUAGGGUACCUCGAGAGCGUAGCUCGAGCCUCGGCCAUGUAUCGGACGUACCCAGAGUCAUCCCUCGCUCUGCGUGUUCUGGGGCGGCUGUCGAACCCUUCGGGGGGCCAGCCUUCGAACCCCUGAUCAGUAGUGGGCGUGGAGCCCGAGUGGUCUGAGGCGACUGUCGAACCCUUCCGAGGGGCCAGCCUUCGAACCUCUGAUCAGUAAUGAGCCUGAAGCCCGAGUGCUCUGGGGCGGCUGUCGAACCCUUCCGAGGGGCCAGCCUUCGAACCCCUGAUCAGUAGGAGGGCUCGGGGCCCACUUCAUUCGCGGAGAAGGAUCCCUUUCGGAGUAUCCCCUUUCCCGGUCCCUGUAGCAAGAGAGAGGAAGGGGAGAAGGAAAAGGAUAUGAAUUUAAACGGCGUGGCACACCUUUUUUGACGCGGUCAUCAUGGCGGAGGUGAAACGUUGCCCGCUUCGCCUGCCAAAGGUGUCGCGUGCCCUGCCGCGAAGUUAAUGCGAUGGGACGGGUGGUUCGCGCGGCAGCCGCUGUGCGUGCCGUUCGAGGAACGGGUGUUGCGCCUUCACACCGUGGGAGAGGGCUCUCCUGCUACUCCAGGAGGGGACGUGAGCCUGCGAACGAUUUGACCGCCGCUUCCGCUCGCCUGCUGCCGCCAUUACUGCCGGCCCACUUUUAGCCAUAUCGACCGUCGCGCCUUCUCCCGCGGCUAACUGACCCAUGACCGAUGUGCUCGGUUGGCACUGUUGGGCCAUGCGCGCGGUUGCCUCGAGUCGCAGCACCGGUUCCGCAGUCGAGAAGGCGCGGCAUUGUCGUAAGUGGCGGUGCAGUUUUCCGCACGUAGUAACCGGUGCGCCGGUUACAUGACGUGUGGGCCUGGGACUCCAUGCUGGAUGUGUCGAAGUCGAAGGGGUGCAUCUCCGUGGUGCAGUUGCAUGCCACCUGCAUGGCGGUCCGCCCUUUCAUCCGCUGGUUUAGGCGAAAGUGGAGGAGUGCUUGUAACCGCUGGGCGGUUACACGCUCCGCGUGCGGCGGUCUGGCUUCUUCUGUCCCGGACCAGCUUGCAUGACGUGUGGGACCCAGCCCCGUGUCGUGGGGGGAGGACCCUGGAGCGCGUUGGUGAAGACUUAGUCUGCGACACCUGAGGAUGCGAGUGGGGAGAGUCGCCUUUAAAAAGGGGUCGACCUCCUGGGUGGUAGCCACGCCUUCGCACUCCCCUCAUGCAUUGCGCCCUUCCUCCUUCGAGCCCCUAGAUGGGGAGCAUCCGAGUUGCUUUCGUCUUGCUGUUGUUGGAGGAGCGCAACUUCGCGGAGGUUGGCACCUUUCAGCCAUCGCUUGGCUUCAAGGAUUUUCAUCAAGUAGUCUGGCUGCAUCCCCUCACCAAUGGUCACGCAGGAGGGUGACCACCGGUUCAAUGGUGGGGAGAAGCGAGCCGGGCUGCAACCUCUGCCCCACCCUCAGCUUCAAGGAUCUUCAUCAUCCUUGCUGGGGAGGAGGGCGAGCUGAGCCGGAGCUCUACCUCCCGUAUGGGCCAGCGGACCAUCUCUUCCUUCAGCAUUCAGAGGAGAGGGCUCUCACCGGCCUAGCGGAGGGGCAGACUUUGACAACACGGGGUCGGUCGGCCGCAAGCGUUGUCAGCUCCAGCGUGUUUGGCUCGCUGGCUCAGCUGGCUCUGGCGCAGCUUUCGGUGCCCCCUCCCACCGCUGGAGUGGAGUGUGGCUGUCUGCCCUCUGUACGGGUGGUUGUUGCGUCGUGCGCACCGAGGGACCGUCCAGGACAUCGUACGCCGCUAGGGCGACGUUCGUGUUCUUGGAUUGUCUUGUCCUCGCUCCGGCACGACGCCUCCGCGUGGGGGUCGGUGCCCGUCCAUCCGGGAGGACUUGAGUGGGGAUCUGCCGGUGGGCAGGUGACUGCUUGUCGUCGGCGCUGAGGCGGCGGCAGCCGGAGAAGGUUUCUCCACCGACGAGACCCCCCCCCCCCCCGCGGACUAACCUCCGCUCUUCGGCUUUGAUAGCUUGUCCUCGCCCCUCGAGUGGGGACGCGGGCGAGGGCCUUGUCGCAGCAGCGUCUGCCCUAAGGUCAUCACUGCUGCUGUUUAGCCACCCGGAGCGGAGGUCGUUGUCGCUCCUAACGGAGCGGGCAGCGGCGAGCCACCUGGAAUUUGUCAUCCCACAGGCCCUCCGAUGUGGGGGGUUGUUCGUACCCGCGGGAGUGGAACCGGAGUUCCGUUUGUAAUGGCACCUUGAGUGCCGGUGUAUGUUCAUUGCGGCUGUCGGGGCCUGAACAUCUGUGUAUUUGGGCGUGAAGCCGUGUUUUCUGUAACACCCCUGGUGUUACUGUAACUAAAACUUGAGCAUGACAUCAUAAACAUUGGCAUUGCAUAUGAUUGACACACCUAGAAUGCAUUCACUAGGUAAAAAUUUCAAACAAGUUGUAUUGUUGUAGCAUUUUGCAAAUAGAACCCUGGAUAGGGAACUUAACCCUAAAUAGGGACUAUAGGGGUAAAACAUAACCCAAAUUGAGAAAACCUAAAAGCUUUAGGGGAAUAGUCAUAAAAUGUUCCCAAGAAUGAACUUAAAUCACAUUUAUACCCCUGAGAUACCAAAAACCCCAUGGGAACCCUGGAAAACCAUAAGUCCAAACCCUAGGGGCCUAUGUGCAAAAAUUGUGCACAUUUGGACUAAUGUGUAAAAACUAUAAUGUUAAAGCAUAUAAAGUCACAUGGUUCACAUUUGGGAAGAUUUACAAGCCAAACCCUAAGUUUUGGAUUCAUUUGCAAAAAGGACCCCAAUUGAGAUUUCACUCUAAGUCUGAAUUUCAGAUUUGUGAGCUUAACUUUGGAGCUUUGCAUCUUUCAAAUUCUAGGGUUUUCGCCCUAAGGCACCACAUCAAAGUUGUAGACCAAUCAUAGGAGAACAACUUUGCUUAAGUGUAUGAGCUCAAUUGUUGAGGAAAAUCUAGAGAUAGUUGAGCCCAAAGUUGGACUGUCAGACUACUUAAAGCCUGAAAUCAGAUUGACAGUGGACUGACAUCAACUUCAAGCCCAAUUUCAAGCAUGAUCCAUUGGCUUUUUGUGGUAACACCAUAUAGCAAUGUUGUAGAUGGUAUAUUGCUCUACAAUUUUGCUACAAUGUGUUGAUCAUAUUGCCAUAGGAAUCUGGGAGAAAAUCAAGCUCCAAGAUGCUCUGUCAGGUCGACUGAAUGGGGAUUGCCAUGGUACAGUAAGUUCUAAACUGAAGAAGAUCCCGACUCAACCCCUGCUUGUCGCCGGUGGUCCGUCGCCGUUGAUCGAUUGCUCACCGUGAUUCGUGUGCCGUGGCCAUCAGAUAAGCACAGCCCAGUAAAAAUCUCAGCGUCUGAUCCACUUGCGCUCGGUUGCGGCUAAGCUUGUCGUACUCCCCCAGCUCGUCGGUUGCUCGGAUAACUCUCACCGUCGUCGUGCUGUCGCUGUUGCGCACCAAGUGCCUUAGCACUGGACUUCAUCGCGGUGACUCACUGGAUUGCAUGUCCGGCGAUCACCGGAGUAAGCGCCACGGUGAAAGCCACCCACCCCUUGCUCCAGUAUUCUUGUUUCCCUCCGGCCGCCGCGCGUCAUCGCCUAAAUUCGCGGCCACCGCUCGAGGGCUCUAUAAAUUGACCUCGCCCGUAGCUCCUCAGAUAGUCAAGCAACUCCUACAUCAAUCCGUGCCCUGAAUUAUCCACCCGAGAGCCUCAGUUUAGGAUUUUCCCCCAAAUCCACCAAGAACACCGUGCGAUGUGUGCUCCCCGUGGUUAGCCUAUUCCAGGUGAAUUCAUACUCCUCUAUUGAUUGUUCUAGCAUCCCUAGGCUCUCCUAAAACACCUCGAACCCUUUAAUUGUACUGGACUGCCAUGAAUCACCGAGAACGCGCUCAUCGGUCCGCAAUGUCCACGGUCGCCGUGGCCAUGGUAAACCAUUUGGCCAUAGAUGAAAUUGUGUUGGGGGAAAUCGUCAGGGUAGGUCCAAUUUCGUGUCCGUUGCUCGGGGCCGCCAGUCUUGGCUCCCUUCAGCCGGUACAGGUGCUCGCCGGAGCUCCACAGCGUGCGCCGUUGUCGGGGACCUCCCCCUGCAAAGAAAUAGAACGUGGAGGGUUUUUUGCGCAAACUGUCAGUGACACAGAUAAAUAGUAACUAAACUCGUUUCCAAUUAGCCAGAACUCCGAGGAUCCUUCUGCAAAAUCGCCAGCGCGGACGCGCGCAUGGGCACACUUCUGCCCUAACUGGGCCGACGCAGGCCAGUUUGAGCCCAGUACUGUUUAGAAUUUCCCUUUUCUUUUUCAGUGGAACUUUAGAAAUAUGUAGAAAAUUAUAGAAAAUUCAUAAAAUUGUCAAACUAAUUUUGUUAGACUUCUUGUUUUCCAUAGGAUUUAAUAAAAUUAGUUUCAUGAUUUUUAUAUUAAAUAAGGAAUUUUAAGGCAUUUAAAGUAGAUUAAAACAUUAGUUCUGGAUUUUUAGAAAAUAAAUGGUUAUCCCAAAAAUGCCCAAACUUUUUAUAUGAGCUCUACACAUUAGUUAGUAGCCAUGGGUAGAAUUUGGUUUGAUUUGAACCUUGUUUGAUAACUAGAACCCAAAACCCCACCCCUGCCCUUUGAACUCCUUUACUGACUCUGGAAACCCUAAGUUCUCGGAGUUCCGUGAACGAAAGUUGUAUUCAAGACUUAGAUAAUAAAUCCUUAUUAUCUUUGCACUCUCAUGAGCAUUACAUAGCAUUCAAUCUUAUAUACACAUAUGUAUGGUUAUGAUUAGAAAACGAAGAAGAGAUCGAAGUGACCGAAGAGAAGACACCACCACCUUCAGAAUCUCAGGCCGGAAAUUGUUUCUAAUUUGAUAUCUACGGGUCCGAGCCUGACUCACCUACUAAUGAAGGCAAGCCCCGGUGCAUUUGCCACCCUCCUUGAUGUUUUUAAAAUCUUUCUCACUUGCUUGAUGCAUUAGGUGAUAGGAGUUGAUUGAUUAAACAAUUCUUGCAUUACCUUUCUUGAAUUUGAUUACCUUCCUUGAUCACCCGUUUUACAAAAGAUUUUGAUGCUUAGCCUUGCUUUAGAAAAACAAAAUGUUUUGUUUUACAAAAGAUGAUAUGGCAAAAGUGGGUGGGAUGUUUUCGAAAAUAAAACUUGAUGGUGGAUCCAUCACGGCCGUGAUGGGUUCAACAUCGGAAAAGAUGUACCUCUGCCAGGUACCAAACUUUGGGUUUGAAAUAAUUAAGCUGAGACCGGGCGGGUGACUUGCACGAGAAAGGAGUCUCGGUGUAGUGUCUCUGUCUGAGUCGAUUAAGGACCGUGUCGAUGUAGGCCUGCUGACCGAGGACCCUUUAACUGGUCACAUGCCUCGUCAUGGGUAAGCCUUGCCUCGGGCAGACUAAGGCCAGAAUAAGAUAACACGAAAUGGGCGUGGAGCGGUGGCGGGAGUAGUGUGUACCCUCCGUAGCAAGAGGCUGGACGGUGGUGUAUCUGUGCUCUCGGUUUGCGUGAACCUGAUCUGGUCUUAAGAACCCCGGUGGCGGGUUGACAUAUGCAAGGGUUAAGUGCUACAUAUGUCGUGUGAUUGGAGAUCCUCAGCUGAGUAUAAUCGAUUCGGAUCGCCGUACCUUCGCGGUUAUGAAGACUUGGUCACUGACUUAUACGUAGCAAUCCAGUAAAGAUGAUGGGUUUGUUAAGAAAUUGGCUAGUGUAGGUCAAGUGAUUGAACUAGGGUAGAAAGAACUCUAGUUGUAGGUAAUUCUACUUAACUUGGCAAAUAAAACUGGAUUUUUAAGGAUCCACUUUAGUAAGCAUUUCUGCAAAACAGAGUCUUUGAUUAUUGAGAAGCCUUACCUUGACUCCCUUAAGCCAGCAUACCCUUGAGAGUCUUUUCUUUAGUCGGGUAAGACUUGCUGAGUAAUUCCAUACUCAGGGUUUAUUCCCCCGUUGUUUUUAGGUGAGGAAGCGACAAAUUUUUGUUGCUUUUGCUCCAAGGUGGUUCCAAAGGAAGAAAAACAAGAAUGAAGUGCGGGAGGAAAGGAUCCUCCAUUAGGACUUUUGUUUAAAAACUAUCGGGAGGAGUUUUUGCCUCCCUUGGUAUUGUAAUAAUACUAAUCAGCACUCGUUUUAUAGCUCUGGUCUGUAAUAAAUAACUUGAUCUUACUUUCUAAAUAAAUGUAAGUUAUGUAAUCGCUUCCGCAUUUCUAUAUCUCCGAUGUUCUGUAAUGUCUGCAAGACGGGUGAAACGUUCCUGGAAAGGUAAGAAAGAAGAUACCGAACUUGUCGAGUGAUUCAGGAACAUCUACAGGGUUGUCUGAUGUCUGUUGGACAAGGACAACUGUAGGUGGGCCUAAUUACUUGGGAGGUUCCGUCACAGCUGGUAUCAGAGCGAAGCCCUUCUCUGCAGAUAUUAUGAGGCAUCUUCAAAAGGAAUUUCUAAAGACUUACCUAGAAAAUCUCUUCUCUUCUUACCUAAGUAUUCUGAAGAGUUUAUCUUAAAGACCAGGUAGUAAGAGUGCAACAUAUAGAAGGUGUGAAUCAACUACGGUUGAUUCUGUAAUUAUACAUGCAUCAUGCUAAGAACUAUACUAAUCAAAUUUUCCCCCUUAGAAAAUGCUGUCGUGCACCAGAAAGACCGCGCGCCAAUCUACUAGACCCAUUGGCGUACCCCACCAUUAACUUGCCCCAAGACAUGAAGAAAGUAGUAGUGGUAGCAACGAUCCUAUCUGGGAUCUGGAAGUGCAAGUCGAACUGCUUCAAUCAGAACUCCGUCACAGGAAUGAUUUAUGGGUUGCGGAUGCAGCCAUCCGCUACUUGCAAGACCAACUCGCGAAACGAGAUCUAGCGCUCGAUUGGGCGGUUAACUCUCGUCCACUCACCUGGGCUAAGGAAGCCAAAGCUCGAGCCCGCGUGGAGGAGCUUAGCUCAGCCAUGGAUAACUUACAGGUCUAUUAUAAUACACUACAUGAAGAAGUUCAUGUGUUGUAUUCACAACUGCACCCGAAUGUCCCUGUGGAUCCUGUCGGGAUGGAAGCCGGACCUUUUCAUAUAGCUGGAGAAGCACUUGGUGGUGAACCGAACAUUUUCAGGACCCCCUCCCUCUAUGAAGUUGGUUGACGAAUGGUCUCCUACGCCCGACAGUAAAGCUACCAAAAGUGAAAAGAAGUGGCUUGUCAAGUGCCCGUAACAUUGGCUGGACGGGACUUUCCUACAAAUAUGAUUGUUCCAAAAGGCCAAGACAUAGAUGUCAUCUUGGACAUGAACUGGUUAGCCCAGCAUAAAGCAAUUCUCAACCCUGAUCUGAGAACCAUCAGGUUGAGUUAUGGCCAAUAGAGAGUUGGUAACUUGAUUUCCUAAACCCAAGAUUAGGCUAUAUUCGUAUUUAGUGAACCAUGACCCGACCCAAAGUUGAAUUUUUCGUUAUCACUCCAUGACCACACCCAUACAGAUAAAUGCCUAGAUAAUUUCUUUGUCGGACCUAAAGUGUACCUGGACUUCAAACAAGGAUCUCAAGUCAUGUCUCCUUUUAGCACCAUUCUCAUGUUCAGCUGAUGCAGGUUGAGGUCUCCAUUGUAUUUGGCCUCUCCUUGCGGAUCGCCAUGAUGCUUUAUUAACCCAACCUAGGAAAGACAUGUCCGACCAUUUUCUUGAAUUUGAUGCCUUUGGUUUCUUCAUAUCUAUCAAAGGCAUACCAACUUAAUCCUUGACCUUGUGCUCUUUGCAAUGGGCAUAGAAAUAUGCUUGGGGCUGAAUUAACAGUCUCCCAUCGUACUUCUUCAUCAAGUUUAGGUUAUGGCCAUUUCAACGGGCCAUAAACUAUUUGGCGCUCUACUUGUAACCAUCUUUACUAGUGGAGUAUCUCUUUGCAUAUUGUCACCCUUGCCCAAUCCAUUAGUGUCAUGCGAGAUUUCUUAUUGGUUACGUCUAGCAAUGGCGUUAUGACUAAAACCGAUGGCGCCGCGAUGAAACCGAGGGCCUCCUAUGGAUGCACACACAUGGUUGCGCUACUUGGCAUCCGCUGGUAUCACCGUUAGUAGUCAUAAUCCAUUAUUAGACUAUAUCGAUAUGUUGUCUUUGCGUAAAUUGUUCUUACCUCGUGAGAUUCAUUAUUGGUGCCAGUUUUGUAAUGGUGUCAUGGUUAAGAACUUAUGGUACCGCGACGAAACUGAGAGCCUCCUGUGAAUGUGCACACAGGAUUUUGCUGCUUAGCGCAUGUCGGUAUCGAGGUCUCUAGUCAUGAUCCAUUAUGGAAUUACACUGAUGUGUUAUCUUCCAUUGACCUUUCUCUUGAAACAAUUUCUAUGUUGUUUGUGAUAGAGAUCAAGCAACAUCUGUCAUUUUCGUUGGAUCAAAAGGGCAUACCACUUUCAUGUGUGGUCUUAUUUCUUUUGAUCUUGGUAGUGACUACUCAUACAAGUUCCCUUUACAUCCUUUGUGUAAAGGUGAAGCCUUGGAGCUUUUUAGUGUAAGAAAACAACUGAUUAGCUCUCAAAAUAGAGAUAUGUUUCCCCUGCUGCUGAAAUGCAGGAGUUUGUUCAUUCGCUCUCUUAUUUAAUCCAUGUAUUCCCUAACCAAGUGGAUAAUUCAUCUCGCAUGAGAAAAACGGAUGAACAACUUGACCAAAUAAAAUUUUUACCCACAUACAUAACCUCUUAUUAACAAAGAGUGAACUCUCAACCCUUGGCUUACCAAUGGUAUUGAGAGGAUUUGCUUAAUGUCAAAAGUAGUUCAACAAGUUGGUUUUGACUAACUUGUAACUGCCCGAUGAACGAAGGCUGAGUUUAGAGAUCGUUUUAUCGAGUUGUCUAAACUCACUUUGGUUCAACCCACCCUAAAGAAAGUACGUACCAAAAUCAAAUUAAGUCGACCAUUAAAUUAUCGCUCUAGUCGCGCUUCGACCGCCUCACGCGUGCUUUUCCUGUGUGUGUGAUCAUGCCGAUCCAUGACUAGUGCUGGAUAAAAUGGACUGGUUGCAAAGUCCGCAUUUACAGAUCCCUCCGCUGGUGAUUUUUCCUGAAUCUAUAUCACCUUUCGUGGUCUUGGAUUCCCUGGCUAACACGAGUUGACCGUGAUGUUAUUCGACAUUCACACCCGCCUCGUGUGCUAUGAACUUACUAUAACCACUUGUUGGUAAACCUCUUUCUGUGUGUUUUACCCAAGAUGGUGCAUCUGAUUCUGUUUGGGUAAAAUCGCGUAAUUGCUGCUCGCCCAACAGACUCAGAUAGUACAGUGUCAUCAGAAGAAGCAAACAUGGAACCUUAUGUGUUCUUCUGGCUGACAUCGUCUCUAUUAGUGGGCAAAGAUGAAAAUUGAAAUUGCACGCUAUGUGGCUAGAUGUGACACUUGUAAACGUGUCAAGGCCAAACACAUGAAGGCUGCUGGUCCAUUACAAUCUUUGCCGAUCCCAACAUGGAAAUGGGAAGAUAUUAGUAUGGACUUCAUUGUGGGAUUACCCAGGACUACAAAAGGGUAUGAUUCUAUCUGGGUUAUAAUUGAUCGGCUUACGAAAAUUUCUCAUUUUCUGCCAGUCAAGACAGAUCACCCGGUUACUAUCUAUGCCCAAUUGUAUAUUGCUCGUAUUCUUAGUCUGCAUGGUGUUCCAAAAACCAUAGUGUCGGAUCGUGGACCUCAAUUUGUAGCCAAGUUUUGGGAAGCACUUCACAAAUCCUUGGGUACUAAGUUGCUCCAUAGUUCGGCCUACCAUCCUCAAACCAGUGGGCAGACUGAGAGGGUAAAUCAGAUACUGGAAGAUAUGCUGCGAGCGUGUGUUCUGGAAUUUCCACAAAAAUGGGAUGAAUGUUUGCCGUUAGCGGAAUUCUCAUAUAAUAAUAGCUAUCAAGAAAGCAUCAAGAUGGCACCCUUUGAAGCUUUAUAUGGACGACGAUGUCGUACUCCGCUAAACUGGUCUGAACCUGGUGAAAGGUACUUCUUCAGGCCUGAUAUGGUGAAAGAGACCGAAGAAAGAGUUCAAAGAAUAAUUCAUAAUUUGAAGAAAGCUCAAGCUCGUCAAAAGAGUUAUGCAGACAAACGGUGAAUGCCCUUAUACUUCCUUGUGGGAGACUAUGUCUACCUAAAGGUUUCGCCAAUAAAGGGUGUAUCACGUUUCAGGGUUAAAGGGAAGCUUGCACCCAGGUACAUUGGUCCAUUCCCUAUACUUGAGCAAUGUGGACCAGUGGCAUACCGACUUCAACUACCCGAAAUUUUGUCUGCUAUACAUAAUGUGUUCCACGUGUCACAAUUGAAGAAGUGUCUUCGGGUUCCCGAUUGAACCAUUGAAGUAACAAAUGUUGUCCUUGAACCGGACUUGACAUCUUCUGAGCACCCUAUUCGAGUCUUGGAUCAAAAGGACAGGAUUACCCGAAGAAAAACUCUCAAGUUCUACAAGAUACAGUGGAACCAACAUUCCGAAGAUGAGGCUACAUGGGAAACUCAAGACUUUUAGAUAAGAAUUUCCCAGGCUUUUUAGCCUCUUGUAAUUUGUAAAGCAUGUGUAGCUGUUAUAAUAAAGGAGUGAGUUCCCAACCACCCCUGCCUUGUACCAAGAAUAAGGAAAUAAAAACGUGAUGUGUUUCCUUUACCAUUACUUACCCUAGGACUUUUAAUCUCGCGACGAGAUUCUUUUAUGGGGGGAAGGAUGUAACACCCCUGGUGUUACUGUAACUAAAACUUGAGCAUGACAUCAUAAACAUUGGCAUUGCAUAUGAUUGACACACCUAGAAUGCAUUCACUAGGUAAAAAUUUCAAACAAGUUGUAUUGUUAUAGCAUUUUGCAAAUAGAACCCUGGAUAGGGAACUUAACCCUAAAUAGGGACUAUAGGGGUAAAACAUAACCCAAAUUGAGAAAACCUAAAAGCUUUAGGGGAAUAGUCAUAAAAUGUUCCCAAGAAUGAACUUAAAUCACAUUUAUACCCCUGAGAUACCAAAAACCCCAUGGGAACCCUGGAAAACCAUAAGUCCAAACCCUAGGGGCCUAUGUGCAAAAAUUGUGCACAUUUGGACUAAUGUGUAAAAACUAUAAUGUUAAAGCAUAUAAAGUCACAUGGUUCACAUUUGGGAAGAUUUACAAGCCAAACCCUAAGUUUUGGAUUCAUUUGCAAAAAGGACCCCAAUUGAGAUUUCACUCUAAGUCUGAAUUUCAUAUUUGUGAGCUUAACUUUGGAGCUUUGCAUCUUUCAAAUUCUAGGGUUUUUGCCCUAAGGCACCACAUCAAAGUUGUAGACCAAUCAUAGGAGAACAACUUUGCUUAAGUGUGUGAGCUCAGUUGUUGAGGAAAAUCUAGAGAUAGUUGAGCCCAAAGUUGGACUGUCAGACUACUUAAAGCCUGAAAUCAGACUGACAGUGGACUGACAUCAACUUCAAGCCCAAUUUCAAGCAUGAUCCAUUGGCUUUUUGUGGUAACACCAUAUAGCAAAGUUGUAGAUGGUAUAUUGCUCUACAAUUUUGCUACAAUGUGUUGAUCAUAUUGCCAUAGGAAUCUGGGAGAAAAUCAAGCUCCAAGAUGCUCUGUCAGGUCGACUGAAUGGGGAUCGCCAUGGUACAGUAAGUUCUAAACUGAAGAAGAUCCCGACUCAACCCCUGCUUGUCGCCGGUGGUCCGUCACCGUUGAUCGAUUGCUCGCCGUGAUUCGUGCGUUGUGGCCAUCAGAUAAGCCACCCACCCCUUGCUCCAGUAUUCUUGUUUCCCUCCGGCCGCCGCGCGUCAUCGCCUAAAUUCGUGGCCACUGCUCGAGGGCUCUAUAAAUUGACCUCGCCCAUAGCUCCGUCAGGUAGUCAAGCAACUCCUACAUCAAUUCGUGCCCUGAAUUAUCCACCCGAGAGCCUCAGUUUAGGAUUUUCCCCCAAAUCCACCAAGAACACCGUGCGGUGUGUGCUCCCCGUGGUCAGCCUAUUCCAGGUGAAUUCAUACUCCUCUGUUGAUUGUUCUAGCAUCCCUAGGUCUCCUAAAACUCCUCGAACCCUUUAAUUGUACUGGACUACCAUGAAUCACCGAGAACGCGCUCAUCGGUCUGCAAUGUCCACGGUCGCCGUGGCUAGGGCAAACCAUUUGGCCAUAGAUGAAAUUGUGUUGGGGGAAAUCGUCAGGGUAGGUCCAAUUUCGUGUCUGCCGCUCGAGGCCGCCAGUCUUGGCUCCCUCUAGCCGGUACAGGUGCUCGCCGGAGCUCCACAGCACGCGCCGUUGUCGGGGACCUCCCCCUGCGAAGAAAUAGAACGUGGAGGGUUUUUGCGCAAACUGUCAGUGACACAGAUAAAUAGUAACUAAACCCGUUUCCAAUUAGCCAGAACUCCGAGGAUCCUUCUGCAAAAUCGCCAGUGCGGACGCGCGCAUGGGCGCACUUCUGCCCUAACUGGGCCGACGCAGGCCAGUUUGAGCCCAGUACUGUUUAGAAUUUCCCUUUUCUUUUUCAGUGGAACUUUAGAAAUAUGUAGAAAAUUAUAGAAAAUUCAUAAAAUUGUCAAACUAAUUUUGUUAGACUUCUUGUUUUCCAUAGGAUUUAAUAAAAUUAGUUUCAUGAUUUUUAUAUUAAAUAAGGAAUUUUAAGGCAUUUAAAGUAGAUUAAAACAUUAGUUCUGGAUUUUUAGAAAAUAAAUGGUUAUCCCAAAAAUGCCCAAACUUUUUAUAUGAGCUCUACACAUUAGUUAGUAGCCAUGGGUAGAAUUUGGUUUGAUUUGAACCUUGUUUGAUAACUAGAACCCAAAACCCCACCCCUGCCCUUUGAACUCCUUUACUGACUCUGGAAACCCUAAGUUCUCGGAGUUCCGUGAAGGAAAGUUGUAUUCAAGACUUAGAUAAUAAAUCCUUAUUAUCUUUGCACUCUCAUGAGCAUUACAUAGCAUUCAAUCUUAUAUACACAUAUGUAUGGUUAUGAUUAGAAAACGAAGAAGAGAUCGAAGUGACCGAAGAGAAGACACCACCACCUUCGGAAUCUCAAGCCGGAAAUUGUUUCAACUUUGAUAUCUGCGGGUCCGAGCCUGACUCACCUACUAACGAAGGCAAGCCCUGGUGCAUUUGCCACCCUCCUUGAUGUUUUUAAAAUCUUUCUCACUUGCUUGAUGCAUUAGGUGAUAGGAGUUGAUUGAUUAAACAAUUCCUGCAUUACCUUCCUUGAAUUUGAUUACCUUCCUUGAUCACCCAUUUUACAAAAGAUUUUGAUGCUUAGCCUUGCUUUAGAAAAACAAAAUGUUUUGUUUUACAAAAGAUGAUAUGGCAAAAGUGGGUGGGAUGUUUUCGAAAAUAAAACUUGAUGGUGGAUCCAUCACGGCCGUGAUGGGUUCAACAUCGGAAAAGGUGUACCUCUGCCAGGUACCAAACUUUGGGUUUGAAAUAAUUAAGCUGAGACCGGCGGGUGACUUGCACGAGAAAGGAGUCUCGGUGUAGUGUCUCCGUCUGAGUCGAUUAAGGACCGUGUCGAUGUAGGCCUGCUGACCGAGGACCCUUUAACUGGUCACAUGCCUCGUCAUGGGUAAGCCUUGCCUCGGGCAGACUAAGGCCAGAAUAAGAUAACACGAAAUGGGCGUGGAGCGGUGGUGGGAGUAGCGUGUACCCUCUGUAGCAAGAGGCUGGACGGUGGUGUAUAUGUGCUCUCGGUUUGCGUGAACCUGAUCUGGUCUUAAGAACCCCGGUGGUGGGUUGACAUAUGCAAGGGUUAAGUGCUACAUAUGUCGUGUGAUUGGAGAUCCUCAGCUGAGUAUAAUCGAUUCGGAUCGCCGUACCUUCGCGGUUAUGAAGACUUGGUCACUGACUUAUACGUAGCAAUCCAGUAAAGAUGAUGGGUUUGUUAAGAAAUUGGCUAGUGUAGGUCAAGUGAUUGAACUAGGCUAGAAAGAACUCUAGUUGUAGGUAAUUCUACUUAACUUGACAAAUAAAACUGGAUUUUUAAGGAUCCACUUUAGUAAGCAUUUCUGCAAAACAGAGUCUUUGAUUAUUGAGAAGCCUUACCUUGACUCCUUAAGCUAGCAUACCCUUGAGAGUCUUUUCUUUAGUCGGGUAAGACUUGCUGAGUAAUUUCAUACUCAGGGUUUAUUCCCCCGUUGUUUUUAGGUGAGGAAGCGACAAAUUUUUGUUGCUUUUGCUCCAAGGUGGUUCCAAAGGAAGAAAAACAAGAAUGAAGUGCAGGAGGAAAGGAUCCUCCAUUAGGACUUUUGUUUAAAAACUAUCGGGAGGAGUUUUUGCCUCCCUUGGUAUUGUAAUAAUACUAAUCAGCACUCGUUUUAUAGCUCUGGUCUGUAAUAAAUAACUUGAUCUUACUUUCUAAAUAAAUGUAAGUUAUGUAAUCGCUUCCGCAUUUCUAUAUCUCCGAUGUUCUGUAAUGUCUGCAAGACGGGUGAAACGUUCCUAGAAAGGUAAGAAAGAAGUUACCGAACUUGUCGAGUGAUUCAGGAACAUCUACAGGGUUGUCUGAUGUCUGUUGGACAAGGACAACUAUAGGUGGGCCUAAUUACUUGGGAGGUUCCGUCACAUUUUCCCCUUGUUUCGAGUAUUGGGACUCGCCUGUCGACUAGCUGAGGCGCUUAACCGAGUGUGAGUUGCUUUGCGCGGAAGGUGACGAGUGAGGUAUCCGUACCCCGGAGGCGUAGGAGUCCCUCGGCUCGGUCGGCCUUGCCGCUCAAGGCUUCUCUUGCUCAGUUAAGAAACCCUCGGCUGCUCUGCGAUGAGCCGGAGCCGGAGGCAGCGGUGUCAGCAUGGACAGAGGCAGAGUCGGCUCGAAAAAGGGGCUUCGUCGGCCCAGGAGCAGGCGGCUUCCCAGGCCGAGGAGGUGCAGCGGCGGCGACCGGAGCCUGGCCGGGUCAUCCGUGAGCGAGAACAUCUUCGGAGUUAUGCUGCCAAGGCCAUGAGCCGGGCUGAUGUCCUCGGGGGACAGCUGGCUGAGGUUACGGAGCAGCCGGUCGAGGUGUUUGCCCGGGCCAGGACCCUGGAGGAGACCCUAGCGGCGAUGGCCCAGGCGCGGUGCCGACAUCUUCCUUCGAGGUGGAGGUCCUUCCGCCCGUGUCGCCGUCCGAGGCCGGGCCAGAUCCCGCCGAAGGUGGAAACAACACCGAGGGCGCUGCUGUUCCCUCUGUUGAUGUCUGAACCUGUAGGAACAGUUUGUCUGUAGCAUGCGUAUGUCUUUUGCGGCCGCCGAGGCCCAAACAUAUCAUUGUCGUGUUAUAAAGUUGUGUUUCUUUCCCUCUUGUUUCGAGUAUCAGGACUUGUUUGUCGGUAGCAGAAUUACUUGUCCGAGCGAGAGUGAGGUAUCCGUAUCCCGGAGGCGUAGGAGUCCCUCGGCUCGGUCGGCCUCGCCGCUUACGUGUACUCUUACUCGUCCGCAGGAUUCUGUUAUCGAUAUAGUCGAGAAGGCACGAAAAAUCGUUCUGGCAGAAAAGUUUUCGAGCGUUAAGACUUGUUCGGCCAGCAGAAUUGUUUAUCCGAGCGUGAGUUACUUAUCACAGAAGCUGAUGAGUGAGGUAUCCGUAUCCCGGAGGCGUAGGAGUCCCUCGGCUCGGUCGGCCUUGCCGCUUACGUGUACCCUGUCGUUUUCAGGAUCCCGCUAUCGAAGCAGUCGAAAAGCGCGAAAAGAUGUUCUGGCAGAAAGACUUUUUCCGAGGAAAAUUUUAACGCAGAGGGGGUUCCCCCCUUCUAGCCCCUGAGGGAGGGUCGGGCUUUGCCAAGGCAAGGCUGACCCUUCCUUGAUGGUUAGACUCUUUUUGUGUAUGUAAAGAGAACGAGGUAUAUGAACGACUUGAAAACAUCUUAAGGGUAAAAGCGACGUAGCUGUUGGAUGUUCCAAGCGUUGUUGUAGACCUCGCCUUGACUUUUGCCCAGCUUGUAUGUUCUGGACUUCAAAAUCUUGGCGAUGAUGAACGGCCCUUCCAGGGAGGAGUGAGCUUGUGGCGCCCUCGGGCGUCUUGCCGCAGCCGAAGUACCAAGUCCCCCACCUGGAGGUCUCGGGACCGAACCCCUCGGGCGUGAUAGCGUCACAGAGACUGCUGAUACCGCGCCGAGUGUAGUAAGGCCACGUCCCGAGCCUCCUCUAGCUGGUCCAAUGAGUCUUCUCGGCUGGCCUGGUUGCCUCGGUCGUCGUACGCCCUCGUCCUCGGGGAACCAUAUUCUAAGUCUGUGGGCAAGAUAGCCUCGGCCCCAUAGACUAGAAAAAACAGCGUGAAGCCCGUGGCUCGGCUUGGCGUCGUCCUCAGACUCCAGACCACCGAGGGGAGUUCCUUCAUCCAUCGCUUGCCGAACUUGUUGAGGUCGUUGUAGAUCCUCGGCUUAAGUCCCUGCAGAAUCAUGCCGUUGGCACGCUCCACCUGCCCAUUCGUCAUGGGGUGAGCUACGGCAGCCCAGUCCACAUGGAUGUGGUGGUCCUCGCGGGAGUCCAGGAACUUCCUGCCACUGAACUGGGUGCCGUUGUCGGUGAUGAUCGAGUUUGGGACCCAUAAGCGAUGGAUGAUGUUGGUGAAGAAUUCCACCGCCUGCUCGGACCUAAUGCUGUUUAGGGGUCGGACUUCAAUCCACUUGGAGAAUUUGUCGAUAGCGACCAGCAGGUGCGUGAAGCCCCCGGGUGCCUUCUGCAAGGGACCGAUGAGGUCCAAACCCCAGACAGCAAACGUCCAGGUGAUGGGUAUUGUUUGCAGGGCCUGAGCGGACAGGUGUGUCUAUCUUGCGUAGAAUUGACACCCCCGGCAGGAGCGUACAAUCCUAGUUGUGUCGGCCACCGCGGUGGGCCAGUAGAAACCAUGUCGGAAAGUGUUUCAACGAGGGCUCGAGGUGCCGCGUGGUGACCGCAAGCCCCCGAGUGUAUUUAUUGCAAUAGCUCCUGACCUUCGGUGAUGGAUAUGCAUCGUUGGAGGAUGCCUGAGGGGCUGCGGUGGUAGAGCUCCCUUUCAUCACCCAGUAAAACGAACGACUUGGCACGCCGCGCCAGUCGCCGAGCUUCGGUUCUGUCGAGGGGUAGCUCUCCUUGGUGGAGAUAUUGCAGGUACGGGGUCUGCCAGUUUCGAUUAGGCGCGACCCCAUUCCGCUCUUCCUCGACGCGCAGUGCCUCACCCUCAGGGGGCGAGGGUGCCUCGGGCUGGGCCGAGGCCUCCUCAGGCUCGGGCGUGUCGUUUGUCUUGACGGAGGGUUGAUGUAGGUCUCGGGAGAAGACGUCCGGGGGAACCGUUGUCCGCCCCGAGGCUAUUUUAGCCAGCUCAUACGCAGUAUCGUUGUACCGUCGGGCGACGUGGUUGAGCUCGAGCCCGUAGAACUUGUCUUCCAGGCGCCGAACCUCGUCGCAGUAGGCCUCCAUCUUCGGGUCACGGUAGUGGGAGUUCUUCAUGACUUGGUCGAUGACAAGCUAUGAGUCGCCACGAGCGUCGAGGCGCCGAACCCCUAGCUCGAUGGCGAUGCGCAACCCAUUAACCAGAGCCUCGUACUCGGCCACAUUGUUUGACGCCGGGAAAUGGAGGCGCAACACGUAGCGUAGGUGCUUUCCGAGGGGUGAGAUGAAGAGCAGGCCCGCACCCGCUCUUGUUUUCAUCAGCGACCCAUCGAAAUACAUGGUCCAGAGUUCCGGUUGGAUCGGAGCUGCUGGAAGCCGGGUGUCGACCCAUUCAGCCACAAAGUCCACCAAGACUUGGGACUUGAUGGCCUUCCGAGGAGCGAACGAGAUUGCCUCGCCCAUGAUCUCCACCGCCCACUUUGCGAUCCUACCCGAGGCCUCUCGGCACUGGAUGAUCUCCCCCAGGGGGAAGGAUAACACCACAGUCACCGGAUGAGACUCGAAGUAGUGCCGCAACUUUCGUCGCGUCAGAAUUACUGCGUACAGUAGCUUCUGAAUUUGCGGGUAGCGGAUCUUGGUCUCGGAUAGCACUUCACUGAUGAAGUAAACUGGCCUCUGGACGAGCAAUGUAUGCCCUUCUUCUCGUCUCUCGACUAUGAUCGCGGCGCUGACCACCUGAGUGGUUGCGGCUACGUAGAUCAAGAGGGCUUCUCCCGUAGCGGGGGGUACCAAGAUGGGUGCGCUUGUAAGGAGCGCCUUUAAGUUCCCGAGGGCUUCCUCGGCCUCGGGGGUCCAAGUGAAGCGCUCGGUCUUCCUUAAGAGGCGGUACAAGGGUAGGCCUCUUUUGCCGAGGCGCGAGAUGAAGCGGCUCAGAGCCGCAAGGCAUCCCAUGACCCUCUACACUCCUUUCAAGUCCUUGAUAGGCCCCAUGUUGGUGAUGGCCGCGAUUUUCUCCGGGUUGGCCUCGAUGCCCCGCUCGGAGACGAUGAACCCCAGGAGCAUGCCUAGGGGGACUCCAAAGACACACUUCUCGGGAUUGAGUUUCACGCCCUUCGCUCUCAGACACUUGAAUGUCGUUUCAAGGUCAGAGAGGAGGUCAGAGGCUUUCCUCGUCUUGACUACGAUGUCAUCGAUGUAAGCCUCGACCGUUCGGCCGAUGUGCUCUCCGAACACGUGGUUCAUGCACCUUUGGUAUGUCGCGCCUGCAUUCCUCAAACCAAAUGGCAUAGUAAUAUAGCAGUACAUGCCAAAAGGUGUGAUGAAAGAAGUCGCGAGCUGAUCGGACUCUUUCAUCCUGAUUUGGUGAUACCCUGAAUAGGCAUCGAGGAAUGACAGGGUUUCGCACCCAGCGGUGGAAUCCACGAUUUGAUCGAUGCGAGGCAGAGGGUAGGGAACCUUUGGACAUGCCUUGUUUAGACCAGUGUAGUCUACACACAUCCUCCAUUUCCCACCUUUCUUUCUCACAAGCACAGGGUUGGCUAGCCAUUCGGGAUGGAAUACCUCUUUGAUGAACCCUGCAGCCAUCAGCUUGUGGAUCUCCUCGCCUAUGGCCCUGCGCUUUUCUUCGUUGAAUCGGCGCAGAGGCUGCUUCAUGGGUCGGGCUUCAGCUCGGAUAUCCAGCGAGUGCUCGGCAACAUCCCUCGAUAUCCCGGGCAUGUCCGAGGGACUCCAUGCAAACACCUCGGCGUUCGCGCGGAGAAAGUCGACGAGCACUGCUUCCUAUUUGGGGUCGAGCUCGGAGCCGAUCUGGACUUGCUUGCAGGCGCCGUUGCUGGGGUCGAGAGGGACGAACUUAACCGCCCCUACUGGCUCGAAGUUGCCGGCGUGGCGCUUCGCGUCUGGCACCUCCUUGGAGAGGCUCUCCAGGUCGGUGAAGGGCCUCAGCGUACUCCACACACUCCACGUCGCAUUUGUAUGCGUGUCGGUAUGUGGAGCCGACGGUGAUGACCCCGUUGGGGCCCGACAUCUUGAACUUGAGGUAGGUGUAGUUGGAGACGACCAUGGACUUGGCGUAGCAUGGUCUCCCCAGUACGGCGCGGUAGGUUCCUCGGAACCCGACUACCUCGAACGUGAGGGUUUCCUUUCGGAAGUUGGAGGGAGUCCCGAAGCAGACGGACAGAUUGAGUUGUCCAAGGGGCUGGACGCGCUUCCCGGGGAUGAUCCCGUGAAAGGGCACCACACCGGCCUGGAUCGUGGACAGAUCGAUCUGCAAGAGCCGAGGGUCUCGGCGUAGAUGAUGUUGAGGCUGCUGCCUCCGUCCAUGAGGACCUUGGUGAGCCUGACGUUGCCGAUGACGGGGUCGACAACAAGCGGGUACUUUCCUGGGCUCGGCACGCGGUCGGGGUGGUCGCCUUGGUCGAAGGUGAUGGGCUUGUCGAACCAGUCUAGGUAGACUGGCGCCGCCACCUUCACCGAGCAGACCUCCCGGCACUCCUGCUUGCGGUGUCGAGUCGAGGCGUUCGCCACCUGCCCACCGUAGAUCAUGAAGCAGUCAUGGACCUCGGGGAACUCUUCUGCCUUGUUGUCUUCCUUCUUGUCAUUGUCGUGGGCUCUGCCACCUUCCGCCGAGAGCCCGGCCUUAUGGAAGUAGCGCCGAAGCAUGACGCACUCCUCAAGGGUGUGCUUGACGGGACCCUGAUGAUAGGGGCACGACUCCUUGAGCAUUUUGUCGAACAGGUUGGCCCCUCUAGGAGGCUUCCGAGGGUUCCUGCGCUCGGUGGUGGCGACAAGAUCUGCGUCGGCGGCGUCGCGUUUCGCUUGCGACUUCUUCUUGGCCUUCUUCUUCAUGCCACGCUGGGCGGGCGCCUCGGGGACGUCCUCCUGUUGGCGUCCCUAAGGCUGCUUGUCCUUCCGGAAGAUGGCCUCGACCGCCUCCUGACCAGAGGCGAACUUGGUGGCGAUGUCCAUCAGCUCGCUCGCCCUGGUGGGAGUCUUGCGACCCAGUUUGCUCACCAGGUCGCGGUAAGUGGUACCGGCGAGGAACACGCCGAUGACAUCUGAGUCGGUGAUGUUGGGCAGCUCGGUGCGCUGCUUCGAAAACCACCGGAUGUAGUCCCGCAAAGAUUCCCCUGGCUGCUGGCGGCAGCUUCGGAGAUCCCAGGAGUUCCCAGGGCACACGUAUGUGCCCUGGAAGGUUCCAGUGAAGGCUUUGACCAGAUCGUCCCAGUUGGAGAUCUGCGCAGGAGGCAGAUGCUCCAGCCAGGCCCGGGCGGCGUCGGAGAGGAACAGGGGGAGGUUGCGGAUGAUGAGGUUGUCAUCGUCCGUUCCACCCAGCUGACAGGCUAGCCGGUAGUCCGCAGCCACAGUUUCGGCCUUGUUUCCCCCGAGUACUUAGUGAUGGUAGUCGGGGCCCGGAACCGGGUCAGGAACGGUGCCCGUCGUAUGGCCCAGCUGAAAGCUUGCGGACCGGGUGGUUCGGGCGAGGGGCUCCGAUCCUCCCUGCUGUCGUAGCGUCCCCCACGCCUGGGGUGGUAGCCUCAGUGCACCCUCUCGUCGAGGUGGGCUCGACGGUUGCGGCGGUGGUGCUUGUUGCCGAGGCGACCCGGGGCUGCAGGCGUUGCGUCCCGCGUGCGCCCGGUGUGGACCGAGGCUUCCCGCAUGAAUCGAGAAGUCGCGGCGCGAUGCUCCGGGGGGUACCCUUGCCGUUGGGAGGCAGAGCUCUCGGCCCGUCGGACCGCGGCAUCCUCCAGGAGAUUCCUGAGUUCUCCCUGGAUACGCCGCCCCUCAGUGGUGGAUGGCUCCGGCAUCGCUCGGAGUAGUAUUGCCGCUGCAGCCAGGUUCUGGCCGACCCCACUGGAAGCCGGGGGCAGCCUUGCCCUGGCAUCGUCGGCGAUGCGGUGCUGGACGUCCUGGGCCUGAUGACGCGCUACUCCGGCAAGCGCUCGGCCUGCUCGCUCCUGCCCGAUGUUUUGCCGGAGCUGCACAAGUUGUCCUGCUUCCUCGUCGAGCUUGGCCUGCAUCUCGCGGAUUUGCUCGAGUUGUGUGUCCUGACCCCCCCGUAGGGACUGGGACCACAGCUAGCUCCCGAAGGAUGUCAACGCAAGGCGUAGGCCUAGAGGGAUCGUCGUCCUCCGGCAUACCAAGGUGGUUGCCUUCGUCGAGACCCCCUAGAUCGACGUGGAAGCAUUCGCGACUUGGGCCACAGCCCUCGUCGUCAAGGCUGUGGCCAUCAUCGGAGCAAUCGGAGAGGCAGUAGUCACAUGCGGUCAUAAAGUCCCGCAUGGCACUAGGAGCACGGAGCCCGGAGAAAUCCCAACCGGAGUCGGGCUCGUCAUCUUCCUCGGAACCCGGGGGCCCGUAGGUCGAGACGACCGUCAGUCGGUCCCAGGUUGACCACAUAUGGUACCCCAGAAGGUUAGGAUAUGCCUUUAUGAAAGCGUCCACCAAAGCGGGGUCGCUUGGUGGGUCGAAGCUAAAUCUAAAAGGCACAGGGUGGAAAACGGACGGUACCUCCCGAUCGAUGGACGAUGACGAAGUCGCGUUGGAGACGUAUUGCACCGUUAUCUCAGGUACGAGGCUAACGCCCAGCAAGUCCUCCGCGAGAGUGCUGGCGUCAUCUGUCCGCUUGGGGUUGGCGUGUUGCGGGGAAACGGCGCUCGUCGUCGUCUUAGGCGCGAGGUCGACGCCAGACGUGUCCCCCGCGGGGGCGCCGGCGCCGUCGGCUCGCUCGACGGCCGACGAGGUGCCGCCUCUUGCUUGGCCACGGUUGCCCUGCCUCCUUCUCCUGCGGCGAGGAAGGUGGCGGGACAGACCCAGAUGUUGCUCUUCCGCCAUGGGGGGAAGACGUCGUCGAGUCCGCCGCCGCCGGGCAGGUUGACAGCCGCCAUUGUCGCUGUCGCGCGGCGGAGGAAGGAGUACCAUGUCGUAGCUGCCGUCGAGGGACAUGAACUCGAGACUCCUGAAACGGAGCAGCGUCCCGGGCUGAAGAGGUUGCUGGAGACUACCCAUCUGGAGCUUGACGGGAAGUUGUUCGUCAACACGCAGCAGGCCCCUACCUGGCGCGCCAACUGCCGGCGUUUCGACCACGGGGGGUCCCUGGACCGACGAGUAAAUUGUCGCUGCGUGUCCCAGCCUAGAUGGGUCGGCGUGAGAUGGAACACAAGGGGGAAAAGGGAAUCGCGACUCGUGUUAUCCUGCGCACAGGGCGGAUGCGCUUGCAGUAGGGGGUUACAAGCGUUCGCGAGAGAGGGGGAGAGCCUGCUCGUCAGCCCGUCCUCCCGCACGGCCACCUUCUCGUACGAGGGCCCUGGACCUUCCUUUUAUAGAUGUAAGGAGAGGGUCCAGGUGUACAAUGGGGGUGUAGCAAUAUGUUAACGUGUCCAGCAGAGAGGAGCCAGAGCCCUAUGUACAUGCCGACGUGGCUGUCGGAGAGGUGCUAGUGCCCUGUGCAUGUGGCGUCGUGGCCGUCGGAGGAGCGCUUGAGCCCUGUAGAAGCACAGCUGUCGGGGCUGAUGGGACCUUGCUGACGUCUCCUUGCUUCCGUAGGGGGCUGAGAACCGCCGUCGUCAUGGGAGCACGCGGGGUGUCAUCAUUACUUGUUUACCGGGGCGAGCCAGAUGGGACGCCGGUCUUGUUCCCCGUAGCCUGAGCUAGCUAGGGGUAGGAUAAUGAUGUACCCCCCUGUGACGUGGUCAGUCCGAGCCCAAGGUCGGGCGAGGUGGUGACUCCUCCGAGGUCGAGGUCGAGGCCGAGCCUUGGGGUCGGGCGAGGCUGGGACCGUCUUCCGAGGUCAAGGUCGAGGCCGAGCCCUAAGGUCGGGCGAGACGGAGUCCAUCUUCCGAGGUCGAGGCGGAGGCCGAGCCCGGGGUCAGGCGAGGCGGAGACUUCUCCCGAGGUCGAGGCGGGGGCCGAGCCCCUAGGUCGGGCGAGGCGGAGAUUUCUGUGGCGCCUGAGGCGGGACUUAGCUGUUGUCAGCCUCACCCUGGCGGGUGGCACAGCAGUCGGAGCGGGGCAGGCGGCGCUGUUUUACUGUCAGGUCAGUUAGUGGAGGGGCGAAGUGACUGCGGUCACUUCGGCCCUGCCAACUGAGGAACACGUGUCAGGAUAAGGUGUCAGGUGAUCCUUGCAUUGAAUGCUCCUACGAUACGAUCGGUUGGCGAGGCGAUCUGGCCAAGGUUGCUUCACUGCGAAGCCUGCCCAGGCUGGGCCUCGGGUGAGUCGAGGGUGUGCCAGUUGCUUGAGGAGGCCCUCGGGCGAGGCGUGAAUCCGCCCUGGUCUACUGUUCCUGCCCGGGGCUGGGCUCGGGCGAGGUGAGAUCGUGUACCUUGAGUGGACGGAGCCUUGACCUGAAUUGCGCCCAUCAGGCCUUUGCAGCUUGUGCUGAUGGUGAUUACCAGCCGAGUUUAGGAGUCUUGGGGGUACCCCUAAUUAUGGUCCCCGACAAAACUGAAUUGAUCAUACCCUCUCAUGCGCUCUGAGGAUCAAGAUCCUUGUCCAGCUUCUCUUGUUAUGUCGUCAGGAAGAAGAUGUUUUGGGCAGUCGCGUAGACGCUCCCCAAAAAUCUAAUUACCGAUCCUCCGUGCAAGGUCUCGAAUGGCAAGGGCUUCGGAGGCACCUGCCCUCUCGCUGCUCUGUGCGCGCAGAGUCACGAGAUGGGAAUACUUUCACUUGCGGCUGGGCUGUGACUCUGAAAUGGUUCUAUUCUCGUGUACCAAGUGCCAGGGGUUCUCCUCUACUUAACCUCUGGGUUCUCCUCUACUUAACCUCUCACAGAGGGAAGCUGAAGGAGAAGGGUUGCAUGCGGCACGCCAAGAGACGGCAGCUGAAGGACAAGGGUCUUGCAUGCAGCUGACGAAGAGACAGACAACUGAAAGGUUUAACCCGGAGUUGAAACUCUCGCGGUUAAUGAGUGCUAAAAAUUAACACAACCACACCACGCCCGCUCUCCGCCUGCCACUCCACGCCACGCCCGGCCCGAGCCCGGCCGGCAGCGCGCGCGUGUGGCACGCCCUUGUAUGUUUUUUGACUUCUCAAAUUAAGUGGAAUAAUUCCCACCAUAUAAGUCAAGCCAACGACCUUUGGACUUCCAAUAUGUUAUUAUUGGUAUUCUCUACUAUUACACACCAUAGAGUUUAUUGAAUAAAUGGGAAAAGACCAUAAAAAAUCCAACAUGACAGCCUUAAGAGCCAAGGGACUGGAAGGAAAAGGAGAGAUAACGACUAAAACAGGAGAAAAGUGCACACGGACAGUGUUCGAGCUUUCCUGCGAGCGAGUGUCCGGGGUGCAGUGGUCGUCGUUCCAAACAGUCACGCAUGAUGCUCUCAGGGCGACUAGCUACAUCCACAUGUACAUAUAUAUGGCUACUGAAAAAUCAAAAGGCGAAGAGAAGAAAAGACGACAAACGGACAGAACAGUCAAAUGAGGAUAUAUGUCUCUGAGAAUCGCUUAGCUGAGCCACUAUAUGUUUUUUGUGAUAAUAUGCUCCACCACCACCACUACUAGCAGCUGGUAAGUCGUGCUGGCGAUUGACUUACGACCCUCGGCAGCUUGCGUGCGCCUCGCCGACGUACGUAUGCAGCAGGUCGUCCGGCGCACAGAACAGUACGUGCGUGCCGACUGCCGAAUUGCCGACCUCACAGUUCACACCGGGGCUGAGACCUGAGAGAGAUGAGAGUCGGCGUAGACUCGACGUCUGUUAGGGUCUAUUCGGUUGCUUCCGAAUGACGCUAUAGAGCUAUUCCCGUUGAUAGUAUUCACACAUUUGUAUAAUUUUAAUAAACCGGAACAGUUUCUGGGUCUAAUCUGAACUAAACGAAUGGACCCUUGUCCGAAUUCAAAUCGUUCGAUUUCCUUCUUUGCAGCGGUGAGGUCUAUUUUUCGGUUUAAGAUUCCCUCUUACUGACAUGAAUAAAAGAGCCAAUAGAUAUUUUCGGCAUAUACUAGAAAUGCAUGCUAGGGUUAUCAACAUAUAAGUUCAUUAUAUACCGGACCAAGAACUAACAUUGGUUUUAGACCCUGAGAUUUGACGCCAUGACCUUGGCACCAAUGCAAGGUUAAACGUCCCGAUGUAAGGUAUCAGGCUACCGGUGGCAUAUAUGUUGUCAUGGCCUCUUGUCAUUGAGCCAUGGCGUGAGAGAGCCAGUUCGCCUUCCACUCAUGAUUUACGAGUAUUAGGUCUGAACCUUACUCAUGAUCUACGGGCCCUAGGUCUAAGCCCCACUCAUAACCUACGGGCUCUAGGUCCAAGUCCUCUUACGUCAUACGAAGCACGCAAGGCGACAAAGGGAAGACACAAGGUUAGGCUACAAAAACCGAGGGUCGACGUAGGCAGAGACAGACAGACGGAGUAAUGAUGACGCUCGGACUCCCGUCGUCGGCACACUUCACCAACGGUCUUGAAGAGGCACGAUGAUAGAAUUAUAUGGGACGGAUAACGACACACGAGGAGACAUUUACCGAGGGAUAACUAUUUUGUUUUGCAACGCAACAAUCACUUCCAAGAGAAGCGAUUCGUAACCGAUCCCCCAGUCUAUCAAAGGAGGAGGGUCGACCCGACGAGAAUGGGAGACCAACCCGAGAACCAACACUCGAUACGUAGAUCCUCUAGUAGAGCAACCCUUAAAGACCCAAAAUCUUUUCCUCUUUCGCCCGCGUGUAACCCUACUACGAGCAAUCAAGUGCUGGUAGCGCAUGCCACCAAGGACUGAAAGUAGAGACGUUCAACCUUAACCUAUCCAGAUCCAAACGCUCAUACACAAAUUUACUCAUUGGUGCUAGUUCGAAACACCAACACUAACCAUAUUUUAGGGUAGAUUAAAAUCAUUCGAGUGCUAAAACGUACAAAACGCCCUAGCACUACUUAGGAGGUGUUAGUCAGAUGAUAUUUUUUAAUAUUAAUUAUAGGUAUUAAACAUAGUCUAAUUAUAAAACUAAUUACAAAGAAAAAGACUAAACAAUAAGAUGUUUACUAUAACAUCGCAUAGUGAAUCAUGGACUAAUUAUUUUUAGUAGGUUCGUCUUGUCAUUUUACUCUCAUCUAUGUAAUUAAUUUUAUAAUUGGACCAUUAUUUAGGUUAUAUUUGAAUGCACUAGAGCUAAUAGUUAGUUGAUAAAAUAGUUAAAGACGUACAAUCAAUAUAACUAAUAGUUUAACUAUUAGCUACUUUUAGUUCGAGACAUCCAAAUUAAACCUAACUAAUAGUCUAGCUUAGCUACACUCUCCUACUCAUUAGUUAUAACGGUCUCAACCCAGCUAAAAUUAACUAAUAAUUAGCCAGCUAUUUGUUAGUUAGCUAAUCCUACUGGCAACUUUUCAGUUAGGUAACUAUUAGCUUUAAUACAUUCAAACGAGACCUUAAUAGUUCUGACUAGCAUCAACCACCCGAUGUAAUAAAAACUAAACUUUAGUCAGCAAACUAAGCAUGUCGCUGUCUUUCUGAAAGUUGGAAUAUAGAAAUUGUAUAGGAAUUUCACAAUAGAACUCAGGAAAAAUAUUUUGUUAAAAAAAUCUCUAAGAAUUUAUUCGAUUUGAAGUGAAUUGAGAGGAAUUAAAUUCUCUCAUAGAUAAUUUUAUAUAGAAGGUGAUUUAAUACCUUUAGAGCUCGUUUGGUUGACACGGAACGGAAGACCGAAAAUGUUCUUGUCCAGAUUGUUUCUUUAAUUUAUAUAAGUUUUGAUUAUCAGGAACAAUUUUUGGUCUAUUCCUGCAGAAAGGAACGGGCCCUUCAACAAAUCUAUACUACCUAUUAAGGCUCUAAGGGGUAGACUGCCUCCCCUGGUUCUGCCUUCAGCCAAUCUGCACCGUCCACUCGCUUCCGUAAAUCUACACCGUCCGCCCGCCCACCCCACGUUCGUCCCCCCGCCUCCCACUCCCCCACCCCACGUGAGCCGCCGCCGCCCUGCCUCCCCCUCCAGUCCGCCGCUCUCCAUCGUUCACCUCCACUCCAUUCCGAGGAUCUCAUCAGCACGCUCUCCGGCGCGGCGGCGGCCCUUCCUCCGAGACCAGGAGCUCGCCGCCGGAGUCAUCCCCUUCCCCAAUCCCCGCGUCACGUCUCCCAUCAAUGUCGCACCUUCACCGUGCCCCGCCCGCAUCUGCCCGUGUCGCCAGAGCCCCCUCCCCCACCCCCAUGGCGCUCGCCGCGACAGGCGCCCCCCGUGCAGACAUCGUGAGCGGGUCGCCCAACAAAGCCCUGUCGCCCUCACCCGCCUCGAACCCUAAAACUCCUCAACCGCCAAUGCUGUCGUGCUCUACUUCCGGCGAGACGGCCUGCCUCGGCACCCCCGCCCCUCCUCCCCGGAUCCGGUGCCCCUGUUCGUCGUACGGUCUCCACCCCCGACAGGCACCAGGCGUUGCUCCACCCCGCCCCAACCCUAAAACUCCUCCCAGCCGCCGCCCCAACCCUAAAACUCCUCCCAGCCAACGCCUCACGCACGAGGGAGAAGACUGGAUCCGCAGCACGAUGGCGAUGGGUGAUAGGUUGCGUGCCAUUGAUCUGUACGAGAUCCUCCUCUUCGCGACACGGCUGGCUCGUAGGGCGACGACAUCCUCAAUCUAUCGCGUGGCCAGGUUACUGAUUUUAUAGACAUGCAAAUACUUGAACAUAAUUGAUCAGAAGUAAAUGCUUAAAGUAAAGUAAGGAUAAAAAUGUUUCAAUAUUUUCCCAAGAUAUCAAAGAGUCAAACUAACCAAAACCAAUUGCACAAAAUAUGAAAAUUAAGCUCUCUACUUCUAUAGCAUUGCUCGGGAAUUUGCAGUGGUUUAAGCUUUCUACUUCUGAAAAUUAAGCUCUCUACUUCUGAAAAUUAAUGCUUCCUACCAUAUGGAGUGGUUUGUUUGGUUAAAGGUUUACAUAAUGCCACCAAUGGGAAGCUACUGAAAUGUUUUUUGGCAGAGAGCUUAGAUGAUGAUUUGAUAUGUUCAUGUGUAAGCAGAGGCGGAAACCUCAUUGGAGUUGUAGAUGGUUAAGUUUGGAAUUAAUAUUCUUUAUGGUACCAGGAAAUUUUUGGCGAGUGAAAUCUUGACCAGAGUCAUCGGAUAGGACGGGGAUGAUUAGGUUGGUUGAGCAUGAGCUGGUGAAAGUCGGUACCAUUUGUAUAGUGUGAUGAAAUCUUUGUAGACAUUUUGCUUGUGUAAUAAUAAUACUUGUUCGCACAGCGAAGGACAAACAAAUGUAUGCUGACUUGUGACGUCCUGUUCAUUGCAAUUUCAGUGUAGGAUGAGAAGAAACCUGAAGAUGCACCACAGUCUGAGGUUGAGAAGGACAAGGAGGGCGCGGAGAAUGAAGAAGAAGAAAAGGAACCUGAGGAUAAGGUAUAUUUCUGGUUUGUACUAAGAUGAUCUUGCUACCAUAUUCCGCGUUGCAAUGUGUAUGGUUGUAGUAUGCCUAGCACAUUAUGUAAGGGUGAUGGUAGCACCCUUUAACUUGCCUAGCAAGUCUUGUGAUUUUGGGUACUGUGACACUUACAAUGUUCUUAACAUUUGUUUAUAUAUAUGGAAAAAUGUGUAGUAGACUGGUGGAAAUAUUUUGUGAUUCUUUUAGUUUCAUUCAUGUCAAUCCUUGCUCGGUAGUAUAGUUAUUUAUUCUAGAACCUUUUGCUUUAAAAUCAGUGCUGUUGUGCCACAGUGCCAACAUGGGGCGCUUCUUGGUGAUUGCAUUAUUUUUGUAUUUAGAGUCUCUUCUGCUUUUCGAUCCAUUACUUUUUGCUCUUCUCUGCCGAAUGCAAUGGCCAUAUAUUAGAGUGUAUGCUUUCACGUCAGUUUUCCAGUUAUGCGAGAUUCAUGUUGUAUCUCAGAUAUUGUACUAGCACCUAACUUUGACUAUGGUGAGCCAUUGAUUCGCUGUUUUCAAUGUUUCUAGAUAUGACCAACUGUAGCACACACAAAAGAAAUGGAUUGUUGAUAUUCAUUUUCACUCAUACCAGUUCAUGAUUUGAUGCAUCAGAUGUGAUGUGAUGCCACUUAAUAUUGAAUGAAUUGUUUUUGUUGCACAGUUGAUAUAUCUAGAGAAAAAAUGAUGCUUUGAUCAAUCCAGAACCUGCAUACUUGCUGGAAUUAAGUUGGGAUGUUUUUUUGGCAUCAAAAUAAAGUAGUCUAUGGAAUGAUGUUUGCUCCGACCAUGAGCAGGAGAUGACUCUGGAGGAAUAUGAAAAGGUACUGGAGGAAAAACGAAAAGCUUUACUCUCCCUUAAGGCUGAGUAGAGAAAAGUUGAAAUUGACAAGGAGUACAGGCCAUGCAACAACUGCCAGUUAAAAAGGAUGGCGAUGAAGUGUUUAUCAAGCUGGUACGCUACGUGUGUGCAUACUGCUCUUUCCUCUCUUUUUUACCCCUGUUGGUCAAAGCCGGUUUUGAACGAUUGUAGGGCUCUGACAAGGACUUGAAAAAGAAAGAAAGUGCUGAAAGAGAAGAACGGGGCAAGAAGGUAUAUAUCUGAUAUUUUUCACCUGCUUCAGUCUGAUAUAAUCAGAGUCACUGUUGUUUCCCUGACCGUCAUGUCUGUUUUAUGUUUUCCUUCCUCUCUCAAGUCCCUGUGCAUUUUGCAGAAGAUACUUCUAGGUUUGAUACUAUAAAUUAAAUGACUACGCAUAAUAUGAAAAAACAGAAGUUCUUUAAACUAUCUUCCCAAUAAUGGAGUAUACGCUAGGUUGUUCACUGUCUGUUGUGGCUGCCAGUUACUCCCUCUGUUUGUAAGCCAGUUUAAUUUUGGUACGUUGUCUAAAUAACCAUGCUUUAUAUUCCUAGGUACACAAGUGGUCUUUUUGUGGAUUCUAUUGUUGAUUGAGUUGCAACAUCAGUUGUAGGCUUGCCUCGGAUCUGUUACUACUCAAAGGAGAAAUUGGUGAGCCUUAUGAUUAGCUCUUCUUAAUUUAUUCUAUAUCGAUGUGUUCUCUCUAAAUUUUCGAAAUUAGUAAUUUGAAGGCGUGUUGCCAUGGAUGUAAUUUUUAGUUCUUUUGUCUAUCAGAUAUCUAGAGUGGUUCUGCUUAUUCAAUAGCAGCGCAUAGUACCUUUAAAUAUUGUUGUUCAUUUUUUAGUAAAAAGGAUGGGAAAGUUGAGAUUAAUGAUGUCUGAUUUGCACAUCCUUCUCGCACUUCUCAUAUGAUAGUACUAUGCAUAUGACAUGUCUAUUUACCAAAUUUGACAUUUUCGUUAUAUAUCUCUAUCUCUACUACUUAUUAAGGCUGCAAGGGUAGUCUGCCUCCUUUUGGUUCUGCCUUCCGAUAAUCUCUACUGUCCGUGUUUGCUGCCCACCUCCGCGUGCACCUCGCACCCUCUGAGCGUCCACCGCGCGAACAACCCUACCUGUUGUCUCUCGUUACUCCCUUUGCAGCCCCCGCAGCACCGCCUCCCCACGCGCGAGUCGUAGCCGCUCCUCCAUCCGCCGCGCGUGGGUCGUAGCCCCCUAAGGGUUCGUUCGCAACCAGACGCCGCUGCCACCACCUCCAGGUUCGUCAGCCGGAUGGCGACCCUUGCUGAUGGCUCCCUAAGGCGUUCAGGAAUCCAUGCGGCUUGGCUCGGCGGCGACCAAGCCUGAUGGUCAGCCGAAGCGUGGGGUUCUCAACCUGCAUUGCCUAAUGCUGUCAUGCUGAGGUGCAUGGGGAUUUGGGACCAUGGUGAGCAGAGGUGAAUUUCCCUCCAAUCGCUUAGUUCUGUGCAACUCUUUGGUUAUUAAGAAUUGGGGAACUUGUUUUGGACGUGGGGGAUGACUUUGCAGCGGCACUCAAGGCCCUUCCUUUUUCUCAAAUCUCAACUCAUUUCCUCCUCUUCUAGCUUAUCAUCUGGGAGGCGAAGGGGUGACUUGUCGAAGAGCAUUUUAUGUCAAAGAUGCCCUGCUUUACUCACAGAGAUAGAAAUUAUUGAAGACAGAGAUAGACCACCAUACAACCACCUUCGAUGGACGCGGGGGAUAACUUUGCUUGACAAUGGCUUAGGUUUAUACCAAAUAGGCAUCUUGGGUUCUUUCUUGGUUUUGCUGAAAACAAGGUGUGUAAUUACUUUAAAUGCCAAGUGCUGGUUCAAUAGUUGAACGAGAACACUAUUGCCUUGGCUUAAACAUAUUAAUUUAACAUGAAUUACCAUAUGAAUACCCUAAAAAUUUUAGUUUAAAUUACAUUACUUGAGUUGUUUGUAGUAUUUAUGCAGAUUAUAUUAUUACAACAUGAGGGCAGGAUUAAGGUCCUUUCAAUGAAUUGCAGGCCCAACUCUUAUUGGUAUUCAUCCAUAUGAAGGCUUAAAGUUCUAAUUAUAUGUGUUUAGUUACUUUAAAUGCAAGUGUUGGUUCAAUAGUUGAACAUAAACACUAUUGCCUGGGUUUAACAUAUUAAUUUAACAUGAGUUACCAUAUGAAUAUCCUGAAAAUUUUAGUUUAAAUUACAUUACUUAGAUGUUUGUAGUAUUUAUUUAGAUUAUAUUAUUACAACAUGAUGGUAGGAUUAAAGAUCCUUUAAAUGAAUUGCAGGCCCAACUCUUAUUGGUAUUCUUCCAUAUGCUGGCUUAAAGUUCUACAUAUAUGAAGAUCUGAAAUCUUAAGUUCCAUAGGAUUAACAAGGAUUCUGUUAUAUUGAAGCUCUCUUGCGGAGCUUUAGCCGCUGGUCUAUUUGGACAAACCCUCACUUAUCCAGUAGAUGUUGGUCGGAGACAAAUGCAUGUGCAAUUCUUGUAUUCCAUGCACUGAUAAUCUAUUAAAUUUUAUUUUGACUAUGAUUCCUGUUUGUUCACCACUCAUAAGACUUUGUCCCUUCAGGUUCAAAGCAAGCAGUCUCAAAAUCAAGUGAUGGCUUCCGUAUAAGAGGGACUUUUCAGGGUCUCUUGCUCAUCAUUUAGCAUGCUUGUUAUAUUUUGAGUCGAAACACGUGAUCUCCAAGAACCAGGUCUGUCUCUACCUUACCUGCAUUUAGCAUGCUUGUUAUAUUUUGACAGAAAUAAUGGACGAAUCAGUGCUAAAAAGAAUAAAGGGCUACAUUUACAAGGUAGUGAAUGUUUGCCAUCACCAUAAUUGUUUCUUUAUAUUCUUGUUCCCUUUCAGUUUGUUCACUGUCAGAUUCGAUUAUUUGCUUUAGUUUAUUCUGUUGUUGUUUUCAUAAUCGGAUUUUUUCUGUUUCUGUCAGUAGGCAUGAUUUAGUCCUUAGUCUCUGUAAGUUAGCGAGGCUAGCUUAACUGUUGCUUGAUUUUACUGCCUUACUGAUUUAGUCAUCAGAUGUUUGAAUACUGACCUUCAAGGGGAAUGCUCCAAACCUUGUAAGUACUCUUUAUGACAAUAUAUCCCUGCUUCCUCUAAUUUUCUUUCCAAAACUCAGUGCUCAAUCUGUGUGUAUUUAUUUGAACACACAAUUGAGCAAACCACUUAUGUUUAAUGCUCAUUCAGAUAUAAGAAGUGUUUGUUAUCCUUUUUUUGCAAGUAAUACAAGUGAAAGAAUAAUGUUACCACACUUGGUUCGAUGUUUGACAAUACUAGGAUGCAAAUUUUGGCAAUCCAGUAUCCGGACCAUAAAUUGUAAGUAACAACUGGUGUUAAUCGGAUUGACCUCUCCACAUUCACAUUACAUGCCCCAAGUGUGGUAACAUGCUGCAUAACUGUUGAGAUCAUUAGCAUUUUAGAUGUUGAAUUCCUUGCUUGCAAGGAGUGUCAUGAAUACUGAGACUGUUCUCGCACAUGCUGAAUCGUAUCACAUUCCUAUUCCACUGUCUAUUUCAACCCUUGUAUUUUUGUUUCCUGGCAGUGUUGUUGUCAUAGUAAUAGUGUAAAUAUCUCUUGCUUUGUGUAUCAGUGUAAAUAUCUCCCGCUAACAAAUCCUGAAUGCAACACACAUUUAGGCCAAAAUUCUUAAACUGCUUCAGACCAAAAAUCAGCCCUGGGGAGAAAUAAUCGGAGGAUUUGUGAUGAGGUGCCUUACCGAUCCGUUCCCGUAAAAAAACAUUAGUCAUGAGUGCAACCAAAGCUAUAUAUAUGUCUGGUCUGGUGUGAUCUUUUGCUCACUAUCCAAACAAUCCUAAUAAAUUAUUACAUUCUUGAAUUCAUCACUCAUAUAUAACACUAACCUGGCAUCUGCCAUUCCAGUAUCAUCAUCAUCAUCUAAUAACAAUAUGCCGAGUUAUAGUCAAAACAGUUAGCUACAAUUAUUUAUGGCAUUUUGCAGCCAGUGGUUGCCGGCUAAUCCGGCCGGUCACAAACAACCAAGUAGAGUUGCCUCGUACUUCAUCUCGCCUGGCUAUUUUUAGUAGCAUGGUACUGACCGCUGAAGCAGGCAGAUCUGGAUCUGUCCUGGCUGGCCGCUAAAGAAAGGUUGUUUACAAGGCAGCAGAGGCGAUGGCUCUUUGUCUUUGUGCAAUGGUGACUGGUGCGAGGUGUCUGGUUUGGUUGCGCACAAGAACCACACCAACAGAAGUUGCCUGCACUGCAUGCACACCAUGACACCAAUGGCCUCUCAUGACUUUUUGAUGGACCCUCCAUUGUCUCUGCAAGGAAGUUGGAGUGCGACCUGGGCCUUUUGUCUAGAUGCAAGAAGGGCUCGUGAUAGCUCAUUUCGUUCUAGGCUUUGGCUCAUGGCGCCUGCUAUUCCAAGGAUGCCAUACAUGGACCGCUAGCUAGAUUUGAGGUUAAAGAACUCUGGUGUUGUUCUAGCCUGUAGACAUCAUCGCUGAUCAAAGAUCUUACAGUUUGUUUCGGAGUGAAGUUGUGAGUAAAAAGUGGCGCAAUAUAUAAAAUGCCCUGUUGAUUGGGGGUGACCAAUUCAUGCCAAUGCUAAUGGAGAGUUGGAGACUAAUAUCCAACAUCUCCUCUUACAGAUAACUUUGAGACAAAUGGAAGCUAACCGACAAAUCGACUAAGUAAAGUAAUUAUUAUGCCCUUCUGAUCCACAGUGGUGUUCUGAAAUUUAUUUUCUGCAAGCACCACCAGCAUGCAGACUCUUGCUUGAAGCAGAUCAGCCUGGGUCUGCACUAUGCAGAAUCAAAGCCAGACUUCUCGCCGAUUGGCUCUGCUCUGCUAUAUAGUGGAGUAACUGUGGUCAAAAUGAGGCCAUGACCCAAUCUUUCGCGCCAUAAAGAAAAGAGACGCCUUGCUUGACCUAUGGGUUGCCAGCGUCGAGAGUUCCACCCAAUAGGAUAGAUAGGAUGGGGAAGAAGUCGUGGUCCCAUCCAUCCGAUUGGCGCCCAUAAAAAGAGGUGCUUGUGCUUGGAGAUUUCCAUCGCACCUGCUUCUCGGGGACCCGUAACCAUCGAGCAUCACAAGAACUGUAACAAAAUCCAUAUGGAUUGGAGAAGAUUGGGUGGUUUUCAAUCCAUAGCAAGUUAAAAUUCUUCAUAAUUUUUUUUCCAAUUCCUUCCAAUUCAUAAGACAUAGAAAUAUGGUAGGGUUGUUCGCUUCUGAUUUCAUUGUGUUUUUUCUUCAGGAGUUUGGGGAUCAAGGAGAGGACUCCAUUAUCUUGUCACCGUGGCUGAAGGAGAUUAGUACUCCUGACCGCCCCGCUGCCCUCCGUUUCCUAGGUACACGCAACUGUCAUACACAUGCUUUGCUUAAGCAUUUGAAGCAUUUUGAUUCCUAUUAUUAUCUGUUGUAUUUUGUCAUUUGUUCGUGUGUAGGGGAGAAGUAUAAUAACCUCAUGGAGAGGUACAAGAAGCAGGUAGUCAAGUGUUCCGAGGAGUGUGAACCAAGAUAUAAUGGCCUGAAGAAGAAGUACACAGACGAGUGUGCAGAGAGGCGGCGUCUGUACAAUGAGCUUAUUGAGCUAAGAGGUAACAUUAGGGUGUUCUGCAGAUGCAGACCUCUGAGCUCUGAUGAGGUCAACCAUGGGUGUUUAUCUGUUGUUGAGAUUGACCCAUCACACGAGACUGAGCUGCAGUUUGUCCCCAGUGAAAAAGAAAGGAAGCCCUUUAAGUUCGAUCACGUUUCUGGGCCAGAGGAUGACCAAGGUAUAUUUGACUGAAACUGAAUGGUUCUUAAAAAUGUCAUUCCGGUUAAUAUAGUUUGCCUUAUGUCAAUUUUCUGUUUGUUUUGUCAUGGGUUCUGUUUUCCUAAUUUUGAGUAUGGGAAGGUGUUCAAUUUGCUAUUGGAACACUGGCAACUUCUGUGAACUGCAAAACAGUAUCUCAAAGGUUCUUAAUUUAGUUGUUAUAAUUCUUGUUGUGUAUUAGAAGGGAGCUUAGACUAGAAGGUCCUUUUACAUGUAUAUGUUUUCUUUGUUCUUACCAGAAUUUGUGUCCUGUUCUCGUUGUGUCACCAGGUUCUCGUGGUGAGGGUGGUAUCCUUAGAAAUAGUGAAGGUAUGUAUUCUUGCUAGGUGCCUGUUUUUUUUCUUCCUCUGUUUGGAACUUAUCUUUUGAUCUGAUUACUACAGGGCCAUUGAAGGACCACAUUUAUUUGCAUCAAAACCAUCUGCCGCCUGAGGUACUCAAAGAAAGGCUCCCUGGUAUUUCUGAAACUGCUGCUAUUUUUGCUGGUGUUGACGUCACCAAGGAGCCCAUUCCAGUUUUGCCUACUGUGCACUACAAUAUGGGUGGUAUCCCAACGAACUACCAUAAGGAGGUUUGUAUUGAGCAUGUAGUAAACAAAUAUGGGUCAAAACCUAUGUAUUGUAAUAGAAAUAUAUUCUGCUAUUCUGCAUAACAGGUAGUGGAUAUCAAGGGUGAUAAUCCAGAUGCUGUUAUCCCUGGUCUAAUGGCUGCUGGUGAAGCAGCCUGUGCAGCACCGCGUUGGUGGAUGAUUGAUCGUCCAGUUGUAUGUGACUAAAACGCCAUGCCUUGUGCAUUAGAGAAGAUACAGAAUCGUCAUGUCCUGUACAGGACAGUGAGCCAAAUUCUUGUUCAUUUUGCACUAUGAUACAGAUUGAUUCAUUAGGCCCUAGGUUGGAGGUUGUGACUGAUGAGUUGGGAAGAGAUUACUUGAUUGGUGGUGUACAAUUCUUGGAUAGGAUACAGGUUUCAGUUUUUGGUCCAUUAGUUCAGGAAUUGUUUCAUUUACAUGUAUAUUCAGUACACUCGUAUAAUGGAAACACGCAAAUCUCUAUCUCAUUCUUUGGUCAUCGUGUUAUUAUACGGUUUCGUUGCAACGCACGAGCACUCACCUAGUAAGCUUUGAAGGGACAAAAAUAGAUUUUUGUGUAGCGUGGAACAAGUGAAUAGGGUUGGGCAUUCGGUCUAUUAGGGUAAUUCGGUUCGGUCUAUUCGGGUUUGUGAAAUUUCGGGUUCUGAAAAAUGAGAACCGAAAUUUCCAAAAAUAUUUUAGGAACCGAACCCGAAUAGACUCACAAUUUCGGUUCGGUCUAUUCGGUCCACCGAAUAGACCCGAAUUGUAGAGAGACUAGUAUAUUUUGUUAAAAUAUAUACAAUGAAUAAUUAAUUGAAAGUACUAUUACUACAACAAGUGACUAUAAAAAUUAGCAUACAAAGAUAUAUAUACUAUUGUUAAGAUGAUAUCAUUAUUUCUAGCUAAUAAGUUCAUAAAUCAUAUAAUAAUACCAUCACAUAUUAAGAGUUUUUUUAUAUUUCGGGUUAUUAGGUCUAUUCGGGUUUUAAAGGUUAGGAACCGAACCCGAACCCAUAACUCGAAAUAUAGCACAUAUAGGAACCGAACCCGAACCCGAAAACCCGAAUAGACUCACAAUUCGGUCUAUUCGGGUUCGGUUCGGGUUCGGGUUCGGUUUUCGGUUUUAAAAUGCCCACCCCUACAAGUGAAGGUUCCCAUCUCGUUCCAACGAGGAAUCGGCCACCACUCUGCGAUCCACUACCACCAUAUAACGCACGUCGCGACGGCGGACUUCAGUGCUGCUAUCAGCGCGGCGCAGGUCGCGUAGCUGCGGGAGUCGCUCUUCCCGCGGGAGCGGGAGCUGAAGUAAGCAAGGAGGCAAGGAGCAACGCCGCCUUCUCAGUUUCUCACUCGCGUCCCUCUCCUGUUCCUCAGCUUCGUCCAGAACUUGCCUUCCUCCGCCGCCCUUUAUUCCAGGCUUCCUGAGAAGAAGAGCUUUUCAAUUGAUUAUUUCAGGUGAAUUCUCGCCAAAUCCCGUUCAUCUGGUCACUAUCUGCUUGCGUCGUGUCUAGGGUAUGUAUUGUUUGAUAUCCUCCUUCUCGAACAAUUAUGUUUUACGAAUGUUCGCGUCAGCUCAGUUUUUGUUACUUCCGCAGUUCCCUUCUCGGGCAGAUUCGAUUCUGUUCUGAGAGGAAAUAGUUUGUGUCUUCGUCAGUUUUUAAACAUCAACUAGCUGAAUGUCUGUGCGUUGCAACGGGAAUAUAUAAUACCGGUAUAUUACGAUAACUUAUAUACAAAAUGUGUGUUAUACCGUUAUGAAAAAAUGUUUUUCAUAAUCAAUUUGUGAUUCUGGCCAUAUAUAAAUUUUGUUAUUUAUAGUCUAUCUGUUUCACUACUAUAUUACAACCAUCAGUAUCAUGCAGACUUCGAUAUAUGUCACGAUUUAAAUGGUCUCAUCAUUAGAGAGCGCGUUCCACACAUACCGGAAGAAAUUCCCCCGUACGUCGUUAGUCAUCAGACACGUACCACCAUACGCUUUUGCUUAAACAAAAAAGCAAUUGUGUGUUUGCGAAGAGAAUUAAAGACAAGCCGGAAUAAAAACUACCCCAACGGUGACGAGGAUAGCGAACUGGUCAUUGUUGUCGGUCCUCCUCUGCGUCACCUCUAGCGCCAAGAUGACGCCACAGUUCUCGAUAUAGUAGUCGUCGAAAGCGCACGACAUACAGAGUACUGAUGACUCUUGGCUGGGAUGUAAAACGAAGUGCACCCCGGGCUUAUCAGCAAAGUAGUUGAAAGUCGCCUAGAGGGGGGGUGAAUAGGGCGAAACUAAAAUUUACAAAUAUAAACACAACUACAAGCCGGGUUAGCGUUAGAAAUAUAAUAGAGUCCGCGAGAGAUGGUGCAAAACAAAUCGCAAGCGAAUAAUGAAGUGAGACACGCGGAUUUGUUUUACCGAGAUUCGGUUCUUUCAAACCUACUCCCCGUUGAGGAGGCCACAAAGGCCGGGUCUCUUUCAACCCUUACCCUCUCUCAAACGGUCCCUCGGACUGAGUGAGCUUUCUCUUCUCAAUCACUUGGAACACAAAGUUCCUACAAGGACCACCACAAGAUUGGUGUCUCUUGCCUCAAUUACAAGUGACUUUGAUCGCAAGAAAGAAUCAAGAAGGAAGAAAGCAAUCCAAGCGCAAGAGCUCGAAAGAACACAAGCAAAUCUCUCUCACUAGUCACUAGGGCGUUGUGUGGAGUGUGGAGAGGAUUUGAUCACUUUGGUAUGUCUAGAAUUGAAUGCUAGAGCUCUUGUAAGUAGUUGAGAAGUGGAAAACUUGGAUGACUUGAAUGUGGGGUGGUUGGGGGUAUUUAUAGCCCCAACCACCAAACUAGCCGUUUGGUGGAGGCUGUCUGUCGUAUGGUGCACCGGACAGUCCGGUGCGACAGCCACGUCACCAAAGCCGUUGGGUUCCGACCGUUGGAGCUCUGACUUCUGGGCCCGCCUAGAUGUCCGGUGGCGCACCGGACAUGUACUGUAGGGUGUCCGAUGCACCAGCAUGGGCGUGCCUGACCUCUGUGUGCGCUGGCGCGCAUUAAAUGCGCCGCAGGUAGCCGUUGGCGCCAAAAGUAGCCGUUGCCCCGCUGUUACACCGGACAGUCCGGUGAAUUAUAGCGGAGCAGCUGAAAUGAAUUCCCGAGGCUGGCGAGUUCUGGAGGCCGCUCUUCCUUGGAGCACCGGACAUGUCCGGUGUACACCGGACAGUCCGGUGAAUUAUAGCGGAGUUGCCUCUGGAAUUUCCCGAAGGUGACGAGUUUGAGUUGGAGUCCUCUGGUGCACCGGACAUGUCCGGUGGUGCACCGGACAUGUCCGGUGCGCCAGACCAGAGGUGCCUUCGGUUGUCUCUUUGCUCUUUUGUUGAACCCAAUACUUGGUCUUUUUAUUGGCUAAGUGUGAACCUUUGGCACCUGUAUAGCUUAUACAUUAGAGCAAACUAGUUAGUCCAAAUAUUUGUGUUGGGCAAUUCAACCACCAAAAUUAAUUAGGGAUUAGGUGUAAGCCUAAUUCCCUUUCAAUCUCCCCCUUUUUGGUGAUUGAUGUCAACACAAACCAAAGCAAAUAUAAAAGUGCAUAAUUGAACUAGCUUGCAUAAUGUAAGUGCAAAGGUUGCUUGGAAUUGAGCCAAUAAAUGUUACUUACUAGAUGUGCAUGGAUUGUUUUUUUAUUUUUAAUAUUUUGGACCACGCUUGCACCACAUGUUUUGUUUUUGCAAAUUCUUUUUUUUGUAAAUCCUUUUCAAAGACUUUUGCAAAUAGUCAAAGGUAAAUAAAUAGGAUUUUGAGAAGCAUUUUUAAGAAAUUUUUUCUUUUUGUUUCAAAUGCUUUUCCUUUUGACUAAACAAAACUCCCCCUCAAAUAAAUUCUCCUCUUAGUGUUCAACAGAGUUUUAAGAUAUCAAGUUUUGAAAGUACUACUUGCUCCCCCUUUAAAACACAAAGAGAUACCAAUUUGAAAUUUACAAAUUGAAAAUCAUUAAUUUUAAAAUUAGGGUAGUGGUGCGGUCCUUUUGCUUUGGGCUCAUAUUUUCUCCCCCUUUGGCAUGAAUCGCCAAAAACGGAUACUUGGAAUGAAAUAUAGGCCUUCUCUAACCACUAUCUCCCUUUUGGCAAGGAAAACAUAUGAGUGAAGAUUAUACCAAAGACGGAGAGUGAAGCGGAGCGCCGGCGAAGGAUGAGUAGUAAAGUGGAGUGGAAGCCUUUGUCUUCGCCGAAGACUCCAAUUCCCUUUCAAUAUACCUAUGACUUGGUGAAAUACACUUGAAAACACAUUAGUCAUAGCAUAUAUAAAAGAGACAUGAUCAAAGGUAUAUUUAUAAGCUAUGUGUGCAAAUUAGCAAAAGAAGUUCCUGGAAUCAAGAAUAUUGAGCUCAUGCCUAAGUUUGGUAAAAGAUAGUUCAUCAAGUGGCUUGGUAAAGAUAUUGUCGGGGACCAUAAUUAGGGGUACCCUCAAGACGCCUAAUUCUCAGCUGGUAACCCCCAUCAGCAUAAAGCCGCAAAGGCCUGAUGGGUGUGAUUAAGUCAGGGAUCAGUCCAUACGAGCGACUCGAUCAUGCCUCGCCCGAGCCUAGCCUCGGGCAAGGGCAGCCGACCCCGAGGGGUUUCCGUCUCGCCCGAGGCCCCCCCUUUUAACGGCGGACACAUCUCCGGCUCGCCCGAGGCCUUGCCUUCGCUAAGAAGCAACCCUGACUAAAUCGCCGCGCCGACCGACCGAGUCGCAGGAGCAUUUAACGCAAAGGUGGCCUGACACCUUUAUCCUGACACGCGCCCUCCGGCAGAGCCGAAGUGACCGCCGUCACUUCGCCGCUCCACUGAUCGGUCUGACAGGAGGACAGCGUCGCCUGCGCCACUCCGACUGCAGUGCCACUUGACAGAGUGAGACUGACAGGCAGUCAGGCCUUGCCAAAGGCGCCAUAGGAAACUCCGCUCCGCCCGACCCAGGGCUCGGACUCGGGCUAAGCCCCGGAAGACGGCGAACUCCACUCCGCCCGACCCAGGGCUCGGACUCGGGCUAAGGCCCCGGAAGACGGCGAACUCCGCUCCGCCCGACCCAGGGCUCGGACUCGGGCUAAGGCCCCGGAAGACGGCGAACUCCGCUCCGCCCGACCCAGGGCUCGGACUCAGGCUAAGGCCCCGGAAGACGGCGAACUCCGCUCCGCCCGACCCAGGGCUCGGACUCGGGCUAAGGCCCCGGAAGACGGUGAACUCCGCUCCGCCCGACCCAGGGCUCGGACUCGGGCUAAGGCCCCGGAAGACGGCGAAUUCCGCUCUGCCCGACCCAGGGCUCGGACUCGGGCUCAGCCCCAGAAGACGACGAACUCCGCUUCGCCCGACCCCAGGGCUCGGACUCCGCCCUGGCCUCUGCCGAACAACCUCCGCCUCGCCCGACCCAGGAGCUCAGGCUCGGCCUCGGCCAUGGAAGACAGACUCGACCCCGGCUUCGGAGGAGCCUCCACGUCGCCCGACCUAGGGCACAGGCCCGCCACGUCAACAGUAAGCGCCAUCAUCACCCUACCCCGAGCCGACUCGGGCCACAGAGAACAAGACCGGUGUCCCAUCUGGCUAGCUCCGCCAGAUAGGCAAUGAUGGCGCCCCGCUAGCCCAGUGACGAUGGCGGCUCUCAGCUCCCUUACGGAAGUAGGGGGACGUCAGCAAGGACCCAACCGCUCCGACAGCUGUCCCUCCGCAGGCUCCGUUGCUCCUCCGACAGCCACGACACCACACCAGCAGGGUGCCAAGAUCUCUCCGGCUGCCACAUUGGCAUGUACUUAGGGCGCUAGCUCUCCCCCCGCUAGAGACGUAGCACUCUGCUACACCCCCAUUGUACACCUGGAUCCUCUCCUUACGACUAUAAAAGGAAGGACCAGGGCCUUCUUAGAGAAGGUUGGCCGCGCGGGGACGAGGACGGGACAGGCGCUCUCUUGGGGCCGCUCGCUUCCCUCACCCGCGUGGACGCUUGUAACCCCCUACUGCAAGCGCACCCGACCUGGGCGCGGGACGAACACGAAGGCCGCGGGAUUUCCACCUCUCUCACGCCCGUCUCCGGCCACCUCGCUUCCCCCCUUCGCGCUCGCCCACGCGCUCGACCCAUCUGGGCUGGGGCACGCGGCACACUCACUCGUCGGCCUGAGGGAUCCCCCGGUCUCGAGACACCGACAGUUGGCGCGCCAGGUAGGGGCACGCUGCGUGUUGAUGAGCAGUUUCCCGUCAAGUUCCAGAUGGGCAGUCUCCAACAACCUCUCCAACCCGGGACGGUGCUCCGUUUCGGGAGUCUUGAGUUCAUGUCCCACGACGGCAGCUACGACAUGAUACUCCUUCCACUGCCGCGCGACAACGACAAUGGCGGUCGACAACCCGCCCGCCGACGGCGGAAUCGACGACAUCUUCCCAGCGUGGUGGAAGAACGACAUUCGAGCUCGCCCCGUCCUCUCCCCCGCCAACGGAGGAGGAGGCGGGGCAACCAAGGCCAAGCGGAAGGCCGCGCUUCGUCGGCUGUCGAGCGAAUCGACGUCCCCAGCGCCCCAACGGGGGGCGCGUCGGGCGUCGACCUCGCGUUUGAGACGAAGCGAGCGCCGUCCCCCCGCGACACGCCAAUCCCGAGCAAGUGGACGACGCCAGCGCGCUCGCGGAGGGCCUGCAGGACGUCGCCCUCGUACCUAAGACGACGGCACGAUCAGCCCCCGACGUGACUAUGUCGCUCCUCGUCGAUCAAAAGGUACUGACUGAUUCCCAUCCUACGUCAUUUCGACUCGGCCUCAACCCGCCUAGCGACCUCGCUUUGGCGGGCGCUCUCGUUGAGGCGAGUGCAACCCCUCUGGGGUUUCGUAUGCGGUCGCCUUGGGACCGAUUGACGGACGUCUCGACCUACGGGCCCUCUGGGUCCGAGGAAGAUGACGAUCCCAGCAUCUGCUGGGAUUUCUCUGGAUUUGGCAACCCUAGUGCCAUGCGGGACUUUAUGACCGCAUGUGACUACUGCCUCUCCGACUGUUCCGAUGGUAGCCGCAGCCUUGACGACGAGGACUGCGGCCCAAGCCGCGAAUGUUUCCACGUCGAGCUAGGGGAUCCCUCCGAAGGCAACCAUCUCGGCAUGCCGGAGGACGGUGAUCUCCCUAGGCCGGUGCCUCGCGCCGACAUCCCGCGGGAGCUAGCUGUGGUCCCCGUCCCGGCGGGGGGUCACGACCCACAGCUCGAGCAAGUCCGCGGGGCGCAGGCCAGGCUCGACGAGGGAGCAGGAGCGCUCGAGUCGAUCCGCCGGGACGUCGGGCAGGUAUGGGCGGGCCAACCCCCGGUCGGAGAAAUACGUCACCUGCCCCAGGGUUUCCAGCACCGCGUCGCCAACGACGUCAGGGUCAGGCCGCCACCCGCAUCCAGCGGGGUCGGUCAGAACCUGGCAGCCGCAGCGAUGCUCCUCCGCGCGAUGCCGGAGCCAUCAACCACCGAGGGUCGGCGAAUCCAGGGAGAGCUCAAGAAUCUUCUGGAAGGCGCUGCGGCCCGACGCGCCGAGAGCUCUGCCUCCCGAAGGCAGGGAUACCCCUCGGAACCUCAUGCCGCGACUUCCCGAUUCAUGCGGGAAGCCUCGGUCUACACCGGGCGCACGUGCAACACCGCGCCUGCGGCCCCGGGCCACCUCGGCAACGAGCACCAUCGUCGCGACCGUCGGCCCCACCUCGACGAAAGGGUGCGCCGAGGCUACCACCCCAGGCGUAGGGGACGCUACGACAGCGGGGAGGAUCGGAGUCCCUCGCCCGAACCACCCGGUCCGCAGGCCUUCAGUCGGGCCAUCCGACGGGCGCCGUUCCCGGCCCGGUUCCGACCCCCGACUACUAUCACAAAGUACUCGGGGGAAACGAGACCGGAACUGUGGCUCGCAGACUACCGCCUGACCUGCCAACUGGGUGGAACGGACGACGACAACCUCAUCAUCCGCAACCUCCCCCUGUUCCUCUCCGACACUGCUCGCGCCUGGUUGGAGCACCUGCCUCCGGGGCAGAUCUCCAACUGGGAUGAUUUGGUCCAAGCCUUCGCCGGCAAUUUCCAGGGCACGUACGUGCGCCCCGGGAAUUCCUGGGACCUCCGAAGCUGCCGACAACAGCCGGGAGAGUCUCUCCGGGACUACAUCCGGCGGUUCUCGAAGCAGCGCACCGAGCUGCCCAACAUCACCGACUCAGAUGUCAUCGGCGCGUUCCUUGCCGGCACCACCUGCCGCGACCUGGUGAGCAAGUUGGGUCGCAAUACCCCCACCAGGGCGAGCGAGCUGAUGGAUAUCGCCACCAAGUUCGCCUCUGGCCAGGAGGCGGUUGAGGCCAUCUUCCGAAAGGACAAGCAGCCCCAGGGCCGCCCGUCGGAAGAGGCCCCCGAGGCGUCUACUCCGUGCGGCGCCAAGAAGAAAGGCAAGAAGAAGUCGCAAGCGAAACGCGACGCCGCCGACGCGGACCUUGUCGCCGCCGCCGAGUACAAGAACCCUCGGAAGCCCCCCGGAGGUGCUAACCUCUUCGACAAGAUGCUCAAGGAGCCGUGCCCCCACCAUCAGGGGCCCGUCAAGCACACCCUCGAGGAGUGCGUCAUACUUCGGCGCCACUUCCAUAAGGCCGGGCCACCUGCGGAGGGUGGCAGGGCCCGCGACGACGACAAAAAGGAAGAUCACCAAGUAGGAGAGUUCCCCGAGGUCCGCGACUGCUUCAUGAUCUACGGAGGGCACGCGGCGAAUGCCUCGGCUCGGCAUCGCAAGCAAGAGCGCCGGGAGGUCUGCUCGGUGAAGGUGGCGGCGCCAGUCUACCUAGACUGGUCCGACAAGCCCAUCACCUUCGACCAAGCUGACCACCCCGACCACGUGCCGAGCCCGGGGAAAUACCCGCUCGUCGUCGACCCCAUCGUCGGCGACGUCAGGCUCACCAAGGUCCUGAUGGAUGGAGGCAGCUGCCUCAACAUCAUCUACGCCGAGACCCUCAGGCUCCUGCGCGUCGAUCUGUCCUCCGUCCGAGCAGGCGCUGCGCCCUUCCACGGGAUCAUUCCUGGGAAGCGCGUCCAGCCCCUCGGACGGCUCGACCUUCUCGUCUGCUUCGGAACGCCCUCCAACUUCCGAAGGGAGAUUUUGACGUUCGAGGUGGUCGGGUUCCGAGGAACCUACCACGCGGUGCUGGGGAGGCCAUGCUACGCGAAGUUCAUGGUCGUCCCCAACUACACCUACCUGAAGCUCAAGAUGCCGGGCCCCAACGGGGUCAUCACCGUCGGCCCCACGUACAAACACGCGUUCGAAUGCGACGUGGAGUGCGUGGAGUACGCCGAGGCCCUCGCCGAGUCCGAGGCCCUCAUCGCCGACCUGGAGAACCUCUCCAAAGAGGUGCCAGACGUGAAGCGACAUGCCGGCAACUUCGAGCCAGCGGAGACGGUUAAGGCCGUCCCUCUCGACCCCAGUGGCGACACCUCCAAGCAGAUCCGGAUCGGUUCCGGGCUCGACCCCAAAUAGGAAGCAGUGCUCGUCGACUUUCUCCGCGCAAACGCCGACGUCUUUGCGUGGAGUCCCUCGGACAUGCCCGGCAUACCGAGGGAUGUCGCCGAGCACUCGCUGGAUAUUCGGGCCGGAGCCCGACCCGUCAGGCAGCCUCUGCGCCGAUUCGACGAGGAGAAGCGCAGAGUGAUAGGCGAGGAGGUCCACAAGCUAAUGGCAGCAGGGUUCAUCAAAGAGGUAUUCCAUCCCGAAUGGCUUGCCAACCCUGUGCUUGUGAGAAAGAAAGGGGGGAAAUGGCGGAUGUGUGUAGACUACACUGGUCUCAACAAAGCAUGUCCGAAGGUUCCCUACCCUCUACCUCGCAUCGAUCAAAUCGUGGAUUCCACUGCUGGGUGCGAAACCCUGUCCUUCCUCGAUGCCUACUCAGGGUAUCACCAAAUCCGGAUGAAAGAGUCUGACCAGCUCGCGACUUCUUUCAUCACGCCCUUCGGCAUGUACUGCUAUGUCACCAUGCCGUUCGGUUUGAGGAAUGCGGGCGCGACGUACCAGCGGUGCAUGAACCAUGUGUUCGGCGAACACAUCGGUCGCACAGUCGAGGCCUACGUCGAUGACAUCGUAGUCAAGACAAGGAAGGCUUCCAACCUCCUCUCCGACCUUGAAGUGACAUUCCGGUGUCUCAAGGCGAAAGGCGUCAAGCUCAAUCCCGAGAAGUGUGUCUUCGGGGUGCCCCGAGGCAUGCUCUUGGGGUUCAUCGUCUCCGCGCGAGGCAUCGAAGCUAACCCGGAGAAGAUCGCAGCUAUCACCAGCAUGGGGCCCAUCAAGGACUUAAAAGGCGUACAGAGGGUCAUGGGAUGUCUCGCGGCCCUGAGCCGCUUCAUCUCACGCCUCGGCGAAAGAGGCCUGCCUCUGUACCGCCUGUUAAGGAAGGCCGAGUGUUUCGCUUGGACCCCUGAGGCCGAGGAAGCUCUCGGGGACCUGAAGGCGCUCCUCACCAAGGCGCCUAUCUUGGUGCCCCCAGCCGAUGGAGAAGCCCUCUUGGUCUACGUCGCCGCGACCACUCAGGUGGUUAGCGCCGCGAUUGUGGUCGAGAGGCAAGAAGAGGGGUAUGCAUUGCCCGUUCAGAGGCCAGUUUACUUCGUCAGCGAGGUACUGUCCGAAACCAAGAUCCGCUACCCGCAAGUUCAGAAGCUACUGUAUGCGGUGAUCCUGACGAGGCGGAAGUUGCGACACUACUUCGAGUCUCACCCGGUAACUGUGGUGUCAUCCUUCCCCCUGGGGGAGAUCAUCCAGUGUCGAGAGGCCUCGGGCAGGAUUGCAAAGUGGGCGGUGGAAAUCAUGGGCGAGACAAUCUCGUUCGCCCCCCGGAAGGCCAUCAAGUCCCAGGUAUUGGCGGACUUCGUAGCCGAAUGGGUCGACACCCAGCUGCCGACGGCUCCGAUCCAACCGGAGCUCUGGACCAUGUUUUUCGACGGGUCGCUGAUGAAGACGGGAGCCGGCGCGGGCCUACUCUUCGUCUCACCCCUCGGAAAACACCUACGCUACGUGCUACGCCUCCAUUUCCCGGCAUCCAACAAUGUGGCUGAGUACGAAGCUCUGAUCAACGGGUUGCGAAUCGCCAUCGAGCUAGGGGUCCGACGCCUCGACGCUCGCGGCGACUCGCAGCUCGUCAUCAACCAAGUCAUGAAGAACUCCCACUGCCGCGACCCGAAGAUGGAGGCCUACUGCGAUGAGGUUCGGCGCCUGGAAGACAAGUUCUACGGGCUCGAGCUUAACCACAUCGCUCGGCGCUACAACGAGACUGCGGACGAGCUGGCAAAAAUAGCCUCGAGGCGAACGACGGUCCCCCCGGAUGUCUUCUCCCGGGAUCUGCAUCAGCCCUCCGUCAAGAUCAACGACACGCUCGAGCCCGAGGCACCCUCGGUUCAGCCCGAGGUACCCUCGGUCCAGCCCGAGGCACCCUCGGUUCAGCCCGAGGCACCCUCGGUCCAGCCCGAGGCAUCCUCGGUUCAGCCCGAGGUACCCUCGGCCCCCGAGGGUGAGGCGCUGCGCAUCGAGGAGGAGCGGAGCGGGGCCACGCCUGAUCGAGAUUGGCAGACCACGUACCUGCAAUAUCUCCGCCAAGGAGAGCUGCCCCUCGACCGAACUGAGGCUCGGCGGAUAGCGCGACGCGCCAAGUCGUUCGUCCUGCUAGGCGAUGGGAAGGAGCUCUACCACCGCAGUCCCUCGGGCAUCCUCCAGCGAUGCAUCUCCAUCGCCGAAGGUCAGGAACUCCUGCAAGAGAUACACUCGGGGGCUUGCGGCCAUCACGCAGCGCCCCGAGCCCUCGUCGGGAAUGCUUUCCGGCAAGGCUUCUACUGGCCAACGGCGGUGGCCGACGCUACUAGAAUUGUCCGCACCUGCGAAGGGUGUCAAUUCUAUGCGAAGCAGACCCACCUGCCCGCUCAGGCUCUGCAGACGAUACCCAUCACUUGGCCCUUCGUUGUGUGGGGUCUGGACCUCGUCGGCCCUUUGCAGAAGGCGCCCGGGGGCUACACGCACCUGCUGGUCGCCAUCGACAAAUUCUCCAAGUGGAUCGAGGUCCGACCCCUGAACAGCGUCAGGUCCGAGCAGGCGGUGGCGUUCUUCACCAACAUCAUCCAUCGCUUCGGGGUCCCAAACUCCAUCAUCACCGACAACGGCACCCAGUUCACCGGCAGAAAAUUCUUGGAUUUUUGCGAGGAUCACCACAUCCGGGUGGACUGGGCCGCCGUGGCUCAUCCCAUGUCGAAUGGGCAAGUAGAGCGUGCCAACGGCAUGAUUCUACAAGGGCUCAAGCCUCGGAUUUACAACGACCUCAACAAGUUCGGCAAGCGAUGGAUGAAGGAACUCCCCUCGGUGGUCUGGAGCCUGAGGACAACGCCGAGCCGAGCCACGGGUUUCACGCCGUUUUUCCUGGUCUACGGGGUCGAGGCCGUCUUGCCCACUGACCUGGAAUACGGCUCCCCGAGGACGAGGGCCUACGACGAUCAAAGCAACCAAGCUAGCCGAGAAGACUCGCUGGACCAGCUGGAGGAGGCUCGGGACAGGGCCUUACUACACUCGGCGCGGUAUCAGCAGUCCCUGCGGCGCUACCACGCCCGAGGGGUCCGACCCUGGGACCUCCAGGUGGGCGACCUGGUACAUCGGCUGCGGCAAGACGCCCGAGGGAGGCACAAGCUCGCGCCCCCCUGGGAAGGGCCAUUCGUCAUCGCCAAAGUUCUGAAGCCCGGAACGUACAAGCUGGCCAACAGUCAAGGCGAGGUCUACGGCAACGCUUGGAACAUCCAACAGCUACGUCGCUUCUACCCUUAAGAUGUUUCCAAGUUGUUCAUAUACCUCGCACCCACGCAAAGUUUAGUCAACAAGGAAGGGUCGGCCUCGCCUCGGCAAAGCCCGACCCUCCCGCGGGGGCUAAAAGGGGGGAAACCCCCUCUGCGUCAAAAUUUUCCUCGAAAAAAGAUCUCUUUUACCAGAAUAUCUUUCGUGCUUUUUGACUACUUCGAAAAGUGGGUCCUGGAAACGACGGAGUACACGUAAGCAGCCAAGGCUGACCGAGCCGAGGGACUCCUACGCCUCCGGGAUACGGAUACCUCACUCAUCACCUUCUGCGAUAAGUAACUCGCGUUCGGAUAAAGUGGCUCCGCGGAUCGAACAAGUCUUUACGUUCGGAAGCCCUUCUGCCGAAGCGAUCCUUCGAGCCUUCUCGACCGAGUCGGUGACAGGGCCUCACGGACGGGUGAAAGUACGCGUAAGCGGCAAGGCCGACCGAGCCGAGGGACUCCCACGCCUCCGGGAUACGGAUACCUCACUCAUCACCUUCCGCGAGAAGCAACUCUCACUCGCACAAACAUCCCUGUUACCGACAAAAAGUCCAGAUACUCGAAACAAGAGGAAAAGAGACGCAGCUUUACAACGCAGCGAGGUGUGUGUUCUGGCCUCGGCGGCCGCACAAGGCACACGCUACAAGACAAUCUGAUCCUGCAGGCUCGGGUCUUGACGCUGGAAGGGGGCAGCAACACCCUUGGUAUCGAUGACACCUUCGGCGAGGCCCGACCUAGCCGCGGACGGCGACGCGGUCCGAGGUUCUCCGCUCCGAAGGACGACGUCAUCACCACGCCCGGGCAAUCGCUGCCAGGGACUUCUCCGGGAAUCCGGCCCGAGCAGGCGGCUCGGCCGGUUACCCCUGGGGCCUCGGCCAACCAUCUUCCAAGGGCGCCAGCCCGGUCCGAGGCCUCGGCUGAUCAACUCCGACAUCGGUCCUGCUAACGGACAACCCGGCUAGGCUCCGGCCAACCAGGUUUCAUUCUCGAGCCGACUCCGCCUCUGUUCAUACUGAUACCGCUACCCCUGGCCUCGGCUCGUCGAAGAGCGACCGAGGGGUUUCUUUAACUAAGCUAGAGGAGCCUCGGACAGCAAGGCCGACCGAGCCGAGGGACUCCUACGCCUCCGGGAUACGGAUACCUCACUCGUCACCUUGACACGGGGCGACUCAUGCUUGGUGAAGCGAUUCAGAUAAUCAACAGACGAGUCUUAGCGCUCAAAAAUGAGGAAAAAACACGGCUCCGUGCCGACGUUACAUACAUGUUCAGGCCCCGAAAGCCGUAAUGAACAAAAAACACCGGCAUUCGAAGUGCCGUUACAAACGGAACUCCGGUUCCCCCCUCCGCAGGUACGAACAACCCCACUCGACGGGGGAGAGGCCUGCGGAGCAACAGAAGACCGACGAACGGCUUGUCGUCGCCCGCCCCAGCAGCGGCGACGAUGAAGACUUCUGUCCCGGGGGGCUGAACAGCAGCAGCGAUGACCUCAGGGCGGAUGCUGCUGCCAGGAGGCCCCCGCCCAUGCCCAAAACUCGAGAGGCAAGGACGGGCAGAAGGCCGUAGAGUUGGAGGUCGGUCCGCGGGUGGCGUCGGCAAACUCGUCGGCGGCGGAACCUCUUCCAGCUGCCGUGGCGGGAGGCGGCACCGGGAGCGGCUCCGAAGUCGCUCGGCUCAGCGAGCCGGGCACGGUGCAGCUGUCAUCACCACGGACGGCUCCCGCCCUUCCCCCUGAUCAUUGAGGGAAGGAGCGGGCCACCGCCCACGCAGGGGCCGACCCCAACUCGGCACACUCCCCUCCCCAGCACUAGUGAUGAAAAUCCUUGAGGCUGAGGGAGGGGCAGAGGCCGCAGCCCGGCUCGCUUUCCCCCACCAUCAAGCUGGAGGUCACCAUCUUGGGUGACCGCCGGUGGAGGGGUGCAGCCGGGCUGCAUGAUGAAAAUCCUUGAAGCCGAACGAUGGCUGAAAGGUACCAACUCCCACGGAGUUGCGUUCCUCCAACGAUGAGGCGAAAAGACGGCGGGUUCCCCCCAUCCGGGGGCUUGGAAGGUGGAAAGGCGCGGCGCAUAAGGGAGCGAGAAGACAUGGUCGCCUUACGAAAGGGGUCGCCCUCCUUUUAAAGGCAACUCUCCCUGCUUGCGCCCCCAACCGUCACGGGUUGGGUCUUCUCCAACACGCUCCAAAGCCCUCCCCUGCGGCGCGGGGGCUGGGUCCCGCAUGUCAUGCAGACCGGCUCCGAGCAGAAGAAGCCAAACCGCCGCGCGUGGUGCACGCAACCGCCCAGCGGUUACAAGUGACCCUCCACUUUUGCCCAGACCAACGGGCGAAAGAGGCGGGCAGCCAUGCAGGCGGCAUGCAACCGCGCCAAGUGGACGCACUUCUCCGACUCCCGACACGCCAGCAUGGAGGCCCAGGCCCACGCGUCGCGCAACCGGCGCGCCGGAUGCUGCAUGCAAGCAACUGUACCGCCUGUGCCACCACCGCGCCUCCUCGAUUGCGGAACCAAUACCGCGACUCGAGGCGACCCAGCGCGCGACCCAGCAGCGCCAGCCUGACGCAGCGGCCAACGCGACCAAAAGUGGGCCGGCAGUAAUGACGGUGGCAGGCGCGCGGGAGCAGCGGUCACGUCGUCAGCCGAGCUCACGUCCCAUCCGAGGGCAGCAAGAGAACCCCCUCUCAUGGCGUGAAGACAACGCGCCCGUGAUCCGUUCCUCGAACGGCUCGCGCGCGCAACGGCCGCCCCGCCAACUACUCACCCCGUCGCAUUAACUCCGCGGCUGGACAGGCGACGCUUCUGGCAGGAGCAGCAGGUGACGCUUCGCCAAAACAACCGCGCCAAAAAAGGUACGCCGCGUCAUUCGGUUUCGUAUCCUUUUCCCUUUUUCCUCUUUUCUCUAUCUCUUGCGACAGGGACCGGGAAAGGGGGAUACCCCGAAAGGGAUCCUUCCCCGUGAAGGAACCAGGCUCCGAGCCUCCUUACUGAUCAGAGGUUCGAAGGCUGGCCCCCCGAAGGGUUCAACAGCCGCCUCAGAUCGCGUGGGCCCUACACCCACUACUGGUCAGAGGUUCGAAGGCCGGCCCCCCGAAGGGUUCCACGGCCGCCUCAGGCUACUCGGGUCCGCGCCCAUUACUGAUCAGGGGUUCGAAGGCUGGCCCCCGAAGGGUUCACAGUCGCCUCAGACGCCGAGCGAGGGAUGACCAGGGGUACGUUCGAUACAUAACCAAGGCUCGGGCUGCGCUCCCGAGGUACCCUAGGACAUUUCCGAGACCAGCGGGAGCGAUCUUGUAACGGAAUCCCAUCGGAGGGAGGCAUCGAGCCCUCGGACCCCGUCGCCAGGGGACCGGGUCCGGCAGAUCACCCGCAGGUACUUUUGGGCGUGCCUCUGGCCCCUAGCCGACCCCCAACGAACGGGGCACGGACGUCCACUCGGAUUACCCGCUUGCAGCUCACCGGAGACACCAUGUUCGGUGCCCAUCGAGGGUAACAUGGCGCUCUCCCCCCUCCUCCUUGCGGAAAGGCGACGUAGGGGCGUAUGUAAAAAAGCCGAGUCUGUCCCUGAUCGCCCUCUCGCCCUGUGCGGAGGCUCGGGGGCUGCUCUCGCAAACCCGGCUCCGGCCGAACCGUUGACAGCGUCAACAUACCAGCCCGAGAACUUGGGCCCCGACCGUGCACCCGGGCUACGGCCAGUUCGCAUGAGGGAACGACCAGACCAGCCGAAGCAUUACGCAAGGCAUUAAGACCUCGAAGGAGUGAAACCACUCCUCCGAGGCCUUGGGGGCUACACCCGGCGGGUGCGCUCGCGCGCACCCACUGGAACAAAAUGCAACCGAGAAAGGCUGGUCCCCUUGCAAAAAAGUGCGACGAAAGCCUCCAAGCGAGUGUUAACACUCCCUUCGAGGCUCGGGGGCUACUGUCGGGGACCAUAAUUAGGGGUACCCUCAAGACGCCUAAUUCUCAGCUGGUAACCCCCAUCAGCAUAAAGCUACAAAGGCCUGAUGGGUGCGAUUAAGUCAGGGAUCAGUCCAUACGAGCGACUCGAUCACGCCUCGCCCGAGCCUAGCCUCGGGCAAGGGCAGCCGACCCCGAGGGGUUUCCGUCUCGCCCGAGGCCCCCCCUUUUAACGGUGGACACAUCUCCGGCUCGCCCGAGGCCUUGCCUUCGCUAAGAAGCAACCCUGACUAAAUCGCCGCGCCGACCGACCGAGUCGCAGGAGCAUUUAACGCAAAGGUGGCCUGACACCUUUAUCCUGACACGCGCCCUCCGGCAGAGCUGAAGUGACCGCCGUCACUUCGCCGCUCCACUGACCGGUCUGACAGGAGGACAGCGCCGCCUGCGCCACUCCGACUGCAGUGCCACUUGACAGAGUGAGACUGACAGGCAGUCAGGCCUUGCCAAAGGCGCCAUAGGAAACUCCGCUCCGCCCGACCCAGGGCUCGGACUCGGGCUAAGCCCCGGAAGACGGCGAACUCCGCUCCGCCCGACCCAGGGCUCGGACUCGGGCUAAGGCCCCGGAAGACGGCGAACUCCGCUCCGCCCGACCCAGGGCUCGGACUCGGGCUAAGGCCCCGGAAGACGGCGAACUCCGCUCCGCCCGACCCAGGGCUCGGACUCGGGCUAAGGCCCCGGAAGACGGCGAACUCCGCUCCGCCCGACCCAGGGCUCGGACUCGGGCUCAGCCCCAGAAGACGACGAACUCCGCUUCGCCCGACCCCAGGGCUCGGACUCCGCCCUGGCCUCUGCCGAACAACCUCCGCCUCGCCCGACCCAGGAGCUCAGGCUCAGCCUCGGCCAUGGAAGACAGACUCGACCCCGGCUUCGGAGGAGCCUCCACGUCGCCCGACCUAGGGCACAGGCCUGCCACAUCAACAGUAAGCGCCAUCAUCACCCUACCCCGAGCCGACUCGGGCCGCAGAGAACAAGACCGGUGUCCCAUCUGGCUAGCUCCGCCAGAUAGGCAAUGAUGGCGCCCCGCUAGCCCAGUGACGACGGCGGCUCUCAGCUCCCUUACGGAAGCAGGGGGACGUCAGCAAGGACCCAACCGCUCCGACAGCUGUCCCUCCGCCAGGCUCCGUUGCUCCUCCGACAGCCACGACACCACACCAGCAGGGUGCCAAGAUCUCUCCGGCUGCCACAUUGGCAUGUACUUAGGGCGCUAGCUCUCCCCCCGCUAGACACGUAGCACUCUGCUACACCCCCAUUGUACACCUGGAUCCUCUCCUUACGACUAUAAAAGGAAGGACCAGGGCCUUCUUAGAGAAGGUUGGCCGCGCAGGGACGAGGAUGGGACAGGCGCUCUCUUGGGGCCGCUCGCUUCCCUCACCCGCGUGGACGCUUGUAACCCCCUACUGCAAGCGCACCCGACCUGGGCGCGGGACGAACACGAAGGCCGCGGGAUUUCCACCUCUCUCACGCCCGUCUUCGGCCACCUCGCUUCCCCCCUUCGCGCUCGCCCACGCGCUCGACCCAUCUGGGCUGGGGCACGCGGCACACUCACUCGUCGGCCUGAGGGACCCCCCGGUCUCGAGACGCCGACAGAUAUCGGCUAAUUGAUCUUUAGUGUUAAUGUAUGAAAUCUCGAUAUCCCCCUUUUGUUGGUGAUCCCUAAGAAAAUGAUACCGAAUGGCUAUGUGUUUAGUGCGGCUAUGCUCAACGGGAUUAUCCGCCAUGCGGAUUGCACUCUCAUUAUCACAUAGAAGAGGAACUUUGGUUAGUUUGUAACCGUAGUCCUGCAGGGUUUGCCUCAUCCAUAGCAAUUGCGCGCAACAGUGGCCUGCAGCAAUAUACUCGGCUUCGGCGGUAGAAAGAGCUACCGAAUUUUGCUUCUUUGAAGCCCAAGACACCAAGGAUCUUCCCAAGAACUGGCAAGUCCCCGAUGUGCUCUUUCUAUUGAUCUUACACCCCGCCCAAUCGGCAUCCGAAUAACCAAUCAAAUCAAAUGUGGAUCCCCUAGGGUACCAAAGCCCAAACUUAGGAGUAUAAGCCAAAUAUCUCAAGAUUCGUUUUACGGUCGUAAGGUGGGAUUCCUUAGGGUCGGAUUGGAAUCUUGCACACAUGCAAACGGAAAGCAUAAUGUCCGGUCGAGAUGCACAUAAAUAAAGCAAUGAACCAAUCAUCGACCGGUAUACCUUUUGAUCGACGGAUUUACCUCCCGUGUCGAGGUCGAGAUGCCCAUUAGUUCCCAUGGGUGUCUUGAUGGGCUUGGCAUCCUUCAUUCCAAACUUGGUUAGAAUGUCUUGAGUAUACUUUGUUUGACAAAUGAAGGUGCCCUCUUAGAGUUGCUUGACUUGGAAUCCUAGAAAAUACUUCAACUCCCCCAUCAUAGACAUCUCGAUUUUUGUGUCAUGAUCCUACUAAAUUCUUCACAUGUAGAUUCGUUAGUAGACCCAAAUAUAAUAUCAUCAACAUAAAUUUGGCAUACAAACAAAUCAUUGUCAAGAGUUUUAGUGAAUAAAGUAGGAUCGGCCUUGCCGACUUUGAAGCCAUUUGCAAUAAGGAAGUCUCUAAGGCAUUCAUACCAUGCUCUUGGGGCUUGCUUGAGCCCAUAAAGCGCCUUAGAGAGCCUAUAGACAUGGUUAGGAUACUCACUAUCUUCAAAGCCGGGAGGUUGCUCAACAUAGACCUCCUCCUUGAUUGGUCCGUUGAGGAAGGCACUCUUCACGUCCAUUUGGUAAAGCUUGAAGCCAUGGUAAGUAGCAUAGGCUAAUAAUAUGCGAAUUGACUCAAGCCUAGCUACGGGUGCAUAGGUUUCACCGAAAUCCAAACCUUCGACUUGGGAGUAUCCCUUGGCCACAAGUCGAGCUUUGUUCCUAGUCACCACACCAUGCUCGUCUUGCUUGUUGCGGAAGACCCACUUGGUUCCUACAACAUUUUGGUUAGGAUGUGGAACUAAAUGCCAUACCUCAUUCCUAGUGAAGUUGUUGAGCUCCUCUUGCAUCGCCAUCACCCAAUCCGAAUCUUGAAGUGCUUCCUCUACCCUGUGUGGGUCAAUAGAGGAAACAAAAGAGUAAUGUUCACAAAAAUGUGCAACACGAGAUCUAGUGGUUACCCCCUUAUGAAUGUCACCGAGGAUUGUGUCGACGGGGUGAUCUCGUUGUAUUGCUUGGUGGACUCUUGGGUGUGGCGGCCUUGGUUGUUCAUCCUCCUUGUCUUGAUCAUUUGCAUCUCCCCCUUGAUUGUUGCCGUCAUCUUGAGGGGGCUCAUCUCUUUGAUCUUCUCCUUCAUCAAUUUGAGCCUCGUCCUCAUCUUGGGUUGGCGGAGAUGCUUGCGUGGAGGAGGAUGGUUGAUCUUGUGCAUUUGGAGGCUCUUCGGAUUCCUUAGGACACACAUCCCCAAUGGACAUGUUCCUUAGCGCGAUGCAUGGAGCCUGUUCUUCACCUAUCUCAUCAAGAUCAACUUGCUCUACUUGAGAGCCGUUAGUCUCAUCAAACACAACGUCACAAGAAACUUCAACUAGUCCUGAGGACUUGUUAAAGACUCUAUAUGCCCUUGUGUUUGAAUCAUAUCCUAGUAAAAAGCCUUCUACAGUUUUAGGAGCAAAUUUAGAUUUUCUACCUCUUUUAACAAGAAUAAAGCAUUUGCUACCAAAAACUCUAAAAUAUGAAAUAUUGGGCUUUUUACCGGUUAGGAGUUCAUAGGAUGUCUUCUUGAGGAUUCGGUGUAGAUAUAACCGGUUGAUGGCAUAGCAGGCGGUGUUGACUGCCUCGGCCCAAAACCGAUCCGGUGUCUUGUACUCAUCAAGCAUGGUUCUUGCCAUGUCCAAUAGAGUUUGAUUCUUCCUCUCCACUACACCAUUUUGUUGUGGGGUGUAGGGAGAAGAGAACUCAUGCUUGAUGCCCUCUUCCUCAAGAAAGCCUUCAAUUUGUGAGUUCUUGAACUCCGUCCCAUUGUCGCUUCUAAUUUUCUUGAUCCUUAAGCCGAACUCAUUUUGAGCUCGUCUCAAGAAUCCCUUUAAGGUUUCUUGGGUAUGCGAUUUUUCCUGCAAAAAGAACACCCAAGUGAAGCGAGAAUAAUCAUCCACUAUUACAAGACAAUACUUACUCCCGCCGAUGCUUAUGUAAGUAAUCGGGCCGAAUAGAUCCAUGUGGAGUAGCUCAAGUGGCCUGUCGGUCGUCAUGAUGUUCUUGUGUGGAUGAUGGGAUCCAACUUGCUUUCCUGCUUGGCAUGCGCUACAAAUCUUGUCUUUCUCAAAAUGAACAUUUGUUAGUCCUAAAAUGUGCUCUCCCUUUAGAAGCUUAUGAAGAUUCUUCAUCCCAACGUGGGCUAGUCGGCGAUGCCAAAGCCAACCCAUGUUAGUCUUAGCAAUUAAGCAUGUGUCGAGUUCAGCUCUAUCAAAAUCUACCAAGUAUAGCUGACCUUCUAACACACCCUUAAAUGCUAUUGAAUCAUCACUUCUUCUAAAGACAGUGACACCUACAUCAGUAAAGAGACAGUUGUAGCCCAUUUGACAUAAUUGAGAUACAGAAAGCAAAUUGUAAUCUAAAGAAUCUACAAGAAAAACAUUGGAAAUAGUAUGGUCAGGUGAUAUAGCAAUUUUACCCAAUCCUUUGACCAAACCUUGAUUUCCAUCCCCGAAUGUGAUAGCUCGUUGGGGAUCUUGGUUUUUCUCAUAUGAGGAGAACAUCUUCUUCUCCCCUGUCAUGUGGUUUGUGCACCCACUGUCGAGUAUCCAACUUGAGCCCCCGGAUGCAUAAACCUACAAAACAAUUUUAGUUCUUGACUUUAGGUACCCAAACGGUUUUGGGUCCUUUGGCAUUAGAAACAAGAACUUUGGGUACCCAAACACAAGUCUUGGAACCCUUGUGUUUGCCCCCAACAAACUUGGCAACUACCUUGCCGGAUUUGUUAGUAAGCACAUAGGAUGCAUCAAAAGUUUUGAAUGAAAUGUCAUGAUCAUUUGAUGCAUUAGGAGUUUUCCUUUUAGGCAACUUAGCACGGGUUGGUUGCCUAGAACUAGAUGUCUCACCCUUAUACAUAAAAGCAUGGUUAGGGCCAGAGUGAGACUUCCUAGAAUGAGUUCUCCUAAUUUUGCUCUCGGGAUAGCCGGCAGGGUACAAAAUGUAUCCUUCGUUAUCCUGAGGCAUGGGAGCCUUGCCCUUAACAAAGUUAGACAAAUUUUUAGGAGGGGCAUUAAGUUUGACAUUGUCUCCCCUUUGGAAGCCAAUGUCAUCCUUGAUGCCAGGGCGUCUCCCAUUAUAGAGCAUACUUCUAGCAAAUUUAAGCUUUUCAUUUUCUAAGUUAUGCUCGGCAAUUUUAGCAUCUAAAACCGCUAUAUGAUCAUUUUGUUGUUUAAUUAAAGCCAUAUGAUCAUGAAUAGCAUCAAUAUCAAUAUCUCUACAUCUAUCACAAAUAGACACAUGCUCAAUAGUAGAUGUAGAGGGUUUGCAAGAAUUAAGUUCAACAAUCUUAGCACGCAAAAUGUCAUUGUUGUCUCUAAGAUUGGAAAUUGUAACAUUGCAAACAUCUAAUUCUUUAGCCUUAGCAAUCAAUUUCUCAUUCUCAUUUCUAAGGCUAGCAAUAGAGACAUUCAACUCAUCAAUCCUAGCAAGUAAAUCAACAUUAUCAUCUCUAGGAUUGGAAGUUGAAAUAGUACAAACAUGAGAAUCAACCUUAGCAAUUAAUUUAGCAUUUUCAUUUCUAAGGUUGGCAAUAGUGUCAUGGCAAGUGCUUAGCUCACUAGAUAGUUUUUGACAUUUUUCUAUUUCUAGAGCAUAAGCAUUUUUAACCUUAACAUGUUUCUUGUUUUCCUUAAUUAGGAAGUCCUCUUGGGAAUCCAAAAGGUCAUCCUUUUCAUGAAUAGCACUAAUCAAUUCAUUUAAUUUUUCCUUUUGUUCCAUGUUAAGGUUGGCAAAAAGGGUACGCAAGUUAUCCUCCUCAUCACUAGCAUUUUCAUCACUAGAAGAUUCAUAUUUAGUGGAGGAUUUAGAUUUAACCUUCUUCUUUUUGACGUCUUUUGCCAUGAGGCACUUGUGGCCGACGUUUGGGAAGAGGAGUCCCUUGGUGACGGCGAUGUUAGCGGCGUCCUCGUCGGAGGAGGAGUCGGUGGAGCUCUCGUCCGAGUCCCACUCCCGACAAACAUGGACAUCGCCGCCCUUCUUCUUGUAGUAUCUCUUCUUUUCUCUCCUCUUUUCCUUCUUGUCGUUAUCCCUGUCACUGUCACUUGAUAAUGGACAUUUAGCAAUAAAAUGACCGGGCUUAUGUCAUGGGCAUCAUAGGGAGCGAGAGGCAACAGCCAGGCUGGGAUAAGGCUAGAGAAUAAGAUUGAGAUGAGCUGGGAUAAGGCUAGAGAAUAAGAUUGAGAUGAGAGAAUUGUGGAGAGUUGGUUAGCAGCAGAUAAGUCCAAGAAAGUAGGAGUUAGUUGAGAGUUUGUAGGAGAAGUUAGUUAGCCAUAGGGCUAUUUAUAAGCCGCAUGGCAGCAGGAAAUAAAUCAAGCAAGAUCAUUAUCAAACCAAUCUCUCUCCCUUGCAAUGACCCUCUCAAGCGCCUAGGGCUGCUACCCUAGAACCAAGCCUGCGGCAGAGGGGUAUAACCUCGCCGGAGAAGACAACUAUCCCCAUGGACCGGUCCAUGACACCUGGUAUCAGAACCAGGUUAUCCUCACCACCACCAGCCGCCCAUCCCUCACCACCACCAACCGCCGCGCCAUCAGCCGCCGCAACGCCCUCCCACCCGCCCUCUCCAACUCCAGAUGCAUUCACUCGGCUCGAAGAGAGUUUUGGCUGUCUCGCAGAGAAGUGGGAUCAGUUCGUUGUGAUGUUCCAUCGCUACAAGGAGAAGACAGAGAAGGAACUCCAAGCAGCGGUGCGACUUCAGGCGGCAGCGCGAGGGUUCCUGGCACGCCGCCAGGUACAAUCCCUUCGUGGGGAGAAGCACCUUGCUGUGGCCUCCAGGGCCACCCCAUGGCCGUCAUCACAUGAGCAGGCUGUGGUGCGCCUGCAAGCCGCAGUGCGCGGCUUCCUUGUUAGGCGGGCGGUGCGGAAGCUGCACUUGCUGAUCAGCUCAUCGCUGCACCAACUCGCAGCCUGCGCGCCCAACCACCAGGUCUCGUCUAUACUUUUUGAAACCCCUGCAGAAGUCGAGAUCUGGGUAUGCAGCCCCCUGCACGGCCAAAGAGGGUCAUCUCCUUCAUUCGGGCAACUACCUUGGUGCUGGACAGACCCAACAUAAGAACAGGCUGGUUCCUACUUCACCUUUCAUCCAACGUGAAGUCCGCAGUUCAGCUCUUUCCUUGGGAUCCAGGAGGACAGGAGGACAUAGCUGCAGUUCAAAUUUAUAUUUUAGUUCCACAAUUAUUUUGUAUUUUCAUCUUAAAUAAUAAAGGUAAGUCGAGAUGUAAAAGGCUUAACCUUAAGUCGUGUCAGGUAAGUCUAUGGCAGCUCGAGGACGAGCUGGUCCUCAAGGGAGGGGGAGAUGUCAUGGGCAUCAUAGGGAGCGAGAGGCAACAGCCAGGCUGGGAUAAGGCUAGAGAAUAAGAUUGAGAUGAGCUGGGAUAAGCCUAGAGAAUAAGAUUGAGAUGAGAGAAUUGUGGAGAGUUGGUUAGCAGCAGAUAAGUCCAAGAAAGUAGGAGUUAGUUGAGAGUUUGUAGGAGAAGUUGGUUAGCCAUAGGGCUAUUUAUAAGCCGCAUGGCAGCAGGGAAUAAAUCAAGCAAGAUCAUUAUCAAACCAAUCUCUCUCCCUUGCAAUGACCCUCUCAAGCGCCUAGGGCUGCUACCCUAGAACCAAGCCUGCGGCAGAGGGGUAUAACCUCGCCGGAGAAGACAGCUAUCCCCAUGGACCGAAGGUCCAUGACAGCUUACCACACUUGUAGCAAACCUUCUUGGAACGGGAUUUGUAUUCCUUCCCCUUCCGUUGCUUGAGGAUUUGGCGAAAGCUUUUGAUGAUUAAAGCCAUCUCCUCAUUGUCGAGCUUGGAGGCAUCAAUUGGUUGUCUACUCGGUGUAGACUCCUCCUUCUUCUCCUCCGUCGCCUUAAAUGCCACCGGUUGUGUUUCGGACGUGGAGGGUUCAUCAAGCUCGUUGAUCUUCUUUGAGCCUUUAAUCAUACAUUCAAAGCUCACAAAAUUCCCGAUUACUUCCUCGGGAGUCAUUAGUGUGUAUCUAGGAUUACCACGAAUUAAUUGAACUUGAGUGGGGUUAAGGAAAAUGAGAGAUCUUAGAAUAACCUUAACCACCUCGUGGUCGUCCCACUUCUUGCUCCCGAGGUUGCGCACUUGGUUCACCAAGGUUUUGAGCCGGUUGUACAUAUCUUGUGGCUCCUCCCCUUGGCGAAGACGAAAACGACCGAGCUCCCCCUCGAUCGUUUCCCGCUUGGUGAUCUUGGUGAGUUCAUCACCCUUGUGCGCGGUCUUGAGAAGGUCUCAAAUCUCCUUUGCAUUCUUCAACCCUUGCACCUUGUUGUAUUCCUCCUUGCUUGGAGAGGCGAGGAGUAUGGUUGUAGCUUGAGAGUUGAAGUGCUCGAUUUGGGCCACUUCGUCCGUAUCAUAGUCUUCAUCCCCUACGGAUGGUACCUGUGCUCCAAACUCAACAACAUUCCAUAUACUUUUGUGGAGUGAGGUUAGAUGAAAUUUCAUUAAAUCACUCCACCUAGCAUAAUCUUCGCCAUCAAAGGUUGGCGGUUUGCCUAAUGGAACGGAAAGUAAUGGAGUAGGUCAAGAUGUACGAGGAUAGUGUAAGGGAAUCUUACUAAACUUCUUGCGCUCUUGGUGCUUAGAAGUUACGGACGGCGCAUCGGAGUCGGAGGUUGAUGUUGAUGAAGUAUCGGUCUCGUAGUAGACCACUUUUCUCAUCCUCUUGUGCUUGUCGCCUUUCCGAUGCGACUUGUGGAAAGAAGAUUUUUCCUUCUUCUCUUUGUGGUGAGAAGAAGAAGAUCUUUUCUCCUUCCGUUUGGAGGAGUCCUUUUUCUUCUCCUUCCUCUUGGUGCGGGACUCUUCCGAUGAAGUGCUCCCGUGGCUCGUAGUGGGCUUGUCGCCGGUCUCCAUCUCCCUCUUGGUGUGAUCUCCCGACAUCACUUCGAGCGGUUAGGCUCUAAUGAAGUACCGGGCUCUGAUACCAAUUGAAAGUCGCCUAGAGGGGGGGUGAAUAGGGCGAAACUGAAAUUUACAAAUAUAAACACAACUACAAGCCGGGUUAGCGUUAGAAAUAUAAUAGAGUCCGCGAGAGAGAGUGCAAAACAAAUCGCAAGCGAAUAAUGAAGUGAGACACGCGGAUUUGUUUUACCGAGGUUCGGUUCUUUCAAACCUACUCCCCAUUGAGGAGGCCACAAAGGCCGGGUCUCUUUCAACCCUUACCCUCUCUCAAACGGUCCCUCGGACCGAGUGAGCUUUCUCUUCUCAAUCACUUGGAACACAAAGUUCCUACAAGGACCACCACAAGAUUGGUGUCUCUUGCCUCAAUUACAAGUGAGUUUGAUCGCAAGAAAGAAUCAAGAAGGAAGAAAGCAAUCCAAGCGCAAGAGCUCGAAAGAACACAAGCAAAUCUCUCUCACUAGUCACUAGGGCGUUGUGUGGAGUGUGGAGAGGAUUUGAUCACUUUGGUGUGUCUAGAAUUGAAUGCUAGAGCUCUUGUAAGUAGUUGAGAAGUGGAAAACUUGGAUGACUUGAAUGUGGGGUGGUUGGGGGUAUUUAUAGCCCCAACCACCAAACUAGCCGUUUGGUGGAGGCUGUCUGUCGUAUGGUGCACCGGACAGUCCGGUGCACACCGGACAGUCUGGUGCGACAGCCACGUCACCAAAGCCGUUGGGUUCCGACCGUUGGAGCUCUGACUUCUGGGCCCGCCUAGAUGUCCGGUGGCGCACCGGACAUGUACUGUAGGGUGUCCGGUGCACCAGCAUGGGCGUGCCUGACCUCUGCGCGCGCUGGCGCGCAUUAAAUGCGCCACAGGUAGCCGUUGGCGCCAGAAGUAGUCGUUGCCCCGCUGUUACACCGGACAGUCCGGUGUACACCGGACAGUCCGGUGAAUUAUAGCGGAGCAGCUGAAAUGAAUUCCCGAGGCUGGCGAGUUCUAGAGGCCGCUCUUCCUUGGAGCACCGGACAUGUCCGGUGUACACCGGACAGUCCGGUGAAUUAUAGCGGAGUUGCCUCUGGAAUUUCUCGAAGGUGACGAGUUUGAGUUGGAGUCCUCUGGUGCACCGGACAUAUCCGGUGGCACACCGGACAGUCCGGUGCGCCAGACCAGAGGUGCCUUCGGUUGUCCCUUUGCUCUUUUGUUGAACCCAAUACUUGGUCUUUUUAUUGGCUAAGUGUGAACCUUUGGCACCUGUAUAGCUUAUACACUAGAGCAAACUAGUUAGUCCAAAUAUUUGUGUUGGCAAUUCAACCACCAAAAUUAAUUAGGGAUUAGGUGUAAGCCUAAUUCCCUUUCAGUAGUACCCCUGGUUGUUGCACCACCGAAUGCGCUACUCCUCUAGAUACAUCGUGUUCGAGGACACUCAUACAACGUCAGCAAUGGCCAUCGUCUCAGCGCACAAGAAUUCAUGGCCAGUCAGUAGCGACUUACGUGGCAGGUUGGGCUUCAGGUGGACGAUGAGCUGGACGACGUGAUGGCAUCGUCGUCGAAUGCGGUGCCCAGAACAACCCGAGAGUCGCCGACGUUGGCGACGACUAUGAGGUCCCCCUGCUUGACGAUGGACAGCGCGGAGCAGCCGCUCUGCACCGCGUCCAAGCGGCUGCUGCGCCGGAGCUUGUCGUACAUAGCGGCACAUGCGGCCACGUAGGACUGUUUCUAGAGGUCGAACUGGCAGUCGCCAAGUUUCUUCUUGUCGUCGAUGAGCGACCCCAACGCGAGUGUCUCCUGCUAAUGGUGUUUGUUCGGGGUUUAAGUAAGAAACAUGGAUUCAUGUUUGGCGUUGGUUUAUAAAAAUGACUCAUAAGUCAGAUCCAUGGAAAAAAUAUUACAAAGAAUAAAUGUCACGCAUGCAAAAAAGGAAUUUAAGUUGAAAACAUUAUUCAAACAAAAGAAAUUGCAUGCAAGGCUCUUCUUUAAAUACUAUUCCCUCCAUCCAAAAAUAUAAUUCAAGAAUCUCGGUAAUACUUAUUUACUACUACGCAUUGUGCAAGGGUAGCAGUUGAGCUUGGGGAGAGAUGCAGUAGAUGUGUUUUCUGUUAUAGAUGUAGACAUAAACACACAUGUGGUGUAGUGGUAGCUACUGCUAUCAUUUGCUUGAGAGGUCGUGGCUUCGAAUGCCCUUGGGGCUAUGUGUAUUUUUUAAAUUUUAGCUAGGCGUCGGCUGUACGGGGGAAUGAGAAUGAGCUUUGCGGGGAGGGGGAAUGAGAAUGAUAGAUAUAGAAUGGAAAGGCAGAACACGGAAUGAGUAUCUGCUGCCUGUGCUGGUUUAGUUGGCAUGUCGUGAUUCCAAAAGUAGGAAAGUGUUAUCGUCAGUGUAGUUGAAAUAAUUAGCAGUGACGCUGGGCAAUAUAUAUGCUCAACCAAAAAGGGGUUCGGUUUCAUCGCUGUAAGCUAUACAUGCUUCUCCUCCCCGGCCAGUUAUAUAUUUAUUUUGAACAGACUGUUGGGCCAGACAGGUUGUUAGAACAUGGUAGGUGCACUACUGCAUGUGACUAUAUCAUAUUUGCAUAUCUGGCCACUAUUUCCCCGCUCCAUUGAAAAAUAAGCAUGUCAAGAUAAAUAUUUCUUUCCCUGAUCGUACAAAUCCACGACAUGAAGAAUGAUGUUACUACUAAUCAUUGUUUUUAUAUAGGGUCAGGCGAUUCUCUUUUCUUGGAUAUAUAUAUAGCAAAUGAUGUUUUGGAUAUUUGCGCUGUUGGGAUAUGACAAUUUGCUAAUUUUCUAGGAGGGAUGGCUAAGUUUGCAGACGUCCUCUGUGCAGUUACACUACUUGUGUUGCUCCCCUGCUCGGAUGUUGCAUUGGGGCAGACUACUGACCCUUCCGAGGGUAAUUUCUAUCUGCCAUAUGUUAAUUUGUGAGAACGUUUGAAACUCUGCAAGUUAAUGAAUGGUUUAUUCCCAUAAUGUAGUCAAUGGGCUCAGGGCUAUCAAGGGACGAUUAGUUGAUCCUAUGCAAAACCUUAUGAAUUGGAAUAGGGGAGAUCCGUGCAGGUCAAAUUGGACAGGAGUCUUCUGCCACAAAGUGAAUGAUGAUACAUUUCUUCAUGUGACAGAAUUGUACGAUCAGCACUUCUAUUUUAUUUGUUCAUCAUAUUUUGUUUUUUUCUAUCCAUUUGUCUUGGUUACCAUGUUGCUCUUGUUGAAUAAAAAUCAACAGUCACUAUUAUUAUCAAAGGUAGUUUUUACGGUCAAAUGCCAACUUCAUCCGACUCCGCAAGGGAAUUUUUUUCCUGCAUUUACACAUAAAUCCAACUGUAACAUGAACUGCCUUGGUUGACAAUUGUCCAAUCAUAAAAACAUGAAACAUCAGUCCUGUGAGUUGUAUCAGACUAAGUUUACAAAUCCUAGCACCAUUGCUCUCUGGCUUCUUUUCUAAGGCAUUUGUUUUGCUUGAAAUAUUAUUGGUUUUGUAAAGUUUGUUUAUUUUAUUACAUCAGCACGAUAUGGAAUAUAACAACCCAGUAACUCAUUAAGGCCUUGUUUGGUUAUUUUAAUUCCAUGUGAAUUGGAGUGGAUUGGGUGGGAUUGAGACGUAUUUUGACUUGUUAUGCAUUUAAAACGACUUAAUCCCACCCAAUCCACAUGGUUUAGCAUCAAAACAAACAAGCCCUAAGUCGUUUCUGUGUAAGUUAAUGAAUGGUUUAUUCCCAUAGCUGUUCCUAAUACCAUUUUUUUAUCUCUAUACAGGCAGUUAUUUAAGAGGAAUCUCUCAGGAACUCUGGCACCAGAGGUCAGCCUUUUAUCUCAUCUGAAAACACUGUAAGUAUUACUCUAAAAUUCAAACUUCCUCUCUUUUUUUAGUUCUCCUGCAUUUUGUAAAUUUAAACUUUUCUAAUUUCCAUUCACUAUCUUUUCAAUACGUGCAUAAAAUCAUGGUGCUUUGCUAGCAAGUUUUCGAGCACAAUUUUGAUUCCUUAUUUCAUUGUUUUGAGCAGAAUUUUGUUCUUGAUUCCUUUUCUUUGAGGCAACAUUUAUUCUUGAUUCUUAAGCUAUUCAACUAAAUGAUGUGUUUCUUGAAGGGAUUUUAUGUGGAACAACUUAACUGGUAGCAUCCCAAAGGAAAUAGGCAACAUCACUACGCUCAAACUUAUGUAAGUUUUCUUUUUCUAUUAUUUUUCUUACCUCAUUAAAUUAUUCAGCAUGUCUCAACCUCAUAAUGCACACAACAACAUCAGUUCAACAUUACCAGUUCUAAUUUAUGAACAUUUCUCCACAAUAUCUGUGUUAAAUAACAUUGAUAUAGUUAUUUUCAUGCCUUUUGCAGACUUUUGAAUGGCAAUCAACUCUCUGGUAUUUUACCUUAUGAGAUCGGUAACCUUCAAAGUUUAAACAGAUUACAGGUUGACCAAAACCAAUUGUCCGGCCCCAUACCUAAAUCAUUUUCCAAUUUAAGAAGUGUGAAACGUCUGUAAGAAUUGUUUAUUUCCAUUGUCUAUUUGUCUCUCUGUUUUUCAGUUUCAUCUGUACUUAUUUCUAACCUCAACCAUCCUAUUCAUUUUAGUCAUAUGAACAAUAAUUCGUUAAGUGGGGCCAUCCCGUCUGAACUUUCCACAUUGCCUCUUCUUCUUCACCUGUAUGUGGAACUCUACUUGUUUCCCGAUUUUCUUCUUCUGCAAAUAAAAAAAAUGAAAUAUUAAAUUACUCUUCAUUCUCAUACUUUGAUGCAACCUUGCAGGCUUGUUGACAAUAACAACCUAUCUGGACCUCUCCCUCCAGAAUUUGCUGAAGCGCCUGCCAUGAAAAUAUUGUACGUACCUAAAUUUUCUUGCGAUGGGUUUGUAUUUAUCCCACUGAAAUCAGAAUAAAAUUGCUUAUCAUAUAAACGUAUAACUAUUUCUGACAUUCAUAUCAUUCUGUUUCUACUAGUCAGGCUGAUAACAAUAACUUCAGUGGAAGUUCCAUCCCUACUACAUAUAACAACAUAUCCACACUACUAAAGCUGUAAGAAUGGAUUUUUUCUAUUAUUCUUUUGUUUUUUUAUCCUUUCUCCUUUAUUAUAUGAAAAUUAAAAGAUGUGAAUAUCUUUUGUUAAUCAUACAUCAUAUAAAAAAUUAGUUUAGCCUCUACUCAAAAUGUAAUUGCAACCAUCCAUGGUUCCAACAUCCAGCUUCCAUAGCCUAAACUUACUCAGAAUUAAAAGACCUGAGGAGAAUAUUUCUUGUAUUACCAGGAGUCUUAGAAAUUGCAGCUUGCAAGGAGAUAUUCCAGAUUUGAGUAGCAUACCUCAACUUGGCUAUUUGUGAGUACAUCUCAGUUUUAGUUCCCAAUUAAUGUAUUUUAGCAUUAUGACUAUCGAUUGUUGCUAUGAACUUGGCUCUUCGAACAGUUUAAAUUUUUUUAAAAAUAUUAAGAUUAGUGUGGUUUUCAAGAGUGUUUUGGUACAACCUCUUGAGAAAGUUUGGGCUGCACAGCUUAUCCCCUCAGCAAGCGGAGACUUCCUUUUUUGGCUGGUGGGAGAGAUCUCCGGCUCAGGUCCUCAGUCUGGAAAAGAAAGGAUUGGAUUCUCUUAUUGCCUUAGGGGCCUAGAUGAUCUAGAAUCAUAGGAUUGGAUUCUCUUAUCCCCUCAGCAAGCGGUGGUGUUUGAUGGCAGGACCCCUUGUAUCUCCUUCCUCCUUCAGGCUGCUGGUGAGGAAAGGGAGAAAUGGCAGAUGGCUGGUGCCAAAGGUCUUUCCUUCUUGGCCGGCCAAGCUUCCUAGCUCCUAGGGCUGUGGUUUUUUAGUUUUGAUCUUUAUGGAUAGUUUUGUGAAUGCCUGCUUCUGGCCUCCAUAAGGAGUGUGUUGUAUCUGGGUCCUUUCUAACCCCCCCCCUAUCCCCUCUACUUUAAUAUAUGGGUGCACAGUUCUCCUGCGCUCUUUUCGAAAAAAAGAUUAGUGUGGUUUUAUCCCUUUUCAAUAGGCACCCAACUUUUCAGUUCACACAGUUCAGGACAUGUCUUAUGUCUUAAUAACUCUCAGAUUCAUGUUUCAGGGAUAUUAGCUGGAACCAGUUGACAGGAUCUAUACCAACUAAUAAGCUCGCUUCCAAUAUCACUACAAUGUAUGUAAUUAAGAUAACGUUUGUCUAUUUUCGUUAAUCAUCGAUCUCAUUCUAGUUAUGUGGCAGUGAUUUGUCGCACAACAUGCUCAAUGGAACUAUCCCACAGAACUUCUCAGGGCUCCCCAAGCUUCAGAUAUUGUAAGUGUAACUUGGUAAACAGUCUUCAACGGCCUUUUGCAUUGAACAUGGAUAUGAUUUCUUUUGCAUAUGGUUCUGUUUAUUUUCACUGCAAAUAUGUGAACUUUGUUUACGUAAUAUCUAGUGAAGAGAUUACAAAUACUUCUGUUUGUAAUCUCCUUAUAACUGGAUUCAAAUUUGUAAUCAUUUUAUCUAGAUCAGUAUAAAUCGCGAGUCGUAUCAGUUAGCUUAUAAAAAAUUAUUUGAAAAUAAGAAUACAUAUGUAAAGCUUUACAAGCUGUCAUAUAUUUUUAUUAUUUUUCGUUCUUAAAUCACUUAAACUUUAUUUUGCAGGUCACUUGAGGAUAAUUAUCUAAAUGGUUCUGUUCCCUCGACAAUCUGGAAUGGCAUCGAGCUUACUGGAAAUAGAAGCCUUAUUCUGUAUGAAUUUUUUCUGCAGAAGUAACUCUUUUCAGAUCUAAUAACUGUACAUAUGUAAUAAUAUUUUCAUAAUAACACAGAGACUUCCAAAACAAUUCUCUCAAGACAAUUCCGGACACAUUUGAUCCUCCCCCAAAUACCACUGUAAUGUAUGUUCUCAUACAUUUAUGCUAUGCAUUUCAAUAUUCACCUCCACAUCAAUAAUAUAUAUAGUCCCUGUGCAUAUUGAAUUGCGAUUAUGCACCUUUCUUUAAUGGAUGCAGUAUUAAUUGAUAUGUAUAUUCUGUCCUAGAGCUGUACAGACCUCCUUUUUCCCUUUGAGACCAAGCUUUGUAUCUAUGUAACAGUGAGACUAUGUUUUAAGUAUUUGACGACAGGUCUUCAUAUCCUAUACUUGAAUCAUUAUGCAUGUGUGAAAAUCAUAACUAUAAGAUUGCACUUUUCUCAGUGGCAAAUAAAUUUUUUCCAAUUCCCUUUUGAGCAACCUUUUCAUGCAAUGGAUAGUUAUCACCACCGCUGUCAUUUUUGGCAGGCUAUAUGGAAACCCUGUGUGUGGGGGUACGAAUGGAUCUCUGAUAACCAACCUGUGCCAACCCAUGUCAGUAAACAUGCAAACAUCGCAAAAUGAACAUGGCUCUAGUUGUCAACCUUGUCCUGCGGAUAAAAAUUAUGAGUACAAUCCAUCAUCACCACUAACUUGCUUUUGUGCGGUGCCACUUGGAGUCGGACUUCGUCUGAAGAGUCCAGGAAUCACAGAUUUUCGUCCCUAUGAAGAUGACUUUGAGAUCAACUUAACCUCUUUAUUGCAACUGUUUCGGUAUCAGUUAAGUAUUGAACGCUACAUAUGGGAGGUUGGUCCAAGGCUAAAUAUGCACAUGAAGUUAUUUCCAAGUAAUUCAAGUCUAUUCAGUAUAUCUGAGAUUGUGCAACUCAGACAUGUACUUGCUGCCUGGGAAAUUACCCUUUCAGAUGUAUUUGGUCCAUAUGAGCUUCUCAACUUCACACUAGGUUCUUAUGCAGAUGGUAUGUAUUCAUUUUGAAGAUGUUAAUUCUAUUAUUCAAACUAUGUGCUGCUAUUAACUUGUUUUUAGUUUUCCUGCAAUGAAAAAGUACAGUCGUAGGACUUCAGGGGAGUUUCUGUGUUUUAUUUCGUGAAAUUAUUUGGAUCAUUACAAUAGCUUUUUGUAUUGCAUUUCUGUUAGCUUGAUUAGCAGCAUAUAGUAUAACUAGUUAGUUGCCCGUGCGUUGCGAUGGUACACGAACACCGCUGGUAAAAGCAUUAAUAGUAAUUAAUUUUGGAUCAUUUCAUGAGAUGUAAUCUCCCGACAGGAGGAAAAGGAGGAAAGACUCAUUCAUUUUUUAUUCAUCAAUUAGAACAAAGUAGAAGAAGCAACUAAACACCAUACAUGUUCAUAUAUCAAACACAUAUAUUGUCUAAUAGCUACACCUGUGAUCAACAAGAUGUUAUUAAUCAAUUACGAGACUUCCUAUGGAUACGCGAUGUGUCAAUACUAAUACGCUAUUUUUUCCUCAAAAACAAUGAUAACCAACGUCGCCGGUAUGGGGGAGGUGAGGCUGGGGUUGGACUUGAGCAUGAUCUGCUCGAGCGAGGACGACGACGUGAAUAGCGCGGGCGACAGCUCGACGGGGGCCUGGGCGGCACCGAAACAGACGAAGAUGGAGAGCGUCCGGAGGUGCGGUAGGCCGCGCAGCGAGGCAGGGUCGAGCCUGGCCCCGGGCCUGCAGGGCGGGGUGGCGACGUCGGGGCCCAGGUGGAGGCGGGUGGCGCGGAGCACGCGCACGUCGUCGGGCGCAAGCUCGCACUGUAGGCUUGGCCAUGGCGUGUCGGUGCAGGGCCGCGGGUGGAGCUGCGGCCACGCCGGAUCGCCGAGGAGGUCCGCCAUCACCCGGAAGAUGGCCGCCAGCUCCAGCUCCGGGGAUUGCGGGUGACGGGGAUCGCAGUUGGGAGGGUGAGGAGGGCGCGAUGGGGAGCGGAGCAGAGGGGGAGGAUGUCGGGGGUGUGGGGGGAGGGGGCAGAACCGUGCACCGUGAACGUCUACAUUGUAGUCUUAAGUAGUAGUAAAGAUGGUUGGCUGGUUGCAUGCAACAAAACAGCAUAUGUUACUUCCUUCAAAAUUAAAACAUGUAGAAAUCCAAAUGAUAAAUUAUAGCAUUUGCUUUUUAUAGUGAUAGGUUGAUCUUGAUGGCAAUUAAUUUUUCCUUGAAUUAUACUUCAUUGAAUUUAUGUCCACUCACUUGCUCAAUUAAUCAUCUAUUGGUGUGUAAAAAUAUUCUAUUUAUCACAUUUUGCAGAAUUUCCAAAUGCAGUGUCAACAGGUUUAAGUAAGGCUGCACUGGGCAGUAUCUUUGCUAGCACAAUUGCUGGCGCUAUUUUACUUUCUGUGGUAGCUACCACCCUUAUAGUGAGAAGGCGUUCAAGACACAGAGCUGUCUCAAAACGUUCAUGUAAGUCAUUUAUAUUUGGUUGUAUGAGUGACCUUUUAGCUGUGUAGUACAUAGCUCGUCCAAGAGAAAGGGUCUGAAGAUGCAUAUCAUGCUGUUUGCAGUGUCAAGGUUUUCUGUCAAAGUUGAUGGCGUUAGAUGUUUCACAUUUGAAGAAAUGGCUAUAGCAACAAAUAAUUUUGAUCUAUCAGCCCAAGUUGGCCAAGGAGGUUACGGCAAAGUCUACAAGGGAAUUCUAGGCGAUGGAGCACUUGUAGCAAUCAAACGAGCACACCAGGAUUCCCUUCAAGGUUCAAGGGAGUUCUGCACGGAGAUAGAGCUACUAUCAAGAUUGCAUCAUCGCAAUUUGGUUUCAUUGGUUGGCUAUUGCGAUGAAGAGGAUGAGCAGGUGGAACCUUUUGGUUUUAAUUAUAUAUGUAGAAAAUAUAGUUCGUCAGCAUCCCUGAACUGCUCCUCAAAUCUCGUUUUGCAGAUGCUGGUUUAUGAAUUCAUGUCAAAUGGCACUUUACGUGAUCAUCUUUCUGGUAAGUAAUUGGAGAGAUCCAUUCUCAGGUAUUUGGACAUUUUCUCUUUCUUAAAUCUUAUGCUAAUUAAAGCACCUCUUCUUUUUUCCCCGUCAUUUGCCAACCACAGCCAAGUCCAAGAGACCUCUAAGUUUUGGUUUGAGGUUGAAAAUCGCAUUGGGUGCUGCAAAGGGAAUUUUGUAUCUACAUACUGAAGCAGAUCCACCUAUAUUCCACCGUGAUGUUAAGGCCAGCAACAUUCUGUUGGACUCCAAAUUCGUUGCAAAGGUAGCCGAUUUUGGUCUCUCGAGGCUUGCUCCAGUGCCAGAUGUCGAAGGGACAUUGCCAGCUCACGUAUCCACUGUUGUCAAGGGCACCCCAGUAAGUGUCAGACUGCCAAUCACGUCGACAAUGUCAAAAUUACCAUGCUUUCUUUUUUUAGCAGUAAUAUAUCACUGCUGUUUUGGCAGGGCUAUCUUGAUCCGGAAUACUUCCUAACUCACAAACUGACCGACAAGAGUGAUGUUUACAGCCUGGGUGUCGUGUUCCUUGAAAUGUUAACUGGUAUGAAACCAAUUGAGCAUGGUAAAAACAUAGUGAGAGAGGUAUGCACUUCUUCAGCCAUGGAUACAUUACACUUUUAAAGGACGGCCAGUUCUCACAAAAAGUAAAAAAUGACAGCUGAAACUAGUUGAAAAUCCAUAAGCUUAGACUGUGUUAUUAUCGACUUGUGUGCUUGCUAUCAGUAAAAAAACAAAUGUAAUGAAGAACUGCAUGUUCCUAUUCCUGUAGGUAAACUCAGCUUGCCAGUCGGGCGCAGUUUCUGGAAUAAUCGAUGGCCGGAUGGGCUUAUACCCCCCAGAAUGCAUCAAGAGGUUCUUAUCACUAGCAACCAAGUGUUGCCAGCAUGAAACUGAUGACAGGCCUUCCAUGUGGGAGAUUGUCAGAGAACUUGAGCUCAUCUUGAGGAUGAUGCCUGAAGAGGACCUGAUUCUGCUGGAAACCUCAGAGACAGACUCGACCGAUGUCAGUAAGUCGUUGUCAUCUUCAGCGACCGGGACCCUCUUCGUCUCGUCACAGGCCUCUGGGAGUCUUGAUGCGAGCAGCGGCAUGAUCUCCGGAAGAG